Molecule: long non-coding RNA, 188173 nt
Filed under: Triticum aestivum (bread wheat)
Lineage: Eukaryota; Viridiplantae; Streptophyta; Magnoliopsida; Poales; Poaceae
Description: long non-coding RNA (TAES_LNC001025)
Rfam family: MIR1120/MIR1122 microRNA precursor family (bases 59588-59722)
Source: RNAcentral
UUACAUUAGAGACGUGUGGUGCGUCUCCCUUCCUGCCACACGUGUGGCAGUUAGCGCGACCCUUUCUUUUUAGCACCCUGUCCUAUCCAUCACGUUUGGCUGCGGUUGGACAUACUUUUGUACAUGUCGUUAUUACUUGCCUAUUGCUAGUUUUUUUUACGUGUAUUACAUGAGGAAAUCUUGAUCGUUGAUACAUCUUAAUAUUAGAGUGUCAAAUCAGCACCGUUCGUUUUCUAUCGUUUUAUAAGUAUAUAAUAGAUGAUAGAUUUCAGACAAAAUCUGCCCUGCUGCUCAAGAAUGUAAAGCCAUGUCAUUCAACUUGUUGUCAAUUGAUUCUAAUGGUAAAUACAAAUACAAUGUCACUUAAAAGAUUAUGCCAUUAUAGUUUUCUGAAACAAGAAUACGCCAUAAUAGCAUAGUGCCAGAAUUAUUUCAGUCGCUAUACAGUUUGAUGCGAUUCACAUGCAUGAUAUUUUAAUGAGUAGGCAAAUCGAAAUAUAAGGCAAGUAGAAGGAAGAGGAACCAGGAGUGGUGAUGUUGUGCUCAUCUAUACCGUCGCUUGUGAGCUAUGCAGUGGCAGCUGCCCUACAGAGAGGAAUGGUUGUGGCCCGGGAACAUGGCGCCUCAAAAGCAAUGUUAUAUGCUGUUGAGGAAGGGCGCCUCUGAUGGUCGCGCUGCGUCACCAUGUCAUCGCCAGUGCCGACAACGGGCCAACGCCGGGAGGGAGGUGGCACACCGCCGCAGGAGAGCGGAGUAGAGCACGGGACAACGUGAGGAGGGGGGCAACUUACCAAACCUCCCGCCAUGGUCACCCUCGAUUGGAUCCACCAUCCUGCACAUGUCGUCAUUGCCGUCCUACGCCAGUGCCUCCUUCAGACACUGCAUAGCGGCCGCUCCACCUCACCAUUGCCUUGACACGGAGCAGCCAACCAGGACGGAGCGAUAAGGUGUUGGAGCACCUCCUUGUGUCAGCUUCAGCGCCCGCUUAGCCAAGGCGGCAACUCCCGACGACGCCGUGGGUGGUCGGCUCUGGUGGCAUGCGAUGGCGGGCGUCGGCGAUCUGGGCAGGAGAAAGGUCGAGGCGCAGGGUGGCUCGCAGCGUCGAGCAUGUGGCACACUUGAACAACGGGGACGCCGGGACUCCAGCACCUGAACGACGUGAGGCCGCGAGCUCGUGGUCGAGAGCAAUGGCAUUGGCCCAAGAUGACGGCAACGUCGACGAUGUGCAGCUGCGGCCUGAGUUUAGCCUACCGCGCGGAGGUACGCCGCCUUCCUUCCUCUCCUCCGUCAUGGCCUCUGACCGUGGUGGGGGCGACGGGAGAGAAUUUUGGAGCCUGUUGGUGGGACUACGCCGCCUUCCCUUCCUCUCCUCCGUCAUGGCCUCUGCUUGUGGUGGGUGCGACGGGAGAGAAUUUUGGAGCUUGGUGGUGGGACGAGGAGGCGGCGGUUUUGUUGUGUCGGGAUGAGGGAGAGACAAUUUAUAGAUCUACAAUAGCGAUGAAGAGGACAUGAGAUUGGACUGGAGUUUUCUAGAGAGAAGAUACGGGACGACAUGAGAUUGGACUGGAGUUUUCGAAAGAGAAGUUACGUGUCCCGACCGGACCCAUCUUCCAUAGUAAAAAAACUAAAACCGGUGUAAAAAUUGUAACGUGGCAAAAGAAGGAACCAAAAUCAAAGCAACGAUGGACACGUAUGAUCGGAACACAUGAAAGGAAACUGGCGUGACCCUUCCAUUCAAUAGAAAGAAAGACAUGGUAAAAAAACGUGCAACAUCUAGGUAGCUAAAAAAUAGGAACGACAAGGAAAGCUCCCGUCACACGCGUCAUUUUCUCACGGGCGUAAAAAAAUUCCGGAAAAACUAGAAAAAGGGAACCCUUACGGGCCUAGUAUUCUUAGUAUUAGGCAAUUUUGGUAUUUGGUGCCAAUUAAAGCUUGAACAAUUUUAGUUUUUCCUGUGACAUAUCACGAGCUGUCCUACCUGUAGCUCCUCUACAUUGAGUUCGUAGGAUUCGGCUUGCCUACUCCCUCCCCAUGCUCCCAUCCAAGCUCCCAAUUCAUCCUACGGUUGUUUUUUUUUCCUUUUUCCUUCCUAAUCUAAUCAUCCCUCUGAUUUUAACGGAGUGGGCCCGGACCUUAUUUUGUUCCAAUCAAAUCAAGCCACGUACGCGGGAGUACGGAUGGGCGCACGCGUGGGGCUCAGGCAAGUCUCAUCUGAGUUCGUAUGCCCCUCUCUCAAGCCGGCCCUGAUGGAUAUUUAUUGGGCACCAAUACGCGCCGGCGUACCAGCCGAACGAUUCAGCAGGUCAGCCCCAGCCGCACGAUGCGUGCGUCUACAUCGCNNNNNNNNNNNNNNNNNNNNNNNNNNNNNNNNNNNNNNNNNNNNNNNNNNNNNNNNNNNNNNNNNNNNNNNNNNNNNNNNNNNNNNNNNNNNNNNNNNNNNNNNNNNNNNNNNNNNNNNNNNNNNNNNNNNNNNNNNNNNNNNNNNNNNNNNNNNNNNNNNNNNNNNNNNNNNNNNNNNNNNNNNNNNNNNNNNNNNNNNNNNNNNNNNNNNNNNNAGCUCCCCCAGGCCUCCCGCUUCCUCCUCUCGCUGACAAGCCAUGACUCCGUGGUUGCCCCUGCACCGCCCGCCGCGGUACCACGCUCAUCCUCAUCGGCCGCCCGCGCCACCGCGCUCCCGUCGCCGUCGAGUGGUUGCAGCUUUUUUGCCAGGCGUUUCCAGCAUCCUUGAUGGGAAGUUCCAGCACUGCCGGUGGUGACACUAUAGGAAACAGGCAAUUUGCCGUCUGAGGAUCACAGACAGCAAAGACCUAAAUCCAGACGGCAAAGACUUUGCCGUCAGGAAGCAGACGGCAAACUCAGACGGCAAAGAUAAGUCGGCAAAGAAUAAUUUGUCGUCAGCUUUUUUGUAUGGAAGACGGCAAAGACUUUGCCGUCUAACAAUCCCAAUAACACACGGCAAAGCAAUAUCUUUGCUGUCAGCCGAAACAAAAUCUUUUCCAUCAGCUGAUCUAAUUUACAGACGGCAAAUAAUUUUUUAACUUAAAAAAAUCACAGGAAAUUUUCUAAAACAUUUCUCAUGGCAUUCUUCAUAGAUCAAUUUACACAACAAGUCUAUUACAAUCUGUUCGCAGAAUACCUAACCAUUAAACAUUGGUAGUUACAACAUUGUUUGUAUAUCCAUUUACACAACUUAACAUCAAUAUUUUCGAUAAUCAAGAAAUACAUUCAUGAUAGAGAGAAAAAGGGCCAAGAAACUCUGUCGCCCUGCUGCAGACCGCACCGGGCACGGGGCAGCGCCUGUCGACAGCCGCUCGGUGUCUUGCACCCGAUGGAGACGAGCAGCAGCGGCCCUCCGCGCCCGACGCUGCUCCCUGCGACAGCCGUUGAGGAGAAUGAGGCGGGCUCCGGCAGUCGGCCAGCACGGGCGGAGGCGGGCACACGCGGGCUGAGGCGGGCGGCGCUCAGUGGCGCGCGCGGAGGCAAGCUCCAGCGGGCGGCGCCCGGUGGCGCGGGCGGAGGCAAGCUUCGGCAGGCGGCAACCGGUGGCACGGGCGGAGGCAAGCUUCGGCGGGCGGACAUGGGCGGAGGCGGACGCGGGGGCGCUGCACCUCCUUGUCCUUCUGGCCGUGGACGUCGUCGUUGGCGCCGUCAUUGGAGAGCGCCGCUCUCGGUUGGCCUUGGACAGCGCGGCGUCGAGGAGCGCCCUCAUUCCGGCGAGGGGACGCCGCGGGGUCCGGCGAGGGGCCGAGGCGGGGUCCGGCGAGGGGCCGAGGCGGGGUCCGGCGUGGGGACGCCGCGGGGUCCGGCGAGGGGACGACGCGGGAUCCGGCGGGGGGGACGCCGCCGGGUCCGGCGAGGGGACAAGGCGAGGUCCGGCGAGGGGAAAGUGGAUGGGACCGGCAGCGAGGUGGUGGCUGGCGAGGCGAAGCGAGGUGGUUGCGGGCGCUGCCUUCUCGAUUUGGAUCACGGAGAGAGAAACGAGAGAGAGAGAGAGAGAUCGUGGUAGGGGUGGGCCGCUCGGGUGGAUAAGGGCAGAGGAGUGGAGCCCGUAGGUGCGUGUGUGCGUCGGUGCGUGGGUGCGUGGGCGCGGGGGCGCGGGGGUGCGUGCGGCGUCAGGGGUACGUGAGGAUGUGUGGCUUAGAUCCCGCCAUCUCAUCGAUCCAUGUGAUCGAUCUGUGUAUUGUGUUUCUUCUUUACCGUCUGCGUUUUUUAAUACAGACGGCAAAGAGCAUACUUUGCCGUCUGUAAUAAAAAAGUAGACGGCAAAGAUCUUUGCCGUCUGUAAUAAAAAAGUCUUUUUUGCCCUUAGUUUUUCUUUGCCGUCUUCUGGUGACGGCAAAUCCACUCUUUGCCGUCUGGUCGACGAAAACCUGACGGCAAAGACGCCUCCUGACGGCAAAUUAGCAGUUUCCUGUAGUGUGACCGCCCAACUCCGGGGAGCAGCGUCGUCGGUGCUUCGUCGGACUGGUUCCAGCAUCGAUCUCGCUCUGCCGGUCCACGGGUGUGUCAUCCCAAAAAUCAAGAGGUCGUCCCCCUCUCCUAGCAGCUCCACUGCACUGCGGUUCCAGCUUGCCGGACAACAGUUGCAACAUCCCAGCCGCAGGGGGUCGCCUUGCAGCUCCACUGGACCGCCGUUGCAGAUCCACUGGACUGCGGUUCCAUCUCUUGUGGCAAUGGUUGCAGCUCUCCUUGCAUGGCUGCGGCACGCCAUGCCGGCGGCCAUGUUGUCCCGCCGUCACCGAUGCAGCAAAACUGGUCACCCGUAGUAGCAAAGCAAACCACGGUUACAACUCUCGUGCAUUACCAUUGUAUCUUUUCUAGAAUAAUGUCGUAACUUUUUCCUUUGGUCGCGGGCCGCAGCUCGCUGUCGCGCCCCCACGCAUCACGGAUGUAGCAAUUUUGAUCACUGGUUCCAGCAAAUCUAGAUGCCCGUUCCAGCAAAAAUAACUGCCACCAUCGUUGCUUCAACCAGUUGUAGCAAAAAAGACGGCCAGUUCCAGCAUCUGGUGUGGUCGGUUGUAGCAAUAAAAGUUCUUGGUUGUAGCUCCAACCCUGACCGGCUCCAGCGCCGGCGAUGAAGCUGGUAGCGUCCCCCCCAUGGCUCGGCACCAGGGUCGGUGAUGGCCGAAUCCAGUGUUGGUGGUGGCAGCAGCGUAGCGUCAACCCGUCGGCGGCCGGCCGCGAGGGGAGCUCGCAAUGGUUCGUGAGCAGCGGGGAGGAGAGAAAAGUCAUGGUUGUGGAGUCUUGGCUGAACGUAGAAGAAAGGAAAAAAGGAAGGCCAGGAAAAAAGAUAAGGAUAGGAGAGCGGGCGGUUGUGCGAGGCCCACCACGUACACGCGUCUUGCUCGGGACCAGAGUGGCGUGCGAGCCGGCCAAACGUUCGGCCGACGCCCCAGCCCAAAUCGUUUUCCAUAUGGGAAACGUUUAUACCCGGCGCACCGGCUGAGUCUUCCGCCGUUCGCGCACGUGGCGUGCGGUCCAUUUUUCCUUGUUGCACCAAGUCACUCGUCAACGCAACCAGGCCCACAUGCAACACCCUCUUUCCCUCUUUCCUAGCCACGCAUCUACAGCCUUAUCCAUCUGCCAACCGCUCUUCUUCCUCCCCAGCUCUUUCUCUCUCCACGAGCGACCAAAGCACAUGCCAUGCCGAUGAAAGCCAACCGGCUAGACCAGAUCCCACUCGCCGGGGCGGUGCUCCUACCCNNNNNNNNNNNNNNNNNNNNNNNNNNNNNNNNNNNNNNNNNNNNNNNNNNNNNNNNNNNNNNNNNNNNNNNNNNNNNNNNNNNNNNNNNNNNNNNNNNNNNNNNNNNNNNNNNNNNNNNNNNNNNNNNNNNNNNNNNNNNNNNNNNNNNNNNNNNNNNNNNNNNNNNNNNNNNNNNNNNNNNNNNNNNNNNNNNNNNNNNNNNNNNNNNNNNNNNNNNNNNNNNNNNNNNNNNNNNNNNNNNNNNNNNNNNNNNNNNNNNNNNNNNNNNNNNNNNNNNNNNNNNNNNNNNNNNNNNNNNNNNNNNNNNNNNNNNNNNNNNNNNNNNNNNNNNNNNNNNNNNNNNNNNNNNNNNNNNNNNNNNNNNNNNNNNNNNNNNNNNNNUGCUACUACCGGCGACGGAUUUUGCUACAUUCAUCACGGCGGGUCUGCGACCUACUAGCGCGGUGGCUUUUUUGUUUCAACCUUCCUAAGAUUUUGCUACUACCGGCGGGAUUUUUGCUACAUCCAUCAUAUGUGGGGGAGACCGCGACCUGCAACGGCAACGGCAACGAAUUGGUGCAUACGGACAUGGAAAAAAGCUUCAACCGGCCUAGUAUAAGUUCCAACCGAUGGAGAAAAAAGCUUCAACAGGCAUGACGAAAAAGCUUCAAUCCUCAUGGAAAAGCUGGAAGCAGCUACGAAAAAAGCUUCAACCGACCAUGAAAAAAGCUUCAAGCUAGAGCCAACAAUGGUUAUGACGGUGAGGCUACGACGGGUUAACGGCAAGGAGCUGCACGCGAUUUUUUGCUGCAAUCGACAAUGGGAAAAGCUACAACCGGUGCCACGUCUUGCUACUCCCGGCAAAACCCGACGAAGGUUGAAUCAAAUCGUGGUCGGCGCCGUGACUGUCGAAAUGAUUGGUUGUAGCGAUUCCUGUCACCGGUCGUAGCAAAAAUGAACCAUGGCUGAAGCAAAAUAUAUCUGCACGUGGAUGAUGAAGGGGAAAAGAUUGGCUGGGCGUGGCCAUGGCGACAGGGCUGCGGCGAGGGACAGCGGCGGAGCUGCAACCUGAGCUUCACCCGUCGCUGCUGAGAGCUACAACCGCAGGCGCAACUAUUUCAUGGGUCAAGGCGGUGACGAGGACAGACGACGAAGAUGGGGACUGGCGACGAGGACGGCCGACGAGGAUGGGGACCGGCGACGAGGACGGCCUGCAGGAGUGGGGACCGGCGACGAGGUCAGGCACCGGAGGGGAGAGGACGCGCGCGCCGACUGGGAGAUGUGAUUUCCAGCGAGAGGAAGAAGAAGCUGCGGGGCAAACCCUUUUUUUUCGCCAGAUCCAAUGGCCCACGCGGCUCAAAUCCAACGGCCCUGACGUGACCGGCCGAACGGUUGGGCCGGUGCGCCGGCGCAGAUUAGUGCCCUUUCCAUAUUUAUUUUCUUUGUGAUUUUGAGUCAGAGCAAGCAUGGCAAGUUGACAACACUACUGCACGUUUGUAGUAACUGGACGGGAAAAAAAAUCAUGUGGGCAUGGUGAGAUCCGCACUUCAUUCAAACUCCUUUCUUUUUCUCUUGCUAUAUCCCUGUCUUAUAUUUUCUUCUCAUAUUUUAAGAUACAAAAAUAGAUGGUCUGAAUUUCGCUAAUGCGGACUGGUCGACAGAUGACAAAUCUAUUUGGGGCCUGGAUCCAGAUAUUCACUUGUUUAGUACAACGUGCAUAUGCUAUCUUUAUAAAUCUCUGAUAGUGCGUUGCGGCCGGGGAAAAGAUAAGGAGAGAAGAGAACAGCUCGACGGGAGAAGAAUAGAGAAAGGGGCAGCAAAAACAUUGGUCAUUGCUGCUGUGCUAUUGCAUACCAUGAACAAAGAAUGAAGAAAGAUGAAUAAGAGAAGAUAAACAGGAAAGGGUGCUGCAGUUGUGCCGCUGCAUUCUUGGCAAGUUUUGUCAUAUUCAUCAUCCACACUUCAAGGGUAACCUUCUAUUUAGUCCAAAACUAUAAUUCACAAGAAUUUGUUUUAUUCCUGUAGCCCACGGCCGACCUUGGGUUGACCACACUGGAUGCAUUUUGGGGGUCAAAAAGAGGAUAAGCGAUGGCACGGGUGGACCGCAGUGUUUAAAUAGAGGACAUUGACAUGUGUGGGAGAUGUCUUGAGUCAUUUAGUACUUACUAGCAAAAGGACCCGUACGUUGCAACGGGAGAAAAGAAUAACACACACUCUUAAUUUAGAAAAAAAUGGUAUAUAAUUUGAGUAUUUGUAGUUACGGCCCAAACAAAGAUAGUCUUUGCCAACAAAACGUGAAUUCAAGAUUCCACAUGUCUUCUAUUUAAACACGGCUUGCAUGUAGAUUUAAUACGUACGAACAAACGGGCAAAUAAAUAGGCAAGUGAUUUUCAAUUUCGUCUCUAAUCCUGAUUUUGCUAAGAUGUUUAUUUAUCCACAAUUCGGAUUAGUACCUAUAUGAAAGAAAGACGGACAAUGCACUGUUGAUUAAGAUUGCACCCUAAAUAGUAUUAUAUUUUAAAUGGUUAACAGGUAAAAUAACAUCAUAUUCAGAUUCUAUAUUUUUUCUAAUCAAAUUCCAUAUAUAACAUGUAAAUUUGGAGUUACGGUUUAGAAGAUGAGUAUUUUAAAAAACAUUUUAUAUGUACUGCAGGUUUAAUAUAAGAAACAUUAGGGGGUUUUCUAUAAAAUAGUACGAAGGACUAAGAAUACCUAUUUCUUUUAUUAGUAGGUAUAGGUAUACAUAUAGAUUAUUGGGCUAUGAUUAUGUGACAAUUUUUUCUCCCCGUCGUAACGCACGGGCAUGUUUGCUAGUAUAAGAUUAAGUGGCUAAGGGCAACUCUAAUGGCCCGACACAAACGGACACAAAAUGAGUACGCUUUGUCGGGCCCGUGGGACUGGGGAUACCUAGGCCCGUCUGCAUGCGGCCCAGGGCGCGACGCUUACCCUAGGGCCCAUGAUUGGCCCACCUUUGGACUUCAUGAGCAAGACCCUCACGAGGCUCUCGCUUCGCGAGGCACCCGUCAGCCCGUGUCGUCAGGGUCCUCGCGAGACCCCCUCACGAGGCGAUCUUCCAAGGCUGCCUCCUGAGGCCCCUCAUGGAGGCGGAUAGAUCAAGGGUGGCUCGGCAGGGUCACGCGGUCCUGCGUCCUCACGUGGGUGACGUGCGCGACGACAGGCUGCGCCCAAGGCCAUGCUAGCAGGCGCAGAUGUGGAGGCUUUCCUAUUUGAUGCUAAGGGAGCGAGGACAGCGCACCGGUCCCCGAAAAAAUUCCCAAAGAUUUCCCGCUCGGUGCAAGAGGACCGAGACAACGGGCGCGCCAGGACAGAGGUCACCACUGAGCCCAUCGGGGCGUCACACAGGAAGCUUUUGCAGGCGAAGACCACAUUUAGUCAGGAUAAGCUGCAACCUUGCCCCCCUUCAAACUGGCCGUUGUGGCAACCCUUCCCGCCAUGUGUUUUUAGUGAAAGAGGACCAGAGGCAGUAUAAGAAGAGGGCGAGGUGUAGCCCUAGGGAGGAGGGGAUCGUCUCGUCCUUGGCAACUUGUGCUCGAGGCUUACUCUCUCUCUCUCUCUCUCUCUCUCUCUCUCUCUCUCCCAAGCAAUCUAGACAAGCAGGAGUAGGGUCUUACACCGCGAGAUGGCCUGAACCUGGGUAAACUGUCCUGUCCUAUGUUCUUCUUCCCUAGCUUGAGCACGCCGGAGCAUCGCCAUGAUGUUGUGAGGUAGAGUAGGGCGGUAGGAACGCGCCCCAAAGUUUGAACCUUCUUGGGUCCUCGAAGCCCCGAUUCCGACAUUUCAUUCCAGGUAGGGGUGUGCCGCCCUUUUUUCGCACCGUUACGGCUUUUGCUUCACCGUUUUGGGCCGUGCUCCUCAAGGCGCGCGAGCUGCUCUGCUACCGUCCUGCGGACACGGGCUACGACGCCUGGCUUGGCCGCAUCAUCGAGCUUGUCAACGUUGCCGGAGAAGCCCCGGUGCCCUCCCACUCGCUCCGCCCUCCGCCGUCUCGCAUCGGGGAUGUGGCGCACGGUGCCCUUCCACCACCUCGCAUGCGCAGCGACCUCGGCAAACCCCGUCGUGAGGUGCCCCCGUGUGACCAGCCCCGCGGAAUGCCGCCGCCAGCCCAAGACGAAGCCAGCUGACAGAUCGUCCAACGCGCGCCGCCUGACGCGCGCGUCCUCCUCGAGCAACAACAUUAACGCCAGUAGCACAUCGUCCAAGAAGUCGUAGUGGCCAGGUGCCAGAAUCGCGCCACACUCGCGCGUGGCAUUGCUUCGAGCAGCGUGGGCUGUCGGGCCUUCAAUCGCGAGCUGCGCCGUGUGGUUUGGCCCGUCAAGUUCAAGAAGGAUCUCCUUUCGACUGAUUCAACAAAGAUUGCUUUUGCUCUUCUCGGUCCAGCUGGUGGUGUUGGGUGCUUGUCGUAGCUCUCUUCUGGUUCGUGUUCUGUUGUUUCUUGUGCCUUCUUGUGCGUAUUGGAUCCUAUCUGUUGUACCUGAUGUCUUGUAUCUUACUCUUAUAUAUAAUGAAAAUGGUUCAGGCCGGCGUAAGCCCGCCGUAGNNNNNNNNNNNNNNNNNNNNNNNNNNNNNNNNNNNNNNNNNNNNNNNNNNNNNNNNNNNNNNNNNNNNNNNNNNNNNNNNNNNNNNNNNNNNNNNNNNNNNNNNNNNNNNNNNNNNNNNNNNNNNNNNNNNNNNNNNNNNNNNNNNNNNNNNNNNNNNNNNNNNNNNNNNNNNNNNNNNNNNNNNNNNNNNNNNNNNNNNNNNNNNNNNNNNNNNNNNNNNCCCCCCCUCCUUUUUCUUUUGUGCAAAAAUAAAAUUUUCCAUUUUCUGUUCGCAAGUGGUCAAAUUUUGGUUACAAUUUUGAAUUCUCGUCACUCUAUAAAUGUGAUAUCACAAAAUGUUAUCAUUCUGCAUAAUGUCAUACAAAUGAGAUUUGUUUUUCCAGUUCAAUGUUUGUUAUCUUUAAUUUAUAGAAGCGGACUUUACAAAAACAGUAUGCACCGCAAGACUGAUUCGGUGAAGUAAAUACCACAAAUGGUCGUUAUACUUACAAGAUUUUGCAUAACCACAUUAACAAUGGGCACGUACUCUCGCGUGUAGGGCAUUUGGCACCUUUACGCAGCUAGUGUAUACUAGACACAGAAAACCUGAAUUCAUGAAGCGCUUUGACCUUGUGUUAAGGCUGAAACCUUUUACCGAAUAAUAAAGGUUGCGCUAGAAUCUUGAUUUACAACAAUUCCUUAUUUCACGAAAAGAAAACAAUUCCUUAUUUGUUAGGCGCCAGUUUUUAGCUGAAAUGCCAAAGAAUCAAAAGCGGAAUGCGUUUUGAUGUCGUGAUCAAAAGCAAUAUUUUUCAUUCCAUUCCAUGCUCGAUUGACAAGUAUUUUCUCAUUAUUUCCCUUCCUUGUUAUGCAUCCGAAACUGCGGCGGGUAACAAAACAGGAAUAUGGCGCCAGAACUUUUAUCUCUUCCCGCCAGCAACCCCCGCGUACGCUAUAUAUAUGCUUAUACGUCCGUGCCCAAGCAACCAUCACCGCACCCAGCCCAUACUUUCUAUAUGGCGCGAGAGCUGCCUUUUUUUGUUUCCUCUCCCGAUUUAGUCUUCCUCUCGGAUGAUGAGGGAGAAAAGGAGGUGAUCAAGAUUGAGGAUUCAGACUGCGGUGGCGACACGCAUGUCUACCUCAGCUCUGACGAGGAGGGCGACGCGGUCUACGCCGAUGAUGGCUCCUCCUACGCCAACUGCAAAGCCGCAUCUGCGGCUGCCACGUCUUUGGCCACGGUGAGCUGCACCGACUAUGGCGACGACAACCCGAAUGGCGGCGACUCUAAUGGGGACGGCAACCCCAACAACAGCUACUUCGAUGACAACGACAACGACUCUGAAGAUGGCGGUGACGACGCCAGCGAUUUUUCGUCGGCCGCCGCAAGUAAGUCGCCAAAAGCCCCAUACAAUUAUUGGCAUCCCACCGACCUUUGCACCCUCGUGGAAAUAGAUGGGCAGCUCCUCAAGGAUUUUGAAGGCGCGACAGUACCAUCGUCUGUGCUCUAUGAGGCGUUUAUGGAGGAUCCACGGCCGAUCCGCCGUGGCGGGCUGACCUCAAGAAAAAUCUCAUACAAAAGGUAUCAGUUGAAAAAAAAAUUUCGUGCCUUCUGCAAGUUGGAUCCGAGGCGUGCCUUCCGCACGUGUCACACGGCUCAAGAGUGCAAGUUUUACACCUGCUGCAAGGAGGCGUGGCCUCAUAUUGUACAAGAGGGCCGUGUCUGACUUGCUAAUAAGAAGUAAACCACAGUCAUGUUCAAUCCGGUCUUUUUUUGGUUUCACCAAUAAACAAUAGUAGCUUUCUUUCGCAUUUUUUCCAUGAUCAGUAUUACUCUGGAUUUGAUCUGUUUUUCCUUUGCUUGUAUUAGUUUAUUUUUCUUUUGCUUUGUAUGAGAUUGUUCAGUACAAGAAUCAUCAGUACUUUUAUUUAGCAGUCCACAAUUUUAUUUUAUUUUAUUAUGUUUUGUUGUGGGGACAGAGGGGCCUGAUGUGUCCACCUGCUCGACAUUUCGUUGUAGAUAUAUGUGCGUACUUUUUUAAAUACCCUUUAUUAAUUGUUCUGGCCAACAGGAUGACGAUCUUCUCGCCUGAACCGGAAAACAUGCAUAUGUGCCCAUCAUAUAUUGAUUCGAUGUCCAAAUGAUUUCCCACGUAGGCAUGCAUGGGUGGGAACUUCCUGAACCGGAAAACAUGAGUAAUAGGUAGAGAAGAUAUGUUUCUUUUUUAUUUGUUAAUUAUAUCAUGACACUUGACAAUAGAGAAGUAUAUCCGGAAUGUCCUACAUGUCAUAUCAAGCAUUAAGUUCAGAUUUCACCUGUUUGCAGGCUCACGAAAGCAUCAGGUAUAGCUAAGAGAUGAACCUCAUGGUUGGUGUAUAUUUCUUAAUUACUACAAAAAUACUUGGAAAUUUGUAAAAAUCAAUACUUCAAGCGAAUAUGCAUGAACCACAUGGUUGAUGUAUAUAUCUUAGUUCAGAAAUUCUUGCAAAUUGGUAAAAUCAAUACUUCAAACAAAUUUUCUUAGUACAGAAAUUCUUGACUGGAAGACACACGAAGCAUGAAUUGCAUCUAAAGAUUAUUUUCUGUACAAGAUUCAAGAUCUAGAUCUGAAAUAUUGUAGCAUGAUAUCAGUGGUCACAACAGUAAAUUAUUCCUUCCAUUACUCUUUCAAAAGAAGCACAGAGAAUUCUACUGUUCUAUAUAAAGAUUAUUGUUAGUGUUCUCGUUUGUGAGUCCCAUGAAUCCAAGUGCCAAUCUUAGUGACCGAAAGACAUACUCCCUCUGUCCGAAAAUACUUGUCACGGAAAUUGAUAGAAAUGGAUGUAUCUAGAACUAAUAUACAUCUUAUACAUCUACAUACAUUCAUUUUUGCGACAAGUAAUUCGAUACUGACUAUAAAGCUGUUAUCUCAUUAAAAAUCAGUGUCUUCAUGCUCCUAGAAAGAGUACACAAUAAGCUAAGGGACGAAAAAUGAAUUGAAACGUACUAUUUGCAUGUCAUGCAAACUGCAAGAUGCGGACCACUGCCCCACUGCAUGUCCGGCAUUGCUCAUCUGUUAACAGAAACAACGCCAAAGCUCAAAAAAUCUUCUAUCCAGGAAAACCGUAGGGGAAGUGUUGCUUCACAGACAACAAUAAGUAGUCAGUACAUUGUUAUUGUUUUCCCUGCUGGUGAAUCUGCACCACAUUUCUCUCAUCUUCCAUUCGACAAUCACAUGCCAAUGUUUUCUGUAACACUUGAAAAGAGAAGGGAAAACACAACAGUUAUUUGUAUAGAAAAGAUGUUGGAAAAUCCUAUAAGGAUUUUUUUAAAGAAAAUGUAAGGAACUAUUGCCAUAACACGAAUACAACAUAGGGCCACUGAUUUUGAUUCGAACUAAAUAAACCAUACUAUUAAUGUUCUUUGACUGACAAAUUCUGAAGCAUUCCUUGAACAUAAAUGAAAGCUACCGAAUUACUAGGUAACCGAUACAACUAUUGCUACUUGUUUUAAGCACAUGUCUCGAAAUUGAAUUUUACUUUUGUUUGUGAAACAUGAAAGGACUCAAUUAGCUAGCUGCUAUGUGAGAAGGUUUUGGAUCCCAAGCGGACCUUUUUUUUCGAGGGGCACCGGAAUUUGCGGUUACCAUGGUAACCAUGAAAUACCGGAAAAGAAUCGGACGAAAUUUAAAUUUAAAUAUUAUUUAGGUCGAUAUAGAUAGAUAUUUAACUUAUAAUAUAACAAACUUUGCCAUGGCGUAUAGUGGCUAUUGGACUGUAGCUUUCGCUUGCUCGUACGCCGCGAGUUCGACCCUUUUUUAACUUUUGCAUCCUAUGAAAAAUGAAAAAUGCGUGAGCCCAGAUUCAAACCCGCGAUUCGCUGCUGAGGAAAGAUGCCCUUGCUACUAGGCCACUCCCAGUUAUGUCGUGAUACAAGAGAUUGUUUGUAUUUAACUCUAUAACAUGCGUUUGAAUUCAAAAUUUUCAAAUUAUCCGAGAUAUUUUGCUCGGUAUGAGUGUUUCUCGAGGGGGGAUAGUAAACGCGGUAACCGCCCGAAAUCACGAAAUUUCAUUUAGUAACCAAAUCAGUGGAUCAUACGCAUUGCAUUUUUAGCAACUCUCAUAAGCCGUUCUUACCUGUUCUCACAGCUGAUGAACAUACAAUAUAUGAUGGAACUUUGCGAGAUAACAAAGAUGCUUAGCUGCCAGCAAGAUGUAUCCUAUAGUAUCAUGUUUUUAUUUCUGAAUAAUUGGUUAACCUAUGCUACCUUAGUUAAGCAUUCAAGAAAAUGAAGUUGCCUCUGUGUUUUAAGCUAAAGCUACCACAGUUCUGUGAGACUUAUCAUUCCAGAUAAUGUUCACACAACUUAAAUGAGUAACAUAAGUGCAAUUUUAAUUUUUAGUACAAAUGUACAAUGACAAGCUCAUGUACAAUUAUUUACUGAAAAAAAUAAGCCAGCUCAUUUGGAAGGGAAGAAGCUAGAGAAAUGUCAGCAAUGUAACUUUACCUAGAACACAGCCACUAGUAGAAAACAGGGCUUUGGUUGAGCCUGGGUAAGGGCAUUAAUUCCGGUUCACUCCCGAACAGGGGCCAAAGGGGGCAUCAGUCCCGGUUCGUGAGGCCAGGGCGCCGGCCGGGCCUUGGGGGCCAUUGGUCCCGGUUCGUCUGACCCCUUUGGUCCCGGUUCCAGACACACGAACCGGGACCAAUGGGCCUCGAUCCUGGCCCAAUAUCUUUAGUCCGGGUCGGUGGCUGGAACCAGGACCAAAUGUUGUCCUUUAGUCUUGGUUUUAGCCACCAACCGGACUAAAGAGAUCCCUAUAUAUACCCCUGCUCGUGAACAGAGCCAGUGCUCUAUGUUUUUGGCUGGCCGUGGGAGAGGUGUGUGUUGCUCUAGUUCACCUUCUAUGCACAUGAGGUGUUCGAUGAAAUGCCCGAGCCACACUUAAGCUUUCUCCUCUCCAAGCUCCUUCUCCAAGCUCCAUUUUCCUCAAGAUUUGUCUAGGUUUGGCGUUUCGUCCUGUCCCGUCCCCAUCCUCACCGCCGUUGAUUGCCCGCGCCGAUCUCGUCACCGGCACCACCAUGGUGAGCCUCUUGUUCUUAUCUUCUUUCUAAAAGAAAAAAAAUCCUAGUUUUAUGAUUUAGAUUGAUACUUGUAUAAUUUUCUGUUCUUACUUUUAUUAUUGUUUGUUAUUAUAUAGUACGAUGGUUUUGGUAUCCUGCCCUCGUCCUGUUUAUGAUUCAGAUGUGGUAUAUAUUAUCUUUUAUAACUAUUUGUUUCAUUUAGUAUUUAUGACAAUUAUGCCGACAAACAUGACAUAUAUGUUUUUAUCUAGAAGGUAUGUGAACCGGAAAUUCCAACCGACCCUCUUGUCAAGAGGUUAAAUUUAGUUGAAAAGGAAAACAAUUACUUGAUUUUUUUUAAAAGAAUUGAGGAGGAGAAGAUGAAAUUGGAUUUGCAUAUUGCGGAUGUCGUCGAUGAUCACAAGAUCAAGAUGGAUGCAAUGCGCGUGAAGAUUAGAAAGAUUAGAAACUAUGCCAUUCAUACUGAGGCUUGGUAUCGUUAUGCCGUUGGAUCAAUUGUUUCCUUAGUUGCAAUUAUGAUCGCAUUUGUUGUUGCAUUGAAAUGUUUUACAUAGUUUCACUGUAUGGUUCAAUUAGAUGCUCUAGAGAGCUAUAUCACUAGUAGAAAAAGGGUCAAACGUGAAGCACAUUAGUGCCAGUUUGUAUUUGAGCCGGCACAAAUGUAUACAUUAGUGCCGGUUCCAACGGCUAGCCGGGCCGCUCUCAUUAGUACCGGUUCGUGGCUAACCUUUAGCACCGGUUCGUUCCACGAACCGGUACUAAUGAGAGUGGUGGCAGGAUGUUGUCAGUCUGGGCCCCCUCCAGCACCUUUAGUACCGGUUCUUGACACGAACCGGUACUAAAGGUCGUCCUACAUAAACCCUUCGUCCAUCCGAGCUCGCUCUGUUCUUCCCCUUUCCCCUAUCCUCUCUGUUCUUCCCCUCUUCCUCUCGAGCUCAUCACACAUUUUGCCCAAAAUUUGUCAAGAUUUGAAGGCCCCCAUCCAUUGAAAUGAUCACAAAGGUUAGCAACUUUGUCCUUUCAUCUCUCAUUGCUAUAUUAGCUCUUGCAAUGCUUUAUAUAGUUAUUAAUUUGUGAGUUUAGUAAUUUGGGAGGAAAUAUAUAUAUGUGCUAGUAUUUGAUUUAUAUGCAAUUUGAGGUUAAAAUAACACUUAGUUUGCAUAUGUAGGUGUGGUUUACUUAGUGCCUUCUAAAUCUCCGCCGUAAUCACCGUCGAUCACCCGCACCGUCCCGUCGCCGGCACCACCUUGUGGUGAGCCUCUUGUUCAUGAAAUUUUAUAUAAAAAAUUGAUGUUUGUGUGAUUUGGAUAUAUAGUUACUCGUAUAAUAAUUAUCUUACCCGUACGUUAUUUGUUAUACAUAGUGCCAUGGUUUUGAUAUCCGUCCCCGUCGGCCCUCGUCCUUGUUAUGAUUCGGAUGUGGUAUAUUCUCUUUUAAAACUAUUUGUUGCAUUUCGUGUUUAUGAAAAAUUAUGCCCAUCAAGUUGACAUAGAUAUUUUUAUCUAGGAGGUAUGUGAACCGGAAAUUCCAACCGACCCUAUUGUCGAGAGGUUAAAUUUAGUUGAAAGAGAAAACGAGUACUUGAAAGAAAAAUUGAAAAGAAUUGAGGGGGAGAAGAUGGAAUUGGAGUUGCAUGUUGCCGAUGUCGUCGAUGAUCACAAGAUCAAGAAGGAGAAAAUGCGCUUGAAGAUUAGAAAGAUUAGAAAAUAUGCCAUCGAUAGUGAGGCUUGGUAUCAUUAUGCUGUUGGAUCAAUUGUUACCUUAGUUGCGAUCUUGAUCGCAUUUGUUGUUGCAUUUAAAUGCUUUAGCUAGAGAGUUAUUUGUUUGUUGCAUUUAAGUGUUGUAUGAACUUUAUAUAUGAACUUGUAUUAAUUUGGUCUAUUCGGUGUUGUGUAAUGAAGAUGAGCCGGCAAUGGAUGUACGAUGACCGAUGCUCUCCGCAGUUUGUUGAGGGCGUGCAUACUUUUCUGCUUGCGGCUGAGGCAAACAAGCGGGCGGAUGGUUUUAUGCCUUGUCCGUGUGCUGGCUGUAAGAAUGGUCGCAAUUACUCUACGUCAAGAACCACUCACGUCCACCUGUUUGAGUCCGGUUUCAUGCCCCACUAUAAUGUUUGGACCAAGCACGGAGAAAGAGGGGUUAUGAUGGAAGACAAUGAAGAAGAAGAGGACGACGACAGCUAUCCUGGCCAUGGGUUCCCUGAAUACGAUGAUACAACAAUGGGGGAAGAAGCUGAGCCAGUAAUGCGGGAAGAAGCUGAGCCGACAAUGCGGGAAGAAGCUGAAGAAGAGGCAUCAGAUGAGCCCGUUGAUGAUCUAGGUCGUGCCAUUGCCGAUGCAAAGAGAAACUACGCAAGUGAUUUGGAGAAGAAGAAGUUGCAGCGCAUGUUAGAGGAUCACAAAAAAUUGUUGUACCCGAAUUGCGUAGGUGACAAGAAAAAGCUGGGCACUACACUGGAAUUGCUGCAAUGGAAGGCAGAGAAUGGUGUAUCUGACAAGGGAUUUGGAAAGUUGCUGGUAAUGAUAAAGGAUAUGCUUCCAAAGGACAACGAAUUGCCCGAGAGUACGUACGAAGCAAAGAAGUGUCUGCCCUCUAGGGUUAGAGGUGCAGAAGAUACAUCCAUGUCCUAAUGAUUGCAUCCUCUACCGCGGUGAGUACGAGGAUUUGAACGCUUGCCUGGUAUGUGGUGCAUUGCACUAUAAGAUCAGCCGCGAUGAGCAUGGUGAUGUCGAGGGUGAGCGCCCCAGGAAGAAGAUUCCUGCCAAGGUGAUGUGGUAUUCUCCUAUAAUACCACAGUUGAAACGUUUGUUCCAAAACAAAGAGCAUGCCAAGGCGAUGCGAUGGCACAGAGAAGACCAUAAGAAAGACGGAAAGUUGAGAGUACCCGCUGACGGGUCGCAGUGGAGAAAAAUCGAAAGAAAGUACGGGAAGGAGUUUGCAGAUGACGCAAGGAGCGUAUGGUUUGGUCUAAGCGCAGAUGGCAUUAAUCCUUUUGGGGAGCAGAGCAGCAACCAUAGCACCUGGCCUGUGACUCUAUGUUUGUAUAACCUUCCUCCUUGGUUGUGCAUGAAGCGGAAGUUCAUUAUGAUGCCAGUGCUCAUCCAAGGCCCUAAACAACCCGGCAACGACAUUGAUGUGUACCUAAGGCCAUUAGUUGAAGAACUCUUACAACUAUGGAAUGGAACAGGUGUACGUGCAUGGGAUGAGCACAAACAGGAAGAAUUUGACCUAAAGGCAUUGCUGUUCGUGACCAUCAAUGAUUGGCCUGCUCUCAGUAACCUUUCAGGACAGACAAACAAGGGAUACCACGGAUGCACGCACUGUUUGGAUGAUACCGACAGUAUAUAUUUGAAUAGUUGUAAGAAGAAUGUGUACCUGGGACAUCGUCGAUUUCUUCCGAGCAAGCAUCCCGUAAGAAAGAAAGGCAAGCAUUUCAAAGGUGAGGCGGAUCACCGGACGAAGCCUCGCCACCGUACUGGUGCUGAUGUACAUGAUAUGGUCAAGGAUUUGAAGGUGAUAUUUGGAAAGGGUCCUCGCGGACAACCUGUUCCAAAGGACGCUGACGGACGCGCACCCAUGUGGAAGAAGAAAUCUAUAUUUUGGGACCUGCCAUAUUGGAAAGACCUAGAGGUCCGCUCCGCAAUCGAUGUGAUGCACGUGACGAAGAAUCUUUGCGUGACCCUGCUUGGCUUCUUGGGCGUGUAUGGGAAGACAAAAGAUACACCUGAGGCACGGGAGGACCAGCAACGUAUGCACGGAGAAGACGGCAUACAUCAGGGUCAUGCAAGCUACGCUCUUACCAAAGAAGAGAAGGAAAUCUUCUUUGAAUGCCUGCUCAGUAUUAAGGUACCGUCUGGCUUCUCAUCGAAUAUAAAGGGAAUAAUAAACAUGGCAGAGAAAAAGUUCCAGAACAUAAAGUCUCAUGACUGCCACGUGAUUAUGACGCAACUGCUUCCGGUUGCAUUGAGGGGGCUUCUACCGGAAAACGUUCGAUUAGCCAUUGUGAAGCUAUGUGCAUUUAUCAAUGCAAUCUCUCAGAAGGUAAUCGAUCCAGAAAUCAUACCAAGGUUACAGAAUGAUUUGGUGCAAUGUCUUGUCAGUUUUGAGUUGGUGUUCCCACCAUCCUUCUUCAACAUCAUGACACACGUCCUAGUUCACCUGUGCGAAGAGAUUAGCGUUUUGGGUCCUGUAUUUCUACACAAUAUGUUCCCCUUUGAGAGGUUCAUGGGAGUCUUAAAGAAAUAUGUUCAUAACCGUGCUAGGCCAGAAGUAAGCAUCUCCAAGGGCCAUCAAAAUGAGGAGGUCAUUGAGUUUUGUAUUGACUUUAUUCCUGACCUUAAGCCGAUUGGUGUUCCUGAAUCGCGGCAUAAGGGCAGACUGGAUGAAAAAGGCACGCUAGGAGGGGAACAAAUAAUAUGUAUGGACGGACAUUCUCUCACUGAAGCACACUACACAGUUCUACAGAAUUCCGCCUUGGUGGCUCCGUAUAUGGAUGAACACAAGAAUUUGCUACGCUCCAAACACCCGGAGCAGUCUGAUGACUGGAUUACACGUGAACAAACCAGGAGUUUCGCCAGCUGGUUGCAGACACGUACCAUGCAUGACACCUCUAUUGAAGAUGACCUGUACUUGUUGUCCCAGUUACCAUCUUCGAAUAUAAUGACUUUCAAAGGGUACGAGAUAAAUGGUAAUACAUUUUACACGAUCGCCCAAGAUAAGAAGAGCACCAACCAAAACAGUGGUGUCCACUUUGAUGCAGAAACCAAGAUGGGAAAGGAAACAUAUUAUGGUCAUAUACAGGACAUAUGGGAACUUGACUAUCGACGUGGUUUAAAGGUCCCUUUGUUUCGGUGCAAAUGGGUCAAUAUGACACGAGGCGGGGUAAUGAAAGACCCGCAGUACGGAAUGACAACAGUGGAUCUCAACAAUCUUGCGUAUGCAGACGAACCAUUCGUCCUAGCCAAUGAUGUGGCACAGGUUUUCUAUGUGAAGGACAUGUCUACCAAGCCAAGAAAAAGAUAAGAUAAGGAAGCGAAUGCAUCGUACGAUGAGCCAAAGCGGCACAUAGUUCUUUCUGGGAAGAGAAACAUCGUGGGAGUGGAUGACAAGACAGACAAGUCAGAAGAUUAUGAAAAGUUUGAUGAAAUUGCUCCAUUCACAGUGAAUAUUGACCCGAGCAUUCCGUUAAAUGAUGAAGAUUUUCCAUGGUUACGGUGCAAAAGGGACACACGCGAAGAAAAAGUUUCACACCCAAAGAUCUGGGAUGUGAUCGGCUUCACUAGCUAUCAUCACUUUCUUCUGUGUUUCGCACCGAGAGGGGAAUCUCUGUAAUAGUUAGGGUAGUUAUGUGUUUUGGCAUUUGAAACGCGAAGAAAUUUUAUGUGCAAACAAAUUCUUUCAUGCCUUUACUGAUUUUUAAAGUUAAGUUAUUCACAAACUAGUGAUUCACACUAAUUUCAAAUAAUUCAAAAUUUAAACUAUUCAAAUUUGAAAACUACGGGCACUAACAGAAAGUUUGUAAUUUUUUGUACCUAAAACAAAAAUGUUCACAAAGAAGCUCUAAAUACACAAAAAAACACAAAAAUAAAUAAAGCAAAAUAAUAAAAAAAAGCCCUAACAGAAAGUUUGUAAUUUUUUGUACCUAAAACAAAAAUGUUCAGAAAGAAACUCUAAAUACACAAAAAAAACAACACAAAAAUAAAUAAAGCAAAAAAUAAAAUAAAAAAAUUCCGCCUACUAGGCCAGAGCGGCCUGCAUACGACUAGAAACCCAACCUGUCGUUGGGCCAGGAUGCAGGCCCGCAAAGGCCAAGUGGGCCCGCAGGGCUGCAAAGAACAUGUAGGCCCAGUAAGCCUGCUUUGGAGAGGAGCUCGAGAGAGCGACUGCACGAGGGUUUAUAAACCAGUGCGGUCGUCCCUCGGCUAGCGAGGUGGGACUAAACUUGCCGCACCGCACCUGCGCUAGCGCACCCCCUUUAGUACCGGGUGGUGGCACAAACUGGUACUAAAGGGGGGCCUUUAGUACCGGUUUGUGCCACCACCCGGUACUAAAGGGGGUCGCUUCCCGCCGCUUGGCCUGGUCAAAAAAGACCUUUAGUACCGGUUGGUGGCUCCAACCGGUACUAAAGGUCCAUCCUAUAUAUACAACACUUAAAAAAUUUCAAUUUCCCUCUGUUUCUUCCCUCUGUUUCCUCUCCCUCUCCAUCGCGCCGCCCUGCCCCGAUCGACACCGUCUCCGUCGACGUCGCCGCCCCCGCCCCUCGUCGCCGACCCCGGCCGUCCCCGCCCCUCGUCGCCGCCCCAGGCCCGCCCCCGUCCCCGUCCCCGUCCCCGCCCUCGUCUUCGUCACCGCCCCCCGUCCCUGUCGNNNNNNNNNNNNNNNNNNNNNNNNNNNNNNNNNNNNNNNNNNNNNNNNNNNNNNNNNNNNNNNNNNNNNNNNNNNNNNNNNNNNNNNNNNNNNNNNNNNNNNNNNNNNNNNNNNNNNNNNNNNNNNNNNNNNNNNNNNNNNNNNNNNNNNNNNNNNNNNNNNNNNNNNNNNNNNNNNNNNNNNNNNNNNNNNNNNNNNNNNNNNNNNNNNNNNNNNNNNNNNNNNNNNNNNNNNNNNNNNNNNNNNNNNNNNNNNNNNNNNNNNNNNNNNNNNNNNNNNNNNNNNNNNNNNNNNNNNNNNNNNNNNNNNNNNNNNNNNNNNNNNNNNNNNNNNNNNNNNNNNNNNNNNNNNNNNNNNNNNNNNNNNNNNNNNNNNNNNNNNNNNNNNNNNNNNNNNNNNNNNNNNNNNNNNNNNNNNNNNNNNNNNNNNNNNNNNNNNNNNNNNNNNNNNNNNNNNNNNNNNNNNNNNNNNNGUUGUUUUUCAGUUUUAUAGAAGUUGUGUUUUCUGUUUUUAGUGUUAGAUGCUUAAUUAGUAUGAAAUAGUAUAUAGAUUUUUGAAAUAGUACAAAUGUUAGAAAUUUUAGUUAUGAAAAUCCAAUCAUUAAAAAAUUAUUACUUUUUGCGGGCAUAUAGCUAGUAUUUGUUCUCGACGAUGCCCGGCCCGCAUCCUCGCCGUCGACCCGUCCGUGACGACGUCCAGCCGACCCGUCCGGGACUGGGCUCCGCCGGGCUGGCACUGGGAGGUGCUGCCUGGAGGGGCGCGCCGCUUGAUGAGGAACCUGGCCCCGGGUCCCGUCGUCGACCCUGAUCUCGUUUGGUGGCGUUCGCGUGGGCCAGUUUCCGUGCGGAGGGACCCGGCCCCGCCGGAGGUGGUACGUCGCCGUGUCAGGGAGGAGGACGAGCACGUCCAUCGCUACAUGGUUGCGUUAGAGGGCGGCAGGUUCUCCAAUACCUGGCAGUAUCUUCGGGGAUCUCACUUCAGCUAUGAUCCUGUGAGGGUUCCUUCUCUUUGGGUGUCCACCGCCCGCGCCGCAGGAACCGCGAGUGUCCUAGAUUCUUCUGUAGUAUUCGAUCUUUAAUUAGCUAGCCAGUGAUGUACUAUUCAAUAUUAUAUAUUAUUCGAGACGAUGUAUUCGAGAUUAUAUCUAUUAUUCUAGACGAAGUAUUCGAGAUUAUAUCUAUUAUUCGAGACGAUGUAAUAUGAAUACUAAAUUGUUUUAUAUUUCUUUUGAAUUAGUUAAAUAAAAGCUAUGGCAGACAAUACCGACAGAGUGGGAGAACAGACCAUGUUCGAUAUGAUACGCGGGCCAGAUGAUGAUCAGAAUGAAGAAGAUUAUGACGGCUCCAAAUUUCUAAACAACACCGGAGAGGGUGAUAUGAUAUUCGAUCGCGACGACCGAAUUGAUGAACUCAUGAACUAUGAUUAUGACGAUGACGAAGAACAUGUUGAUCCUGAAACAACAAAGACCGGCGAGGUAUAUAUAUUUAUAUAAGCAGGUAUCUGGUGAUUAUCACAUGUUUUAAAUGACUUGAAGAUAUAUUGACGAAUCGAUCUUUGUUCUUUUAGCCAUCAGGAUCGAGCAAAUCUUCAGGGAAAAGGACGAAAUGAGGCCCAAACAAAAAGUUGAAGGAGGGCGUAAAGUACAAUAUCGAGGCAGUCAGACCUAAUGGCGAACCAUUAGCGCCUAAGAAGAUUGCGGACAAGUUCGUUCACAAAAGACAAAAAGGCAAAGAGGACGCUGCUCCACGUCCAGAUGUUACUUUUGUCGACAAGAACCAAAAAGAUCUGCUUUGGGAUACUCUCAUGGAACAUUUCACCCUACCAGAUCAUUUCACAGAAGCAGAUGUGCAGAAAGUCAAGGACGCUGCUCUUAGGAAGAUGGUGGUUGCAUUCAAGAACCACAAGAAUUGUGAAUGGGACAAGUACGUCAAGGGAGGAAGGAAGACUCCAGUAUUCGAGGGAACACUAGAGAACCAACGUGCUCAUUGGGACGAUUUCGUGAAAUUCAAGGAUUCGGAAUUAGCUAAGGAACGGUCGAGAAUAAACAAGAAGAAUGCCCUAAAAAAGGAUAAGUUCCAUAAGCUGGGGCCAGGUGGCUAUGCGGUGGCAAUGCCUAAGUGGGAUAAGUCUGAGAAAGAGAUGGAGGAUGCAGGUGCCACUCCGGUUACUAAGAGCUGCCCCCCCAGGGUCAAGACUUGGUUCUAUGCGCAUGGGGGGGAGUUGGACCCGAAGACAGGCAAUGUUUCGACGAGGGCAAGUCUAAAGGGAGCCGACGAUGCGAUACUUGUUGCAAUAGAAGAGGCACGAUCGGGGGUGUUCCAGCCCAACAGAGAGAACGACGAGCUUACGCGUGCCCUAGGAAAUCCUGAACACCCGGGAAGAACACGAGGCAAGGGCGCUAUUCCGUGGUAUGAGGGGUUUUCAGACUGGAACACCGACUAUAGAACCCGUGCGAGAAAGAAGAUUGCGGAGGAGAAGAAGAGGAAGAUGGAAGAGGAGCAGAGGAAGCGGGACUAUGAACGCGUUCAAGGCCUAGAAGCAAGUCAAGCGGAAUUGGUAGUCAAAUUCCAGCGGCAGCAGGAGCAGAUCGACUCACUUACCCAGCAAAGGGGGUCUCAGCAGCUGCGGCAGCUAGCGAAUGAUCCAACAUUGGAUAGCACCGCCCCAUCCAUGCCGAGAAGCAGCGUGGGUUCCGCCCCGGACGAGGCAAUGCUGGGUAGAUACCCCGUGGAUGACAUCAUGGAGAACACUAGCUGUGAGCUACACGUCAAAAUGAAGAACAUAUCCAUGAAGGUGGCGGACGCCGUUGCUUUUACAAAUCCCCCCCGAGGCAAUUGCAACCCGAUUCCAGCGGGCUAUGCUCGUGUCUUGGUUGAUGAGGUGGUGGACCCAUAUUCGGAGCUAGAGCUUGACUAUCCUGGAGGUGACGACGAGUGCUUUCUCAGAGACGCCAAACAUCGUAUCAUCCUAUGGAAAAAGGAUUGCAUCAUCUUUUGAAGGCCACCGACACUGCGUCAGCCGACUCCUCGUCGAAGUCCGCCACCGAGUCAGCAGUCUCCCGCUCCUGCAAGUCCACCAAGUUCGGCAAAGUGUCAGGCCACUCCUCCUCCAAGUCCGGCAAAGUGUCAGGCCACUCCUCCUCCUCCAAGUCUACCACAAUGUCAGACGUCCACUCCUCCUUCAAGUCCGGCACAACCUCAGGCCACUCCUCCUCCAAGUCCGGCACAGCUUCAGGCGGCCACUCCUCCUCGUCCAACUCAGCCCCGUCAGCCGUCUCCGCCGCCUCAGCAAUCACAGAAGAGACACCCCGCAGCUAUGGUGCGUAGCGGUACGAGUCGAGGUAGUACAGGAAGUACAGGCGGAGGCAAGCGAUAUAAAUAUGGUCCAAGCCUCACGCCUCUUCCGCAGAGGGCUUAUGACAGGUCCGAGGAGGAAAUCACAGCCAUAUCGAAGUCCGAGGUGGAAGCCCAUUUUGCACCGAAACCGCCACCGCCACCAAGGGAGAAAGUGCCUGAGGAAAUGAUUGACCACUUCAUUCGUAUGGCUCAACCACCAGCUCCCAAGCCUGUUGACACAGACUAUGAGCGCCACAUCAGGAAGUUAAAUCGAGCACGUCUACGUAAGGAGGCGAGCUCGGGAUCGAGCAAACAAGAAGCAGCUGUCAAAAAUGCGGGAAAACCAUUCCCCAGCUAGGAGAACAGGCGGCGCAAUCGAUCCCCUCGCUUGUUGUGCCAACAACAUGUGACAGUACGCGCGCCCAAUAUUAUUGUGGGCAAAUAGUUUACGUUCCUGAGGUGGGCAAUGUGGUAACAACGGAGGAGCAUAUAAUGGAGGCUGAAGUUCUCAAAAUCACUGUUGGACAACUCCUCGAGAUUGAGCCCAUGCCUGUGCUUAGAGAGGAUGAAAUAAAACGGAAAUAUGUUCGGGGCCAACCUUUGGUCGAGCCAGACAAGGUCAAGAACCUCCCAACGAGAAUGUAUGAAUUGCAUCAAUGGUACAUGAACAUUACCAAGAUUUCUGAUCGAUUGUCCCUCAUGGUGAAUGUCAAGGAGGAGCAUUACUACCAUGAGAAAGCUGUGUCCGUUGAGUAUUCUGAACUAUUUCAGUUAUACAAUCAAGACACACUCGACAAAUCUAUCGUUAGUUGCUAUUGUCUGUAAGUGAUUUCUUUCUGUAAUUUAAGUCUCAAGCUAGCUGUAGUGAUCCUUUUGAUCAAUCAUUACCUGUAAUUAUCCUCACUAUAUUCUUUUCUGUGGUAUUAUAUGCAGGAUGAAGAUGUAUGAAAUGAGAAAAGGUGGACGCUAUGGCAUUGGGUUCAUUGACCCAAACACCGUUAAUGAAUACACAUGGAAAAUAGAUGCACGUCAUCAAAAGGCCGUAGAGGAAAGCAUGCUAGAGUUCUUGAAGCGCCUCAAAUACAAUGAAGAUAUACUACUUCCUUACAACUUCCAGUGAGUCACACUGUCUUGUACUACAAAUUCUCAGUUUUUGCCUACUAGCUGUCUACAUGUUUUUGCUUACAUAUGCCCGCUUAAUUAAGACAUGCAUACGUGUUUGCAUGUAGAUAUCACUGGGUCUUGUGUAUCAUUAAAGUUGACGCUGGAACAGUUGAAAUACUGGACUCACUACUGAAAGAAAAAACUGACUAUAACAUCUUGUUUGGGAUAGUCAACAGGUAAUUUCAAUCAUUAUUAACUAUAUAUCUCGGCCUAUUUAGUUCGUCAUUUCAUGAUAUGAACUAUUUAAUAACCCCUUUAUUCAUUUUCUUUGUCGGCGGGCAGGGCUUGGGCAAGGUUCAUCAGCGUCACGGAAGGCGAAUGGAAAGAAAAGCUUAAAUGGGGAAGACCCAAGGUAAGUAAUUACGUAGUACUAGCUAGCUAGCUAGCUGCCAUCUCUUUAAUUAUCAUGCUUGAUUAAUUAUUAUCUGAUCAAAUUCCAUUCUCGUAAAGGCCCUGAAGCAGGCGCAGGGGAUUGAUCUGUGUGCAUUCUACGUUUGCGAGAACAUUCGCAUGAUGGCGUCCGAAAGGAGCAGAUCUCAAAGACAGGAAUGGGUAUGCUUGUCAAAACACUAUUCACAAUUUUUACACCAUUAUCGAUAUCUAGUGACACAACUAAUACACAUGCAUAUUGAUCUCCUUCUUAACAGUUCAGAGAGGUGCGGGAGAAGCUCCUAGAAACGGAGCACGUAGAAGCACUUCAAGAGGAAAUAGCGGGAUUUUUGCUCGACCAGGUCAUAAAUCCGAAGGGAGAAUACUAUUACCCGCUACCGCCCCCAUGAAAACCACUUCCAAUUGUCAUCGUGCUCCGAAGGCACCAAUUAGGCUCCACUAGCUCCGAAGGCAACAUGCAUAUGUAGGAGAAAUUGUAUAUAGCUAUACAUGUGUGUAUGUGUGAAUUAAUUAAUAUGAUGGUUUGUGAGACAUUGAUGAUAUAUAUAUGCAUGAUUGGUUCUACUAGAAAUUCUAUAUAUAUAUAUAUAUAUAUAUAUAUAUAUAUAUGCAUAACAUGUACAAUGUGUAGUAUCGUAAAAUACCAGCAAACGAAAAAGAAUUAAAAUGGAAACACAAAAUUAAAUGAUAAAGAAAUCAUAAAACUAAAAAAAACCCAAACCUUAUAGUACCGGUUGGUCUUACCAACCGAUACUAAAGGGCUCCAGGCCCCUGGAGCUGGCUCGUGCCACGUGGUUUCCCUUUAGCACCGGUUCGUGCUGAACCGGUACUAAAGGGGGGGGGGGCCUUGAGUGCCCACACUUUAGUGCCGGUUAUGGAACCGGCACUAAAGGGCCUUACGAACCGGUCCUAUUGCCCGGUUCUGCACUAGUGUAUGUUGUCAAUGAGAACUAUGUAUGAACUUUAUUUAUUUAUUUUUUCCGUAAUAACAUUUGAUCACUACUAUACUUUGGUUUUAAUAUGAUGGUGAACUUCUAUUAAUUUGGUCACUUCCCUAUACAUGAUGUUCUGUAAUGGUUUUUGACACACUUAAUUAUAUAUAAUGCAUGUAGAUGAACCGGCAAUGGAUGUACGGUGAAAGAUGCACCUCCGAGUACAUUAAGGGCAUGUAUAAUUUUCUCGAAGUGGCUGAGGCAAACAAGAAGAAUGGUUUUAUGUUUUCUCCAUGCCCUAUCUGUGGGAAUACAAAGUCUUACUCUGACUCGAAAACCCUUCACAUCCACCUGCUUGACAAGGAUUUCAUGCCACACUAUAAUGUUUGGACCAAGCACGGAGAAAGAGGGGUUAUGAUGGAAGACAACAAAGAAGAAGAGGAUGAUGAAAACUAUCGUCCCCCUGAAUACGGUGAUGCUGCAAUGGAGGAAGAUGAAGAUCAAGAGGAACUAGAAGAUGUGCCCAAUGAUGAUCUUCAUGGGGUCUUUGUUGAUGCAAAGAGACAAUGCCAAACUGAAAGGGAGAAGUUAAAGUUUGAUCGCAUGUUAGAGGAUCACAAAAAAGGGUUGUACCCAAAUUACAAAAAUGGCAACACAAAGCUCGGUAUCACACUGGAAUUGCUGCAAUGGAAGGCAGACAAUGGUGUAUCUGACAACGGGUUUGAGAAGCUACUAAAAAUAUUGAAGAAUAAGCUUCCUAAGGAUAACGAAUUGCCCGACAGUACGUACAGAGCAAAGAAGGUUCUAUGCCCUCUAGCAUUGGAGAUGCAGAAGAUACAUGCAUGCCCUAAUGACUGCAUCCUCUACCGCAAUGUGUACAAGGAUUUGAACACAUGCCCAGUAGGCGAUGCAUUGCGGUAUAAGAUCAGAUGAGAUGACCCUGGUGAUGUUGAGGGCGAGCGCCCCAGGAAGAGGAUUCUUGCCACGGUGGUAUGCUCCUAUAAUACCAUGGUUGAAACGUAUGCUUAGAAACAAAUAGCAUGCCAAGUUGAUGCGAUGACACAAACAGGACGGUAAGAAACACGGGAAGUUUAGAGCACCCGCUGACUGGUCGCAGUGGAGAGAAAUCGAGAGAACAUGGGGGGGGGGGACUUUGGAGGUGACGCAAGGAGCGUAUGGUUUGGUUUAAGCGCGGAUGUCAUUAAUCCUUUUGGAGAGCAGAGCAGCAAUCAUAACACCUGGCCCAUGACUCUAUGUAUCUAUAACCUUCCACCUUGGUUGUGCAUGGAGUGGAAGUUCAUUAUGAUGCCGUGCUCAUCCAAGGCCCUAAGCAACCCGGCAACAACAUUGAUGUGUACCUAAGGCCAUUAGUUGAAGUACUUUUACAGCUGUGGAAUGGAAAAGGUGUACGUGUGUUGGAUGAGCACGACCAGGAGGAUUUUGACCUACAUGCAUUGCUGUUUGUAACCAUCAAUGAUUGGCCUGCUCUCAGUAACCUUUCAGGACAAACAAACAAGGGAUUCCACGGAUGCACGCACUGUUUAGAUGACACCGAAAGUAUAUAUUUGGACAAAUGCAUGAAAAAUGUCUACAUGGGACAUCAUCGAUUUCUUCUGACCAACCAUCAAUGUAGAAAGAAAGGCAAGCAUUUCAAAGGUGAGGCAGAUCACCGGAAGAAGCCCGCCGUUCGUACUGGUGAUCACAUACUUGAUAUGGUCAUUGAUUUACACGUAAUCUUUGGAAAGGGUCCCAGCGGACUAUAUGUUCCAAAUGAAGCUGAGGGACGUGCACCCAGGUGGAAGAAGAAAUCUAUAUUUUCGGACCUACCCUAUUGGAAAGACCUAGAGAUCCGCUAUGCAAUCGACGUGAUGCAUGUGAUGAAGAAUCUUUGCAUGAACCUGCUAGGCUUCUUGGGCGUGUAUGGGAAGACAAAAGAUACACCAGAGGCACGGGAGGACCAUCAAUGUGUGCAUGAAAAAGAUGGCAUACAUCCAAAGAAGUAUAAAGGGCCUACCAGCUACGCUCUUACCAAAGAUGAGAAGGAAAUCUUUUUUGAAUGCAUGCUCAGUAUGAAGGUCCCGUCUGGCUUCCCGUCGAAUAUAAAGGGAUAAUAAAUAUGGCAAAAAGUUCCAAAACCUAAAGUCUCAUGACUGCCAUGUGAUUAUGACACAACUACUUCCGGUUGCAUUGAGGUGGCUUCUACCGAAAAACGUUUGAUUCGCCAUUGUGAAGCUAUGUGCAUUCCUCAAUGCAAUCUCUCAGAAGGUAAUCGAUCCAAAAAUCCUACCAAGGUUAAGGAGUGAUUUGGUGCAAUGUCUUGUCAGUUUCAAGCUUGUGUUCCCACCAUCCUUCUUCAAUAUCAUGACACACGUCCUAGUUCAUCUAGUCGACGAGAUUGGCAUUCUGGGCCCUAUAUUUCUACACACUAUGUUCCCCUUUGAGAGGUUUAUGGGAGUCUUAAAGAAAUAUGUUUGUAACUGUGCUAGGCCAGAAGCAAGCAUAUCCACGGGUCAUAAAAUAGUGGAGGUCAUUAGGUUUUGUGUUGACUUCAUUCCCGACCUUAAGAAGAUUGGUCUUCCUCAACCGCGGUAUGAGGGAGAUUGACUGGAAAAGGCACGCUAGGAGCGGACUCAAUAAUAUGUAGGGACGGGCAUUCUUGGUCUCAAGCACACUACACAGCUCUACAGGAUUAUACCUUGGUGACCCCAUAUGUCAAUGAACACGAGAAUAUUCUGUGCUCCAAACACCCGGAGCAGUGUGACAACCGGAUUACAUGUGAACACAUCAGGACUUUCGGUAGUUGGUUGCAAACACAUCUCAUGGGUGACAACUCUGUUGUAGAUGAGCUGUACUCGUUGGCUAGAGGACCAUCUUCGACUGUAUUAACUUACAAAGGGUACGAGAUAAAUGGGAAUACGUUUUACACGAUCGCCCAAGAUCAAAAGAGCACCAACAAAAACAGUGGUGUCCGCUUUGAUGCAACAACCAAUAGGGGAAAGGACACAUAUUAUGGUUACAUAGUAGACAUAUGGGAAUUUAACUAUGGACAUGAUUUUAAGGUCCCUUUGUUUCGGUGCAAAUGGGUUAAUCUGUCAGGGGGCCGGGUACAGGUAGACCAAUAGUACGGAAUGACAACAGUGGAUCUCAACAAUCUUGGGUAAACAGACGAACCAUUCGUCCUAGCUAAUGAUGUGGCGCGGGUUUUCUAUGUGAAGUACAUGUCUACUGAACCAAGAAAAAGAAAAGAUAAGGAAGCGAAUACAUCAUACGAUGAGCCAAAGCGCCACAUAGAUCUUUCAGGGAAAAGAGACAUCGUGGGAGUGGAGGGCAAGACAGACAUGUCUAAAGAUUAUGAAAAGUUCCAUGAAAUUCCUCCCUUCAAAGUCAAGGCUGACCCAAACACCCUGUUAAACGAUGAAGAUUAUCCAUGGUUACGGCGCAAUAAGCAAGGGACACACACGAAGAAAAAGUGAAGACUUUCUCUCCACAACUAUUCUGAUGAUUCCUUUGAUCUAGAAUAUCACUCCAGUUACAUGUUAAGAAAUGAAAUGCCUUUUGGAACAGAUGAGUUUUCAUCCGAAACCCUGUACUUUGAAAGAGAUUGCCAUUUUGUACAUGAAGUGCAUCCAGUUUUUUCCGCAACCCUCUCAAUUUUGUAGCACAUGCUAUAUGGCUGAAAUGAUGAUAUCAUGCUAACUUUCAAUCUUUUCAGAGUUCAUUUGUAGUGCUUUCCAAUUUCAGGGUCAUUUAGCUAAAAAAAAUCAGUAAAUGCAUGAAAAAUACAAAAUGAAGUCAGAAAUGGUUGAAAAUUGAUGAUGCGCCUUUUAAUGAUGCAUUUUGAACACACAAAAAGUCUGGAGUUAAAAUAAGUUCAAAAAAAUGAAAUCCCUUUGUAAGAGAUGAGUUUUCGUCUGAAAGCCUAAUACUUCGAAAGAGAUUGUCCAUUUUGUACAUGAAUUGCAUCCAAUUUUUUCCGUAACCGUCUCAACAUUCUAGCACAUUUUUAUGUGGGUGAAAUGAUGAUACCAUGCCUACUUUCAACCUUUCCAGAGUUUAUUUAUAGUGCUUUUCAAUUUCGGGGUAAUUUAGCUCAAAAAAUCAGUAAAUGCAUGAAAAAUACCAAAUAAAGUUAGAAACGGUUGAAAAUUGUUGAUGUUCCUUUGAACGGUGCAUUUUGGACACAUAAAAAAUAUGGGGUUAAAAUAAGUUUGAAAUCCCCCUCCUCACGCCUCGAGUCACCUCGCCACCCCAUCACCCAUCUUGUGCCCGCGUCCGCGUAGCGCCAUCUCUGCUGCCCCCACGCACCUCCGAUGACCUCCUGAGGCAGGGCCAAGUACCACUACCAUCGCGUUUCAUUUCUACAUCGUCAAGGCCGAGAGGACGCCAAGUACCAGGACGUCAGGACCCGUCAAGUUCAUCUACGUGCAUGUACGACUAUCUUCGCCAUAGACUCGUGUACGAUUACGCAAUGAACUAUGGAGUUACACGAGCUACCAGUAUCGCGACGACCCUGGAUACUGUAUUCUAUCAAGUUCCUCUACAAUAUGUGUACCACUACUUCCACAACAUGUCGUGUAUGACUACCGUCGCUCGGAUUCGACAAGACAAUGUGUACCACUAUCGUCGCCAAGUUCGACUGCCGCACGGUUAUGCCUAGUUCAUCUACGAAACAUGUACAACUACUUCCACUACCGUCGCGAGAACAACUACUUCCACUAUGGCCCGUGUACCACUACUUCCCUCGAUGAACUCGAACCGCUCCGAAAAAGCACACUACAAAGGUAUAACCACGAGACGAUCACGCGUGGACCGAAUGCACGUGUGUUUUAUCAGGUGCUCGUGUUUGCACCAUGUUUGAGUUGAUCCUUCCACGUUCCUACUCGUUUGCCAUGUCGUCGACCCAUGGGAACCCGGUAAUCCAGGAUCACCCCGCCAUCUUUUGCAUGCUCACGCCCACACUUUCUUUUGCACCGGUAUCUCAACGAGUUGCCGGAUCAUCAGAAUGUUGCCGUGGCACCAUUUCCAUUGUCAUUGCCGCGGCACCCCUUUUGUUCCGCCAUGGUGACAAAUGCUUCAUAUCUUAUAUUAUGUCAACAUUUUCAUAAAAAUUGCAUAAAACUUGUAUAUGUCAUCCACGUCAUGAUAACAACAUUUAAAAUGUUUAAAAUUGUUCUUGCAUUAAAUUGCUAAAUAACAUAUGGGGAUUUUCCAGAAUUGUUGUUUGUUGUUUCCGGCAUCAUUUAAACUUUCCUAAAUAGGUGGUUUGCUCAUGUUUCACCUCUUGCCAUGUUAACCAACAUUUAAACUUUUCUUGUUCAUAAACGAGAGCGAACUAAAUAAUUGGAUGUGGUGUUUCAUCAAUAUGCAACUCGUUGUAUAUUGAGCUCCACUUAAAUUGUUGUGUUGUUUGUGCACUUUGCCAUGUCAUGCAUAUUUAAACCGGACAUGCAUCAUACUUGAAUGUGCAUCAUGCCAUGUUAUGUGAUGAUUGUUUACCAUGUUGUUUGCUUCUUUCCGGUGUUGUUUCUUAGUUCCGAUAACGUUGCGGAUUGUGAGUAUUCGUUCGACUACGUCCGUUUGUCUUCUUCUUGGACUCGUUCUUCUUUCUUGCGGGAUCUCAGGCAAGAUGACCAUUGCCCUCGAUAUCACUUCUAUCUUUGCUUGCUAGUUCCUUCUUUGUAUCGCUAUGUUGGUUGAAGUUUUCAUGAGCAUAAAACAAUUGCAAGUCCCAGGUUGCUGCAAGCAUGACAACCUGACACUUGGGGGCUACAGGUGAUAUGCAUAUAAGGGAGGAAUAACUUCAAAUUCUCAGUUUUGAGAAAAUCAGGUAUUAUAUUAUUAUCAGAGAAAUCUGCAAAGUUUAUGACCCGGUGUCAUCAUAAGAUUAACCCGGCAUCAGCAACAAUUACAUGACCCGGCAUCAUUUAUUUAUAACCCGACAAAUUUGGUAAUCAUAAGUCGGCAAGAUUUACAUCUCUAAGCCGUCUGAAUAUCAAUUCAAUAUUUCAAAGACCGAUAUUUUUGUCAAGUCAGAGCAUUGAAGGCCGACUCAAAUGGAUCAUUAGAUAAUUUGAGCCCAUUACGACGAUAAAUUAUGCACAGGACCAAAACCGAUCACACAAAGGUAUGGCAUACAGGGAAUACCGUUGCACAUCCAGCAUAUAUUAUAGGAAAUUACAUCCACUGGGCAAUCAAAGAUUGAUGCCAGUGCAAAUAAAUGAGCAGAACCUAACCAUCUACAACAUCACAAUCUACAACCUCAGCACAGAUGACGCCCAUAAGCAUGUGGGCAAGUUCUUUCUGCUUUGCGACACUGUCUCUGAAAACAUUGAUCAGUUGUUGUGUUGCACGAUUCUGCACCUCUGAUCCAUCCACCAUUUCCAUCAUUGCUUCAGCCAUUAAUUGGUUCACAAACAUACAUUUAUUCCGUUGCAUUCGAGACAGAGGAUACUGAACAGAUUUAGAUGGCGAUUUUGGCAGGCUUGUAUUAUUGAUAGUGGAGAGUGUCUCGACCACUGCAUCAUAACAUAAAUUAGGACGGGAACCAAACAAAUUAAUCAUGAGUUAUUGCCAUAUUACCUGGCCUAGAUUUACUGGAAAGAAACAAUGGGGUUGCCUUACUGUUUUCAGAGUUUGUCUUCUUAUCUUCAGCAGCCUACACAAAAUUAACACACUAGCAUUGCUAUCAUUGGCCAAGUCAGAUAAUAGGAAAGCAACAUUGACACAACGAACGUUUGGGCAAGUAGCCUACACCAAAUUAACACAAUAUGGCACAGCUAUCAUCAGCCAGGUAAGGUAGUACGAAAGCAACAUUGACACAAUGAAUGAAUGGGCAACCAGAGAAGCACUACAAUUCAGUAAUGUGCGUGAUAUGAGAUAGUACAUUCAUGCAGCUCAGUAUGGAAAACUACCAGGCAGUUUUCCUUACAAAAAUCAACAUUGGCGCCUUUAACAUUUUGCUACAACUAAUUUUAGAACAGAUAAAGGUUAGAUUCACGCCGAUUAACAAAAUACAUUGUCACAUCCCUAGCUUCUGGCAUUGCUCUAGCCUAGCUUCAUGUGUGCAUCAUGUCUAUAUUUUUGAAACUUGAAUUGAGGAAUAUUGGAAGCCUCAAAACCCUAAAUAAAAGAGGGGCAAAAACCCUAGAAAUCUCAUUCAUUGCUCCAAAAGGCUCUUCUUAAAUGUUUGAUAAUUUUUGGUAAGGGUUCUGGUCCCAACCAAAAUAUUGAACAUUUUUAAGGAUUUAUUUUUGGGACUUUGAAUUUAAAUCAUUAGCUAUUUGAAUUUGAAUUAUAUUCAUAUAAUUAGAAUAUAAUUUUAAAUACCCCUGAAAUAUUUUAUGAGCUUUUGGAAAAGUCCAUCUAGCCAAAUAAAAUUAUCCAGAGGAGUUUUUGGCAUUGUUUGAAUUUGUUUAAAAUUCAAAACAGUGGCAAAACGAAAUUAAAUAAAACAAAACAGAAGAAAAAAAUAAAAGAGAGAGAGAGAAGGACUUACCUGGCCUCACCCGUGCAGCCCACCAGAACCGGCCCAGCCGGCCCAGCCCGCCACCGCUACUCCCCCCCCCCUGUCGUCUUCCUCUUGCCAGUGGGAGCAGCUGCGUGCUCGCACGCGCGCGGCCGAGGAGGCCACCUCCUCCCUGCCUNNNNNNNNNNNNNNNNNNNNNNNNNNNNNNNNNNNNNNNNNNNNNNNNNNNNNNNNNNNNNNNNNNNNNNNNNNNNNNNNNNNNNNNNNNNNNNNNNNNNNNNNNNNNNNNNNNNNNNNNNNNNNNNNNNNNNNNNNNNNNNNNNNNNNNNNNNNNNNNNNNNNNNNNNNNNNNNNNNNNNUGCGUGCUCGCACGCGCGCGGCCGAGGAGGCCACCUCCUCCCUACCUGGCUGCCUCCUCCUUCCCUGGUCCCUCCCGCGACGCCACGCAGCCCCGACCCCCUCUCACUUCUCCCUCGCUCUCUGGACCUCCCUCCCCCUCGCUCCUCUGUUUCCCCUCCCGCGACCGAACGGAGCCGCCGCCACCGACGAGAGCCACCGUGGCUACAGGCCACCCCACGGCUCACCGACGCCCCAGGAAGCUCCGCCGGUCCUCCCUCUACCUCCUCAAUGAGCCACGAGGCCCCGGACGUGCCACAACACCACCCUCGAUGCCUUCUUCAACCUCGGGACCGCCGGCCAUCUUCGUCAAAUUCGCCGGCUCCGGACCGUCCCCGACCUUGCCGAGCGUCCCCUCGUCAUCGCCGUGAGUCAAUGACCCUCUCCACUAACUCAGCAUGCUCCCCUCCGUGCCGUAGCGCCGUUCCCCACGAGCACCGAAGCCACCGUCCGCCAUUGCUGCUGCACGCAUAGCCUCCGUGCUCCCCUGGCCUCACUGAGCUGCUCUUAGUGCUCCCCAUGUCUAGCAGGUGCUGCCCAGCCUCUCCAUUUGCUCACUGAUGCACCGUAGCGACGCGCCCGAGCACCACCGAACACCAUCGCCGCCAAAGCUCGUCGCCGACAUGAGUUCCGGCGACCCCAUGACCUCCCACUCGGUCCUCUGGAUGCGCGGGAGCAAGGGCCAUCCCCUGGUGCCCUCAGCGCGCCAAACUGACGCCUCUAGCGCAAGUCCGGCGUGCCCCACCGUGUUCUGUGGUCGCCGUCGGCUGGUCUCCGGCGUGCUGACGUGGCGUCGUCGUUAGGGGCUAAUGAUCCUGCUAACUAACCCUGUGACACUGACAGCGGGCCCCGUAGCGGGUCAAAGCCCGAGUCAACGCGGGAUUAGCCCCUGUGUCACUGACGUGUGGACCCCACACGUCAGGUUUGACCCGAGCCGGCCCCUGUUGACUUGCUGACGUCAUGCCAACGUCAUGCUGACGCAGUAAUGUUUUCUGGAUUUAAUUUAAUUCUGAAAUUCCAGAAAAUGAAUAUAAACUUCUAAAAUUCAUAGAAAAUUAACCGUAACUCCAAAUUAAAUAAUUUAUAUAUGAAAAAUUAUCAGAAAAAUUCAAGGAAUCCAUCUGUACCAUUUUCAUGCAUGUUAGAACAACUUAUAGCUGCUGUUUAGCACAAAUCAAAUAAAGGGCAUUUAAAUAAUCACAUAUGGAGUUUGAAUUUGAAUCUUGUAUUCAAACCAACUUCAUUUAAUCUGUUGCUAGUUGCAUUGGCUCAAAACACAUUCAUUUUGCCAUGUUAUGAUCAUGCAUCAUAUUGUGCAUUGCAUUGAUUGUGUUCCCUUCUGUGUUGCCGGUAUUUGUCCCCUCUCGAUAGACGUGAUACCGAUGAUGUGAUCGUUGACACUGAUGAAGACUCAAUGUUAUCUUCAAAAGUGCCAGGCAAGCAAAACCCCCUUGUUCAUUCCGAUACAAUCCUACUCUCUCGCUCCUGCUCUCUUUUACUGCAUUAGGACAACACCGAUUCAUCUGUUACUUGCUGCGGUAGCUGAACCCCUUUGUCCUUUGCAUGACCUGUCAUUGCCACAGUAAAUAGAUGAAACCCACUAGCAUGAGUAGGAGUUGUUUGAGCCCUGAUGUGCCUACUCAUUCAUGUUUGUUUGUCAUGCCUGCUAUUGCUUAGAGUUGAGUCAGGUCUGAUUCAUCGGGGAUGAAUCAGAGGCGUGUGAACAUGUCCUACUGUGUGUGAGCUAAGUGUGUGAACACGAUUUGGUAAAGGUAGCGGUGAGAGGCCAUGUAGGAGUACAUGGUGGGUUGUCUCAUUGCAGCCGUCCUCAGGAACUGAGUUCUGUGUUUGUGAUCCAUGAUUCAGCUACUACCACGCAUUGGGCCCGAAACCAAUGGACCCUCUCGGCUUCUUGACCACCCUUGUCCUCUGUCCAGGAGUUGCAAGUAGUUUCUGGUGUUUGUAGUAUGCCGGAGGCCGUGCGCAGCGCUGACCGUAGGGGUGGGCUGUGAUGCGGUAGGCACGUGGCCGGGUAAACCGGGCGCCCGUUUGGUGUCACGGAACCCUGUACACAUCGUUUGGGGCUGUGAGCGAAACUCCGGCCGGAUCUCCUCAUGGAUGGAACCCGAAUAGGCGAUAAACCUGGACUAGAGACUUGAGUGUUUAGGUAGGCCGUGGCCGACACCCACGUUGGGCUUCCGCUUGAAGGUUGCCGAGUACAUGUCGUGUAAACGGCGGUAAGUGGUGAAAGCGUGUGUGAAGAAGUACACCCCUGCAGGGUUAACAUCAUCUAUUCGAAUAGCCGUGUCCGCGGUAAAGGACUGCUGGGUUGCUUAUAUCAGUUCAUAGACAAGUGAAAGUGGAUACUCUAAAAUACGCAAGAUAAGCGUGAGUGCUAUGGAUGGCGUUCUCGUAGGGAGACGGGAGCGGAUCCAUAGUGGUGUAUUGAUAUGGUGAAUAUGUGGACUCGUGUGCGCCACCUCAAAAGAGUUACAUUGCAGUCGUAGUUCAGGAUAGCCACCGAGUCAAAGCUGGCUUGCUGCAGUUAAACCCCACCAUCCCCUUUGUUGAUAAUGAUGCAUAUGUAGAUAGUUCUGAUGUAAGUCUUGCUGGGUACAUUUGUACUCACGUUUGCCUAUUUUAUGUUUUUGCAGAGAGACUUCAGUCUCACUAGUAUUUCCGCGUGGUCUUCGACGUUUAGCUUGAUACCUCAGCUACGAUCUUGUGCCCUCGGCAGGAUCUGAUAGAUAGUCAGGCUUCUCAGCCUUUUUCAUUUAUAGAUGUCUGUACUCAGACAUGAUAGCUUCCGCUUGUGCUUUGACUUGUAUGCUCUGAGUGUUGGGUCAUGAGACCCAUGUUUGUAAUAUCUCGCUCCUCGGAGCCUAUUGAAUAAACUACUUGAGUCGUAGAGUCAUUUUGUGAUGCCAUGUUGUAAUGCACAUAUCGAGCAUAUUGUGUGUAUGUUAUUGAAAUGCUUGGUAUGUGUGGGAUCUGACCAUCUAGUUGUUUAUCUUUAGUAGCCUCUCUUACGGGGAAAUGUCUCCUAGUGUUUCCACCGAGCCAUGGUAGCUUGCUACUGCUCCGGAACACUUAGGCUGGCCGGCAUGUGUCCUUCUUCGUUCCUGUGUCUGUCCCUUCGGGGAAAUGUCACGCGGUGAAUACCGGAGUCCUGUUAGCCCGCUACAGCCCGGUUCACCGGAGUCCUGCUAGCCCAGUGCUACAGCCUGGAUUCACUCGCUGAUGACCGACACGUUCGAUGCUGGGUCAUGGAUGCCUGUCCCUGUAAGUCUGUGCCGCUUUGGGUUUACGACUAGCCAUGUCAGCCUGGGCUCCUUAUCAUAUGGAUGCUAGCGACACUGUCAUAUACGUGUGCCAAAAGGCGCAAACGGUCCCGGGCAAAGGUAAGGCGACACCCGUGGGAAUACCGUGCGUGAGGCCGCAAAGUGAUAUGAGGUGUUACAUGCUAGAUCGAUGUGGCAUUGAGUCGGGGUCUUGACAGCGUUGCUAUCAGAGCUUGACUGCCUGUAGGAUUACCAAGCCAAAUUGGUCGAAGUUGAGUUUAGAAAUUCUUUAGUUAUAUAAGGGAAUUGAUUGUGGGAUGGAACGUAAGGCUCUUUUUACUCCUUAUACCUCAUGCCCUUCUGAUAUGAGUCAUCUUAUCUUUCCUGUGGGGAUUAAGAACUAGGCUAUCUCUUCUUUCUAUUAGGAUCACGUGUUACUAAUCAGUAGACUUAUAAGAUUGUUGGAUUUAAGUCUCAGUUCAGUUCCUACUACUUCCGUAUGUUAAUUGUUGAUCUCGGAACCUUGAUAUUGUGCUUCUGAGUGGUUAUGCCACCAUUUUUGUGAUUGUCUCAAAUCUUUUUGAGCAAUUAUAGCCGUUAUGCUGUCCGAGUCAUCCCAGGUUUCUAAAUAGUCCGAUGCAUUUGCAAAUCCCUUCCUUCUGUUUCCGAUGUUCCCAUGGGCCAGAUUAACCACACUAAUCGGUGUGUUGAGGUAGUUAUUGCCUCGACAUAUAUGUUGGAAUUAUUAUUAUGACCCUAAGUGCUUAGGGGAUCAUCUAGUGGUCUAGCCAUGAUUUGUGUCCUAGUGUGAAGAUUCUGGCCUUUAUUCUCGGAAGCAUCCCGUGAUGCUACUUAGUAGUAGGUAUUCUACUCCUGGGUUCUGAACCCGAGAUUCACUCUACCUACUUCAUGUUGAUAGUAAUUGCUAGUGCCUUUAGGAUAUUAGUAACCUUUGCGAUAGUCCUUGAAGUCCGUGGUAUCUUCUUCUUCCAAAUACCAUGAACUACUUAUGGUAGAUGUUUAUUGGAUCAAAAAAAUCACAAUUAGAGUACUCUUGAGGAGUUCUCCAUUCAUAAAUCGUGACUCUGCCAGUUCUACCUUUAUGCAUGGGUUAUCCGGAAGAAAUAUGUUGAACUUGGUUCGACAUACUAAUCUAUGCAUCCACAACUCAGAAAGUUAUAUGUUCCUUUGAGUUGUUCUCUUUAGUUGCAUUCUGACCCUCGUCUAUCAAUUGAUAGUCAAGAGUAUGCGUGCGUUCGUUCAUCGAUGCCUAUGACUCUUGUGGUCUGUCAAGCCAUUCUAUUCCGGAAUGACUAGGAGAAACAAACUCCAGUACCUCUUCCAUAUCUAGGAUUGGGUCAAAGUAGUUGUAUUCCGCAGAUCAAAUGCCAAUCCAGCUUUUGGUUCUGCUCUACCUUGGAGUAUUACAUAUUUUAUAUCGAGAUUGUUAUAGGAAUUGCACACCAUCCCAUGAACUCUUGGUACAGUGAUACUUCUUGCCAUCACUGUUCAUUCCUCGGCCCUCGUGUUGAUGCAACCGGAAUACCGACAAAUGAAUUGUGAUGUGUGAAAUCAAUACUGCUAGCAACUCUGUUGCUUGGUAGUUAAAGGAUAAUAAUUUCAUUCUUAGUAUGUUGGUUUUCGAAUCAUCCUUCUAAGACUGAUCGUGCUACCUAGUCCUUAUUUCGGUGCACCCUUCGAUUGGUGAGUUAGGAUCUUGUCAAGUCCUCACUCAUUUGAUCAUAUCGUCUUGCCCUCAAAAGCAAGAUUGUUCUCGAGCUUAGUAACAUACCGGUGGUUCGUGACUUUCCAAAUAUCUUCUUGGAGGUGUUACCAGGUUGUCACCUGACCGCUAUGUUGAGUUCGUGAUCAAGUUGGUUUCUUGUGAACCACCUUCUCUCCAAGAAUCGGUGUUAGAUAUCCCUGAGCUAGUUGGUUAAGCUAGACAACAACUUGGAGAGUUGGAAGAUAAAAGCUUGUCUGACUUAGUUCGUUCCAAAGGGAUAUUCUUGUGUAGUGUGUGUUGAAGAAAGAUGAUAUCUUCAUCGAUUGGUCCUUGUGAUCAGUUGCUGGACCUAUUGUCUUAUCAAUCCUUUGAUUUGAGUGUGGGCUAUCGUCAAAUCAAAUCAGUACCAACGAUGCUCGUAAUGUUGUCUUAUUCGUGGUUGAUCCCUCGAGCAUACACCAUUAUAUCUUUUAGGUCUGACCAAUGCUAUCACUUGUUCACUUAACUAUGGAUUUCCUUUUAAAAGGAAACCCAGAUGAAUUGUUGUUGUGCCCAUUGACAACAUCCUUGUCUCCAUAAUUUUGCUGAACAUUAAGCUAGUGUUGGAAACUUUUGAAAGCAUUUGUUCAUGCUAGCUCAUGAAGCAUAUGUUUGGAUGAAGGUAGUGACUUCCUUUAAUUCAUGUGCAUCUGAUGCAAGUUGCCGCCGUGGAUUCGAGAAAGUCAAUGUUGCUUUCUUUGGAAUCAUUCCAAAUCAGUCAUGCACACGUGCGAAGAAUGCUGUGGUUUGAAGACUUGCAACCUUCAAUCUAUAUGUAUCCCUAGCACACCAAGCCACUGAUUGAUUUGUUCAAGGAGAAGGAGUUCCUUCAUAAGAGCUAAUCCGGACUUAUGAAAGAACUUCGAUACCCUCGUUGAUGGUUCCCCCUCCUGAACUCGGUAGUGUUUUAUUAUAAGACUACCACGUGGUCAUGCUUGUCUGGGACAACGUGUUCACAUGUUUGUAGCAGAACCAGCUCAUGUUUUGGAGCUUGCUAUCGUAGUUCAUCUCCCGAGAAUCCCGCAACGUCAUCUCAUCGAUUUGUGUUGCAAACUUUCAUUUUUCUUCCUAAGACUCGAUGAGCCUGGAAUAUCCUAACACCAACCAGAGCUGAAUCUCAGGCAGAUAUGAUGGUUGGAACAUUUCCCUAAGAACUAUAAUAUUGGUCUCUCGAUAACCGGUAAGGUGGAUGUCGUGGCCAACACACCCAUCCGGUAGACCUAUUAUUAUAGUAUCUUGUUUGAGGAAGUUGGCCACCCCCCCCUAGGGAUUUCGUAGGAUUUACUCCCUAGUUGCCCCUAUGGAUUUUUAUGUUCCCGAAGUCCGACCUUUUACUUGAUGUUUUAGAUAUCAAACCAUAUCUAUGAAUGGGUUAUACUAGCACAUCAAGGAGAACAUUAGAAGCGGAGUGCUAAAUGUCUCUCGGUCGAUCAUCCAGAUUUUAUUUGCUUGGCCUCGCUAAGGUGAAAUCUGAGAAAGUGUUAUCCUCCUUCGCAUCUGCAUCGUCCAUCGCUAUUCAUCAUGGUAGUAUGUUGUGUUGUCAGCACCCUUGACGCGGUUGUUGAUAAAACCUUGAUGAUUGUGCAAAUGCUCAAGUUCUUGAGAGCACGCACAAGCGCUACGUCUUAUCAUCGGCACUAGCUGGGAUUGCCCCAGAUUUCCUCGGUUAUGCUAUAACCACUCCAACAGUGAAUUCACUCGCUAUUGUUGGGUUCUUCCCCAGUUACCAGAAUCAUUCCCAGCAUUUGCAUUUUGUUCCCAGCUUGCACCGCCAAUGUGCCAUUCUACCAUGGGUCUCUUCCAUUUCCGGUGAUAAGCAAAAUUCAUCCAUUACGUUGUCUUCAACAAGGUAAUCCACAUCAUCCAAGUUUGAGUAUGCCAUUCUACCGAACCCCUCUAAAUGAUCGAUUAUGAUUUGCCUUAAGCUGGUAUAAAGAGUUUCAAUGAUCUCUGAAUCAAAGGUAAUUCUUUUGCCACUUAAGGGGAGAUAUCUAUGAGUCACGGUUCCGAAGGUGUCUCGUUGUGGUAUCAUGGCAACUCAACUCCUCGCUACGUUGACAACCGAUUACCACCUUCUUAAGUGUGGAAUUGUUGUCCACCUAGUGAACCUUCGUCAUCCGUUUCUUUCCACCCCUCUUGAUGUGUAUCUCGUGUCUCAACCCGAGAGAUGGUCCUAUGUCUCAUUCCGUGAGUUGUUCGAUCUUCAAGAAGAUCGACCCUUCUAGAGUCUCCUUCUUCCCUCCAUGUCAUGUUGGCAGGAUUUCUCAAAACAAGACAUCAAGACAAUGAUGGUGAAUGAAUCAACGUUCAACUGAAGUGCACCCUGGAUCAUGAAGAUUGUACUAGUUUGCGUUUCCCCUUCAUCCUACCCUACGCUUGAAUCUCGAGACGAGAUUCUUGUUUAGUGGGGGUGAGUUGUCACAUCCCUAGCUUCUGGCAUUGCUCUAGCCUAGCUUCAUGUGUGCAUCAUGUCUAUAUUUUUGAAACUUGAAUUGAGGAAUAUUGGAAGCCUCAAAACCCUAAAUAAAAGAGGGGCAAAAACCCUAGAAAUCUCAUUCAUUGCUCCAAAAGGCUCUUCUUAAAUGUUUGAUAAUUUUUGGUAAGGGUUCUGGUCCCAACCAAAAUAUUGAACAUUUUUAAGGAUUUAUUUUUGGGACUUUGAAUUUAAAUCAUUAGCUAUUUGAAUUUGAAUUAUAUUCAUAUAAUUAGAAUAUUUUAAAUACCCCUGAAAUAUUUUAUGAGCUUUUGGAAAAGUCCAUCUAGCCAAAUAAAAUUAUUCAGAGGAGUUUUUGGCAUUGUUUGAAUUUGUUUAAAAUUCAAAACAGUGGCAAAACGAAAUUAAAUAAAACAAAACAGAAGAAAAAAAUAAAAGAAAGAGAGAGAAGGACUUACUUGGCCUCACCCGUGCAGCCCACCAGAACCGGCCCAGCCGGCCCAGCCCGCCACCGCUACUCCCCCCCCCCUGUCGUCUUCCUCUUGCCAGUGGGAGCAGCUGCGUGCUCGCACGCGCGCGGCCGAGGAGGCCACCUCCUCCCUGCCUGGCUGCCUCCUCCUUCCCUGGUCCCUCCCGCGACGCCACGCAGCCCCGACCCCCUCUCACUUCUCCCUCGCUCUCUGGACCUCCCUCCCCCUCGCUCCUCUGUUUCCCCUCCCGCGACCGAACGGAGCCGCCGCCACCGACGAGAGCCACCGUGGCUACCGGCCACCCCACGGCUCACCGACGCCCCAGGAAGCUCCGUCGGUCCUCCCUCUACCUCCUCAACGAGCCACGAGGCCCCGGACGUGCCACAACACCGCCCUCGAUGCCUUCUUCAACCUCGGGACCGCCGGCCAUCUUCGUCAAAUUCGCCGGCUCCGGACCGUCCCCGACCUCGCCGAGCGUCCCCUCGUCAUCGCCGUGAGUCACUGACCCUCUCCCCUAACUCAGCAUGCUCCCCUCCGUGCCGUAGCGCCGUUCCCCACGAGCACCGAAGCCACCGUCCGCCAUUGCUGCUGCACGCAUAGCCUCCGUGCUCCCCUGGCCUCACUGAGCUGCUCUUAGUGCUCCCCAUGUCUAGCAGGUGCUGCCCAGCCUCUCCAUUUUCUCACUGAUGCACCGUAGCGACGCGCCCGAGCACCACCGAACACCAUCGCCGCCAAAGCUCGUCGCCGGCAUGAGUUCCGGCGACCCCACGACCUCCCACUCGGUCCUCUAGAUGCGCGGGAGCAAGGGCCAUCCCCUGGUGCCCUCAGCGCGCCAAACUGACGCUUCUAGCGCAAGUCCGGCGUGCCCCGCCGUGUUCUGUGGUCGCCGUCGGCUGGUCUCCGGCGUGCUGACGUGGCGUCGUCGUUAGGGGCUAAUGACCCUGCUAACUAACCCUGUGACACUGACAGCGGGCCCCGUAGCGGGUCAAAGCCCGAGUCAACGCGGGAUUAGCCCCUGUGUCACUGACGUGUGGACCCCACACGUCAGGUUUGACCCGAGCCGGCCCCUGUUGACUUGCUGACGUCAUGCCAACGUCAUGCUGACGCAGUAAUGUUUUCUGGAUUUAAUUUAAUUCUGAAAUUCCAGAAAAUGAAUAUAAACUUCUAAAAUUCAUAGAAAAUUAACCGUAACUCCAAAUUAAAUAAUUUAUAUAUGAAAAAUUAUCAGAAAAAUUCAAGGAAUCCAUUUGUACCAUUUUCAUGCAUGUUAGAACAACUUAUAGCUGCUGUUUAGCACAAAUCAAAUAAAGGGCAUUUAAAUAAUCACAUAUGGAGUUUGAAUUUGAAUCUUGUAUUCAAACCAACUUCAUUUAAUCUGUUGCUAGUUGCAUUGGCUCAAAACACAUUCAUUUUGCCAUGUCAUGAUCAUGCAUCAUAUUGUGCAUUGCAUUGAUUGUGUUCCCUUCUGUGUUGCCGGUAUUUGUCCCCUCUCGAUAGACGUGAUACCGAUGAUGUGAUCGUUGACACUGGUGAAGACUCAAUGUUAUCUUCAAAAGUGCCAGGCAAGCAAAACCCCCUUGUUCAUUCCGAUACAAUCCUACUCUCUCGCUCCUGCUCUCUUUUACUGCAUUAGGACAACACCGAUUCAUCUGUUACUUGCUGCGGUAGCUGAACCCCUUUGUCCUUUGCAUGACCUGUCAUUGCCACAGUAAAUAGAUGAAACCCACUAGCAUGAGUAGGAGUUGUUUGAGCCCUGAUGUGCCUACUCAUUCAUGUUUGUUUGUCAUGCCUGCUAUUGCUUAGAGUUGAGUCAGGUCUGAUUCAUCGGGGAUGAAUCAGAGGCGUGUGAACCUGUCCUACUGUGUGUGAGCUAAGUGUGUGAACACGAUUUGGUAAAGGUAGCGGUGAGAGGCCAUGUAGGAGUACAUGGUGGGUUGUCUCAUUGCAGCCGUCCUCAGGAACUGAGUUCUGUGUUUGUGAUCCAUGAUUCAGCUACUACCACGCAUUGGGCCCGAAACCAAUGGACCCUCUCGGCUUCUUGAUCACCCUUGUCCUCUGUCCAGAAGUUGCAAGUAGUUUCUGGUGUUUGUAGUAUGCUGGAGGCCGUGGGCAGCGCUGACCGUAGGGGUGGGCUGUGAUGUGGUAGGCACGUGGCACGGUGUACCGGGCGCCCGUUUGGUGUCUCGGGAACCCUGUUCACAUCGUUUGGGGCUGUGAGCGAAACUCCGGCCGGAUCUCCUCAUGGAUGGAACCCGAAUAGGCGAUAAACCUGGACUAGAGACUUAGGUGAUUAGGUAGGUCGUGGCCGACACCCACGUUGGGCUUCCGCUUGAAGGUUGCCGAGUACAUGUCGUGUAAACGGCGGUAAGUGGUGAGAACGUGUGUGAAGAAGUACACCCCUGCAGGGUUAACCUAAUCUAUUCGAAUAGCCGUGUCCGCGGAAAAGGACUUCUGGGUUGCUUAUAUCAGUUCAUAGACAAGUGAAACUGGAUACUCUAAAAUACGCAAGAUAAGCGUGAGUGCUAUGGAUGGCGUUCUCGUAGGGAGACGGGAGCGGAUCCAUAGUGGUGUAUUGAUAUGGUGAAUAUGUGGACUCGUGUGCGCCACCUCAAAAAAGUUACUCGCAGUCGUAGUUCAGGAUAGCCACCGAGUCAAAGCUGGCUUGCUGCAGUUAAACCCCACCAUCCCUUUGUUGAUAAUGAUGCAUAUGUAGAUAGUUCUGAUGUAAGUCUUGCUGGGUACAUUUGUACUCACGUUUGCCUAUUUUAUGUUUUUGCAGAGAGACUUCAGUCUCACUAGUAUUUCCGCGUGGUCUUCGACGUUUAGCUUGUUACCUCAGCUACGAUCUUGUGCCUCGGCAGGAUUUGGUAGAUAGUCAGGCUUCUCAACCUUUUUCAUUUAUAGAUGUCUGUACUCAGACAUGAUAGCUUCCGCUUGUGCUUGAUUUGUAUGCUCUGAAUGUUGGGUCAUGAGACCCAUGUUUGUAAUAUCUCGCUCCUCGGAGCCUAUUGAAUAGAUUACUUGAGUCAUAGAGUCAUGUUGUGAUGCCAUGUUGUAUUUGCACAUAUCGAGCAUAUUGUGUGUAUGUUAUUGAAAUGCUUGGUAUGUGUGGGAUCUGACCAUCUAGUUGUUUAUCUCUAGUAGCCUCUCUUACGGGGAAAUGUCUCCUAGUGUUUCCACCGAGCCAUGGUAGCUUGCUACUGCUCCGGAACACUUAGGCUGGCCGGCAUGUGUCCUUCUUCGUUCCUGUGUCUGUCCCUUCGGGGAAAUGUCACGCGGUGAAUACCGGAGUCCUGUUAGCCCGCUACAGCCCGGUUCACCGGAGUCCUGCUAGCCUAGUGCUACAGCCUGGAUUCACUCGCUGAUGACCGACACGUUCGAUGCUGGGUCAUGGAUGCCUGUCCCUGUAAGUCUGUGCCACUUUGGGUUUACGACUAGCCAUGUCAGCCCGGGCUCCUUAUCAUAUGGAUGCUAGCGACACUGUCAUAUACGUGUGCCAAAAGGCGCAAACGGUCCCGGGCAAAGGUAAGGCGACACCCGUGGGAAUACCGUGCGUGAGGCCGCAAAGUGAUAUGGGGUGUUACAUGCUAGAUCGAUGUGGCAUUGAGUCGGGGUCCUGACAGCGUUGGUAUCAGAGCUUGACUGCCUGUAGGAUUACCAAGCCAAACUGGUCGAAGUUGAGUCUAGAAAUUCUUUAGUUAUAUAAGGGAAUUGAUUGUGGGAUGGAACGUAAGGCUCUUUUUACUCCUUAUACCUCAUGGCCUUCUGAUCUGAGUCAUCAUCUUCUCUUCUAUGGGGAUUAAGAACUAGGCUAUCUCUUCUUUCUAUUAGGAUCACGUGUUACUAAUCAGUGGACUUAUAAGAUUGUUGGAUUUAAGUCUCAGUUCAGUUCCUACUACUUCCGUAUGUUAAUUGUUGAUCUCGAAACCUUGAUAUUGUGCUUCUGAGUGGUUAUGCCACCAUUUUUGUGAAUGUCUCAAAUCUUUUCUGAGCAUUUACAGCCGUUAUGCUAUCCGAGUCAUCCCAGGUUUCUAAGUAGUCUGAUGCAUUUGCAAAUCCUUUCUUCCCGUUUCAAUGUUCCCAUGGGCCAGAUUAACCACACUAAUCAGUAAGUUGAGGUACUCCGUUACCUUGACAUAUAUGUUGGAGAUAUUAUUAUGACCCUAGGUGUCUUAGGGGAUCAUCUAGUAAUUUAGCCAUGAUUUGUGUUCCCAGUGUGAUGAUUCUGGCCAUCAUUCUCGAAAGCAUCCCGUGAUGCUACUUAGUAAUAGGUAUUCUGUUCCUGGGUUCUUGAACCCGAGAUUCACUCUACCUACUUCAUGUUGAUAGUAAUUGCUAGUGCCUUUAGGAUAUUAGUAACCUUUGCGAUAGUCCUUGAAGUCCGUGGUAUCUUCUUCUUCCAAAUACCAUGAACUACUUAUGGCAGAAGUUCCUCGUUGAACUGAAAUAUCACAACAGGAUUAUUCUUGAUGAGUUCUCCAUUAUAUAUUGUGGCUCUGCCAGUUCUACCUUUCUGCAUGGGUUAUCCGGAAAAAAUAUGUUGAACUUCGUUCGACAUGCUAAUCCAUGCAUCCACAACUCAGAAAAUCAUAUGUUCUUUUGAGUUGACCCAUCUUAGUUGUUUCCGACCCUCGCCUAUCAAUUGAUAGUCAAGAGUAUGCGUGCAUUCGUUCGUCGAUGCCUAUUACCCUUGUGGUCCGCCAAGCCAUUCUAUUUUAGAAUGAAUAGGAGAAACAAACUCCAGUACCUCAUCCAUAUCUAGGAUUGGGUCAAAGUAGUUGUAUUCCGCAGAUCAAAUGCCAAUCCAGCUUUUGGUUCUGUUCUACCUUGGAGUAUUACCCCCUUUAUGUCAGAAUUGUCAUGAGAACUGCACCAACUUUCAUGAAUUUUGACGUAGUAAUACUUCUCACCAUCAUUAGUCAUUCCUCGGCCAUCGUGUUGAUGCAACCGGAAUACCGACAAAUGAAUUGUGAUGUGUGAAAUCAAUACUCCCAGCAACCUCGUUGCUUGGUAGUUAAGGGACAAUAAUUUCAUUCUUAGCGUGUUGGUUUUUGAAUCAUCCUUCUAAGACUGAUCGUGCUACCUAGUCCUUAUUUCGGUGCACCCUUCGAUUGAUGAGUUAGGAUCUUGUCAAGUCCUCACUCAUUUGAUCAUAUCGUCUUGCCCUCAAAAGCGAGAUUGUUCUCAAGCUUAGUAACAUACCGGUGGUUCGUGAUUUUCCGAAUAUCUUCUUGGAAGUAUUACCAGGUUGUCACCUGACUGCUAUGUUGAGCUCGUGAUCAAGUCGGGUUCUUGUGAACCACCCUUUCUCCAAGAAUCUGUGAUGGAUAUCCCGGAGCUAGUUGGUUAAGCUAGACAACAACGGCGGUAAGUGGUGAGAGCGUGUGUGAAGAAGUAUACCCCUGCAGGGUUAACAUCAUCUAUUCGAAUAGCCGUGUCCGCGGAAAAGGACUUCUGGGUUGCUUAUAUCAGUUCAUAGACAAGUGAAAGUGGAUACUCUAAAAUACGCAAGAUAAGCGUGAGUGCUAUGGAUGGCGUUCUCGUAGGGAGACGGGAGCGGAUCCAUAGUGGUGUAUUGAUAUGGUGAAUAUGUGGACUCGUGUGCGCCACCUCAAAAGAGUUACUCGCAGUCGUAGUUUAGGAUAGCCACCGAGUCAAAGCUGGCUUGCUGCAGUUAAACCCCACCACCCCUUUGUUGAUAAUGAUGCAUAUGUAGUUAGUUCUGAUGUAAGUCUUGCUGGGUACAUUUGUACUCACGUUUGCCUAUUUUAUGUUUUGUGCAGAGAGACUUCAGUCUCACUAGUAGUUCCGCGUGGACUUCGACGUUUAGCUUGUUACCUCAGCUACGAUCUUGUGCCCUCGGCAGGAUCUGAUAAAUAGUCAGGCUUCUCAGCCCUUUUCAUUUAUAGAUGUCUGUACUCAGACAUGAUAGCUUCCGCUUGUGCUUUGACUUGUAUGCUCUGAUUGUUGGGUCAUGAGACCCCUGUUUGUAAUAUCUCGCUCCUCAGAGCCUAUUGAAUAAAUUACUUGAGUCGUAGAGUCAUGUUGUGAUGCCAUGUUGUAUUUGCACAUAUCGAGCAUAUUGUGUGUAUGUUAUUGAAAUGCUUGGUAUGUGUGGGAUCUGACCAUCUAGUUGUUUAUCUUUAGUAGCCUCUCUUACGGGGAAAUGUCUCCUAGUGUUUCCACCGAGCCAUGGUAGCUUGCUACUGCUCCGGAACACUUAGGUUGGCCGGCAUGUGUCCUUCUUCGUUCCUGUGUCUGUCCCUUCGGGGAAAUGUCACGCGGUGAAUACCGGAGUCCUGUUAGCCCGCUACAGCCCGGUUCACCGGAGUCCUGCUAGCCCAGUGCUACAGCCUGGAUUCACUCGCUGAUGACCGACACGUUCGAUGCUGGGUCAUGGAUGCCUGUCCCUGUAAGUCUGUGCCGCUUUGGGUUUACGACUAGCCAUGUCAGCCCGGGCUCCUUAUCAUAUGGAUGCUAGCGACACUGUCAUAUACGUGUGCCAAAAGGCGCAAACGGUCCCGGGCAAAGGUAAGGCGACACCCGUGGGAAUACCGUGCGUGAGGCCGCAAAGUGAUAUGAGGUGUUACAUGCUAGAUCGAUGUGGCAUUGAGUCGGGGUCCUGACAUACAUGUUGAUGUAAAAAUAUAGUGAUAUACAACAGGUACUUACAUCAGCAUUGGAGCAGAGAGAAUUCCCGCAAGAUAUUUUCCUCGAAUACGAUCCUAAUGGAGGAAGUCUUCUAUCGUUUAACCUUAUUUUCUAAAAGAGAGAUGGGUAAGAAACAUGUAGAAAAUAUGAUCAGAAUGCUAUAAAAUUUCAUCAUGCGAGGAUACGCACACGCUUCUUAGAAUGGAGUUGACAUUCUUUUGCUGGACUAGAGCGGACUAGUUCUUUGGCCACUGGAAUCUGCUUAUUAUCAGUGGGUGUUGGGUUUCUCUGUGCUGGAGCAGUAUCUAUGAAAAAUGGAGUUAGUUUAUUAUCUCCUGGCGUUUGGAUCUUUUGCAAAGACCUAGUUUGUAACCCUUCAGAUUCUAACAGAGCCGUCUUCCCCUUGCAUGCCUUAUAUAGAAGAAUGGUGAUUCAGUUAUAAAACAUGCUACAGCAGAGAUGGAAUAGGUACUGAAGAAUAGAAAGGCAUGACAUAUUGACAUGUAUUCCCUGCAUCCGGAAAUAAAUGGACGAUUCUAGGCGUAUUUCAGUUCUAGAUACAUCCAGUUUUAUCCAUUUCUGCGACAUUUAAUCCGGACAGAGGGAGUAUGAUGUAAGAGCUAGGGAUACGAGAGGACAACACAGUAAAAAAACACUGAAAAACCCACUGCAGAACCAAAGUAUUCAAACGCACUCAUGCAGUUCAGGAUGCAAAACUACCAGGCAGUUUUCCUUUAAAAAAUCAACAUUGUGGCCUUUAAUCAUAUAUUUUGCUACAACUAAAUUUAGAUCAGAUAAAGGUUGGAUUCACGCCGACUAACAAAAUACAUGCUGAUGUAAAAAUAUAGUGAUAUACAACAGGUACUUACAUCUACAUUGGAGCACAGAGAAUUCCUGCAAGAAUCUUUCCUCACAAACGAUACCAUUGCAGAAAUUCUUCUAUCUAUUAAGCUUAUUUUCUAAAAGAGAGAUGGGUAAGAAACAUGUAGAAAAUAUGAUCAGCAUGCUAUAAAAUUUUAUGAUGCAAGGAUACGCACACGCUUCUUAGAAUAGAGUUGACAUAUUUUUGCUCGACUGGAACGGACUAGUUCUUUGGCCACUGGAAUCUUCUUAUUAUCAGUAGUUGUUGGGUUUCUCUGUGCUGGAGCAGUAUCUAUAAAAACUGGAGUUGGUUUAUUAUCUCCUGGCGUUUGGAUCUUUUGCAAAGGCCUUGUUUGUAAUCCUUCAGAUUCUAACAUAGUCGUCUUCCCCUUGCAUGCCUUGUAUAGAAGAAUGGUGCUUUAAUUAUAAAACAUGCGACAUCAGAGAUAUGGAAUAGGUACUAGAUACAUCCUAAGGCAUGACAUAUUGACAUGUAUUCCCUCCAUCCGGAAAAAAAUGGAUGGGUCUAGGCAUAUUUCAGUUCUAGAUACAUCCUUUUUUAUCCAUUUCGGCAACAUGUAAUCCGGACGGAGGGAUUAUGGUGUAAGAGCUAGGGAUACGACAGGACAACACAGGAAAAAAAACUAGUUGAAUGUAAAACUAUAUGCUAGCGGAAUACGUACAGAAAUAACCAAGACAACAUACACGUGUAUGAUUGGGAAAAUAAGAUGGCAUUGCAACAGAGCACUAGAACAACACUUUAAUGUAAAAAAACAUGGUAUGGCAGACAGAUGAAAUACAUACUGAUGAAUAACAAUGCAUAAGAUAUUCAGAAGCAUGAUGUCCAAAUUAAGAAGAUGGCAUUGCGAUAGAGUAGAAUGACAGUACUUGAAUUUGAAAACAUGUUAUCAUGAAUGGAAUAGGUACUAAAAAACAGGAAGGCAUGGCAUAUUUACAUGCAUGAUCAGCAUGCUAAGCACAUGGCAUUGCAACAGAGUAGAUACACUCCAGGACAUUAUAUGCAUGUUGUACCCAUAUCACAGGCCAAGUUAGAGCAAGGACCUUGUGGGGUGAAGAAGAUUCAUCAUCUUUCUGCAAGUCUUCUGAAGAACUGCCUUUACAUGUUCCAUCAUAUUGGGUAUCAUUGACAUCAAGUUUAUUGGCCUUUACAUUGCUCCGUGAGGUUCUUGUGGAUAUAUCAUUGUGUGCAAUUAUAUCUGACAUGCAUGGAAGACAACUAGUAGUUAGAUUUAUGUAAAUGAGUGCCUGUAGGAGACGACAUAAAUAGUAGGACUGGGGUUAACUAGCAGCAACAAGUCUCAUAAACUAAAGGGAGAACACAGAUGAAAGCUACAGAAUAUGUAUCGUUUGUACUCACGAUUAACUAGAUGGCACACAAAAGUAUUAAAGAACAACAUAGGUAAUACUAGAAGUGGUAUAAUACUAUAAUCACCAGCCUGUGGGAUAGCAUUGGCUGAUGGAUGAUAACUAUGGAACAGCGUUACCUAAAGAACAAGUAUCUUAGCUAAACUAUAGAACAGCGUGAACUCCUGAACAAGACCCGUAAGAGAUCAACAUGAAUAUACAGUGAAAUGUGAUGAUCUAUUUUCCGUGCUUAGAUGAAUAACAAAGCCAUAAAUGCUGACUUGUCGAUGGCCCUGCAGUUGUUGUGGCUGUCCAUGUCGGGCACGCGCAUUCGAUGCAGGAAACUGUUGAGUGGGGACUGUAGCUCCCUUCUGGUGUAUGCUUCCCUUGUUGGAGCAGCUGCGGUGAGUCGGAAGACGGUGUGUCUGAAGAUGCAGAUAACGCAUAAAGUUAAGAACAUACAUAUCUCUUUGAUCCAAAGAAAUACACUAAGAGAUCAACAGCAAGGUACGAGAGUGGUCACACGUCUGUUGACUGAAGACUAAAUUGGGGUCACACGAUUUUAUUUUAUUUUGGUACUGUCCGAUCUACGCCGGAUGGCUUGAUGGCCAUCUUGUGCCUCCCGGCUGACACUAUUCGGAAUCUUCCCCGAAGAGCCAGCGACCAACGGCAGAGCAGCCUGCCUCCACCGUCCGUGGCCCUGUCCAAAACCCCGCUCCCCGCCCCACUGCACUGCCGUGGUUGUGCCUCCCCCAGGCCAAUCCACGAAGACUCCCCAUCAUCCAGAUCCGGCGGCGGCAGUACCUUCAACCCACGCAACUCGAAAAGGUAGACAUCUAAGCGCUGCUUCCAUGGCGAACUUGCGGCCCGGCACCCUUACGUUAGACACCAGCCAAUCGUCAGCCUAGGAGCUCCACCGCCUCGAGGGGUGCUGCUUCCCAUUGGGAAUCGAUUGGCCCAGAAUAAAAAUUUAGACAACUAACACCUAAAUAAAGUGAUUUCAGAUGAGGGUGUGACCUAUCUAGCGGCAUGGUGAAGUAGGCAGGUCCAGCUGCCGAGUCGGUGAGGCCGGCACGGUUGCGGUGGUAACCGGCGGCAUGGAAAGAGCGAUGUCGUGACGGUCGACGGCUAUGCGGAAGCAGCGCCAGGACUCUGGACAGAUCCGAAGUUGGAGCCACUCCGGCGCCGUGAACAACGGCGGGUGUGAAUCGGCUCCGGUACGGUUCACGCGGACGUCGUCGAGGCAGCACCAGCAGCACGAAGUAAGAGGCACAUGGCCCAGUGCACGACGGCAAUUGGACAGCGUCUCUGGCAUUAGGGAGGAGGGCGGCUGUGAAAUUGGUGCGGUGGGGGGCGCCAUGGAGGUGGGGCUGAGGUUUCGCGGCUCGAGAGAAGGGAGCUUCCCAGGGAGAAGGUGAUUUGGCGCCCACGAGGUAUGAAUGGGGGCGGGCGGGGGGAAUUGGGAGGGGAGUGGAACCAUGUCUUACGGACGCAUUUGUAUGAAAUGUGAGGGGGAGUUAUAGUUCUACCCUUGCCUAUAGGCUUCUCAGCUUGGGUCUAUGUACUGAGGGUCAGGGAUAGUAGAGUAACUUUUCUUCUCCCCAAAUAGUGGGUGGGAGCGAUUUCUAGCGAGGAGGGCGUGUUUUGAACUAUAAUGGGCGCGAGCGAAUUCGGGCGAGGAGAGCGUGUUUUGAAAUAGUGGGCGCGAGCUAUUUCGUGCGAGGAGAGCGUGUUUUGCCGACCAUGGUUUAUGAAUUAGUCGGCACAUGUCAUUUCGGCCGAGGAGAAGGCGCGCUUGGAUGAAGUUACGAACCUACCCUCGAUGUACAACGGGCAAUUGAUGCGUGUCCCACAUAGGACGGUAAUUUCGUGUCUCCCAUUUAUUUGCUUGGGCGAAUUCCACCGAGCAGAGAGGAUGUUUAACUGUUCAUUCAAAUUUUGGGAGAACGAGCAUCCACGUCUACCUUACCAAGUCGAUUCGAAUCAAAUUUUGAAAUAUUAGCUUGCCACUUCUUUUUUAGAUGGAGAGAUGAUGCUCGGGAGUAAUGUGUUUUUACAUGCUCGUUGCUAGCGAUUUACUAUAUGACAAAUAGUUGACCCACUCAAAAACGUGAAUCAAACCCAAAAUGAAAUAUCUCAAUUCAAUGAACUAGCUCGUUUAAUAGGUCAAAAUAGUGAACUAAAUCCAAAAUUGAAAACCUCAAUCGAGUAGCAUGUUGUACAGUAUUAUAGUACUCCAUGAACAUGUUGAAAGUCAAAUUAAUGAACUUGUUUGAUAUACGCAUAUAUCCACUCAUGUGUGGAUAGCAGACAACAUGGUCUCCAAUUUAAAUAUUUGAAUGCAAGUUUAUAUCAGUCUUUGAUGCAUAAAACGCGACCUCCCCCUCUCCCGGACUCCUAUUCUCUCUCUCUCUCUUUCACUCUCUCGCCGGCGAUCUUCAAUUCUGUCGCACGCAUCCGACACAAAAACCUUGUUGGCCCCUCUCCCUUUCUCUCUCUCUCUCUCUCUCUCUCUCUCUCUCUCUCUCUUUGUGUGUGUGUGGGGGGGGGGUCUUUCUAGUCCGCAUUCAUAUAUACACCAUCUAUAGGUCUCUCUCGCACACUAUGUAUGAUACUCUAGCUAGUCAAAGCUAGAUAUCUUGGGUGCACUCAUCGUAUGCACACAAAUUCCUUGUCUCUUUGCCCGUAACUCUCUCACGCACCACUAUGUCAUCUCGGAGCUCUUCCCCCCCCUCUCUCAAACUCUCCAUCCAUUUGGGUCACACAUACACAUGCAUAUCUCACUCGCACUGGAUAGGCCCAUCUAAAAGUCUAUCUCUCUCCAUUGUUCUCUCUCCAUCUCACACGCACACACACACACACAAUCUCAUGCCCAACUAGCCAAGUAUGAUGGUCUCUCACUCAAUUGUAGGCACACACAGUCCCCCGUAUAUGUAUAUGACUAGCUAAUCUUAGUCUCCAUCACAAACAUGUGCAUGGUCUAUCUCGAUUUCUCUCGGGGCAUCUUACUAUCGCGCACGCACUCCCUCGAUCUCCCACCCAUAUAGUCCCCUCACGAUCUCGAGGGGAUCUCUCUAUCACAAACACACCCUCUCUCCCUUCCCAUGCGUCCAUGCCAUCCAUGUGUCCCUCUCGACCUUUUUUCCUUCUUGGCCAGACCUCUAUUGGACAUGUGCUACAGGGGUGUCUCACUCCAUUGCAAACGAUGACACACUAGCUAUCUUCGUGUAUCUCCUCGCCUCGCUUUUCCAUCUCGGAGAUGCAUGCGUGAUAUGUUCGCAUAAGAAACAAAAAAACACACUCUCAAUCUAAUUUAUUGUUUGUUGUCACUUUCUCUUUCACACACAUGCUCUUUUUGCACACUUACUCAUUCUCCUUCACACACACUUGAUCUGUCUCGACUGAGGCACUCACCUCCGUCCAUAGCACAUAGAUUUAUUUAAAAGUCAAACAUAACAAAGUUUGACCAUGUACGUGGAGAAAAAGAAUUACAUCUAGUAUGACAAACAUAUACCAUUAGAUUCACCAUCAGAUGUAGUUUUGUAUGAUGUAUCUUUGGUAUUGUAGAUAUAAAUAACAUUUGCGUGAACCUGAUCAAAGUUUCCAAAUUUGGACUUCUAAAAAAUUUACCUGCACUGCAUUAUCGAGCGGAUGGAAUAUCUCUUUCCCCCUCUCAGCUAUCUGACGCACCACUCAGCCUUAUCGGGGCUCCUCAAUCUCACUCAAACUUUAUUGGUCAGUUUGGUUCAUGACCUGACCCUCAUGCCUUGAUGGUCGGUACUGCCUGGUGUGGACGUCAGAUGUAAAAUAUUUCUGCCUGGCCAGGCUUGUGUGGUGCUGGAGCGUUUGGUUCAUGCCUGGGCCAGGCCAAGCAUCAACGUCCCAUCAAUCAAUCCAUGCAUCAAUUAAUUAAUGCUAAUAUCCAUCCAUGUUGCUGUUAGCCUCGUGGCCGCACGACCAGGCACGACGAGGCAUUCGAAAUCGGUCGCUUGGGCUAGGCUACUUGCAGUGUCUGGAGUUCAUCCAGGAUAAUUAAAGUGCAAGAGGGAACCCAGCCCAGGCGGGCUUUCUUUUUCACAGGGUAGCAACCAAACAAGCGUGCAUGAAAUCUGGGCACAACCCCAGGCCAUGCAAAAGAUUCUCACGACGCAAGCCAAACGGGCCUUUUAUCUCCCUGGUUCACACAUACACAUGUCUCGCUCGCGCUAUACAUAUAGACCCAUCCAACACUCUCCUCCCUUGUUCUCUCUCCAUGUGACACGCAUCCCCCUAAGUACCAUAAUCCCUCACUCCAUCAUAGGCUCUGUUUGGAUCAAUGGGUUAGAGUUAGUUUGGGUUAGUUUGGAGUCAACUAACCAAAAAAGAUCCAAAUAGGAGGGUUAGUUUAGGUUAGAUGCAUCUAACCCAUCCAAAAAAACUAACCCAUCCAAGAGGUGCUUAUUUGGGUUAGUUCUUCUCGGGACCACUAAUAAACACUUUUUUUCUCUCACUCUCCCCGCAGCAGAUCCCUCCCCACUUCCUUGAAGCUUCUCGUCCUCUCCCUCCCUCCCUCUCGCACCGCCCGUGAAGGUGCCUUGCCGUAUCCGCGCUCCAUCUAACCCUGCCAUCCAAACACCUCUUUACUUAGAGUUAGUUCAGGGUUAGAAUCUAACUCUAACCUCUAACUGAGUUACAGUAUCCAAACAGGGCCAUAGGUGCAAGCACUCCCCCCCUCCUAAGUAUGAUUAUCUCUUACUAGCCAUCAGGAACACACAUAUUGUCUCCUUCCAUCCAUACGUCUAUCUCGAUAUCUCUCGAGGCAUCUUCUAUCGCGCACACACCUUGCCACUCGAUCUCCCACCCAUGUAGUCCCAUCACGAUCUCCAGGGAAUCUCUCUAUGACAAACAUACACUCUCUCUUCCCCAUGUCUGCAUUUUCUCCGUACGUCUCUCUCGACCUCUCUCCCUUGUUUGUCAGACCCCUCUUGGCCACGUGCUAGGGGUCUUCCUCUCUCGAUUCCAAACAACCACACACUAUCUCCUCACCUUGCCUCCAUUGUCAAAGAUGCAUGUGUGAUAUGUUUGCAUAAGACACGCACGCUUUUUCUUCACUUUUAUCGUGUGUUGUCCAUGUCUCUUUCACACAUGCACACACACUUUUUUCACUCUCUCUCUCUCUCUCUCUCUCUCUCUCUCGUUAGGGACUCUGUCAUGUCCAUAAGCAUAUGGAUGUUUUGAAAAGUCAAACCUCAGGAAAGUUUGACUAGGUAUAUGUGGAGAAAAACAUUUACAUCUGGAAUGAUCACUAGAUUCAUCACAACAUGUACUUACUUCAUACUAUCAUUUAUCUUUGGUAUUGCCAAUAUAAGUAAUUUCUUUAUAAACUUGGUCAAAGUUUCAAAAGUUUGACUUUAAAAAAAUGUUGUAACUACAUUAUCGAACAGAGGGAGUAGCUCUUUCUCUCUCUCUCUCUCUGCUAUCUCUCAUGGGCCUCCCCUCUCACUCGAACUCUCUAUACUGAUGGAUUAUACGCUCACUGUGUCAGCAUAUAGCUCUGUAUAUUGUUUAGUUGACCGAUCACCCAAUCCACAUGUUGUGUUGUCAGCUCGUGUUCUGUAUCUUGGUGUGCUGGCCCAUGUGGUAGUGGGUGAAAAUAAGUAAACUAGAGGCCCAUCUGACACGCGGUGAAGGAAACAAAGUUGAAACCACUCGGGGUAGCACCCCGCACGCUAGUAAAUUGAGGGCGCAUUGAGGACAAACUUCUUGCGCGCGAAGGACGCACUCGCGCAAAAUUCACCACUGCGCGGCGGUAUGCACAGAAGGACGCACUCGCACACACCCAGCACACAACACACACCAGCACACAUGUACACCGGCGUCGCCACCUGUUGAGAUGGACGGCGAGGCAGCCAACAAGCAGAGGCCGCUCGAGCGAAAACCGCAUCCGGCGAGCCUGGACUUCAUCAGCAGCCUCCCCGACGACAUGCUGCUCGUCAUCAUCGGCCUCCUCCCCACCAAAUCUGCCUUGCGGACCACCCUGCUCUCCCGGUGGUGGCGCCCUCUCUGGCGCUGCGUCCCCCUCAACCUCACCGUUGAUAGCUGCCUCUGCGACGGGGAUUGCAAAUGCAUGGCCGCAGUCUCCAAGAUCCUUUCAUCGCACCCUGGGCCAGCCAGACUCCUUGACAUCCGCAUGUUCAGUACCAAUUGCAAGGUCCAACCCAAGUUCGACGAGUGGUUCUUAUCCCCCGCCCUAGAUCAGCUCGAGGAGCUCAGCUUUGAAGCUGGACGAUGUCGCUCUCUGCCGCCGUCCGCGCUCGGCCUCACGCCAACGCUGCGCCGCACCAGUUUCAGCUCCUGCUAUCUUCCCCAGAUUGAUGCCGCGCCCGCCCUUCUUCUCCCUCAACUCAAGCAGCUCGACCUCUUCGAUGUUGUCAUCUCGAAGAAGGCUAUGGAGCACCUUCUCCGCAGCUGUACUGCGCUCGAGUACCUUCGUCUUGAGCAGAUCCACGGGUUCAUUAGCCUCCACAUCGCCUCAACGAAUCUCCGAUGGAUUUAUGUGUCUUGUUGGCCCUGCAACAAGACAUCAAUUGGGAAGAGAUCACUCCAGCUGUUCCACGUUAUGGUCAUUGAGAAUGCGCCUUUCCUUAAGAGAUUGUUUGUAUCGGAUCUAGAAGGUCCAACAAAAAUCAGGGUCAUUGACGCGCCGAAAUUGACAGCGUUGGUGUACUCAUCUGCCAAAUUCUCCGAACUCUUUAUUGGAUCCAUAAUCAUUCAGGUACAUCACUCAUCUUCUUCUCCAUCUUCUUGAAAUUCACAUUUUUAAAAUUUCUUCUUGAUGUAUUUAUGACCGUCUUCCAGAAAAUGAUUCCCACAAGCUUGACCCAGUCCAUGCUCACAGUGAAGAUCUUAGCACUAAAAUCUAUCGGCCGCAAUCUGGAUCAAGUUGUUGGAUUCCUUACAUGCUUUCCAUGCACGGAGAAGCUACUCAUCGAGGUGAAACUUCUUUCCUAUUAGUAAACGGUAAUCACAAUGUAGCUCAAUUUUUUCGUAAUUUUCCCAAAUUAUGAUGACAAGUGUAGUGUUCAAAACUACAUCUACGCACUGCACCGAAAGAAAUGUUUUUAGUAUUUUUUCUCACAUGAUCACCUGCAUCAUUUUUAUGCGGUACUACUAUAGUAGCCUAGGCUAGUCAUAGUGGAAAGUAACUUAGACUACUCCAGUAACUCUAGGGUUACCCUAAGGUCAAGUACUACCUCUGUCCUGGUUUACUCUUCCAAUUUUGUAGUAUCAAAAUUUGACCAUAGAUUUAACUGACAAAAUGUUAAUGCAUGUCACUAAGAACUAUAUCGUUGGAUUCGUAUUUGAACAUGAUUUCAAAUGGUGUAAUUUUUAGUGACAUGCAUUGGCAUUUUCUUAGGUAAAUCUAUGGUCAAAAGUUUAUACUAAAUACGAUGUAGUAUUCCCUCCGUCCCAAAAUUCUUGUCUUACAUUUGUUUAGAUACGGAUGUAUCUAACACUAAACUGUAACUAGAUACAUCCGUAUUUAGACAAAUUUAAGACAAGAAUUUUGGGACGGAGGGAGUACAAAAGUGGGCUAUGUAGGCCAAAACAUGUGCGAAAUUCAAUUGUGAUGCAUGUGGCAUCGAUGCCCCUCCAUUGCUCACUUGAUGCCCCAAUCUGGAGCAACUACUUUGCUCCGGUGCCAAAUUAACUCACGCAAUGAAAAAACACUGCGUGGGAGAGAGAGAGGACUGAGGCAAUAAAAAAACACUUGUUUAGGAGAGUGAGAGGCUGGUGUAGUUGGUUUGAUUGAUUUGUUUAUACAUGUGGGUCUGUGUGCACAGCGGUGCCAACUCUCUCACAUCGCGAGAGCGGUGCCAAAAUCUUUUGAUUUGACAUCGAUGCGUAUUAUGUGGCAUACUUUUGCGAAAUAUGGCAUCGGCCACAUAGUGGAAGGCAAUAAAUGCCCAAGCUCUUCAUGUGCUCCUAGUUAAAUGAGAGGAAACAGAAACAGAGAGAGAGAGGGAGAGAGAGAGAGAGAGAGUCAAAAAAUAUCACUAGCCAGCCAACCCUAUCGUAUGAGCGAAUGAUAUUGGUACCUCUUGAUGACACGACAAUCUUAUGCAGCCAGCUGCUCUAAUAUGUUCUCUUCUUUUACAGAUAAAAAAAGACCCGAAAGUGAAAAAUGUGCUGCACUAUAACAAUCCCAUCGAAUGCCUUGAUCUCCAUCUUACAGAAAUUGAUUUGAUCGACUACCGAGGCAGCACAUCUGAGAUUAAAUUGGCCAGGUUCUUUGUUCUGGAGGCAAGUGUGCUCAAGGUAAUGAGGUUUGGCUUUCUCUGGCGCAACAAUGAAUGGCGUGCUGAUCACCGCAAGCGUCUAAGCCUAUAUGACAAAGUCUCCGCAGAAGCUGAAUUUGUUUUUGAAACAUCAAGUGGCCAGAGACUCGAAAACUUAUUUGCCCAUUAGUGACUUGUCAGGGCGGUGGAUUUUAGUUUGUACGAUAAUGCUGCAUCCACCUAAAUUAAUGAAAGUUCUUACGUGAACUUCCUAGUAAUUCCCUCUUCCUAGGUGCAGCAUUAUUCCUAACAUUUGUAAUAUCAAUUUGAAACUUGUAAUAUUUCCGUGUCCUAUUCCUGCGUUUUCAAAAUCCUGUGAAUCAAACAGGUCAUGAGUUGGUGAUGAUGUUGUGCAUCCCAUCUUUCACCAGUAGCCAUCGGAUCUAGAUCUGACGCAUACAAACCAAGCUUGUCCAUUUUUGCAAAAAGAUGCCCGCACUUGUUCCCUAUUUACAAACAACUCCUUGUCUCUCACAAUCAGCGUUAUCUCCUCCCCAGCACAUCUAGAAGGCCGUGGAAAAAUCUGGCGCGAUGGCCGCUGCCGGAGCAGUCCACCCCCAAUCUUGGUGUUCCGUGCCAUGCACGGGCAUCUACGCACGGGAAAUUAUGUCGAACAGGGCUAGUUGUAAGGAGGCUAGCCCUACAGCCAUGAUGAUAGUGACUGCAGAUGGCGAGUCUGACUAUGGUAUGCCGAACACGGCGCCUAUACUCAGGUGUCAUCUCUGGCGCAGGGUCUUGUCACUUCACUAUGAGGAGCAGCACAUAAUAAUUUGACCAACGGGUAGUACAGUGCUAGUACUCCUAGGAGUACUACAUUGGUAGUACUACUACUAGUACUAGUAGCACCACCGUGUAGAUUUAGGAGUACUACCAUGUCACGCCCAAUAUACGACACUAUCCUAAAGAGACUCGAAGGUCCCACCAAGGAUAGAACCGCAUAUUGAAACGCUUUUGCAAGGUGGAUAUAAUUACAUCAACAUUACAUAAUAGAUGGGGAUACAUACAAGAUGCAUACAAUGCCACACGAAUACAACAUCACAAUACAUAAGAGCAUCAUCCGACUACGGAUGAAACACAAACAGAAACUCAAACGACAUCCACCCUGCUAGCCCAGGCUGUCGACCUAGAACCUAUCCCCUGAUCGAAGAAGAAGCCGAAGAAGAACUCCAAACAAGCAAACAUCGCUCUCGCGUCAUGAUCAUCGUGUAACCUGUACCUGCAACUGUUGUUGUAGUAAUCUGUGAGCCACGAGGACUCAGCAAUCCCAUUACCAUGGGUAUCAAGACUAGCAAAGCUUAAAGGGAAAGGAAGGGGUAAAUUGGUGAGGUUGCAGCAGCGACUAAGCAUAUAUGGUGGCUAACAUAUGCAAAUAAGAGCGAGAAGAGAGCAAGCGGAACGGUCGUGAAGCUAGCAAUGAUCAAGAAGUGAUCCUGAACUCCUACUUACGUCAAACAUAACCCAAAACCGUGUUCACUUCCCGGACUCCGCCGAGAAGAGACCAUCCCGGCUACACACGCGGUUGAUGCGUUUUAAUUCGUAUCUGGUGUCAAGUUAUCUACAACUGGACAUUAACAAAUUCCCAUCUACCACAUAACCGCGGGCACGGCUUUCGAAAGUUUAUACCCUGCAGGGGUGUCCCAACUAGCCCAUGAUAAGCUCUCGCAAUCAACGAAGGAUAUACCUUCUCCCAGGAAGACCCGAUCAGACUCGGAAUCCCGGUUUACAAGACAUUUCGACAAUGGUAAAACAAGACCAGCAAAGCCGCCCGAAUGUGCCGACAAAUCCUGAUAGGAGCUGCACAUAUCUCGUUCUCAGGGCACACCGGAUUGUCCAAACUUCCCGUAGGCCAGCCCAGAGUUGCCCCUGGUGACCACCGGCGACUGACAGGUUGGACCAACAGUCACGACGAGCACUGGCCCGGGGGGGGGGGUAAAAUAAAGAUGACCCUCGGGCUCCAGAAACCCAAGGGCAAAAAGGGCUAGGUGAGGCAAAUGAUAAAACCAAGGUUGGGCCUUGCUGGAGGAGUUUUAUUCAAAGCGAACUGUCAAGGGGGUCCCAUAAAUCACCCAACCGCGUAAGGAACGCAAAAUACAGGAACAUAACAUCGGUAUGACAGAAACUAGGGUGGCAAGAGUGGAACAAAACACCAGGCAUAAGGCCGAGUCUUCCACCCUUUACCAAAUAUAUAGAUGCAUUAAUUAAAUAAGAAAUAUUAUGAUAUCCCAACAUAAUCCUAUCCAGAAUGGAGCAAUCUUCAACUUCACCUGCAACUAGCAACACUAUAAGAGGGGCUGAGCAAAAGCGGUAACAUAGCCAAGCAACGGUUUGCUAGGAAGGGUGAAAAGGUUAGAGGCUGACAUGGCAAUUUCGGAGGCUUGAAGAACAAGUGAUAGGUAGCGCAGCAAGGCGAUAGAAUGAAGCAACUAGAAUAGCAGUGGUAGUAAUGAGUUCCAAGGUGACGGUCAUCUUGCCUGAAAUCCCGCUAGGAAGAAGAACGAGUUCAUGAAGAAGACGAAUGGGAGUAGUCGAACGAAUCCUCGCAAUCGCAACAUAACCGGAACUAAGAAGCAACACCGGAAAGAAACAAACAACAUGGUAAAUGCACAAGCAUAAACAUGGCAUGAUGCACAAACAAGUAUGAUGCAUGUCCGGUUUAAUAAGGCCUUGCAUGGCAAACUUCAACAAACAAUAGUACAAGUUAAGUGGAGCUCAAUAUGCAACGAGUUGCAUACUGACAAAACACCACAUGCAAUUAUUUAGUUUGAUCUCGAUUAUGUACCCAACAAUAUUAAAUGUUAUUAACCAUGGCAAGGGGUGAAGCAUAUGAAAACUACCUAUCUAGGCAAGUUUAGAUGAGGCCGGAACAAUCAAACAACAAUUCCGGAAAAUCCCCAUAUGCAUAUUUUGGAUUUGGUACUAUUCUGCCCUAAAACAUAUUAUAUUGUUGUUAAACAGGAAAAUAAAGUCCACCAUGUUAAACUAAGCAUUUUUCCACCCCAUUUACAUAUAAAGUUUAUUUAAAACGGAGCUACUGUUAUUUAGUUAUGAAAUAAAUCAUUUUAACAUGGCAUUUGAGCAAAUUUAAACAAACAUCAUUUUAAACAUUUUAAACAUGGAUGAAAGCAGCAUAUUAUGAAACUAGAUGAAAUUCUAAGCAUUUUACAUAUAUAAAUUAUUUACAUAUGAUGCAUAUUUUGUUAGUUAUUAAAUGCAUGAACAAUAGGGGUUUUCUGUAAAACUGUAAUACACUGGAUAAUGCUAAAUUCGCAGGCAGGGAAAAAAAAUAUGAGCGGGCCGAAACAAAGGCUGGCCCAAUAGUUCACAGGAAGGGCUUGGGGGUUUCUCACCAUGGGCCAAGCCCAGAACUGUGGAGAGGGCGCUGGUUGCUGGGCUUGGAGGCUGCUGGCCCAGGCGCUGCAGGCGCGGUCAAUGCUCAGAAUGAGCGAGAUGUUGCUCUCGUUUCUGAAGAACACAAGCAGCAGCUCGACCAUGGAGAUGGAGGGAAGACGCGGGGGGGGGGGUCCUGGCGACGGAAUUGGCGGGGACUGGUCGGAACGGAACGCGGGGAGGCGCCGGGGUCCAAAUCCGGCAAGGGGAGGCGCAGAUCGGGGCGUCUUGUCCUCCUGCUUGAAGCAGAGGAGGAUGAGGGACUUGGCGGGGCGACGGAUUGGCGUCGGACUCUGACGACGGCGGGGCUCCGGUUGGAGGGAUGACGAGGAAGGGGAGCAGCGCGGCUGCCGGCAGGGACGAACGGGUGAUGACGCGCACGACGAGGACGCGACCAUCGAUGGGGUUCCUGGUUCAGAGAGAGAGAGAUGUGAGAGGAGGGACUAGAAAGCAGGGGAGGGGAAGGAAGGAGCGACGAGGGGCUCAUCUGCAGGUGGUUCUCGUCGGCCGAGGGAGCUCCGGUAGCGCUGUGGAACUUGCGGGCGAACGGGGCGAGGCAGAGGAGAUUCCCUGUUGUCUCCGGCGACCCGGGGUCGAAGCGAGCAAAUGGAAGGAGCUCCUAGCGGGGGGCUCUGAGGACGGGCGUGCUGCGGGACGAGAGGCUGCAGGCGCGGGGCUUGAACUCCAAGCGCCUGUGAAGCUUGGGGCAGGCGACUCGACGCUGGCUGGAGGCCGACGCAGUCUCGGUCAACACGGCAACAGGAUGCGGGCGAGGCCAGGAACGACAGCGGCUGCGGCAACUCCUGUUGAGGAAAAGAGAGAGGUCCGAGAGGUUAGAGAUCGGAGGGAAAUGGAGAUUGCGGGAGGGAGGAGGAGAAGGUACGGCGAGCGGCAGCACUGGCCUGGUUCGACGGAGAGGAGGCCGUCGGGGAGGCGCUGGAGGUGCUGGUUGGGUUCGCUGCAGAGACGAGGAGAAGAAUGUGGUGGCUUGCUGUAACUGGGUGGCGGCGGAAAACAAGGGAGCUGGUCGGAGCAAUCCGGUUGGGUGGAUCUGGGAGGAUCCCGAGGAAGAAGGGGGGAGGUUGUUGGCUGGCGGCGGGUAAGGGGAUUUGGUGGAUGGGAUAGACUAGGAUCUAGGGUUAGGUAGUAUAUAUAGCAAGGAUCUAUGCAUUAAUCUAUAGGAAAAUGAAGUAUAUAUGCAGUAUAUAUGCAUUAACCUAAACCAUAUUUUAUAGUUGAUAAACAGGAAAAUGAAGUGCAACAUGUUAAUCUAUGCAUUUUUUCACCCCAAAUACAUAUAAAGUUUAUUUUAAACAGAGUUACGGUUAUUUAGUUAUGAAAUAAAUCAUUUUAGCAUGGCAUUUGAGCAAAUUUAAACAAACAACAUUUUAAAAAAAAAUUAACAUGGAUGAAAGUGGCAUAUUAUUAAUCUACACAAAAUUCUAAGCAUUUUACAUGUUUAAAUCAUUUUAAUCUGAUGCACGGUUGUUGAGUUAUUAAAUGCAUGAAGUGCAAGGGGGUUUCUGCAAAUCUGUUAAUUCGCUGGAUAAAUAGAUAAAUUCGCAGGCGAGAAAAAAAUGUGCACGGGCCGAAUCUGACUAGGCCAGGUGUACAGGAGAGGGCUGGAGGGGGGCUGCUCACCCAUGGGCCAAGCCCAGUCGGUGGAGAGAGGAAGCAGGAGGCUGGAAGGGGGUGCGCGGAGCUAGGCCUCGCGGGCGAAGGGAGCUGGGCCUGUGCGGCUGUGAGCCAGCCGACGCUCGCGGUCAACGGGGACUGGAUCGAGCGGAAGUGCUCCGCUCGUGUUUGUGGAGGAAGCAGAGGGACGCGGGGCGCUUGCCGCAGGUCGACGGUGCGGGGCGAGGAACGGCAGCGCGGCGGCGGGAUGCGAGCUUGGCAGGGGCGCGGACGAGGGCCCUUUCCGGUCGGAUCCAAGGCGGAGCAACCGGAUUUGAGGAGGUCGUCGGCCAGGGCGCCAGGCGGAGCUAGUACCUGAAGAAAAUGGUGGCGCGGCAGUUUCAGAGAGGAGAAGACUUGAUAGAAGAAGAGGGGCACGAGGAGAAGGAAGGAAGAGGUCAGCCUGGUGGUGGUGCUCCGGUGGCGCCGAACUCCGGCGAGGCGAGCUGCAGGAGGAGAGCAUGGGAGGGGCUCCAGGAGAAGGCGGAGAGGGACGGCAGCCUGCUGGCUUCGUUGUUGAUGGCGUUUGGGCGCCCCGGCGAGCUGCGGCUCGUCGCCGGCAGCGACGGGAACGGAGGAGAGGCUCGGGCGAGAGGCUGCUGCCUCGGAUCGAUCCACAUCAAGCGGGGCCAGGGGCUGAAGCGGUUGCCUCGUCUCUGCUCCAACGAAAUAGAGGACCGGCGCAGCGAGGAACUUGCAGCGGCGGGCGCGGUGAGUAGCUCGGGCAGGGAGGUAGAUCGAGGAGGGGAUGGAUUUGGGUUGGCUGGUGUUGAACGAGGGAGGAUUUUGGAUCAGGGAUGAUGAGGCUGGGUGUGUGUGGGCGGUUGCGAGGUGGAGAGCAGCGGCUGGAUCGCUGGUGAUCCUGAGGAAGAUGCGGCGGCGGCGGCGCGAGGGACAAACGUCCUAGAUUUUAGGGUUAGUUUAGAUUAGGUAUGAAGUUGGUCUAUAUAUAGGGAAAUGGGGGUUUAGGAUAGAUUUGGACCUUCCGAUUAAAUCGGACGGUCAAGAAUAAAUAGGUAGGGAGUCCAAAUAAGAAAACAAAGAUAUUUUAUAGAUAUUUGGAGAUGAUCCGGACCCAUUGGUCAUGACAACCCGGGUCGGGUCCGGGAGAAGUUUCGGACGCGCGCGAGGGGUUUGAGUAAAGAGUAGAGGGGUCAAAUGGCCAGACAAGAGGGAAUCGAAAACCCGGUUAGACUCGGAUCGGUCAACGAAGGCAAGGGGGAAAUGCGGCAACUACGAACGACUACGAGUUUAAAACAUGACGGCAACGGAGUGCCAAUGCAAUGCGAAUGAUGCGAUGAUGAAAUGCAAGACAUGAACAAAAUGCAAAACAAAAAAAAAACAAAAACCCAACCACGGGUGCGAGAUCGAUGAAGAGAGCCAUCAAAAUUGUGUGUGUGUGCAAGUCAAAGAUAUAGGGCGACUGGCCUACCGGAAUGUUAGAGGGCACAUGUCAAGUUUGUGUGUUGCAGGGAGACAUGACUAGAGCGCUCGAUGUAUCGAUGUGUGUGGGGGGAGGGGGUGGGGGAGGGGUAGGCAGAGGCCUAACUAUAGAGUUAGAACGACUCGUAUAUGUGUUGAGAAGGAGAGACCCAACUAUGUUUUGAGGGAGAUCAGUCGACAUCCAUACAUAACUGAAGGACGGGAAAUAUGAUGGGACAGAGAGAGAGAGAGAGAGAGAGAGAGGAGGGAGAGAGGGAGGGAGAGGGAGGAAGAGGGGUUGAGUGCUGGAUGGGUGAUGGAGUUGCUUCUCGGAGAUGUUGGGAGAGGCCUACUAGACAAACUGAGGGUGGAGCUGCAAUGUUAUCAAUAAGAGUGGGGAUGUGUUUCUGUGUGUGCCUGUGCAUGAUAGAUCUGUCGGGACACAUCCAUGGAUGAUGAAGGGGAACCAUGUGUUUGGUAAGCAAACCUAACUAGAUCGGUAGAUCAAUUGUUGUUUGUUGGAGGAAGGGAGAGAGACAACUAAUGAGGUAGAUCGGUCGACGUGUGGGUAAAAAUGAGUUAUAAGGACCUAGCUAUCUAUAUGUAUAGUAAGAGAUCGGUCGGUGUACGUCCAUUUGUUAGAGGCAAAUAAGGCCCAAUGAGACGGAUAGACAGAGAGAAUGGAGCUAGGAGGUGGUGCGAGAGGCCCAACCACUAGCUAGAUAGGGGGAGGAGUGUGCGGUUGUGAGAUCGAUGAAAAGAGGGGCGAGAGUUUAUACGUGUGUCUGACCGUAUGAGAGACAUGAGGCAAGGACACAUAAAGGAGGAGAUUGAAGGUGUGUGUCUAUGUUGUAUGCAGGCAUCGCUGGAGAGGUUUAUCGAUCGGUGUGUGUCGGAAAGGAGUUGUGGAGACUCUGGGAAAACGACCUAAAGAAAAAAAUGAAUGUGCCCGGUGGAUAGAAUGCCGAGGGAGGGGGAGGGCGAGGAGGGCGUGUGCAUGCACGAGAGAAAGUUAGUGGUAGCUACAAAGGUUAGAGGAUUGUGUGGGUGUAAGAGACUAACAAAGAUCAUAAUUUGAUAUGAAAGUGGAUUCAUAUAUUUGAAUAGGAGAUCAUAGUGUUUUCUACAUUGCAUGCAUGAAUAUAGCGGUGAUACACGUGAUGUGCACAUGUUAUACCAUAAUGUGAUGAUGCAUGGCGUUUGCAACUCAUAGCUAAAUGCCGAAAAAUCUAAACCAUACUAUACAUCAAACAAUCUCACAUUUUAUUUGCAUUUGUGAUAAUGUGUGGCGUUUGCAGCUUACAACUAAAUAUCGAGCAAUCUAAACAAUACUAUAUAUCGAACAUUCUCACAUUUUAUUUGAAUUUGUGGUAAUGUGUGGUGUUUGCAACUCACAUCUAAAUACUUGUAGGCAUAGGGGGCGGGGCACCAUACAUAAUGUGAUAAACACAUUAUACAUAUGAGACAUGGUUUAGAUUAUGAAGAUCUAGCUAGAGCUAGAAAUGUAAUGUGAUUUGAAAUCAAAAUAAAGUGGAUUCAAAAAAUCUAGUUCGAGUUCAUAUAGUACACAUAGUUCAUAUGUAACUCGAGACUAAUCAUGUGGUGUGCUGUGAAGAUAAUACACAAACGAUGGUUUAACUUGACAAUAAUGAUGAUUGUAGAUCUUAUUAAAACAGAGAAACGAAUUCAAAUGCUUUGACUUCACAACAAUCAUUACUGUAGAUCUUAUUCAAAUAGAGAAACGAAUUCAAAUUUAGUUCAUAUUGAAGCGGUAGUAUAUACGUUUGGAAUGCACUAAAAACGUUCAUUUGAGUAGUAGGUGCAUGCAUUAUACACAUAGCAAAAUAUUUUGAUUGAACAUAACAUGAAUUCAAAGUUUUGAAUGACAUUUGUAGUGCGCAUUGAUUUGGUACAGUACACGUUAGGCUUGUCCGAAAAUUUCAACCCGCGCCUUGUUAGCACGAAAUAUUUAAGAUAUAUCGUUGUCUCGUUGUGCUCUGACAACUCCCUCCAUCUCAACCUGCGCCUUUCUAUUCUGAAAUUACAAUGCGCGCGAAACUCCCACCUCCUGUGAAAUCCCGACACGCGAAAUGUCCGUAGUACCCCUUAACCGAAAGAACCGCCUCAAAUCGGUGGGGGCUACUUUCGUAACUUACCCCACAUUUCGGACAAGUGCGUCUCUAAGCCAUGGUUCCCCACUGCCAUCCCAUCCGCCCACCCAUUCGUACACCGAGGCCGCAAAAACACGGGAUGAAACCCCACACCCUGCUCUGUCCGCCACCCAACCGGAGCCUCUUCCCCGACGACGUCGUCCACAGCAAGACCUCGACGUCCCUCAUCCACCGUACCGAAUGAGGAUCCAUCGUCGAUCUCAUCGUCCCGCCGGUUCAGCCACCCCGUCCUCCACCACCAAGGAGCUGCCCCAACGUUCCCUCGUCUUUCGCGCCACCUCCAUUCCCACACCGCCGUCUUCACCGGCACCACAGAAAGAGCAUCAUCAUCACCAUUUCCUCGGAUGAAGCUGCAGCCUAAUCGGCGCCACCAAAGAGGUUGUACACUAAUCACCGCAUUUUCUUCUUGAUUCGAUCUCACGGUGCUGCCGGCGCACGGUCACGAGCCGACACGGCGCGACUCCAUCCAUGGCGGCGUCGCGCCACUUCCUCCACGGCGUCGCUCACUCGGCGGCGACGUCCACAUCAGUAGGAGCUGCUGCUGCUUUAGCUCUCGCUCGCGCUGCUGCUUUGCUCUUGAUCUCGGUCCCCUGCCUGGUCUGCUCCUGCUAUUGCUCUUGCUCGCGCUGCUGCUCUCGCUGUUGCUCUUGCUUGCGAUGCUGCUCCGAUUUAGCUACACUUCAAUUGACUGAAUCGACUUUUCGGUCAGUCGAUUUUCAGGAGGUGGGGGGAGUUGCUCGCCGGGGUGAAGGAAGAACCAACCACAGCGGGGAGGGGGGCUCGCCGAAGAGGUACCCCACUAUCUAUCUUAGGCUUCAGGAUGGGGCGGUGGUCGCCGGCGGUGGCGGGGCGUUGGCGGGGCGGUGGCGUGAGGAUCGCCGGAGAAAAAGCUCGGCACGGGGGGGCCUAGAGGGAUGGCCGGGGCGGCGGCGGACCGGCGGUGGGGAGUGUUUUCAGGGCGGGCAGGGCGGUGGGGGGCUGCUUGGCCGGUGGUGGCUGGCGGCUCAGGGGGCGGAGGUUGAAGAUGAACCGCGGGCCCUUGAUUUCGUAUCCAACAGCUGCAAAAUCGACUGACCAGAGAUGAAAAAGUCAGUCGACCGACGUGUAGCCUCACCUUGCUAGUGCGUUCAGUUUCGACAGCAAAAUUCAGUUUCGACAGCAAAAUUCAGUUUCUAUAGUUAAGUUCAGUUUCGACAAUUAAGUUCAGUUUCGACAGUUAAGUUCACUUUUGACAGUUAAAUUCAGAGAUGAGUGGCUGAUGUAUUUUACAUCUAGCACUUUGUGGUUAUGUAUUUGACGUCAUGUAUUGGAGAUGCUAUUAGAAUUCCACUCAGGUUAACGUUGUUCGUUGUCUCUCUUUUCCUGCUUCAGCCUAGGUGUCGUACAACUCACCGGAGCUGCUCCAACGACGAAACCCUCCAUCACAGCGGAGCAGUACCUCGGGCUCCAUCUCCAGACGCCUAAGAUCUUCUUCCCCUCCUCCGACAGCAAAGUCAGCUGAAGCAUCCUCACCGGCCAACCCAAUCACACUGAGAUCGACAUGGCUUCGCCAAAGAGGUUGUACACUUGUUGUAUCUCUUUUUUACACUACAUGUUAUAUAUAUAUUGUGCACUGAGCACACGGAUUUGUUCCUUUGAUGUCUCCUUGAAAGAAAAAACAUAGGAAUUUUAAUUUUCAGUUGUCCUCCUUUUCAAAUUCCUAUUCAUGAAGCACAAGACUAAGAGAUAGUAGCAUAAUAGCAUUAUAACCGUACAUUUUCUUGUGGUUUGACUUAAUCUCACCAUGCUUCUUUGCAUCCCGUGAUCUUCCAAUUGUUGUGAAUCAAACACCCAGAUUGGCAAAAAUCCUGUGUUUUUAAAUUCUCUUUUUUGCACGUGCAUUCCUAUGCUAUUCCUGUCUAUUUCCUAUCCCUGCAUUGUUGGAAUCCUCCAAUUCAAAUGAGCCCUUACAGAAUUACUUCUCUUACAGAUAGUUGUCAAAGAAGACCUUGUGUGGUUUGUCCCGCUCCUGCUGCGCCGUCGUCCACCCCAGCUCAGCUGCUCCAACGACAGAAGGGUCCAGCACAGCAGGGAUCCGGCCUCCAGACUGUCUUUCGCCGCCUCAGAUCUUCUUCCCUACCACUGGCAGCCAUGAAAACUGUGUUACAAUCAUCAGCCGAGCAAAUGACCUCGAGUACUACACGGGUCCGCAAGAGAGGUCACACUCUUUCAUGUCUCCUUAUGUUAUGCAUCGCUUAAUAUUACAUGCUACUUUAUCAUCCUGUUCACCGAUUAGACUCUGAGUCAGCUCCAAACUAAUGGUCAAACUUGAGUUUUUAAAUGGUUGUGGGGUACAUAUCAGGGCCGCUAUCAAUAGUAUCUAUCUACUAUCUGGUUAAUCUCCGGUGUCUACUAUGAGUUUCAUGUUGGGUGGGAAACAAACAGUAAAGAAGCCAUUAUCUGUAUUUUUUAACUCAAGCCAUUAUCUACCAGCUAUUAUUGGUUUUGGGUCUAUCCAUAGGUUGCUACCAUCACUCUGGAUUUCUGCAUGCACUCCUUACAUAAUCUCACUAUGUUUUAUUCCUAUGCAUGACGGUUAUUGUAAACAAUGGAAAUUCCUAUGCAUGACUGUUAUUGUAAACAAUGGAACUGAACAUGUAGAGCAAAAGAGACGAGCCUUGCGUGGCAAUAAAAUUUCAUGCAGACGUCGCUCCAUGGUAGGCGCAAAGGCAGCCACCCUCCAUGCAUUUCAGAUUGUAAUUGAGAGGAAGAUAUCUGUUCUGAGGGGGAUUCAGAAGGAGAAGACAACUCCUAUUUACCCCCUGAGGUCUUCGCUCUAACUUGGCAUGCUAAUGUUGGUUAUAUCAUGCAUAUGGUGUCUUGCAUUGCUUACUUUAUACAUCAAAUAUGUCAUCUGCUUAGUUUAGACAUCCUUUGAGCGAAUGCCAUCUGUUUAGUUUAUUCACCGUUUAUGUGAAUUAUGCAACACCAUCUUGUUUAGCCAGGCAUCACAUAUGUGAAUUUUGCAAUGCCAUCCUGCUUACCCAGUCAUCUUAUAUGUAAAUUAUAUCAGGCCAUCCUUUUUUUUCGUUACGUAUUACAUUUGUCAACAAUGUUAGUACAUUCAACUGCUCUUCGUGUGCAUCAGCCAUUUGACACGGUGAUGGCAAAUUCUGGAGUGAAAACAAGGUCUUUAGAACAGACUAUGCUAUCUGACGAAGCGCAUAUCUCACUGGUUACCGAUAGGUCCUCAGAGGAGGAUUCAGAGACAGAUGACCAUUCCUAUCCCCCCCUCCCCGAGGUGUAUGCUCUAACUUGGCAGGGUUAUGUUGCUCAUAUCGUGCGUAUGGUGUCUCUCAUUGCUAUGUCAUUUGAUUAGUUUAGACAUGUUUUGUGUGAAUACCACAUGUUCAGUGUCUAAUUACCAUAUAUGUGAAUUAUGUAUUGCCAUCUUGUUGCAAGACAUUAUAUAUGUGAAUUAUACAAUGCUAUCUUGUUGCAAAGGCAUUAUAUAUGUGCAUUAUGCAAUGCCAUGCUGUUUAGCCAAUCAUCAUGUAUGUGAAUUAUAUCAUGCUAUCAUUUUUUUGUAUGACGUGUUCCAUUUGUCGACAACGUUUGUAUAUUCAACUACUCUUCCUGUGCAUCAGCCAUUUGAAGCGGUGAUGGAAGUAUCUGGAGUGAAAACAAGGUAUUCAGAGCAGACAAUGCUACCUGCUGAAGCAGACAUCUUGCUGGUUACAGAGAGCUCCUCGGAGGAGGAUUCAGAGACUGAUGACCAAUCCUAUUUCCCCCCUGAGGUCUAUGCUCAAACUUGGCAGGGUUAUAUUACCCAUGUCAUGCAUGUUGUCUUGCAUUGCUUGGUUUUUACAUCAUAUAUGGAUUGCCAUCUGCUUACUUGCUUACUAUAUAAAUCAUACUCCCUCCGUCCCAAAAUACUUGUCGGAGAAAUGAAUAAAAAUGGAUGUAUCUAAAACUAAGAUAUGUCUAGAUACAUCCAUUCCUUCGACAAGUAUUUCGGGACGGAGGGAGUAUAUUUGAAUUAUAUCAUGCCAUCAUGUUUACAUAGUACAUACACAUCAUCUAUCUGAAUUAUGGCAUGGCAACCCAUUUAAUAAAGACAUCAUAUAGUUAUAUCAUCUCAUCCUGUUUAGUGUUUGCAGUCAUCAUAUUUUGAAUUAUGGCAUUCUAUCCGUGAAUGUAUGUGAAUUAUGGCAUGCCAACCUAUUUAAUAAACACAUUAUAUAGUUAUGUCAUGUCAUCCUGUUUACAUAGUCUCAUAUUUUAAACUAUGUCUUUCCAUCUUUUUUAGUUAGCCAUCAUAAUGUGAAAUUGUGUCAUGCUAUCCUGUUUAGUUAGCCAUCAUAUAUGUGAAAUUGUGUCAUGCUAUCCUGUUUGGUUAGACAACAUAAAUAUGAAUUAUUUCAUGCCCUCUUUUAUUCCCCACUAUCCAUUGCACCUAUCUAUCAUACAAUGUCUAUACUUUCAAUUACUUUUCUUAUUUAUCAGCCAUUUGAAUUGGAGAGCGUGAUGGCAGUAUCUAAGGGAGUAACAACACGGUCUUUAGAAAAGAUAGUGCUACCAGUUGAUGCAGAUAGAACCACGGUUGUACUUGCCCAAGAACCAGAUCCACCACACGUAACCCAGACUCCCGCAGAUUGUACCCCUGCCCAGUUGGACAGAGAACCAGCUACACCCCUUCUAACCCCAACCCUGGUAGAUAGUAACCCAGUUCUAGUUGACACAGCAUUGUCUCUACUAGAGAGCACCCAAACACGAGUAGUUAGUAAGGGAACUGCAGUGCCCAAAGCACGAGGACCACCACUCCGAAUCCCAACUCAACGCUUAAAGGAGAAGAAGAUUUGUUCUCAGGUCAGGUUCUAUAGCUAUGGUUCAUACUCCUUUGCUCUUGCAUUGCUAUAUUUACUCAUACCAACUAUUUUCGAAUUUGAAGGAUGGAAUUGAAACUCCAAUGGCGCAACAGGUAUGUUUUAAACCUGUUUCUUUAACUGGUUUGCUGUUGUAACCUGCUCUAUGUUGAUUUUAGUUUCAAUUGAAUAAUCAGUUAUGUUCUCAUGUCAUGCACAUUACAAGUGUUGUUAUUGCUCUAUAGUUACCCACACUUAUAUUCUAUCUAUUCUGCUUUGUCUUGAACAAAUAUUAUUUGAACUGUGUCCCUAUCUUGAUUUGGCAACAAAAACUAGAAUGAUAUAGACCAUAAGGUGACCAUGGUACAUAGAUAUAUGUUUGUUUCAUGCGGUUAUCCUGUCCACUUUACUACUGAACUCAUUUACCAAAAUGAGUUUCAUAUACAACAUGGUAAACAUGUGAUGUGUAUGCUUGUUUCUCUUUUAGAAUGCGGACAAAAUAUUGGAGAAUAGUACCGCGUUAUCCAAUGGUAAAGGAAGUAAUGCAGAUAAGGUUCAAGAUAGUGAGACAUCCCUGCUGGUCUCCAAGAAAGCUGAUAAAAACUAUCUUGAUGACAGUGAGGGAACCUAAAAGUCCUGUCGUGAUGUAGUGUUCGAGUUACUGGCCACUACUGCUGGCACAAGCUCUUCAAACUCGCUGCCUGAAUCAGUUCGUCUUCUUGAGUCUCAACUUCAAGUUGAAAGACAUCGAUCAGAUGUGCUGCGACAGAAAGCUGAAGGACUGAGGAAGUCCAUGCAGAAUUCAGAUGCAUAUUUUCUGGUGCAACAGCAAGCGUUGGAGGAUUUAAGCGCCAAACAAGAGAAAGUUAAUAAGCUUGCUAAGCAUCUUGCCAGCAUUAUGGGUACCCAGGAUAUUGUUUCUUGAGAUCUUCUGAAGUGGGUUCAGUUCUGGAUUUGUUUUGCUGCGACAUUUAUUUGCGCUGGUCGCCAACUUUGACAACCAGUGUAUAUGAUAUGCUGCUUUGUUCCCUAUAUUUGCUCUGGUGGCGAACUUUGAUGUCCAGUGGAUGUAAUAUGUGUAAUAGCCGUGAUAGCCUAACAUUAGUUGCUUGCUUAUUUAUUUCUUUGUUGUCUUGUUUAUUUUUUUGCUUGUAGUCAUUGUAGUUCUUUUUCCGCGGUUUGCUAGUGGCUGCAAUAACCUAUUUUUGUAAAACUAGGCCACAAUAACCAUGGGCUAAUAUUUACUGUAGUGACACUGGGCCUCCUACUGGCCGUAGAAACAGUAGGCCUUCUACGGGCCAUAGAAAUAAUGGGCCUUCUGCGGGCCGUACCAUCAAUGGGCCUUAUACGGGUCGUAUGAUCGAUUGGCCAAACAUGGGCCAAACAGACCGCAUUAUGGCCGUAAACGGGCUAGAGUUGGAAUCCUCCGUUCAUGGGCCAACCAUAACAGGCCAUCGUUAAUAGGCCGUAUUUGAUGAUGCUAUGAAAACGGUCCAACGUAUUAACGGACCACAAACGGGCCGACUGUAACCACGGGCUGAAUUUGGCCCACAAGCAAAAAAUGACAGUAAUGGGCCGUAAGUAAACGAACGCUGGAAAUGAGCCCAAGAAUAAAUGGGCUCUGAGAAGGCCGAAAGAUAACAUGGGUUGGAAACGGCCCAACGGAAUAACGGGCAGUUAAUGGGUAUAAAGUGAUACACUGUUCAUUACGGGCCAGUUUCACCACGGGCCGUUAAUGGGUGUAAAGUGAUACACUGUUCAUUACGGGCCAGUUUCACCACGUGCCGUUAAUAGGCCAAGAGUUACAUAGGGUCUCAUAUGGGCCGAAAGACGUCAUGGGCCAUACAUGCGCCAGAAGUGAAAACAGGAUGGAAUCAUAUUGGAUGGCCCAGAUGACGCUACUAGGCCUAAUUCGGAUAGGGCGUAACGGGCCUUGUGUUAGCGGGCUGUAAAUGGGCUAUAUGUGAAUAGGCCUUUAAUAGGCUUUCCAUGGGCCGGCCCGCCACCUUUUGACCAAGUCAAAUGCGUCAGCCUUUUCACAGGAAUGGGCCUCUGUUGGGCCUUGCCACGUGUCUACGUAUCAUAGGUGCCUUCCAUCCAAUGAGUGGAUGACAUCUGUCCCAACGAUGAGCCGACACGCGUUUCCUCCAGCCAAUGAUGAUUUUACACGUGGAAAAUCCUUAUUGGUCGGGGCUGUUAACGGGUUAUCGGGUCCAAAACCCGACCCGAUAGCUUAACAUCGUUCCGAUACGGUGGAUUCCACGUGUCGGUCACCCUUGAAUAAAGUGUUGGGGAACGUUGCAUAAAAUAAAAAAAUUUCUACGUUCACCAAGAUCAAUCUAUGAGUUCAUCUAGCAACAAGAGAGGGGAGUGCAUCUACAUACCCUUGUAGAUCGCGAGCGGAAGCAUUCAAGAGAACGGGGUUGAGGGAGUCGUACUCGUCGUGAUCCAAAUCACCGGAGAUCCUAGCGCCGAACGGACGGCACUUCCGCAUUCAACACACGUAUGGUCAGCGUGACGUCUCCUCCUUCUUGAUCCAGCAAGGGGGAAGGAGAGGUUGAUGAAGAUACAGCAGCACGAUGGCAUGGUGGUGGAUGCAGCAGAGUUCCGGCAGGGCUUCGCCAAGCUACUAUGGGAGGAGGAGGUGUAGCAAGGGGGAGGGAGGCGCCAGAUGUCAGGGUGAGGCUGCCCUCCCACCCCCUCUUUAUAUAGGGACCCCAGGGGGGCGCCGGCCUGGAGAUGGGAUCUCCCAAGGGGGGCGACGGCCAGGGGGGUGGAGUGCCCCCCAAGGCAAGUCGAGGCGCCCCCUCCCCUAGGGUUCCCAACCCUAGGCGCAGAGGGGGGCCCAGGGGGCGCACCAGCCCACCAGGGGCUAGUUCCCCUCCCACUUCAGCCCAUGGGGCCCUCCGGGAUGGGUGGCCCCACCCGUUGGACCCCCGCGACCCUUCCGGUGGUCCCGGUACAAUACCGGUGAACCCCGAAACUUUCCCGAUGGCCGAAACUCGACUUCCCAUAUAUAAUUAUUUACCUCCGGACCAUUCCGGAACUCCUCGUGACGUCCGGGAUCUCACCCGGGACUCCGAACAACUUUCGGUUUGCUGCAUACUAAUAUCUUUACAACCCUAGCAUCACCGAACCUAAAGUGUGUCGACCCUACGGGUUCGGGAGACAGGCAGACAUGACCGAGACUGCUCUCCGGUCAAUAACCAACAGCGGGAUCUGGAUACCCUUGUUGGCUCCCACAUGCUCCUCGAUGAUCUCAUCGGAUGAACCACGAUGUCGAGGAUUCAAGCAACCCCGUAUACAAUUCCCUUUGUCAAUCGGUAUGUUACUUGCCCGAGAUUCGAUCGUCGGUAUCCCAAUACCUCGUUCAAUCUCGUUACCGGAAACUCACUUUACUCGUACCGUAAUGCAUGAUCCUAUGACCAGACGCUUGGUAACUUUGAGCUCAUUAUGAUGAUGCAUUACUGAGUGGGCCCAGUGAUACCUCUCCGUCAUACGGAGUGACAAAUCCCAGUCUCGAUCCUGUCAACCCAAAAGACACUUUCGGAGAUACCUGUAAUGCACCUUUAUAAUCACCCAGUCACGUUGUGACGUUUGGUGCACCCAAAGCACUCCUACGGUAUCCGGGAGUUACACGAUCUCAUGGUCUAAGGAAAAGAUACUUGACAUUGGAAAAGCUCUAGCAAAACAAACUACACGAUCCUGUUCUAUGCUUAGGAUUGGGUCUUGUCCAUCACAUCAUUCUCCUAAUGAUGUGAUCCCGUUAUCAAUGACAUCAAAUGUCCAUAGUUAGGAAACCAUGACUAUCUGUUGAGCAACGAGCUAGUCAACUAGAGGCUCACUAGGGACAUAUUGUGGUCUAUGUAUUCACACAUGUAUUACGAUUUCCGGAUAAUACAAUUAUAGCAUGAAUAAAAGACAAUUAUCAUGAACAAGGAAAUAUAAUAAUAAUCCUUUUAUUAUUGCCUCUAGGGCAUAUUUCCAACAGAAAGCACUUCUGUGACGCGCGAUUUAUCUUCAUGGAAGUGGACACUUCCGUGAUGAUAAUUUUGGUAAUGUCGUGGAACACUUCUACGACAGCACAGGUAUGACUAUCUUCAUUCUGUCAUAAAAUCAUCAAGAAUGUACUCCCUCCGAUUCUUUAUACUCUGCGCGUAACUUCCGUUCAUUUUUCUCGUUUUACUCUGCGUGUUCCUACUUCUCCUAUGCUUUCCUCUUAUGCCCCCCAAAAGCUGCUGCAUGCAACCAUUUGCAGUUAAUACUUGCCUUCUCUCGUUGGCCAUGCAGAGUGGAGAGAGAGAGGUAGUUGAGGGAAUCAAGGCAACCGCAUGUGAGAGCCAAUCGGCUGCAUGCAAGUUAAUAACAAUCCAGCACUAAAGUAGGGGCAAAUUAGUCCCAGAAAGAUCAAGCGAGCCCUUUCUUGGCAUGCGUGUGAGAUGUUAUACACAAAGAAAAUAUGAUCGGAGGGACUACAUGCAUGACAGAAAACACGACCUACUAUGACAAACACGUAUCAUCACGGAAGUGUAUUUCUUUUGUAGUGGCUCCUUCUACAACUUCUGGAGGUCGAGCACUCGAGCAGGGAGGGGUAGCCCUUCUUCUUCCAUGUCAGCACUCACAAGGGCAGAGCCAGUCAACCAGAAGCACGAGUUGACAUGGAUUCGACUUGUGGGCCAUCAGCCGCACGGUCUACUCGCGAUCGACGACUUCCCUAGUGGCUUGCAGGCCCAAACUGGGCCCGUUGAGGGUGUAAGCCGAUAUAUGCGUUGUGUGUGUGUUGCGUGAGGAUUGGGAAGGGAGUUGGUGGCUUCGGGAAUGGCUAGUGUGUGUCAUGUGUGAGCUCGUGUAAGCAUUCAUGGCGAAUUGGCUAUAGAUCUGACAUCAAUACAAGUUAUACCCUCACAUCUGGAUUCAGAGCCGUUCCAUCCUGCAGAUUCCCCACCACCCACACCGCACCAGGUUAAGCGAAUUGUGGCGGCGGCAAGCCAUGGAUGGGCUGUCGGCGGAAGGGCGCAGCAUCCACGAGCUCGUUAAAUCCACCAUCUCCGACGACCUCGAUCAGCGCCUCAAGGUACAUAGCGAAGACCUCUCAAGUCCAUGACCAAAUUUCUCCAGGAUUCGACCAAGACCUUGGACGGUCUCAUCACGGCAUGCGUCGACAGUGUUCGCUCUGAGCUCCUCCUCGAAAUCUACUAGAUCCGCUCGUAUUGUGAGCGACAGGACAAGGCCGACUGCAAUGGCCGGACUGGAGGGCCUUCCUCAUCAAGCAGAGACGCCGAAGAAAGCCAGGAUGCGGUUCCUGCUGAUUCCCAUGGAGCGGACAGGUUUAGUAAGUCCAAGGCUCACAACAUCUACGUCCCACCUCCGGCCAGGAGUGGGCGUGAAUUGCCUUCAGUCUCCCCGAGAGCUCAUCGCACUGGAUCAAGGUGAGUAGUACACUUCAUGGCCGAGAGUCGAGCUGUCGCGGUUAAAUGGCUCAAAUCCCAGGCUGUGGCAAGCGAGAUGCGAGGACUGCUUCAAGCAAUGGGGCACGCAGCACAGCAGAUGAAUAUCAUACGCCACCACUCAAUUCAAAGGGGCAGCUGCUCGCUGGUUGGAGUCUGUGUAGAGGAGAAUAGUGGGGUUACAGUGGACUGAAUUUUGCAAUCUCCUGCAAUCGAGAUUUGGCCGUAACCAACACCAGAAUUUGCUGAGGAAGAUGUUCCGAAUUGGUCAGACUAGCUCUGUCGAAGAAUAUGUAGAUCAAUUCUCUAAAUUGUAUGUCCAGCUCACUACUUAUGAAAUCAUCCCUGAUCCACUGCAUUAUACCACCAGGUUCAUCGACGGGUUGAAAACAGGAGUCCGCAUGGCCAUUGCAAUGCAAAAACCCAAAGAUCUUGACACUGCGUACGAAUUAGCUCUGCUACACGAAGAAUUGGGAGAAGUAUCAUACCACCAAGCCAGUUCCACGACAAAAAGGAUUCCUGCAUCAUCCGGAUAGUAUGCUUACAAGUCCAAAAAUGCAGAAGAGCAUCGGCCAAUUGACAGUCAAAGGCCAGAAACUACUAAAGAUAAGUGGGUCUCUCUGAGGAAUUUCAGGAAGGCAAAAGGAUUUUGCUUCAUCUGUGGUGAAAAAUGGUCCAAGGACCAUCAGUGCAAGUCUACCGUGCAGCUACAAGUUGUGCAAGAACUCAUUGAGCAAUUACAGAGCCCCGCUACAUCCCUGGAUGAAUCUGAUAGUGAUUCUGACAAUUUGAUGAUGCUCUCAGCAGCUGCUGUAAGCAACAGUGUGUCAAAGUUGUCCCUCACCUUACCAGUACUUCUACAAGGUAUUGAGCUAAGGUUUCUAGUUGGCUCAGGGAGCACUCAUUCAUUCGUGGACAGUUCUCAUCAACAGAUGUUUCCAACAAUGACUGGAAUUAAGUCGGUUUCUGUCAAGGUUGCAGGAGGAGGGAAGUUGAGCUGUUCACAGCAGGUUAAACACUGCCAGUGGAGUUGUCAGGGAGAAAACUUUGUGCAUGAUUUCAGAGUCCUAACCCUUGGAGGAUAUGAUAGUAUUUUGGGCCUCGAUUGGCUAGCCAAGCAUAGUCCAAUGUACAUGGAAUGGGAACAGAAAUGGCUCUCCUUCCAGUAUAAGGGCACUACUGUUACCCUACAAGGGGAAUUGCCUGAAGAGUGUGAAUUCACUGUCAUGGCAAUUUUUCAGAACAUCACUACUAAAAACAGUGAGCAGUUACCUGAGAUACAAGCUUUAUUAGACAAGUACGCUGAGGUUUUUGCUCCCCCAACUAGUUUACCUCCCAGAAGGCAGUAUGACCACAGUAUUCCCCUGAUACCUGGAGCUCAACCAGUGUCUAUUAGACCAUACAGAAUUCCUCCUCACCUGAAGAUUGAAAUGGAAAAGCAGGUGGUAGAAAUGUUGUAGGGAACGUUAAUUCAAGUGACUAAUAGUCCUUUUUCUUCUCCAGCACUAAUGGUCAAAAAGAAGGAAGAAGGAGCUUGGAGGUUGGUCAUAGACUUCAGACAUGUCAAUGCACUCACAGUGAAAAGCAAAUACCCUAUUCAUAUUAUUGAUGAGCUACUAGAUGAACUUGCUGGAGAUCGUUGGUUUUCUAAAUUGGACCUCAGAGCAGGAUACCAUCAGAUCAGACUUGCAUCAGGAGAAGAGUUUAAAACUGCUUUUCAAACACACAUUGGUCACUAUGAGUUCACUGUUGUGGCCAUGGGGCUGACUGGGGCUCCCAAUACAUUCCAAGGAGCAAUGAACACAGAUCUAGCUCCAUCCUUGAGAGGUGAGGAUCACCGUGUUGUAUGUUUCUUUGAUGAUAUUCUAGUUUUCAGCAAAUCCCUCAAGGAACAUCUCCUGCAUCUAGACAAGGUAUUGGGUAUUCUACUAGAAAAACAAUGGAAUGUAAAACUCAGUAAAUGUGAAAAGCAAGAGAUUGCUUAUCUGGGUCAUGUCAUAAGUGACAAGGGGGUUUCCACUGAUGCCAGUAAAAUUACAGCUGUUAAGAAUUGACCAGUUCCUAUGGAUGUGAAGCAGGUCAGAGGAUUUUUGGGCUUAACUGGAUACUACAGGAAAUUUAUCAAAAACUAUGGUGUGAUUAGCAGACCUCUAAUUGACUUGUUGAAAAAGGGGGCUAUAUUUGUGUGGACUCCCACUACUGAUUUAGCCUUCCAGACACCAAAGCAGGCUCUAAUUCAUGCUCCUGUAUUAGCCCUUCCAGAUUACACCAAGCAGUUUGUGGUGGAAACAGAUGCAUGUGAAGUUGGCAUUGGGGCUGUUCUUAUGCAGCAGGUGUUGGGGAACGUUGCAGAAAAUUAAAAAUUUUCCUACGGUUUCACCAAGAUCCAUCUAUGAGUUCAUCUAAGCAACGAGUCAAGGGGAAGAGUUUGCAUCUACAUACCACUUGUAGAUCGAGUGCGGAAGCAUUCAAGGGAAUGGUGAUGAUGGAGUCGUACUCGUUGUGAUUCGGAUCACCGAUGACCAAGUGCUGAACGGACAGCACCUCCACGUUCAACACACGUACGGGAUGGUCGACGUCUCCUCCGUCUUGAUCCAGCAAGGAGGAAGGAGAGGUUGAGGAAGGCAGCUCCAAGGGCAGCACGAUGGCGUGGUGCAGUUGGUGCAGCAGUAUUCCGACAGAGCUUCGCCGAGCACGUAUGGAGGAGGAGAGGUGUUGGGGAGAGGAGGAGAGUUGUGUUGUUCCAGCCCUCCCCUCACCCCUCUAUAUAUAGGAGGAGAGGGGCAAGGGGGCCGGCCCUCUAGGGGAAACCCUAGAGGGGGGCGGCGGCCAAAGGGUGGGGGGCUUGCCCCCCAAGCAAGGGGGUUGCGCCCCCUUUAGGGUUUCCCCCCCAACCCUAGGCGCAUGGGCCCAAGGGGGGGGGCGCCAAGCCCACCAGGGGCUGGCUGCUAUCCCUAUGCAGCCCAAGUGGCCCCCCGGGAGGGGUGGUCCCUCCCGGUGGACCCCCAGAACCUUUCCGGUGCCCGUUUAACAACUUCCCAUAUAUAAAACUUUACCUCCGGACCAUUCCGGGACUCCUCGUGACGUCCGGGAUCUCAUCCGGGACUCCGAACAACAUUCGGUAAUCACAUACUUGUCUUCCUGAUAACCCUAGCGUCACCGAACCUUAAGUGUGUAGACCCUACGGGUUCGGGAGACAUGCAGACAUGACCGAGACUCUCCGGUCAAUAACCAACAGCGGGAUCUAGAUACCCAUGUUGGCUCCCACAUGCUCCUCGAUGAUGUCAUCGGAUGAACCACGAUGUCGAGGAUUCAAUCAAACCCCGUAUACAAUUCCCUUUGUCAAUCGGUACGUUACUUGCCCGAGACCCGAUCAUCGGUAUCCCAAUACCUUGUUCAGUCUCGUUACCGGCAAGUCACUUUACUCGUACCGUAAUGCAUGAUCCCGUGACCAAACACUUGGUCACCUUGAGCUCAUUAUGAUGAUGCAUUACCGAGUGGGCCCAGAGAUACCUCUCCGUCAUACGGAGUGACAAAUCCCAGUCUCGAUCCGUGUCAACCCAACAGACACUUUCGGAGAUACCUGUAAUGCACCUUUAUAAUCACCCAGUUACGUUGUGACGUUUGGUACACCCAAAGCACUCUUACGUAUCCGGGAGUUACAUGAUCUCAUGGUCUAAGGAAGAGAUACUUGACAUUGGAAAAGCUCUAGCAAACGAACUAACCGACCUUUGUGCUAUGCUUAGGAUUGGGUCUUGUCCAUCACAUCAUUCUCCUAAUGAUGUGAUCCCGUUAUCAACGACAUCCAAUGUCCAUAGCCAGGAAACCAUGACUAUCUGUUGAUCACAACGAGCUAGUCAACUAGAGGCUCACUAGGGACAUAUUGUGGUCUAUGUAUUCACACGUGUAUUACGAUUUCCGGAUAAUACAGUUAUAGCAUGAAUAAAAGACUAUUAUCAUGAACAAGGAAAUAUAAUAAUAACACUUUUAUUAUUGCCUCUAGGGCAUAUUUCCAACAGUCUCCCACUUGCGCUAGAGUCAAUAAUCUAGUUACAUUGUGAUGAAUCGAACACCCAUAGAGUUCUGAUGUUGAUCAUGUUUCGCUCGCGAGAGAGGUUUAGUCAACAGAUCUGCGACAUUCAGAUCCGUAUGUACUUUGCAAAUUUCUAUGUCUCCAUCUUGAACAUUUUCACGGAUGGAGUUGAAAUGACGCUUGAUGUGCCUGGUCUUCUUGUGAAAUCUGGGCUCCUUUGCAAGGGCAAUAGCUCCAGUAUUGUCACAGAAAAGUUUGAUCAGCCCCGACGCAUUGGGUAUGACUCCUAGGUCGGUGAUGAACUCCUUCACCCAAAUAGCUUCAUGCGCCGCCUCCGAGGCUGCCAUGUACUCCGCUUCACAUGUAGAUCCCGCCACGACGCUCUGCUUGCAGCUGCACCAGCUUACUGCUCCACCAUUCAACAUAUACACGUAUUCAGUUUGUGACUUAGAGUCAUCCAGAUCUGUGUCGAAGCUAGCGUCGAUGUAACCCUUUACGACGAGCUCUUCGUCACCUCCAUAAACGAGAAACAUGUCCUUUGUCCUUUUCAGGUACUUCAGGAUAUUCUUGACCACUGUCCAGUGUUCCUUGUCGGGAUUACUUUGGUACCUUCCUACCAAACUUACGGCAAGGUUUACAUCAGGUCUGGUACACAGCAUGGCAUACAUAAUAGAUCCUAUGGCUGAAGCAUAGGGGAUGACGCUCAUCUCUUCUUUAUCUUUUGCCGUGGUCGGGCAUUGAGCCGAGCUCAAUCUCACACCUUGCAAUACAGGCAAGAACCCCUUCUUAGACUGAUCCAUUUUGAACUUCUUCAAAAUCUUAUCAAGGUAUGUGCUUUGUGAAAGACCUAUGAGGCGUCUCGAUCUAUUUCUAUAGAUCUUGAUGCCUAAUAUAUAAGCAGCUUCUCCAAGGUCCUUCAUUGAAAAACACUUAUUCAAGUAGGCCUUAAUGCUGUCCAAGAAUUCUAUAUCAUUUCCCAUCAAAAGUAUGUCAUCUACAUAUAAUAUGAGAAAUGCUACAGAGCUCCCACUCACUUUCUUGUAAACGUAGGCUUCUCCAUAAGUCUGCAUAAACCCAAACGCUUUGAUCAUCUCAUCAAAGCGAAUAUUCCAACUCCGAGAUGCUUGCACCAGCCCAUAAAUGGAUCGCUGGAGCUUGCAUACUUUGUUAGCAUUCUUAGGAUCGACAAAACCCUCCGGCUGCAUCAUAUACAGUUCUUCCUUAAGAUGCCCAUUAAGGAAUGCCGUUUUGACGUCCAUCUGCCAUAUCUCAUAAUCAUAGUAUGCGGGAAUUGCUAACAUGAUUCGGACGGACUUAAGAUUCGCUAGGGGAGAGAAAGUCUCAUCGUAGUCAAUCCCUUGAACUUGUCGAUAACUCUUAGUGACAAGUCGAGCUUUAUAGAUGGUGACAUUACCAUCCGCGUCCGUCUUCUUCUUAAAGAUCCAUUUGUUUUCUAUCGCUCGCCGAUCAUCGGGCAAGUCAGUCAAAGUCCAUACUUUGUUUUCAUACAUGGAUUCUAUCUCGGAUUUCAUGGCUUCUAGCCAUUUGUUGGAAUCUUGGCCCGCCAUCGCUUCUUCAUAGUUCGAACAUUCACCGUUGUCUAACAACAUGAUUUCCAGGACAGGGUUGCCGUACCACUCUGGUGCGGAACGUGUCCUUGUGGACCUACGAAGUUCAGUAGCAACUUGAUCCGAAGUACCUUGAUCAUCAUCAUUAUUUUCCUCUUCAGUUGGUGUAGGCAUCACAGGAAUAUCUUCCUGAGCUGCACUACUGUCCCGCUCAAGAGGUAGUACUUCAUCGAGUUCUACUUUCCUCCCACUUAAUUCUUUCGAGAGAAACUCUUUUUCCAGAAAGCAUCUGUUCUUGGCAACGAAGAUCUUGCCCUUGGAUCUUAAGUAGAAGGUAUACCCUACAGUUUCCUUAGGGUAUCCUAUGAAGACGCAUUUUUCCGACUUGGGUUCGAGCUUUUUAGGUUGAAGUUUCUUGACAUAAGCAUCACAUCCCCAAACUUUUAGAAACGACAGCUUAGGUUUCUUCCCAAACCAUAAUUCAUACGAUGUCAUCUCAACGGAUUUAGACGGUGCCCUAUUUAAAGUGAAUGUGGCUGUCUUUAGAGCGUAUCCCCAAAAUGAUAGCGGUAAAUCGGUAAGAGACAUCAUAGACCGCACCAUAUCCAAUAGAGUGCGAUUACGACGUUCGGACACACCGUUUCGCUGAGGUGUUCCAGGCGGCGUGAGUUGUGAAACGAUUCCACAUUUCCUUAAGUGUGUGCCAAAUUCGUGACUUAAAUAUUCUCCUCCAUGAUCUGAUCGUAGGAACUUUAUCUUUCGGUCACGUUGAUUCUCCACCUCAUUCUGAAAUUCCUUGAACUUUCCAAAGGUCUCAGACUUGUGUUUCAUCAAGUAGACAUACCCAUAUCUACUCAAGUCAUCUGUGAGAGUGAGAACAUAACGAUAUCCUCCGCGAGCCUCAACACUCAUUGGACCGCACACAUCGGUAUGUAUGAUUUCCAACAAGUUGGUUGCUCGCUCCAUUGUUCCGGAGAACGGAGUCUUGGUCAUCUUGCCCAUGAGGCAUGGUUCGCAUGUGUCAAAUGAUUCAUAAUCAAGAGACUCUAAAAGUCCAUCAGCAUGGAGCUUUUUCAUGCGCUUGACACUAAUGUGACCAAGGCGGCAGUGCCACAAGUAUGUGGGACUAUCGUUAUCAACUUUACAUCUUUUGGCAUCUACACUAUGAACAUGUGUAAUAUUACGCUCGAGAUUCAUUAAGAAUAAACCAUUGACCAUCGGAGCAUGACCAUAAAACAUAUCUCUCAUAUAAAUCGAACAACCAUUAUUCUCAGACUUAAAUGAGUAGCCAUCUCGUAUUAAACGGGAUCCAGAUACAAUGUUCAUGCUCAAACUUGGCACUAAAUAACAAUUAUUAAGGUUCAAAACUAAUCCCGUAGGUAAAUGUAGAGGCAGCGUGCCGACGGCGAUCACAUCGACUCUGGAACCAUUCCCGACGCGCAUUGUCACCUCGUCCUUCGCCAGUCUCCGUUUAUUCCGCAGCUCCUGCUGUGAGUUACAAAUAUGAGCAAUGGCACCGGUAUCAAAUACCCAGGAGUUACUACGAGUACUGGUAAGGUACACAUCAAUUAAAUGUAUAUCAAAUAUACCUUUGGUGUUGCCGGCCUUCUUAUCCGCUAAGUAUUUGGGGCAGUUCCGCUUCCAGUGACCCUUCCCCUUGCAAUAAAAACACUCAGUCUCAGGCUUGGGUCCAUUCUUUGACUUCUUCCCGGCAACUGGCUUACCGGGUGCGGCAACCUCUUUGCCGUCCUUCUUGAAGUUCUUCUUACCCUUGCCUUUCUUGAACUUAGUGGUCUUAUUGACCAUCAACACUUGAUAUUAUUUCUUGAUUUCAACCUCUGCUGACCUCAGCAUAGAAAAUACUUCAGGAAUGGUCUUUACCAUCCCCUGCAUAUUGUAGUUCAUCACAAAGCUCUUGUAGCUUGGUGGGAGCGACUAAAGGAUUCUGUCAAUGACUGCCUCAUCAGGGAGGUUAAUAUUCAGCUGGGUCAUACGGUUGUGCAACCCAGACAUCUUGAGUAUGUGCUCACUGAUAGAACUAUUUUCCUCCAUCUUACAACUAUAGAACUUGUCGGAGAUGUCAUAUCUCUCGACCCGGGCGUGAGCUUGGAAAACUAGUUUCAACUCUUUGAACAUCUCAUAUGCUCCGUGAUGCUCAAAACGCUUUUGGAGCCCCGGUUCUAAGCUGUAAAGCAUGCCGCACUGAACGAGGGAGUAAUCAUCAGCACGAGACUGCCAAGCAUUCAUAAUGUCUUGGUUCUCUGGGACGGGAGCGUCACCUAGCGGUCCUUCUAGGACAUAUUGUUUCCUGGCAGCUAUGAGGAUGAUCCUCAGGUUCCGGACCCAGUCCGUAUAGUUGCUGCCAUCAUCUUUCAGCUUGGUUUUCUCUAGGAACGCGUUGAAGUUCAUGUUGACAUGAGCGUUGGCCAUUUGAUCUACAAGACAUAUUUGCAAAGGAUUUAGACUAAGUUCAUGAUAAUUAAGUUCUAAUCAAAUUAUGAACUCCCACUCAGAUUAGACAUCCCUCUAGUCAUCUAAGUGUUACACGAUCCGAGUCGACUAGCCUGUGUCCGAUCAUCACGUGAGACGGACUAGUCAUCAUCGGUGAACAUUCUCAUGUUGAUCGUAUCUUCCAUACGACUCGUGUUCGACCUUUCGGUCUCCGUGUUCCGAGGCCAUGUCUGCACAUGCUAGGCUCGUCAAGUUAACCCUAAGUGUUUUCGCUCUGUAAAACUGUCUUACACCCGUUGUAUGUGAACGUAAGAAUCCAUCGCACCCGAUCAUCACGUGGUGCUUAGAAGCGACGAACUGUAGCAACGGUGCACAGUUAGCGGAGAACACUUCUUGAAAUUUUGUAAGGGAUCAUCUUAUUUACUACCGUCGUCCUAAGUAAACAAGAUGCAUAAACAUAAUAAACAUCACAUGCAAUUAUAUAGUUGUGACAUGAUAUGGCCAAUAUCAUAUAGCUACAUUGAUCUCCAUCUUCGGGGCUCCAUGAUCAUCUUGUCACCGGCUUGACACCAUGAUCUCCAUCAUCAUGAUCUCCAUCAUCGUGUAUUCAUGAAGUUGUCACGCCAACGACUACUUCUACUUCUAUGGCUAACGCGUUUAGCAGUAAAGUAAAGUAGUUUACAUGGCGUUCUUCAAUGACACGCAGGUCAUACAAAAAAUAAAGACAACUCCUAUGGCUCCUGCCGGUUGUCAUACUCAUCGACAUGCAAGUCGUGAAUCCUAUUACAAGAACAUGAUCUCAUACAUCACAAUUCAUCAUUCAUCACAACUUCUGGCCAUAUCACAUCACAUGAUCAAUCGCUGCAAAAACAAGUUAGACGUCCUCUAAUUGUUGUUGCAUCUUUUAUGUGGCUGCAAUUGGGUUCUAGCAAGAACGUUUUCUUACCUACGAAUAACCACAACGUGAUUUUGUCAACUUCUAUUUAGCCUUCAUAAGGGCCCUUUUCAUCGAAUCCGCUCCAACUAAAGUGGGAGAGACAGACACCCGCCAGCCACCUUAUGCAACUAGUGCAUGUUAAUUGGUGGAACCGGUCUCACGUAAGCGUACGUGUAAGGUUGGUCCGGGCCGCUUCAUCCCACAAUACCGCUGAAGCAAGAAAAGACUAGUAGAGGCAAGCAAGUUGACAAGAUCCACACCCACAACAAAAUUGUGUUCUACUCGUGCAAAGAGAACUACGCAUAGACCUAGCUCAUGAUGGCACUGUUGGGGAAUGUUGCAGAAAAUUAAAAAAUUUCCUAUGGUUUCAGCAAGAUCCAUCUAUGAGUUCAUCUAAGCAAUGAGUCAAGGGGAAGAGUUUGCAUCUACAUACCACUUGUAGAUCGAGUGCGGAAGCGUUCAAGGGAAUGGUGAUGAUGGAGUCGUACUCGUCGUGAUUCGGAUCACCGAUGACCAAGUGCUGAACGGACAGCACCUCCGCGUUCAACACAUGUACGGGACGGUCGACGUCUCCUCCGUCUUGAUCCAGCAAGGAGGAAGGAGAGGUUGAGGAAGGCAGCUCGAAGGGCAGCAACGACGGCGUGGUGCAGUUGGUGCAGCAGUAUUCCGAUAGAGCUUCGCCGAGCACGUACGGAGGAGGAGAGGUGUUGGGGAGGGGAGGGGCUGCGCCUUGAGUUGUGUUGUUGCAGCCCUCCCCUCACCCCUCUAUAUAUAGGAGGAGAGGGGCAAGGGGGCCGGCCCUCUAGGGGAAACCCUAGAGGGGGGCGGCGGCCAAAGGGUGGGGGGCUUGCCCCCCAAGCAAGGGGGUUGCGCCCCCUUUAGGGUUUCCCCCCCAACCCUAGGCGCAUGGGCCCAAGGGGGGGGCGCCAAGCCCACCAGGGGCUGGCUGCUAUCCCUACGCAGCCCAAGUGGCCCCCCGGGAGGGGUGGUCCCUCCCGAUGGACCCCCGGAACCUUUCCGGUGCCCGUUUAACAACUUCCCAUAUAUAAAACUUUACCUCCGGACCAUUCCGGGACUCCUCGUGACGUCCGGGAUCUCAUCCGGGACUUCGAACAACAUUCGGUAAUCACAUACUUGUCUUCCUGAUAACCCUAGCGUCACCGAACCUUAAGUGUGUAGACCCUACGGGUUCGGGAGACAUGCAGACAUGACCGAGACUCUCCGGUCAAUAACCAACAGCGGGAUCUGGAUACCCAUGUUGGCUCCCACAUGCUCCUCGAUGAUGUCAUCGGAUGAACCACGAUGUCGAGGAUUCGAUCAAACCCCGUAUACAAUUCCCUUUGUCAAUCGGUACGUUACUUGCCCGAGACCCGAUCGUCGGUAUCCCAAUACCUUGUUCAGUCUCGUUACCGGCAAGUCACUUUACUCAUACCGUAAUGCAUGAUCCCGUGACGAAACACUUGGUCACCUUGAUCUCAUUAUGAUGAUGCAUUACCGAGUGGGCCCAGAGAUACCUCUCCGUCAUACGGAGUGACAAAUCCCAGUCUCGAUCCGUGUCAACCCAACAGACACUUUCGGAGAUACCUGUAAUGCACCUUUAUAAUCACCCAGUUACGUUGUGACGUUUGGUACACCCAAAGCACUCUUACGGUAUCCGGGAGUUACACGAUCUCAUGGUCUAAGGAAGAGAUACUUGACAUUGGAAAAGCUCUAGCAAACGAACUAACCGACCUUUGUGCUAUGCUUAGGAUUGGGUCUUGUCCAUCACAUCAUUCUCCUAAUGAUGUGAUCCCGUUAUCAACGACAUCCAAUGUCCAUAGCCAGGAAACCAUGCCUAUCUGUUGAUCACAACGAGCUAGUCAACUAGAGGCUCACUAGGGACAUAUUGUGGUCUAUGUAUUCACACGUGUAUUACGAUUUCCGGAUAAUACAGUUAUAGCAUGAAUAAAAGACUAUUAUCAUGAACAAAGAAAUAUAAUAAUAACACUUUUAUUAUUGCCUCUAGGGCAUAUUUCCAAUAGCAGGAUCAUCCAAUUGCAUUUGUCAGCAGGGCCUUGGGUCCUAAGAACAGAGGUCUUUCUGUGUAUGAGAAGGAAUACAUGCCAAUACUACUAGCUAUUGAGCAGUGGAGACCAUACUUGCAAUUCCAGGAGUUCAUUAUCAAGAUAGAUCAGAAGAGUCUGGUUCACCCAUCUGAUCAAAGAUUGCAUACACCUUGGCAGGAAAAAGCACUCACCAAAAUGAUGGGCCUCAACUAUAAGAUCAUGUAUAAAAAGGGAUCUAACAAUUCAGCAGUAGAUGCUCUUUCUAGAAGGCCUCAUGCAGAUUCUCAACUCCUAACAAUAUCAUAUGCUCAGCCCAGUUGGCUUGGUGAAGUUGUCAAGAGUUACUCAAAUGAUCAAAAAGCACAAGAGUUACUGUGCCAACUGACCCUACAACCAGGCUCCAAGGAUAAAUUUCAGCUAGUUAAUGGGUUAAUAAGGUACAAGGGCUGCAUCUGGGUGGGCAAUGAUAGUACAUUGCAUAUAAAAAUUUGCCAACCCUUCCAUGACACACGCCUAGGAGGGCACUCAGGUUUCCCAGUUACUUAUAAGAGAAUUCGUGCUCUUUUUAAGUGGGUUGGCAUGAAGAAAGUUGUUCAGCAGUUUGUGCAAUCUUGCUUAGUGUGUCAGCAAGCGACACCUGAGAGAGUGGCUUACCUUGGACUGCUAUCCCCAUUACCAGUUCCUACCAAGGCUUGGGCAACUGUAACAAUGGGCUUUAUCUCAGGUUUACCUCCCUCGGGUCAGUUUGAUUGCAUUAUGGUCAUCAUCGACAAAUUUACAAAAUAUGGCCACUUUGUUCCUGUCAAACACCCCUACACGUCUUAGAAAAUUGCUGAUCUUUUCCUGGACAGUGUCUAUAAGCUUCAUGGCAUGCCUCUGUACAUUGUGUCAGAUCGGGAUCAUAUCUUUACCAGCAAUUUUUGGCAAGCAUUGGUUAAGAAAACUGGGAUUGUUCUUAACAUGAGCACUGCAUAUCAUAUGGAGACUGAUGGCCAAACCGAACGAGUGAAUCAACAGGUUGAGUGUUUCCUAAGAUGCUUUAUCAGUGACCACCCGAGCAAAUGGUCCAAAUGGCUUUCUCUAUGAGAGUUCUGGUACAAUACAAACUGAUAUUCAGGUCUGAACAAAUCACCAUUUGAAGUUCUUUAUGGGCAUAGCCCCAGGUAUUUUGGGAUAUCAGUUUCAGAUACAGUUGCUCCGGUUGAUUUGCAGCAAUGGUUGGAAGCCAGGGAAGUUGUGUAACAGUCAGUUUGUCAACACCUGUUGCAUGUGCAACGAUGAAUGAAACACCAGGCCAACAAACAUCGCACAGAGUGGACAUUUGAAGUGGGUGACAGGGUGUUCCUCAAGCUCAAGCCAUAUGUGCAAUCGUUAGUGGCGCACAGGGCAAAUAACAAACUUGCAUUCAAGUACUUUUGGCCUUUCCCCAUUCUGGAGAAAAUUGGCGAGGUGGCUUACCAACUGCAAUUGCCAGCAGCUAGCCGUAUCCACCUGGCCUUUCAUGUUUUGCAGCUGAAGCGCUUUGUGCAACCACAUUACGAGGUAAUUGUCUCACUUCCUUGUGCCGAUGCUCACCUCCAAAUCCCUGUUAAGAUCCUGCAGGAGCACAUUCGCCGCUCGGACAAUCAUUCCGUGGCUCAAGCCUUGAUGCAGUGGAGUGGUGGAGAUGCAUCUAUAGCAACCUGGAAGGACAAGGACUCGCUUCGCCAGUUGUUUCCGCGAGCCCCGACUUGGGGUUAAGCCGGUUCUAAAAGAGAGGGGGAUGUCAACGCUCACAAGGGCAGAGCCAGUCAACCAGAAGCACGAGUUGACGUGGAUUCGACUCAUGGGCUGUCAGCCGCACGGCCCACUCGUGAUCGACGACUUCCCCAGUGGCUUGCAGGCCCAAACUGGGACCGUUGAGGGUGUACGCCGAUAUAUGCGUUGUGUGUGUGUGUUGCGUGAGGAUUGGGAACGGAGUUGGUGGCUUCAGCCAUGGCUAGUGUGCGGCGUGCGUGAGCUCGUGUAAGUAUUUAUGGCGAAUUGGCUAUAGAUUGAGAUCAAUACAAGUUAUACCCUCACAUUUCGGAGGACAGAAUGAAACAUCCCCACCGGAAUAGCAGAUAGUGCAACAAGACGAUGGACGUGUGACGCCCCAAGACCGACGCUCCAGAAGACUUAUAGCUGGUCCAUGUUUCUCGUUGUCGCCGUGUGUUUUGUUUUGUUUGUUGCACUCAUCAUUGCAUCAUGUCAUCAUGCAGCCCUUUUUAAACCUCAGCUAAAUAAAUUGCAUAGAUCAUCGAUCUAUUUAAAUCGAGGGAAUUUACAUGGUGAUUUCUCUUUAGAACAUAUACUCCCAAUAUUAUUAGGGAGCUAUAAUAAAUAUUCCAUUAACUGGAAAUCACCCAUAACACAUUUACAUUAUUCUUCAACUCUUCUUUUAUCCGACUCAACUUUCUAUCCUUCCUUUUCGACGUUUUAGUAAAAUUGAGUUGCAAUUUUACUUCUCCAUAAAUGUUGCAAAUCUGCCCAUAAAUCACAUCUGGUGUGUAGGGUCACCCCCCUAUAAUUUCAACCCAUUUGGAGUUCAUUCGAAUGGGUUUCGAAAUUCAAACUUGUCUGAGUUAAAUCCAACAGGUGUGGAUAUUAUUUCCUCUAAAAAUCCUCAAUCUAUUUUUUUCAAAUUCUUCACAUUUUUGUGAGUCUGGGAAAAUAAUCCCCAUGCCCAAAUUCUAUCUCUACCUUCAUUUCUUCUUUUUUUUCUUUGACAUUUUUCUGUUUUUGGGAGAGAGAAGAAGGAGAGCAGCCGCAGCUCAGCCUGCUCCCAGCAGCCGUCUCAGGCCACCGCGGCCUCCCGUAGCCCACCACCCAGGCCUAGGCCUAGUCGGCGCCCCUUUCUAACCUAACCCUCACCCGAUCCCCUCGUUAUCUCCCUCUCAAAUCCCCUCAUCCUCCUCCUUGCGCCGCCGCGAGGGCUUCUUGCCCGACCCCGUGCCACCUCGUCCCCGUAGCUCUUCAGCUCGCAGCCGCCGGCGAGCCCCGUCCACCACGCGCUACCCCGAGCCUCUUGCCAUCACUCUCCACCCCGCGCGCGACCAGCGCCGUCCUAUCCGCGCCGCCCCGUCCAGUUCCUCGUCGGUGACCCCCCGCCGUGGGCACCUCCUGCCUGAGAACCACCUUCGGCCACGCCAUGGUUCUCCUGCACCAGCUCCGUUCGACAAGGACGUCGCCCCGCUUCCUUCUCUUGCCGCGACCCAGAUCCCCCUCCUCACGCCUCGGGUCACCUCGCCACCCCAUCACCCGUCUUGUGCCCGCGUCCGUGUAGCACCAUCUCUGCUGCCCCCACGCACCUCCAAUGACCUCCCGAGGCAGGGCCAAGUACCACUACCAUCGCGUUUCGUUUCUUCAUCGUCAAGGCCGAGAGGACGCCAAGUACCAGGACGUCAGGACCCGUCAAGUUUAUCUACGUGCAUGUACGACUAUCUUCGACAUAGACCCGUGUACGAUUACGCAACGAACUGUGGAGUUACAUGAGCUACCAGUACCGCGACGACCCCGGAGACUGUAUUCUGUCAAGUUCCUACAAUAUGUGUACCACUACUUCCACAACAUGUCGUGUAUGACUACCGUUGCUCGGAUUCGACAAGACAACAUGUACCACUACCGUUGCCAAGUUCGACUGCCGCACGGUUACGCCAAGUUCAUCUAUGAAACAUGUACAACUACUUCCACUACCGUCGCGAGAACGACUACUUCUACUACGGCCCGUAUACCACUACUUCCCUCGACGAACUCGAACCGCUCCGAAAAAGCACACUACAAAGGUAUAACCACGAGACGAUCACGCGUGGACCGAAUGCACGUGUGUUGUAUCAGGUGCUCGUGUUUGCAGCAUGUCCGAGUUGAUCCUUGCACGUUCCUCCUCGUUUGCCAUGCCGUCGACCCGUGGGAACCCGGUAAUCCGGGAUCACCCCGCCAUCUUUUGCAUGCUCACGCCCACACUUUCUUUUGCACCGAUAUCUCAACGACUUGCUGGAUCAUCGUAAUGUUGCCGUGGCACCAUUUCCGUUUUCAUUGCCGUGGCACCCCUUUUGUUCCGCCAUGGUGACAAAUGCUUCAUAUCUUAUAUUAUGUCAACAUUUUCAUAAAAAAUGCAUAAAACUUGAAUAUGUCAUCCGCGUCAUGAUAACAACAUUUAAAAUGUUUAAAGUUGUUGUUGCAUUAAAUUGCUAAAUAACAUAUGGGGAUUUUUCAGAAUUGUUGUUUGUUGUUUCCGGCAUCAUUUAAACUUGCCUAAAUAGGUGGUUUGCUCAUGUUUCACCUCUUGCCAUGUUAACCAACAUUUGAACUUGUCUUAUUCAUAAACGAGAGAGAACUAAAUAAUUGGAUGUGGUGUUUCGUCAAUAUGCAACUCGUUGUAUAUUGAGCUCCACUUAAAUUGUAGUGUUGUUUGUGCACUAUGCCAUGUCAUGCACAUUUAAACCGGACAUGCAUCAUACUUGAAUGUGCAUCAUGCCAUGUUAUAUGAUGAUUGUUUACCAUGCUCUUUGCUUCUUUCCGGUGUUGUUUCUUAGUUCCGGUAACGUUGCGGAUUGUGAGGAUUCGUUCGACUACGUCCGUUUGUCUUCUUCUUGGACUCGUUCUUCUUUUUUGCGGGAUCUCAAGCAAGAUGAUCAUUACCCUCGAUAUCACUUCUAUCUUUGCUUGCUAGUUGCUUCUUUCUAUCGCUAUGCCGGUUGAAGUUUUCAUGAGCAUAAGACAAUUGCAAGUCCCAGUUUGCUGCAAGCAUGACAACCCGACACUUGGGGGCUACAUGUGAUAUGCAUAUAAGGGAGGAAUAACUUCAAAUUCUCAGUUUUGAGCAAAUCAGGUAUUAUAUUAUUAUCAGAGAAAUCUGCAAAGUUUAUGACCCGGCGUCAUCAUAAGAUUAACCCGGCGUCAGCAACAAUUACAUGACCCGACAUCAUUUAUUUAUAACUCGGCAAAUUUGGUAAUCAUAAGUCGGCAAGAUUUACAUCUCUAAGCCGGCUGAAUAUCAAUUCAAUAUUUCAAAGACUAAUGUUUUUGUCAAGUCAGAGCAUUGAAGGCCGACUCAAAUGGAUUAUUUCUUAUAAUAUUUCUCUACAAGAGCCAAUGUCAGCAAAUUGGUUAUGAAGCUGGCCUAUUGACCCCGAUUUUUUAGAAGAAGUGCCUGGAUUUUUUGCAUUGGCAAGGUUUGGACAUAUCUGUUAAAGGAUAUUUGUUAUAAGAUCUUGAGUAUGCAUCCAGGAGGAAAUGACAAGGACUAAAAGAUGAUCAGGUGCCGGUUCAAGAAAAUAUUUAACCCAGAGCACAACCUAUCAAGUUUGUUCUUGUGUUUAUUUUAUAGGAUCAGUUUAACAUGGAUAAAUCCAAAUUAAACCGGGGGCUAAUGUCAGGGAUAUACCCCGCGGUAUGACCCGGCCGGAAGUAUGACCCGGCCGGGCUGGGUGUUUUCAUUGGUAACCUGCCGGAGUGGCGACUCACGAGCCCGGCGAUUCACGGAUGGCCCUGAUGGCGGCUCAGAUAGAAGACAAGGCCCAAGGCCCAGAAGGCGGACUCAUGCUAUGGUGGGCCGGCUUAAGAAAAAAGGCAUAGGGAAUAUUAUCCUACAAAGGAGGCAAGACUAGGACUCCACUUGUAAUAGAGUAAUCCUAGUCCUACUAGGACUAGUCAUGUAACCCGCCCCUUCAACUUAUAUAAGGAGGGGCAGGGCUCCCCAAAGAGGACAAGCAAGAAGAAACAAUCUCUAGGGAUAGACACAAGAGCCGGCUUACCGGCGACUCCCUCAUGAUCAUAAUGAGACCUAGCCACAAACAGCAUUUAGGGUUAUUACCGGAUGAUGUUUCCCGGGGCCCGAAGCUGUCUAAAUCCUUGUCUUGUGUGUUGAUUGCAUCGCGUCUCUCGAUUCCGACCAACACCUUCAAGCUACUGCAUAGAUGCGUUGGCCUCACGACUAAGUCCUCACACUAAGGAGAUCUAACGUGACAAUUCCACGACACUAUCACUUGUUUACCAUGCCUCCCUUAUUGCCAUGUCAAGCCUCUAACCCACCUUCCUAGUAAACCGUUGUUUGGCCAAAUUCCCGCUUUUGGUCAGCCUCUCUUAUAGCGUUGUUAGUUGCAGGUGAAGUUGAAGAUUGCUCCAUGUUGGAACAUGAUUAUGUUGGGAUAUCACAGUAUCUCUUAUUUUUAAUUAAUGCAUCUAUAUAUUUGGUAAAGGGUGGAAGGCUUGGCCUUAUGCCUGGUGUUUUGUUCCGCUCUUGCCGCCUUAGUUUCCGUCAUACCAGUGUUAUGUUCCUUGAUUUUGCUUUCCUUACGCGGUCGGGUUUAUGGGAACCCCCUGACAGUUCGCCUUGAAUAAAACUCCUCCAACAAGGCCCAACAUUGGUUUUCCAUUUGCCUAACAACCUACAACCCUCCCUUGGGGUCNNNNNNNNNNNNNNNNNNNNNNNNNNNNNNNNNNNNNNNNNNNNNNNNNNNNNNNNNNNNNNNNNNNNNNNNNNNNNNNNNNNNNNNNNNNNNNNNNNNNNNNNNNNNNNNNNNNNNNNNNNNNNNNNNNNNNNNNNNNNNNNNNNNNNNNNNNNNNNNNNNNNNNNNNNNNNNNNNNNNNNNNNNNNNNNNNNNNNNNNNNNUCUCUAAUUGUUGGUCCGAACUAGAGCCACUUGCAGCGCCACCUCGGGGAAACUUGAGGGAUGGUUUUUAGCUGUACGUAGUGUUCAUCCGGUGCACCCUGAGAACAAGAUAUGUGCAGCUCCUAUCAAGAUUUGUUGGCACAUCCGGGCGGUCUUGCUGGUCUUGUUUUACCAUUACCGAAAUGUCUUGUAACCGUGAUUCCGAGACUGAUCGGGUCUUUCUGGGAGAUGGAACAUCCUUCGUUAAUCGUGAGAGCUUGUGAUGGGCUAAGUUGGGACACCCUUGCGGGGUAUAAACUUUCGAGAGCCGUGCCCGCGGUUAUGUGGCAAACGGGAAUUUGUUAAUAUCCGGUUGUAGAGAACUUGACAUUUGACUUAAUUAAAAUGCAUUAACCGCGUGUGUAGCCGUGAUGGUCUCUUUUCGGCGGAGUCCGGGAAGUGAACACGGUUUGGGUUAUGUUUGAACGUAAGUAGUCUUCAGGAUCACUUCUUGAUCACUUCUAGGUGACGACCGUUGCGUAGCUUCUCUUCCUACUCUUGUACUCACCUGUUAGCCACCAUAUUUUUCUUAUCAAUUGCUGCAACCCCACCUCAUUACCACAUCCUACCCAUAAGCUUAAAUAGUCUUGAUCUUGCGGGUUUGAGAUGGCCGAGUCCUCGUGACUCACAGAUACUACAAAAACAGUUGCAUGUGCCGAUGAUAUCAGUGCAGGUGAUGCAACUAAGCUCAGUUGGGAUUUUGACGAAGUCCUUGGCAGUUACUAUGUUUCGUUUCCUGAUGAUCAGUAGUGGAGCCCAGUUGGGACGAGCGGGGAUCUAGCAUUUGGGGUUAUCUUCUUUUCAGUUGGAUUUGUCCGUAGCCGGAUUAUGUGUGUACUCUGAAUGUUGUAUGUUUUAUUGAAGUACUUGUGUGAAGUAACGAUUGUAAGCCAACUCUUUAUCCCUUUCUUGUUCAUUACAUGAGAUUGUGUGAAGAUGACCCUUCUUGCGAAACAACCACAAUGCGGUUAUUCCUCUAAGUCGUGCCUCAACACGUGGGAGUUAUAGCCGCAUCGUGGGCGUUACAGGACGCUUGCCUGUUGUGCCCGCACUCUAACACUAGAUGCACGGGUUCGCCGCACACUUGUCCUAUGUGGGUUGCCGGGACAUCAAGUAAGCCAAGACGUACUUCUUCCACAACGCUAUUGUGGUUUGUGUUGCACAAGCGGGUAGUGCGCCGCGGCACGCCGCGCUUUGCUGGUAGUUUCGAGAUGUGUUGAUUUUUGUAUUUUGCAUAAACUUUUACAUGUAAAAAUAGUUAGAUAUUAGAGGCAAUACACCAUGCAGGUGGAUCAUUAAUUCAAGACCGUCUUACCACAAGAUUAGACGAUGGAACCAUGAACUUAAAAACUGUUAUGAAAUAUAGUGACCAGAGCAUGGACACAAUUUAUUAUCACUGUAGAGGGUGGCCAUCACUAUGCAUUAUUAACACGAAGUUAUUAUCUCUGAAAAAAUCUCAUGGAAAAGAAUAGAACAGUGGUAGAGAUUUCUAUAGAGCAUAGUCCUGCUUAAGAAUGUUGAACAAUCUGUCCUAUUUUUGCUUGAGCUUGGAAGAAUAAGACAUUCAAUAUAAUGAAUUUUAAACGAUACAAAAAUGUGGAUCAAACUGAACUUUGAAAAAAACUUAAUCUCUCCUACUACUAAAUGUAUACAUUGAUUUUUUUUCCUCACAAUUUUUUUACCCUCGGCUUCAUUCGAGCUAACAACUCAUAUAUUUUAUCAGUGCAGUUGUAAGAAAACAUAAAAGAGUUAUAAUUUUUUGCUUCCUCUAACCAGGUCCACAAUAAUCAAGCUACAAAUUACUGGAUGAAGUAAGUGGGAUGACCGGUAAAGUAAUUUGGAACCAAAGCAUGAUAAUAAGCAAAUUAUCAUCAUCCUAUAGAUAACAAUCAGAUAAAACAGAAGGAGCUGCAUGAAGCAAUUUUGAGUCAAGACUGUUUGCAGCAAGUUCUAUUACUGAUCCUUGAAUAACAGAACAAUACAAUAAUGAAGUGUACAUUUGUCAGACCCAUCACUGCUCACACGUGUGCACCUGCACUUGGGACCACAAUGGUGCGGUGCACUAAAAAGUCUGAGAUCCACUCUCUUUCUCUCUAGCUUUCUCUAAUCUCCCUGCUCAUUCCCCACCUCCACCAUUCCCCCAUCUCCCUAGUGCAUUUGUUGCUCUCGUCGCCGGCUCUCGCUGCCCCAGCGUGGCUCAUCCGUCUCCUCUCCACUGGAAGUAGAAAUCGAGUGCUCCUCGCCCGCACAACACGCAUUGGCGAGGCACCUCCUCCGCCGGCUCCUCGCCUGCACAGCACGCAUCGGUGAGGAAUCGAUGCCACUCAAAGCAGUGGGCGGUCUGGAAAGGGAGAAACCGGCGGAGGAGGGAGGAUCUCGAAAGAGUAGGAGGAAGCGAGGCUGCGAGAGAGGCAGGGGAGAAGAGGAAGCGGCGGGGUAGGGUGUGGCGGUGGCAAAAGCUGCGGCAUGCUCGUCAUUGGGCAUUGAUGGCGGCAAGAGCUAGCUAGGCACGACAACUCCUGAUGAGGUUCACCGUCCACGCGAUUCAUAUCCUCCAGGAUGGUCUCGUCGAUUGAUUCUCUCCUCUCGGGUACCUACUCACCCGACUGCUAAAUCUCCAUCUGUCUAAUUCACCUUUUCUGCUAACUGCAAGUCUCACACCAUGUAAGCGCAACCCGCGGUUCGACAUGGGACUUCGUUUGCUUCAUCUAGAACUUCUGCAUCAUGAGCCUCGCAAAGAUGGCCGCCAUGCUCUUUCUUCCUCUGUCUAGGUAAGCUACAUGAACAGUUUUAGUCGUGAAGCAAGUACACACUUGACUAUAGAAAAUACAUCAUUUUUUCUUCAGUCCACAACGCCAAAAGAAAAUACAGCGAUAAAUGCCAGCAAUUAAUCUUAUGUUAGUUAAUAACAAUGCAUAAGCCUGAAAUUAUCUUCAGUGUCUUAAAUCAAUAGUACAGGAGCACUAUGUAAAUUACUGGAAUAUAUUGAAACAUACCAGGCCUUGUUAUAUCAACAACAGGGACAUACAUAGGUAUUUCUAAAUUCAAUAAUCACUAAAGCAGAUCAGCGUUGCUCGUACUCUUAAAUUAAGAAUACAUACUACCUAUUUAGAUUCUACCUUUGAGCAGCAUAUAAGGAGUGCAAAUAUUAGCAUGAACCCAGAACUCGCUCAAAAUUACAACACAGCUUAACUGAGCAAAAUCAAAUGGCAGAGGAAAAUAUAAUAUGUACAUAUAAAAUUCCUAUUAUGGGCAUCUGCAAAGGCAGAAGAUCAAUACCCACACAUGAUGGUACUGAAACAAAUUCAUGUAACAUCGUCCAAGAAUGUUAGCUUAAGCAUACCAUGAUAAUCACAAAUCUAACGGUCGUUGGCUCUGGUCCAAUAUCGACACCUGCAAUUGCAGAAGAUCAAUUCUCACAGAUGAUGGUACUGAAACAAAUUGGCAAACGAAAGAAAAUACAUGUUGCAUGUACAUAAGCUGGGGAUAGUUUGUUCUCCAGGAGAUGCUUGACAAAAGUUGUUUUCCCCAUACUUUGUACUAAACUAGCGGGGUCGCCCGCGCAUUUGCACGGCUAGAUUAUUGAUUUUGUUGUGAAAAUAGUUGAAGUCCACUUAUUUUUAAUGCUAACAAUAUAUAUUAUAAUUCUAAUGGCCUUAUAAGUGAAACUUUGUAUCAUGCUUUUGGAAUAUUGGUGAUUUAUUGCUCCAAAUAAAUUCAAAUUUUAACAAAAGAAUUAGAGUAUCGCCUAAAAUAACGUACCCAAUUUGGAAUCAAAAUGCAAAAAUAUUGCAAUUAAAGCGUUUUUGUAGCCAUAUAAUAGUUGCGGGACAUGUGUGCCAUGGGGGUUGGCGUGAAGUUCCAUUGAGGAACUUGGACUCUAGGCCACGUGCAGCCGCUAGGCCACCUAAUCUCCUAUGGGUAGGUCAAUUAUCUCUUCCCUGCCACCUUAACCUCUCUUUCAUUCUUCCAUGUUCGCCUCUCUUGCAACUCUCACUCAUUGUACAACCAUUGGUUCUAUUUCUCUUUAGCUUCUCAAGCUUCACCGUGGCCCCCUUUAGACCGAGGUGACACUUAUAUUGAUAGCAAUAACUCCUGAUCGAGCACCGCUGUUGGGUGGUAGUUAGCUUUGAUGGUUUCACAUACAAAAUGUCAAAACUCAUUUGUCAAAUAAAAGAAGUUGUAGCCGGUGUCUAAAUCGUGAAAAAGUAUUAUGGACUCAAGUAUAUUUGUUUUAUCAUGUGUAGUAAGAUGUUAGCAAAGCAUUUCGUAUGUGACAACUAAAAAACAUAUUUGGGUUCACUUUUGGCACGCCAAACUAUAUAGUGGUGUCUGUCUUUUAUCCACAAUUUUAAGAAACAUCCCAACAAAACAUAAUAUUUUAACUCUGAUGUCUAGAAUAUCUUCCAACUAAUGUAUGUUGCUUAGCCAUCUAAGACAAUAUAAACUUAUUUGCAUGUAUUUGAAAAAAAAAUCCAGAACUAACCUCACCUGCUAAAUAUUGCCUAAUCUAUGUAGCUGGCCAUUUUUCUUUAUUUUUAUCGUAGUACGGUUAUUUAUUUUCCUCAUAAAAGUUAUUAGCUUCUUUUAUCGUGGCAUUGCACACACUACAUUUGGUGGCAGCGAGCUGGGUAGCCCUCGCAAUGAUGUGGCUAGAUUGUCUAAUAUAGAGACUAAAACAAAAUCAUAAAAUGUAUAGUACAAACAAUUUAGAGAAAUAUGAUUGUGUACUUUCGGACAAAGGUAUUUCCAUUUUAGUGCAUGGAUUGUAGCCAAGGACAUUUCUAAGUUAAAGCAAAGGAUAAAUGCUACAUUUAUGUGUGUCGCCCUUGAAACCAUAUACUGGAUUAUGCCUUUGUCUCAUCCAGUCCGCAUCCAUGGGCUAUGGAUUUCACAUUGAGUUUCUUAAAGACAUGCACUAUUUAUCCAACAAAUAAGUCACUCCAGAACAAACAAAAAAAUAUUUUUAGGAAAAUUAUAAGGAAAUUCUCCAAUGCAUAUAUUUGAACUAAAUAUAGUUCAUGAGGAUUUUUAGUGCAUGUGCCCAGUUUUUGCAGCAAAAACAUGGGUUACCCUCCCGUAAUUGGAGAUAUCUUCUUUUUAUCCAUAUAAACACCUUAUACAUCUUUUCCUUCUAGUCCAUCAGGAGAAUGAUAUUUUUUGGAAGUGCACCUAUAAUGCGUGAGAUCAUGUACCAAGAAUACACCACGCGGGAAAUCAUUUUGUUACUGUUUUAUUUACCAACUGUUUGCCCUCGUGUCAACGAUUGUGGUAUUUAGCUUUCCACAACAUUAGCAUUGGUACGUUGACCACUGUUAGUUAGAAAGAGAAAAAUACACUAGAACAUCUCGCAGAAAGUAGGCCAAUUAUUUGGUGGACCAUAUAAAAAUUUACAAUUUGGACCGACCAUAGAAAAGGAAAAAUGCUAGAAAAUAUCAUAAGAGCCAAAUAUGAGGAAAUUAGUUUGCUAACGUAAAUGCAUAUACCCCCGCAAAAAACCAUGUCGCAUAAACACAUGCAUAAAUGAUACUCCCUCCGUUCCAAAAUAGAUGACUCUACUUUGUAUUAACUUUAGUGCAAAGUUGGGUCAUCUAUUUUGGAACGGAGGGAGUAUAUAUGUUGCCAAGAUGGUAUCUCCCCAUGUUGUAGAUGCUACACAUGAAGGAUCAAUUAGCUUUCGUGCGUAUAAAGAGAUAGAUCAAUGAGCGCACCUGUUCACAUGUAAAUGCAUGCGUACGUGUGUGUUUUUGCUGUGAACGCCCGAAGCUCCUUGAGUCGACGUGAAUGCGCCGCCAUAACCGCGAGUCAGCGACAACUCUGCCACGCCAUUGUGUUUCUGUCCUGUGACAUGCGCCUCUGCCGCUGCCAUCGGCCGUCGCCCCUGCUGCCGCUGCCGUCGCUGCUACUGUGUAGGCUAGCUUCUACGAUCAUACUCAUCGAUGCGGCCAGUAGCUAUUCAUCUUCGUCCGCAUACCGGCUAAUUGCACAAUUAUAUACGUCUUUGAUUGUCGUUAUAAAUCGUACACCACGGCUUGCUGCAUGGCAGCAGCCUCCACGGCGGUGCACCGGCGAGAUCGUGCGGACCAUGAGGAGGUCAUGGGCCUUGCUGAACCCAGGUAUGCAGUCAAUCAGAGAAUAUCAAAUUAUUUUGCCUUCCCCAAGUCAUAAUAGAUUGCGUGUGCCUGUACGAGCAUGUCGUUUCCUUUCCAAAUUCCGUUUCCUUUCCAUGUAAAUCUUUUUUCUUGUCUACUCAUUUCAAAUUACGUUUCCUUUCCAUGUAAAUCUUUUUUCUUUUCUUUUUAGCACCCUGUCCUAUCCAUCACGUUUGGCUGCGGUUGGACAUACUUUUGUACAUGUCGUUAUUACUUGCCUAUUGCUAGUUUUUUUUACGUGUAUUACAUGAGGAAAUCUUGAUCGUUGAUACAUCUUAAUAUUAGAGUGUCAAAUCAGCACCAUUCGUUUUCUAUCGUUUUAUUAGAGUGUCAAAUCUGCCCUGCUGCUCAAGAAUGUAAAGCCAUGUCAUUCAACUUGUUGUCAAUUGAUCCUACUGGUAAAUACAAAUACAUGUCACUUAAAAAGAUUAUGCCAUUAUAGUUUUCUGAAACAAGAAUACGCCAUAAUAGCAUAGUGCCAGAAUUAUUUCAGUCGCUAUACAGUUUGAUGUGAUUCACAUGCAUGAUAUUUUAAUGAGUAGGCAAAUCGAAAUAUAAGGCAAGUAGAAGGAAGAGGAACCAGGAGUGGUGAUGUUGUGCUCAUCUAUACCGUCGGUUGUGAGCUAUGCAGUGGCAGCUGCCCUACAGAGAGGAAUGGUUGUGGCCCGGGAACAUGGCGCCUCAAAAUCAAUGUUAUAUGCUGUUGAGGAAGGGCGCCUCUGAUGGUCGCGCUGCAUCACCAUGUCAUCGCCAGUGCCGACAACGGGCGAACGCCGGGAGGGAGGUGGCACACCGCCGCAGGAGAGCGGAGUAGAGCACGGGACAACGUGAGGAGGGGGGCAACUUACCAAACCUCCCGCCAUGGUCACCCUCGAUUGGAUCCACCAUCCUGCACAUGUCGUCGUUGACGUCCUACGCCAGUGCCUUCUUCAGGCACUGCAUAGCGGCCGCUCCACCUCACCAUUGCCUUGACACGGAGCAGCCAACCAGGACGGAGCGAUAAGGUGUUGGAGCACCUCCUUGUGUCAGCUUCAGCGCCCGCUUAGCCAAGGUGGCAACUCCCGGCGACGCCGUGGGUGGUCGGCUCUGGUGGCAUGCGAUGGCGGGCGUCGGCGAUCUGGGCAGGCGAAAGGUCGAGGCGCGGGGUGGCUCGCAGCGUCAAGCAUGUGGCACACUUGAACAACGGGGACGCCGGGACUCCAGCACCUGAACGACGUGAGGCCGCGAGCUCAUGGUCGAGAGCAAUGGCAUUGGCCCAAGAUGACGGCAACGUCGACGAUGUGCAGCCGCGGUCUGAGUUUAGCCUACCGCGCGGAGGUACGCCGCCUUCCUUCCUCUCCUCCGUCAUGGCCUUUGAUCGUGGUGGGGGCGACGGGAGUGAAUUUUGGAGCUUGUUGGUGGGACUACGCCGCCUUCCCUUCCUCUCCUCCGUCAUGGCCUCUGCUUGUGGUGGGUGCGACGGGAGAGAAUUUUGAAGCUUGGUGGUGGGACGAGGAGGCGGCGGUUGUGUUGUGUCGGGAUGAGGGAGAGACAAUUUAUAGAUCUACAAUAGCGAUGAAGAGGACAUGAGAUUGGACUGGAGUUUUCUAGAGAGAAGAUACGGGACGACAUGAGAUUGGACUGGAGUUUUGUAAAGAGAAGUUACGUGUCCCGACCGGACCCAUCUUCCAUAGUAAAAAAAGUAAAACCGGUGUAAAAAUUGUAACGUGGCAAAGGAAGGAACCAAAAUCAAAGCAGCGAUGGACACGUACGAUCGGAACACAUGAAAGGAAACUGGCGUGACCCUUCCAUUCAACACAAAGAAAGACAUGGUAAAAAAACGUGCAACAUCUAGGUAGCUAAAAAAUAGGAACGACAAGGAAAGCUCCCGUCACACGCGUCAUUUUCUCAGGGGCGUAAAAAGAAUUCCGGAAAAACUAGAAAAAGGGAACCCUUACGGGCCUAGUAUUCUUAGUAUUAGGAAAUUUUGGUAUUUGGUUCCAAUUAAAGCUUGAACAAUUUUGGUUUUUCCCGUGACAUAUCACGAGCCGUCCUACCUGUAGCUCCUCUACAUUGAGUUCGUAGGAUCCGGCUUGCCUACUCCCUCCCCAUGCUCCCAUCCAAGCUCCCAAUUCAUCCUACAGUUGUUUUUUUCCUUUUUCCUUCCUAAUCUAAUCAUCCCUCUGAUUUUAACAGGGUGGGCCCGGACCUUAUUUUGUUCCAAUCAAAUUAAGCCACGUACGCGGGAGUACGGAUGGGCGCACGCGUGGGGCUCAGGCAAGUCUCAUCUGAGUUCGUAUGCCCCUCUCUCAAGCCGGCCCUGAUGGAUAUUUAUUGGGCACCAAUACGCGCCGGUGUACCAGCCGAACGAUUCAGCCGGUCAGCCCCAGCCGCACGAUGCGUGCGUCUACAUCGCACGAUUCCUCCUCUCGCCCCCCCCCCAUGAGCCCGUCUUCUUCCUCUCGAUAGCUCCCCCAGGCCUCCCGCUUCCUCCUCUCGCUGACAAGCCAUGACUCCGCGGUUGCCCCUGCGCCGCCCGCCGCGGCACCACGCUCAUCCUCAUCAGCCGCCCGCGCCGCCGCGCUCCCGUCGCCGUCGAGUGGUUGCAGCUUUUUUGCCAGGCGUUUCCAGCAUCCUUGAUGGGAAGUUCCAGCACUGCCGGUGGUGACCGCCCAACUCUGGGGAGCAGCGUCGUCGGUGCUCCGUCGGACUGGUUCCAGCAUUGAUCUCGCUCUGCCAGUCCACGGGUGUGUCAUCCCAAAAAUCAAGAGGUUGUCCCCCUCUCCUUGCAGCUCCACUGUACUGCGGUUCUAGCUUGCCGGACAACGGUUGCAACAUCCCAGCCGCAGGGGGUCGCCUUGCAGCUCCACUGGACCGCCGUUGCAGAUCCAUUGGACUGCGGUACCAUCUCUUGUGGCAAUGGUUGCAGCUCCCCUUGCAUGGCUGCGGCACGCCAUGCCGGCGGCCAUGUCGUCCCGCCGUCACCGAUGCAGCAAAACUGGUCACCCGUAGUAGCAAAACAAACCACGGUUACAGCUCUCGUGCAUUACCAUUGUAUCUUUUCUAGAAUAAUGUCGUAGCUUUUUCCUUUGGUCGCGGGUCGCAGCUCGCUGUCGCGCCCCCACGCAUCACGGAUGUAGCAAUUUUGAUCACUGGUUCCAGCAAAUCUAGAUGCUCGUUCCAGCAAAAAUAACUGCCACCAUCGCUGCUCCAACCAGUUGUAGCGAAAAAGACGGUCAGUUCCAGCAUCUGGUGUGGUCGGUUGUAGCAAUAAAAGUUCUUGGUUGUAGCUCCAACCCUGACCGGCUCUAGCACCGGCGAUGAAGCUGGUAGCGUCCCCCCAUGGCUCGGCACCAGGGUCGGUGAUGGCCGAAUCCAGUGUUGGUGGUGGCAGCAGCGUAGCGUCAACCCGUCGGCGGUCGGCCGCGAGGGGAGCUCGCAAUGGUUCGUGAGCAGCGGGGAGGAGAGAAAAGUCAUGGUUGUGGAGUCUCGGCUGAAGGUAGAAGAAAGGAAAAAAAGGAAGGCCAGGAAAAAAGAUAAGAAUAGGAGAGGGGGCGGUUGUGCGAGGCCCACCACGUACACGCGUCUUGCUCGGGAGUUGUUUUCGUGGGGCCAGAGUGGCGUGCGAGCCGGCCGAACAUUCGGCCGGCGCCCCAGCCCAAAUCGUUUUCCAUAUGGGAAACGUUUAUACCCGGCGCACCGGCUGAGUCUUCCGCCGGUCGCGCACGCGGCGUGCGGUCCAUUUUUCCUUGUUGCACCAAGUCGAUUGUCCACGCAUCCAGGCCCACAUGCAACACCCUCUUUCCCUCUUUCCUAGCCACGCAUCUACGGCCUUAUCCAUCUGCCAACCGCUCUUCUUCCUCCCCAGCUCUUUCUCUCUCCACGAGCGACCAAAGCACAUGCCAUGNNNNNNNNNNAGCCCAAAUCGUUUUCCAUAUGGGAAACGUUUAUACCCGGCGCACCGGCUGAGUCUUCCGCCGGUCGCGCACGCGGCGUGCGGUCCAUUUUUCCUUGUUGCACCAAGUCGCUUGUCCGCGCAUCCAGGCCCACAUGCAACACCCUCUUUCCCUCUUUCCUAGCCACGCAUCUACGGCCUUAUCCAUCUGCCAACCGCUCUUCUUCCUCCCCAGCUCUUUCUCUCUCCACGAGCGACCAAAGCACAUGCCAUGCCGAUGAAAGCCAACCGGCUAGACCAGAUCCCACUCGCCGNNNNNNNNNNNNNNNNNNNNNNNNNNNNNNNNNNNNNNNNNNNNNNNNNNNNNNNNNNNNNNNNNNNNNNNNNNNNNNNNNNNNNNNNNNNNNNNNNNNNNNNNNNNNNNNNNNNNNNNNNNNNNNNNNNNNNNNNNNNNNNNNNNNNNNNNNNNNNNNNNNNNNNNNNNNNNNNNNNNNNNNNNNNNNNNNNNNNNNNNNNNNNNNNNNNNNNNNNNNNNNNNNNNNNNNNNNNNNNNNNNNNNNNNNNNNAAAGCUACAACCAGCUGAGGCAGAAGCUGCAACCGUCGUCUUUGUUUGCUACUACCGGUGACGGAUUUUGCUACAUUCAUCAUGGCGGGUCUGCGACCUACUAGCGCGGUGGCUUUUUUUGUUUCAACCUUCCUAAGAUUUUGCUACUACCGGCGGGAUUGUUGCUACAUCCAUCAUAAGUGGGGGAGACCGCGACCUGCAACGGCAACGGCAACGAAUUGGUGCAUACGGACAUGGAAAAAAGCUUCAACCGACCUUGUAUAAGUUCCAACCGAUGGAGAAAAAAGCUUCAACAGGCAUGACGGAAAAGCUUCAAUCCUCAUGGAAAAACUGGAAGCAGCUACGAAAAAAGCUUCAACCGACCAUGAAAAAAGCUUCAAGCUAGAGCCAACAAUGGUUAUGACGGCGAGGCUACGACGGGUUGACGGCACGGAGCUGCACGGGAUUUUUUGCUGCAAUCGACAACGGGAAAAGCUACAACCGGUGCCACGUCUUGCUACUCCCGGCAAAACCCGACGAAGGUUGAAUCAAAUCGUGGUCGGCGCCAUGACUGUCGAAAUGAUUGGUUGUAGCGAUUCCUGUCACCGGUCGUAGCAAAAAUGAACCAUGGUUGAAGCAAAAUAUAUCUGCACGUGGAUGAUGAAGGAGAAAAGAUUGGCUGGGUGUGGCCAUGGCGACAGGGCUGCGGCGAGGGACAGCGGCGGAGCUGCAACCUGAGCUUCACCCGUCGCUGCUGAGAGCUACAACCGCAGGCGCAGCUAUUUCAUGGGUCAAGGCGGCGACGAGGACAGACGGCGAAGAUGGGGACUGGCGACGAGGACGGCCGACGAGGAUGGGGACCGGCGACGAGGACGGCCUGCGGGAGUGGGGACCGGCGAGGAGGUCAGGCACCGGAGGGGAGAGGACGCGCGCGCCGAGUGGGAGAGGUGAUUUCCAGCAAGAGGAAGAAGAAGCUGGGGGGCAAACCCUUUUUUUUCGCCAGAUCCAAUGGUCCACGCGGCUCAAAUCCAACGGCCCUGACGCGACCGGCCAAACGGUUGGGCCGGUGCGCCGGCGCAGAUUAGUGCCCUUUCUAUAUUUAUUUUCUUUGUGAUUUUGAGUCAGAGCAAGCAUGGCAAGUUGACAACACUACUGCACGUUUGUAGUAACUGGACGGAAAAAAAUCAUAUGGGCAUGGUGAGAUCCGCACUUCAUUCAAACUCCUUUCUUUUUCUCUUGCUAUAUCCCUGUCUUAUAUUUUCUUCUCACAUUUUAAGAUACAAAAAUAGAUGGUCUGAAUUUCGCUAAUGCGGACUGGUCGACAGAUGACAAAUCUAUUUGGGGCCUGGAUCCAGAUAUUCACUUGUUUAGUACAACGUGCAUAUGCUAUCUUUAUAAAUCUCUGAUAGUGCGUUGCGGCCGGGGAAGAGAUAAGGAGAGAAGAGAACAGCUUGACGGGAGAAGAAUAGAGAAAGGGGCAGCAAAAACAUUGGUCAUUGCUGCUGUGCUAUUGCAUACCAUGAACAAAGAAUGAAGAAAGAUGAAUAAGAGAAGAUAAACAGGAAAGGGUGCUGCAGUUGUGCCGCUGCAUUCUUCGCAAGUUUUGUCAUACUCAUCAUCCACACUUCAAGGGUAACCUUCUACUUAGUCCAAAACUAUAAUUCACAAGAAUUUAUUUUAUUCCUGUAGCCCACGGCCGACCUUGGGUUGACCACACUGGAUGCAUUUUGGGGGUCAAAAAGAGGAUAAGCGAUGCCACGGGUGGACCGCAGUGUUUAAAUAGAGGACAUUGACAUGUGUGGGAGAUGUCUUGAGUCAUUUAGUACUUACUAGCAAAAGGACCUGUACGUUGCAACCGGAGAAAAAAAUAACACACACUCUUAAUUUAGAAAAAAAUGGUAUAUAAUUUGAGUAUUUGUAGUUACGGUCCAAACAAAGAUGGUCUUUGCCAACAAAACGUGAGUUCAAGAUUCCACAUGUCUUCUAUUUAAACACGGCUUGCAUGUAGAUUUAAUACGUAUGAACAAACGGGCAAAUAAAUAGGCAAGUGAUUUUCAAUUUGGUCUCCAAUCCUGAUUUUGCUAAGAUGUUUAUUUAUCCACAAUCCGGAUUAGUACCUAUAUGAAAGAAAGACGGACAAUGCACUGUUGAUUAAGAUUGCACCUUAAAUAGUAUUAUUUUUUAAAUGGUUAACAGGUAAAAUAACAUCAUAUUCAGAUUCUAUAUUUUUUCUAAUCAAAUUCCAUAUAUAACAUGUAAAUUUGGAGUUACGGUUUAGAAGAUGAGUAUUUUAAAAAACAUUUUAUAUGUACUGCAGGUUUAAUAUAAGAAACAUUAGGGGGUUUUCUAUAAAGUAGUAUGACGGACUAAGAAUACCUAUUUCUUUUAUUAGUAGGUAUAUGUAUACGUAUAGAUUAUUGGGCUAUGAUUAUGUGAUGAUUUUUUCUCCACGUCGUAACGCACGGGCAUGUUUGCUAGUAUAAGAUUAAGUGGCUAAGGGCAACUCUAAUAGCCCGACACAAACGGACACAAAAUGAGUACGCUUUGUCGGGCCCGUGGGACUGGGGAUACCUAGGCCCGUCUGCAUGCGGCCCAGGGCGCGAUGCUUACCCUAGGGCCCAUGACUGGCCCACCUUUGGACUUCAUGAGCAAGACCCUCACGAGGCUCUCGCUUCGCGAGGCACCCGUCAGCCCGUGUCGUCAGGGUCCUCGCGAGACCCCCUCACGAGGCGAUCUUCCAAGGCUGCCUCCUGAGGCCCCUCAUGGAGGCGGAUAGAUCAAGGGUGGCUCGGCAGGGUCAUGCGGUGGUGACGUGCGCGACGACAGGCUGCGCCCAAGGCCAUGCUAGUAGGCGCAGAUGUGGAGGCUUUCCUAUUUGAUGCUAAGGGAGCGAGGACAGCGCACCGGUCCCCGAAAAAAUCCCCAAAGAUUUCCCGUUCGGUGCAAGAGGACCGAGACAACGGGCGCGCCAGGACAGAGGUCACCACUGAGCCCAUCGGGGCGCCACGACAGGAAACUUUUGCAGGCGAAGACCACAUUUAGUCAGGAUAAGCUGCAACCUUGCCCCCCUUCAAACUGGCCGUUGUGGCAACCCUUCCCGCCAUGUGUUUUUAGUGAAAGAGGACCAGAGGCAGUAUAAGAAGAGGCGAGGUGCAGCCCUAAGGAGGAGGGGAUCGUCUCGUGGCAACUUGUGCUUGAGGCUUACUCUCUCUCUCUCUCUCUCUCUCUCUCUCCCAAGCAAUCUAGACAAGCAGGAGUAGGGUCUUACACCGCGUGAUGGCCUGAACCUGGGUAAACUGUCCUGUCCUAUGUUCUUCUUCCCUAGCUUGAGCACGCCAGAGUAGGGCGGUAGGAACGCGCCCCAAAGUUUGAACCUUCUUGGGUCCUCGAAGCCCCGAUUCCGACAUUUCAUGCCAGGUAGGGGUGUGCCGCCCUUUUUUCGCACCGUUACGGCUUUUGCUUCACCGUUUCGGGCCGUGCUCCUCAUGGCGCGCGAGCUGCUCUGCUACCGUCCUGCGGAUACGGGCUACGACGCCUGGCUUGGCCGCAUCACCGAGCUCGUCAACGUUGCCGGAGAAGCCCCGGUGCCCUCCCACUCGCUCCGCCCUCCGCCGUCUCGCAUCGGGGAUGUGGCGCACGGUGCCCUUCCACCACCUCGCAUGCGCAGCGACCUCGGCAAACCCCGUCGUGACGCGCCCCUGUGUGACCAGCCCCGCGGAAUGCCGCCGCCAGCCCUCCUCGAGCAACAACAUUAACGCCAGUACCACAUCGUCCAAGAAGUCGUAGUGGCCAGGUGCCAGAAUCGCGCCACACUCGCGCGUGGCAUUGCUUCGAGCAGCGUGGGCUGUCGGGCCUUCAAUUGCGAGCUGCGCCGUGUGGUUUGGCCCGUCAAGUUCAAGCCGGAUCUCCUUUCGACUGAUUCAACAAAGAUUGCUUUUGCUCUUCUCGGUCCAGCUGGUGGUGUUGGGUGCUUGUCGUAGCUCUCUUCUGGUUCAUGUUCUGUUGUUUCUUGUGCCUUCUUGUGUGUAUUGGAUCCUAUUUGUUGUACCUGAUGUCUUGUAUCUUACUCUUAUAUAUAAUGAAAAUGGUUCAGGCCGGCGUAAGCCCGCCGUAGCACCGCCAAAUAAAUCCCCCCCUCCUUUUUCUUUUGUGCAAAAAUAAAAUUUUCCAUUUUCUGUUCGCAAGUGGUCAAAUUUUGGUUACAAUUUUGAAUUCUCGUCACUCUAUAAAUGUGAUAUCACAAAAUGUUAUCAUUCUGCAUAAUGUCAUACAAAUGAGAUUUGUUUUUCCAGUUCAAUGUUUGUUAUCUUUAAUUUAUAGAAGCGGACUUUACAAAAACAGUAUGCACCGCAAGACUGAUUCGGUGAAGUAAAUACCACAAAUGGUCGUUAUACUUACAAGAUUUUGCAUAACCACGUAAACAAUCGGCACGUACUCUCGCGUGUAGGGCAUUUGGCACCUUUACGCAGCUAGUGUAUACUAGACAUAGAAAACCUGAAUUCAUGAAGCGCUUUGACCUUGUGUUAAGGCUGAAACCUUUUACCGAAUAAUAAAGGUUGCGCUAGAAUCUUGAUUUACAACAAUUCCUUAUUUCACGAAAAGAAAACAAUUCCUUAUUUGUUAGGCGCCAGUUUUUAGCUGAAAUGCCAAAGAAUCAAAAGUGGAAUGCGUUUUGAUGUCGUGAUCAAAAGCAAUAUUUUUCCUUCCAUUCCAUGCUCGAUUGACAAUUAUUUUCUCAUUAUUUCCCUUCCUUGUUAUGCAUCCGAAACUGCGGCGGGUAACAAAAUAGGAAUAUGGCGCCAGAACUUUUAUCUCUUCCCGCCAGCAACCCCCGCGUACACUAUAUAUAUGCUCAUACGUCCGUGCCCAAGCAACCAUCACCGCACCCAGCCCAUACUUUCUAUAUGGCGCGAGAGCUGCCUUUUUUUGUUUCCUCUCCCGAUUUAGUCUUCCUCUCGGAUGAUGAGGGAGAAAAGGAGGUGAUCAAGAUUGAGGAUUCAGACUGCGGUGGCGACACGCAUGUCUACCUCAGCUCUGACGAGGAGGACGACGCGGUCUACGCCGAUGAUGGCUCCUCCUACGCCAACUGCAAAGCCGCAUCUGCGGCUGCCACGUCUUUGGCCACGGUGAGCUGCACCGACUAUGGCGACGACAACCCCAAUGGCGGCGACUCUAAUGGGGACGGCAACCCCAACAACAGCUACUUCGAUGACAACGACAACGACUCUGAAUAUGGCGGUGACGACGCCAGCGAUUUUUCGUCGGCCGCCACAAGUAAGUCGCCAAAAGCCCCAUACAAUUAUUGGCAUCCCACCGACCUUUGCACCCUCGUGGAAAUAGAUGGGCAGCUCCUCAAGGAUUUUGAAGGCGCGACAGUACCAUCGUCUGUGCUCUAUGAGGCGUUUAUGGAGGAUCCACGGCCGAUCCGCCGUGGCGGGCUGACCUCAAGAAAAAUCUCAUACAAAAGGUAUCAGUUGAAAAAAAAAUUUCGUGCCUUCUGCAAGUUGGAUCCGAGGCGUGCCUUCCGCACGUGUCGCACGGCUCAAGAACGCAAGUUUUACACCUGCUGCAAGGAGGCGUGGCCUCAUAUUGUAGAAGAGGGCCGUGCCUGACUUGCUAAUAAGAAGUAAACCACAGUCAUGUUCAAUCCGGUCUUUUUUUGGUUUCACCAAUAAACAAUAGUAGCUUUCUUUCCCAUUUUUUCCAUGAUCAGUAUUACUCUGGAUUUGAUCUGUUUUUCCUUUGCUUGUAUUAGUUUAUUUUUCUUUUGCUUUGUAUGAGAUUGUUCAGUACAAGAAUCAUCAGUACUUUUAUUUAGCAGUCCACAAUUUUAUUUUGUUUUAUUAUGUUUUGUUGUGGGGACAGAGGGGCCUGAUGUGUCCACCUGCUCGACAUUUCGUUGUAGAUAUAUGUGCGUACUUUUUUAAAUACCCUUUAUUAAUUGUUCUGGCCAACAGGAUGACGAUCUUCUCGCCUGAACCGGAAAACAUGCAUAUGUGCCCAUUAUAUAUUGAUUCGAUGUCCAAAUGAUUUCCCACGUAGGCAUGCAUGGGUGGGAACUUCCUGAACCGGAAAACAUGAGUAAUAGGUAGAGAAGAUAUGUUUCUUUUUUAUUUGUUAAUUAUAUCAUGACACUUGACAAUAGAGAAGUAUAUCCGGAAUGUCCUACAUGUCAUAUCAAGCAUUAAGUUCAGAUUUCACCUGUUUGCAGGCUCACGAAAGCAUCAGGUAUAGCUAAGAGAUGAACCGCAUGGUUGGUGUAUAUUUCUUAAUUACUACAAAAAUACUUGGAAAUUUGUAAAAAUCAAUACUUCAAGCGAAUAUGCAUGAACCACAUGGUUGAUGUAUAUAUCUUAGUUCAGAAAUUCUUGCAAAUUGGUAAAGUCAAUACUUCAAACAAAUUUUCUUAGUACAGAAAUUCUUGACUGGAAGACACACGAAGCAUGAAUUGCAUCUAAAGAUUAUUUUCUGUACAGGAUUCAAGAUCUAGAUCUGAAAUAUUGUAGCAUGAUAUCAGUGGUCACAACAGUAAAUUAUUCCUUCCAUUACUCUUUCAAAAGAAGCACAGAGAAUUCUACUGUUCUAUAUAAAGAUUAUUGCUAGUGUUCUCGUUUGUGAGUCCCAUGAAUCCAAGUGCCAAUCUUAGUGACCGAAAGACAUACUCCCUCCGUCCGAAAAUACUUGUCACGGAAAUUGAUAGAAAUGGAUGUAUCUAGAACUAAUAUACAUCUACAUACAUUCAAUUUUGCGACAAGUAAUUCGAUACUGACUAUAAAGCAGUUAUCUCAUUAAAAAUCAGUGUCUUCAUGCUCCUAGAAAGAGUACACAAUAAGCUAAGGGACGAAAAAUGAAUUGAAACGUACUAUUUGCAUGUCAUGCAAACUGCAAGAUGCGGACCACUGCCCCACUGCAUGUCCGGCAUUGCUCAUCUGUUAACAGAAACAACGCCAAAGCUCAAAAAAUCUUCUAUCCAGGAAAACCGUAGGGGAAGUGUUGCUUCACAGACAACAAUAAGUAGUCAGUACAUUGUUAUUGUUUUCCCUGCUGGUGAAUCUGCACCACAUUUCUCUCAUCUUCCAUUCGACAAUCACAUGCCAAUGUUUUCUGUAACACUUGAAAAGAGAAGGGAAAACACAACAGUUAUUUGUAUAGAAAAGAUGUUGGAAAAUCCUAUAAGGAUUUUUUUAAAGAAAAUGUAAGGAACUAUUGCCAUAACACGAAUACAACAUAGGGCCACUGAUUUUGAUUCGAACUAAAUAAACCAUACUAUUAAUGUUCUUUGACUGACAAAUUCUGAAGCAUUCCUUGAACAUAAAUGAAAGCUACCGAAUUACCAGGUAACCGAUACAACUAUUGGUACUUGUUUAAGCACAUGUCUCGAAAUUGAAUUUUACUUUUGUUUGUGAAACAUGAAAGGACUCAAUUAGCUAGCUGCUAUGUGAGAAGGUUUUGGAUCCCAAGCGGACCUUUUUUUUCGAGGGGCACCGGAAUUUGCGGUUACCAUGGUAACCAUGAAAUAGCGGAAAAGAAUCGGACGAAAUUUAAAUUUAAAUAUUAUUUAGGUCGAUACAGAUAGAUAUUUAACUAUAUAAUAUAACAAACUUUGCCAUGGCGUAUAGUGGCUAUUGGACCGUAGCUUUCGCUUGCUCGUACGCCGCGAGUUCGACCCUUUUUUAACUUUUGCAUCCUAUGAAAAUUAAAAAAUGCGUGAGCCCAGAUUCAAACCCGCGAUUCGUUGCUGAGGAAAGAUGCCCUUGCUACUAGGCCACUCCCAGUUAUGUCGUGAUACAAGAGAUUGUUUGUAUUUAACUCUAUAACAUGCGUUUGAAUUCAAAAUUUUCAAAUUAUCCGAGAUAUUUUGCUCGGUAUGAGUGUUUCUCGAGGGGGGAUAGUAAACGCGGUAACCGCCCGAAAUCACGAAAUUUCGUUUAGUAACCAAAUCAGUGGAUCAUACCCAUUGCAUUUUUAGCAACUCUCAUAAGCCGUUCUUACCUGUUCUCACAGCUCAUGAACAUACAAUAUAUGAUGAAACUUUGCCAGAUAACAAAGAUGCUUAACUGGCAGCAAGAUGUAUCCUAUAGUAUCAUGUUUUUAUUUCUGAGUAAUUGGUUAACCUAUGCUACCUUAGUUAAGCAUUCAAGAAAAUGAAGUUGCCUCUGUGUUUUAAGCUAAAGCUACCACAGUUCUGUGAGACUUAUCAUUCCAGAUAAUGUUCACACAACUUAAAUGAGUAACAUAAGUGCAAUUUUAAUUUUUAGUACAAAUGUACAAUGACAAGCUCAUGUACAAUUAUUUACUGAAAAAAUAAGCCAGCUCAUUUGGAAGGGAAGAAGCUAGAGAAAUGCCAGCAAUGUAACUUUACCUAGAACACAGACACUAGUAGAAAACAGGGCUUUGGUUGAGCCCUGGGUAAGGGCAUUAAUUCCGGUUCACUCCCGAACAGGGACCAAAGGGGGCAUCGGUCCCGGUUCGUGAGGCCAGGGCGCCGGCCGGGCCUUGGGGGCCAUUGGUCCCGGUUCGUCUGACCCCUUUGGUCCCGGUUCCAGACACACGAACCGGAACCAAUGGGCCUUGCUCCUGGCCCAACAUCUUUUGUCCCGGUCGGUGGCUGCAACCGGGACCAAAUGUUGUCCUUUAGUCUUGGUUUUAGCCACCAACCGGACUAAAGAGAUCCCUAUAUAUAGCCCUGCCCGUGAACAGAGCCAGUGCUCUAUGUUUUUGGCCGGCCGUGGGAGAGGUGUGUGUUGCUCUAGUUCACCUUCUAUGCACAUGAGGUGUUCGAUGAAAUGCCCGAGCCACACUUAAGCUUUCUCCUCUCCAAGCUCCUUCUCCAAGCUCCAUUUUCCUCAAGAUUUGUCUAGGUUUGGCGUUUCAUCCUGUCCCGUCCCCAUCCUCACCGCCGUUGAUUGCCCGCGCCGAUCUCGUCACCGGCACCACCAUGGUGAGCCUCUUGUUCUUAUCUUCUUUCUAAAAGAAAAAAAUUCUACUUUUAUGAUUUAGAUUGAUACUUGUAUAAUUUUCUGUUCUUACUUUUAUUAUUGUUUGUUAUUAUAUAGUGCGAUGGUUUUGGUAUCCUGCCCUCGUCCUGUUUAUGAUUCGGAUGUGGUAUAUAUUAUCUUUUAUAACUAUUUGUUUCAUUUAGUAUUUAUGACAAUUAUGCCGACCAACAUGACAUAUAUGUUUUUAUCUAGGAGGUAUGUGAACCGGAAAUUCCAACCGACCCUCUUGUCAAGAGGUUAAAUUUAGUUGAAAAGGAAAACAAUUACUUAAUAUUUUUUUGAAAAUAAUUGAGGAGGAGAAGAUGAAAUUGGAUUUGCAUAUUGCAGAUGUCGUCGAUGAUCACAAGAUCAAGAUGGAUGCAAUGCGCGUGAAGAUUAGAAAGAUUAGGAACUAUGCCAUUCAUACUGAGGCUUGGUAUCAUUAUGCCGUUGGAUCAAUUGUUUCCUUAGUUGCAAUUAUGAUCGCAUUUGUUGUUGCAUUGAAAUAUUUUACAUAGUUUCAAUGUAUGGUUCAAUUAGAUGCUCUAGAGAGCUAUAUGUUGUCAAUGAGAACUAUGUAUGAACUUUAUGUAUUUAUUUUUUCUGUAAUAACAUUUGAUCACUACUAUACUUUGGUUUUAAUAUGAUGGUGAACUUCUAUUAAUUUGGUCACUUCCCUAUACAUGAUGUUCUGUAAUGGUUUUUGACACACUUAAUUAUAUAUAAUGCAUGUAGAUGAACCGGCAAUGGAUGUAUGGUGAAAGACGCACCUCCGAGUACAUUAAGGGCAUAUAUAAUUUUCUCGAAGUGGUUGAGGCAAACAAGAAGAAUGGUUUUAUGUUUUCUCCAUGCCCUAUCUGUGGGAAUACGAAGUCUUACUCUGACUCGAAAACCCUUCACAUCCACCUGCUUGACCAGGAUUUCAUGCCACACUAUAAUGUUUGGACCAAGCACGGAGAAAGAGGGGUUAUGAUGGAAGACAACAAAGAAGAAGAGGAUGAUGACAACUAUCAUCCCCCUGAAUACGGUGAUGCUGCAACGGAGGAAGAUGAAGAUCAAGAGGAACCAGAAGAUGUGCUCGAUGAUGAUCUUCAUGGGGUCUUUGUUGAUGCAAAGAGACAAUUCCAAACUGAAAGGGAGAAGUUGAAGUUCGAUCGCAUGUUAGAGGAUCACAAAAAAGGGUUGUACCCAAAUUGCGAAAAUGGCAAAACAAAGCUCGGUAUCACACUGGAAUUGCUGCAAUGGAAGGCAGGCAAUGGUGUAUCUCACAACGGGUUUGAGAAGCUACUAAAAAUAUUGAAGAAUAUGCUUCCAAAGGAUAACGAAUUGCCCAACAGUACAUACAGAGCAAAGAAGGUUCUAUGCCCUCUAGCAUUGGAGAUGCAGAAGAUACAUGCAUGCCCUAAUGACUGCAUCCUCUACCGCAAUGUGUACAAGGAUUUGAACACAUGCCCGGUAGGCGAUGCAUUGCGGUAUAAGAUCAGACGAGAUGACCCUGGUGAUGUUGAGGGCGAGCGCCCCAGGAAGAGGAUUCCUGCCACGGUGGUAUGCUCCUAUAAUACCAUGGUUGAAACGUAUGCUUAGAAACAAAUAGCAUGCCAAGUUGAUGCGAUGACACAAACAGGACGGUAAGAAACACGGGAAGUUUAGAGCACCCGCUGACGGGUCGCAGUGGAGAGAAAUCGAGAGAACGUGGGGGGGGGGGACUUUGGAGGUGACGCAAGGAACGUAUGGUUUGGUUUAAGCGCGGAUGUCAUUAAUCCUUUUGGAGAGCAGAGCAGCAAUCAUAACACCUGGCCCAUGACUCUAUGUAUUUAUAACCUUCCUCCUUGGUUGUGCAUGGAGCGGAAGUUCAUUAUGAUGCCGUGCUCAUCCAAGGCCCUAAGCAACCCGGCAACAACAUUGAUGUGUACCUAAGGCCAUUAGUUGAAGUACUUUUACAGCUGUGGAAUGGAAAAGGUGUAUGUGUGUUGGAUGAGCACGACCAGGAGGAUUUUGACCUACAUGCAUUGUUGUUUGUAACCAUCAAUGAUUUGCCUGCUCUGAGUAACCUUUUAGGACAAACAAACAAGGGAUUCCACGCAUGCACGCACUGUUUAGAUGACACCAAAAGUAUAUAUUUGGACAAAUGCAUGAAGAAUGUCUACAUGGGACAUCAUUGAUUUCUUCCGACCAACCAUCAAUGUAGAAAGAAAGGCAAGCAUUUCAAAGGUGAGGCAGAUCACCGGACGGGCAUUUUUGGUCUCAAGCACACUACACAACUCUACAGGAUUCUACCUUGGUGACCCCAUAUGUCAAUGAACACAAGAAUAUUCUGCGCUCCAAACACCCGGAGCAGUGUGACGACCGGAUUACAUGUGAACACAUCAGGACUUUCGGUAGUUGGUAGCAAACACAUCUCAUGGGUGACAACACUGUUGUAGAUGAGUUGUACUCGUUGGCCAGAGGACCAUCUUCGACUGUAUUAACUUACAAAGGGUACGAGAUAAAUGGGAAUACGUUUUACACGAUCGCCCAAGAUCAAAAGAGCACCAACAAAAACAGUGGUGUCCGCUUUGAUGCAGCAACCAAUAGGGGAAAGGACACAUAUUAUGGUUACAUAGUAGACAUAUGGGAAUUUAACUAUGGACAUGAUUUUAAGGUCCCUUUUUUCGGUGCAAAUGGGUUAAUCUGUCAGGGGACAGGGUACAGGUAGACCAAUAGUACGGAAUCACAACAGUGGAUCUCAACAAUCUUGGGUACACAGACGAACCAUCCGUCCUAGCCAAUGAUGUGGCGCGGGUUUUCUAUGUGAAGGACAUGUCUACCGAACCGAGAAAAAGAAAAGAUAAGGAAGCGAAUACAUCAUACGAUGAGCCAAAGUGCCACAUAGAUCUUUCAGGGAAAAGAGACAUCGUGGGAGUGGAGGGCAAGACAUGCAUGUCUAAAGAUUACAAAAAGUUUCAUGAAAUUCCUCCCUUCAAAGUCAAGGCUGACCCAAACACCCUGUUAAACGAUGAAGAUUAUCCAUGGUUACGGCGCAAUAAGCAAGGGACACACACAAAGAAAAAGUGAAGACUUUCUCUUCACAACUAUUCUGAUGAUUCCUUUGAUCUAGAAUAUCACUCUAGUUACAUGUUAAGAAAUGAAAUGCCUUUUGGAACAUAUGAGUUUUCAUCCGAAACCCUGAUACUUUGAAAGAGAUUGCCAUUUUGUACAUGAAGUGCAUCCAGUUUUUUCCGCAACCCUCUCAAUUUUGUAGCACAUGCUAUAUGGCUGAAAUGAUGAUAUCAUGCUAACUUUCAACCUUUUCAGAGUUCAUUUGUAGUGCUUUCCAAUUUCAGGGUCAUUUAGCUAAAAAAAUCAGUAAACGCAUGAAAAAUACAAAAUGAAGUCAGAAAUGGUUGAAAAUUGAUGAUGCGCCUUUUAAUGAUGGAUUUUGAACACACAAAAAGUCUGGAGUUAAAAUAAUUUCAAAAAAAUGAAAUCCCUUUGUAAGAGAGGAGUUUUCGUCCGAAAGCCUGAUACUUCGAAAGAGAUUGUCCAUUUUGUACACGAAUUGCAUCCAAUUUUUUUCGUAACUGUCUCAACUUUCUAGCACAUGUUAUGUGGGUGAUAUGAUGAUACCAUGCCUACUUUCAACCUUUCAAGAGUUUAUUUAUAGUGCUUUUCAAUUUCAGGGUAAUUUAGCUCAAAAAAUCAGUAAAUGCAUGAAAAAUACCAAAUAAAGGUAGAAACGGUUGAAAAUUGUUGAUGUGCCUUUGAACGGUGCAUUUUGGACACAUAAAAAGUAUGGGUUUAAAAUAAGUUCGAAAUCCCCCUCCUCACGCCUCGAGUCACCUCGCCACCCCAUCACCCGUCUUGUGCCCGCAUCCGCAGAAUUCAGAUGCAUAUUUUCUGGUGCAACAGCAAGCGUUGGAGGAUUUAAGCGCCAAACAAGAGAAAGUUAAUAAGCUUGCUAAGCAUCUUGCCAGCAUUAUGGGUACCCAGGAUAUUUUUCCUUGAGAUCUUCUGAAGUGGGUUUAGUCCUGGAUUUGUUUUGCUACGACAUUUAUUUGCGCUGGUCCCCAACUUUGACAACCAGUGUAUAUGAUAUGCUGCUUUGUUUCCUAUAUUUGCUCUGGUGGCGAACUUUGAUGUCUAGUGGAUGUAAUAUGUGUAAUAGCCGUGAUAGCCUAACAUUAGUUGCUUGCUUAUUUAUUUCCUUGUUGUCUUGUUUAUUUUUUUGCUUGUAGUCAUUGCAGUUUUUUUUCCGCGGUUUGCUAGUGGCCGCAAUAACCUAUUUUUUUAAAACUAGGCCACAAUAACCAUGGGCUAAUAUUUACUGAAGUGACAUUGGGCCUCCUACUGGCCGUAGAAACAGUGGGCCUUCUACGGGCCGUAGAAAUAAUGGGCCUUCUACGGGCCGUAGAAACAAUGGGCCUUCUGCGGGCCAUAUCAUCAAUGGGCCUUAUACGGGUCGUAUGAUCGAUUGGCCAAACAUGGGCCAAACAGACCGCAUUAUGUCCGUAAACGGGCUAGAGUUGGAAUCGUCCAUUCAUGGGCCAACCAUAACAGGCCAUCGUUAAUAGGCCGUAUUUGAUGAUGCUAUGAGAACGGUCCAACGUAUUAAUGGACCACAAACGGGCCGACUGUAACCACGGGCCGAAUUUGGCCCACAAGCAAAAAAUGACAGUAACGGGCCGUAAGUAAACGAACGAUGGAAAUGAGCCCAAGAAUAAAUGGGCUCUGAGAAGGCCGAAAGAUAACAUGGGUUGGAAACGGCCCAACGGAAUAACGAGCAGUUAAUGGGUAUAAAGUGAUACACUGUUCAUUACGGGCCAGUUUCACUACGGGCCGUUAAUGGGUGUAAAGUGAUACACUGUUCAUUACGGGCCAGUUUCACUACGAGCCGUUAAUGGGUGUAAAGUGAUACACUGUUCAUUACGGGCCAGUUUCACCAUGUGCCGUUAAUAGGCCAAGAGUUACAUAGGGCCUCAUAUGGGCCGAAAGACAUCAUGGGCCAUACAUGUGCCAGAAGUGAAAAUAGCCUGGAAUCAUAUUGGAUGGCCCAGAUGACGCUACUAGGCCUAAUUCGGAUAGGGAGUAACGGGCCUUGGGUUAGCGGGCUGUAAAUGGGCUAUAUGCGAAUAGGCCUUUAAUAGGCUUUCCAUGGGCCGGCCCGCCACCUUUUGACCAAGUCAAACGCGUCAGCCUUUUCACAGGAAUGGGCCUCUGUUGGGCCGUGCCACAUGUCUACGUACCAUAGGCGCCUUCCAUCCAAUGAGUGGAUGACAUCUGUCCCAACAAUGAGCCGACACGUGUUUCCUCCAGCCAAUGAUGAUUUUACACGUGGAAAAUCCUCAUUGGUCGGGGCUGUUAACGGGUUAUCAGGUCCAAAACCCGACCCGAUAGCUUAACGGUGUUCCAAUACGGUGGAUUCCACGUGUCGGUCACCCUUGACGAAAGUGUUGGGGAACGUUGCAUAAAAUAAAAAAAAUUCUACGUUCACCAAGAUCAAUCUAUGAGUUCAUCUAGCAACAAGAGAGGGGAGUGCAUCUACAUACCCUUGUAGAUCACGAGCGGAAGCGUUCAAGAGAACGGGGUUGAGGGGGUCGUACUCGUCGUGAUCCAAAUCACCGGAGAUCCUAGCGCCGAACGGACGGCACUUCCGCGUUCAACACACAUACGGUCAGUGUGACGGCUCCUCCUUCUUGAUCCAGCAAGGGGGAAGGAGAGGUUGAUGAAGAUCCAGCAGCACGAUGGCAUGGUGGUUGAUGCGGCAGAGUUCCGACAGGGCUUCGCCAAGCGACUAUGGGAGGAGGAGGUGUAGCAAGGGGGGAGGGAGGCGCCAGAUGUCAGGGUGAGGCUGCCCUCCCACCCCCCUCUUUAUAUAGGGACCCCAGGGGGGCGCCGGCCCUGGAGAUGGGAUCUCCCAAGGGGGGCGGCGGCCAGGGGGGUGGAGUGCCCCCCAAGGCAAGUCGAGGCGCCCCCUCCCCUAGGGUUCCCAACCCUAGGCGCAGAGGGGGGCCCAGGAGGGGCGCACCAGCCCACCAGGGGCUGGUUCCCCUCACACUUCAGCCCAUGGGGCCCUCCGGGAUGGGUGGCCCCACCCGGUGGACCCCCGGGACCCUUCCGGUGGUCCCGGUACAAUACCGGUGAACCCCAAAACUUUCCCGAUGGCCGAAACUCGACUUCCCAUAUAUAAUUCUUUACCUCCGGACCAUUCCGGAACUCCUCGUGACAUCCGGGAUCUCACCCAGGACUCCGAACAACUUUCGGUUUGCUGCAUACUAAUAUCUUUACAACCCUAGCGUCACCGAACCAUAAGUGUGUAGACCCUACGGGUUCGGGAGACAGGCAGACAUGACCGAGAUUGCUCUCCGGUUAAUAACCAACAGCGGGAUCUGGAUACCCUUGUUGGCUCCCACAUGCUCCUCGAUGAUCUCAUCGGAUGAACCACGAUGUCGAGGAUUCAAGCAACCCCGUAUACAAUUCCCUUUGUCAAUAGGUAUGUUACUUGUCCGAGAUUCGAUCGUCGGUAUGCCAAUACCUCGUUCAAUCUCGUUACCGGCAAGUCACUUUACUCGUACCGUAAUGCAUGAUCCCGUGACCAGACGCUUGGUAACUUUGAGCUCAUUAUGAUGAUGCAUUACCGAGUGGGCCCAGUGAUACCUUUCCAUCAUACGGAGUGACAAAUCCCAGUCUCGAUCUGUGUCAACCCAACAGACACUUUCGGAGAUACCUAUAGUGCACCUUUAUAGCCACCCAGUUAUGUUGUGACGUUUGGUGCACCCAAAGCACUCCUACGGUAUUCGGGAGUUACACGAUCUCAUGGUCUAAGGAAAAGAUACUUAACAUUGGAAAAGCUCUCGCAAAACGAACUACACGAUCCUGUUCUAUGCAUAGGAUUGGGUCUUGUCCAUCACAUCAUUCUCCUAAUGAUGUGAUCCCGUUAUCAAUGACAUCUAAUGUCCAUAGUCAGGAAACCAUGACUAUCUGUUGAGCAAUGAGCUAGUCAACUAGAGGCUCACUAGGGACAUAUUGUGGUCUAUGUAUUCACACGUGUAUUACGAUUUCCGGAUAAUACAAUUAUAGCAUGAAUAAAAGACAAUUAUCACGAACAAGGAAAUAUAAUAAUAAUCCUUUUAUUAUUGCCUCUAGGGCAUAUUUCCAACAGAAAGCACUUCUGUGACGCGCGAUUUAUCGUCAUGGAAGUGGACACUUCCGUGAUCAUAAUUUUGGUAAUGUCAUGGAACACUUCUAUGACAGCACAGGUAUGACUAUCUUCAUUCUGUCAUAAAAUCAUCAAGAAUGUACUCCCUCCGAUUCUUUAUACUCUGCGCAUAACUUUCGUUCAUUUCUCUCGUUUUACUCUGCGCGUUCCUACUUCUCCUAUGCUUUCCUCUUAUGCCCCCCAAAAGCUGCUGCAUGCAACCAUUUGCAGUUAAUACUUGCCAUCUCUCGUUGGCCAUGCAGAGUGGAGAGAGAGAGGUAGUUGAGGGAAUCAAGGCAACCGCAUGUGAGAGCCAAUCGGCUGCAUGCAAGUUAAUAACAAUCCAGCACUAAAGUAGGGGCAAAUUAGUCCCAGAAAGAUCAAGCGAGCCCUUUCUUGGCAUGCGUGUGAGAUGUUAUACACAAAGAAAAUAUGAUCGGAGGGAGUACAUGCAUGACAGAAAACACGACCUACUGUGACAAACACGUAUCAUCACGGAAGUGUAUUUCUUUUGUAGUGGCUCCUCGUACAACUUCUGGAGGUCGAGCACUCGAGCAGGGAGGGGUAGCCCUUCUUCUUUCAUCUCAGCACUCACAAGGGCAGAGCCAGUCAACCAGAAGCACGAGUUGACAUGGAUUCGACUUGUGGGCCGUCAGCCGCACGGCCUACUCACGAUCGACGACUUCCCUAGUGGCUUGCAGGCCCAAACUGGGCCCGUUGAGGGUGUACGCUGAUAUAUGCGUGUGGUGUGUGUUGCGUGAGGACCGGGAAGGGAGUUGGUGGCUUCGGCCAUGGCUAGUGUGUGUCAUGUGUGAGCUCGUGUAAGCAUUCAUGGCGAAUUGGCUAUAGAUCUGACAUCAAUACAAGUUAUACCCUCACAUCUGGCUUCAGAGCCGUUCCAUCCUGGAGAUUCCCCACCACCCACACCGCACCAAGUUCAGCGAAUUACGGCGCCGGCAAGCCAUGGAUGGGCUGUCGGCGGAAGGGUGCAGCAUCCACAAGCUCGUUAAAUCCACCAUCUCCGACGACCUCGAUCAGCGCCUCAAGGUACACAGCGAAGACCUCCUCAAGUCCAUGACCGAAUUGCUCCAAGAUUCGACCAAGACCUUGGACGGUCUCAUCACAGCAUGCGUCGACAGUGUUCACUCUGAUCUCCUUCUCAAAAUCUACCAGAUCCGCUCGGAUUGGGAGUGACGGGACAAGGCCGACUGCAAUGGCCGGAUUGGAGGGCCUUCCUCAUCAAGCAGAGACGCCGAAGAAAGCCAGGAUGCGGUUCCUGCUGAUUCCCAUGGAGCGGACAGGUUUAGUAAGUCCAAGGCUCACAACAUCUACGUCCCACCUCCGGCCAGGAGUGGGCGUGAAUUGCCUUCAGUCUUCCCGAGAGCUCAUCGCACUAGAUCAAGGUGAGUAGUACACUUCAUGGCCGAGAGUCGAGCUGUCGCGGUUAAAUGGCUCAAAUCCCAGGCUGGUGGCAAGCGAGAUGCGAGGACUGCUUCAAGCAAUGGGGCACGCACCACAGCAGAUGAAUAUCAUCCGCCACCACUCAAUUCGAAGGGGCAGCUGCUCACUAGUUGGAGUCUGUGCAGAGGAGAAUAGUGGGGUUAUAGUGGACUGAAUUUUGCAAUUUCCUGCAAUCGAGAUUUGGCCGUAACCAAUACUAGAAUUUGCUGAGGAAGAUGUUCCGAAUUGGUCAGACUAGAUUUGUCGAAGAAUAUGUAGAUCAAUUCUCUAAAUUGUAUGUCCAACUCACUACUUAUGAAAUCAUCCUUGAUCCACUGCAUUAUACCACCAGGUUCAUCGACGGGUUGAAACUAGGAGUCCGCAUGGCCAUUGCAAUGCAAAAACCCAGAGAUCUUGACACUGCGUACGAAUUAGCUCUGCUACACGAAGAAUUGUGAGAAGUAUCAUACCACCAAGCCAGUUCCACGACAAAAAGGAGUCCUGCAUCAUCCGGAUAGUAUGCUUACAAGUCCAAAAAUGCAGAAGAGCGUCGGCCAAUUGACAGUCAAAGGCCAGAAACUACUAAAGAUAAGUGGGUCUCUCUGAGGAAUUUCAGGAAGGCAAAAGGAUUGUGCUUCAUCAGUGGUGAAAAAUGGUCCAAGGACCAUCAGUGCAAGUCUACUGUGCAGCUACAAGUUGUGCAAGAACUCAUUGAGCAAUUACAGAGCCCUGCUACAUCCCUGGAUGAAUCUGAUAGUGAUUCUGACAAUUGGAUGAUGCUCUUAGCAGCUGCUGUAAGCAACAGUGUGUCAAAGUUGUCCUCACCUUACCAGUACUUCUACAAGGUAUUAAGCUAAGGUUUCUAGUUGACUCAGGGAGCACUCAUUCAUUCGUGGACAGUUCUCAUCAACAGAUGUUUCCAACAAUGACUGAAAUUAAGUCGGUUUCUGUCAAGGUUGCAGGAGGAGGGAAGUUGAGCUGUUCACAGCAGGUUAAACACUGCAAGUGGAGUUGUCAGGAAGAAAACUUUGUGCAUGAUUUCAGAGUCCUAACCCUUGGAGGAUAUGAUAGUAUUUUGGGCCUUGAUUGGCUAGCCAAGCAUAGUCCAAUGUACAUGGACUGGGAACAAAAAUGGCUCUCCUUCCAGUAUAAGGGCACUACUGUUACCCUACAAGGGGAAUUUCCUGAAGAGUGUGAAUUCACUGUCAUGGCAAUUUUUCAGAACAUCACUACUAAAAACAGUGAGCAGUUACCUGAGAUACAAGCUUUAUUAGACAAGUAUGCUGAGGUUUUUGCUCCCCCAACUAGUUUACCUCCCAGAAGGCAGUAUGACCACAGUAUUCCCCUGCUACCUGGAGCUCAACCAGUGUCUAUUAGACCAUACAGAAUUCCUCCUCACCUGAAGAUUUAAAUGGAAAAGCAGGUGGCAGAAAUGUUGUAGAGAGGGUUAAUUCAAGUGAGUAAUAGUCCUUUUUCUUCUCCAGCACUACUGGUCAAAAAGAAGGAAGAAGGAGCUUGGAGGUUGGUCAUAGACUUCAGACAUGUCAAUGCACUCACAGUGAAAAGCAAAUACCCUAUUCAUAUUAUUGAUGAGCUACUAGAUGAACUUGCUGGAGAUCAUUGGUUUUCUAAAUUGGACCUCAGAGCAGGAUACCAUCAGACCAGACUUGCAUCAGGAGAAGAGUUUAAAACUACUUUUCAGACACAUAUUGGUCACUAUGAGUUCACUGUUGUGGCCAUGGGGCUGACUGGGGAUCCCAAUACAUUCCAAGGAGCAAUGAACACAGAUCUAGCUCCAUCCUUGAGUGGUGAGGAUCGCUGUGUUGUAUGUUUCUUUGAUGAUAUUCUAGUUUUCAGCAAAUCCCUCAAGGAACAUCUCCUGCAUCUAGACAAGGUAUUGGGUAUUCUACUAGAAAAACAAUGGAACGUAAAACUCAGUAAAUGGGAAAAGCAAGAGAUUGCUUAUCUGGGUCAUGUCAUAAGUGACAAGGGGGUUUCCACUGAUGCCAGUAAAAUUACAGCUGUUAAGAAUUGACCAGUUCCUAUGGAUGUGAAGCAGGUCAGAGGAUUUUUGGGCUUAACUGGAUACUACAGGAAAUUUAUCAAAAACUAUGGUGUGAUUAGCAGACCUCUGACUGACUUGUUGAAAAGGGGGGCUAUAUUUGUGUGGACUCCCACUACUGAUUUAGCCUUCCAGACACCGAAGCAGGCUCUGAUUCAUGCUCCUGUAUUAGCCCUUCCAGAUUACUCCAAGCAGUUUGUGGUGGAAAUAGAUGCAUGUGAAGUUGGCAUUGGGGUUGUUCUUAUGCAGCAGGAUCAUCCAAUUGCAUUUGUCAGCAGGGCCUUGGGUCCUAAGAACAGAGGUCUUCCUGUGUAUGAGAAGGAAUACAUGGCAAUACUACUAGCUAUUGAGAAGUGGAGAUCAUACUUGCAAUUCCAGGAGUUCAUUAUCAAGGCAGAUCAGAAGAGUCUGGUUCACCCGUCUGAUCAAAGAUUGCAUACACCUUGGCAGGAAAAAGCACUCACCAAAAUGAUGGGCCUCAACUAUAAGAUCAUGUAUGAACUAACCGACCUUUGUGCUAUGCUUAGGAUUCGGUCUUGUCCAUCACAUCAUUCUCCUAAUGAUGUGAUCCCGUUAUCAACGACAUCCAAUGUCCAUAGCCAGGAAACCAUGACUAUCUGUUGAUCACAACGAGCUAGUCAACUAGAGGCUCACUAGGGACAUAUUGUGGUCUAUGUAUUCACACGUGUAUUACGAUUUCCGGAUAAUACAGUUAUAGCAUGAAUAAAAGACUAUUAUCAUGAACAAAGAAAUAUAACAAUAACACUUUUAUUAUUGCCUCUAGGGCAUAUUUCCAACAGUCUCCCACUUGCGCUAGAGUCAAUAAUCUAGUUACAUUGUGAUGAAUCGAACACCCAUAGAGUUCUGGUGUUGAUCAUGUUUCGCUCGCGAGAGAGGUUUAGUCAACGGAUCUGCGACAUUCAGAUCCGUAUGUACUUUGCAAAUUUCUAUGUCUCCAUCUUGGACAUUUUCACGGAUGGAGUUGAAAUGACGCUUGAUGUGCCUGGUCUUCUUGUGAAAUCUGGGCUCCUUCGCAAGGGCAAUAGCUCCAGUAUUGUCACAGAAAAGUUUGAUCGGCCCCGACGCACUGGGUAUGACUCCUAGGUCGGUGAUGAACUCCUUCACCCAAAUAGCUUCAUGCGCCGCCUCCGAGGCUGCCAUGUACUCCGCUUCACAUGUAGAUCCCGCCACGACGCUCUGCUUGCAGCUGCACCAGCUUACUGCUCCACCAUUCAACAUAUACACGUAUCCGGUUUGUGACUUAGAGUCAUCCAGAUCUGUGUCGAAGCUAGCGUCGAUGUAACCCUUUACGACGAGCUCUUCGUCACCUCCAUAAACGAGAAACAUGUCCUUUGUCCUUUUUAGGUACUUCAGGAUAUUCUUGACCGUUGUCCAGUGUUCCUUGCCGGGAUUACUUUGGUACCUUCCUACCAAACUUACGGCAAGGUUUACAUCAGGUCUGGUACACAGCAUGACAUACAUAAUAGAUCCUAUGGCUGAAGCAUAGGGGAUGACGCUCAUCUCUUCUUUAUCUUUUGCCGUGGUCGGGCAUUGAGCCGAGCUCAAUCUCACACCUUGCAAUACAGGCAAGAACCCCUUCUUAGACUGAUCCAUUUUGAACUUCUUCAAAAUCUUAUCAAGGUAUGUGCUUUGUGAAAGACCUAUGAGGCGUCUCAAUCUAUUUCUAUAGAUCUUGAUGCCUAAUAUAUAAGCAGCUUCUCCAAGGUCCUUCAUUGAAAAACACUUAUUCAAGUAGGCCUUAAUGCUGUCCAAGAAUUCUAUAUCAUUUCCCAUCAAAAGUAUGUCAUCUACAUAUAAUAUGAGAAAUGCUACAGAGCUCCCACUCACUUUCUUGUAAACGCAGGCUUCUCCAUAAGUCUGCAUAAACCCAAACGCUUUGAUCAUCUCAUCAAAGCGAAUAUUCCAACUCCGAGAUGCUUGCACCAGCCCAUAAAUGGAUCGCUGGAGCUUGCAUACUUUGUUAGCAUUCUUAGGAUCGACAAAACCCUCCGGCUGCAUCAUAUACAGUUCUUCCUUAAGAUGCCCGUUAAGGAAUGCCGUUUUGACGUCCAUCUGCCAUAUCUCAUAAUCAUAGUAUGCGGCAAUUGCUAACAUGAUUCGGACGGACUUAAGCUUCGCUACGGGAGAGAAAGUCUCAUCGUAGUCAAUCCCUUGAACUUGUCGAUAACCCUUAGCGACAAGUCGAGCUUUAUAGAUGGUGACAUUACCAUCCGCGUCCGUCUUCUUCUUAAAGAUCCAUUUGUUUUCUAUCGCUCGCCGAUCAUCGGGCAAGUCAGUCAAUGUCCAUACUUUGUUUUCAUACAUGGAUUCUAUCUCGGAUUUCAAGGCAUCUAGCCAUUUGUUGGAAUCUUGGCCCGCCAUCGCUUCUUCAUAGUUCGAAGGUUCACCGUUGUCUAACAACAUGAUUUCCAGGACAGGGUUGCCGUACCACUCUGGUGCGGAACGUGUCCUUGUGGACCUACGAAGUUUAGUAGCAACUUGAUCCGAAGUACCUUGAUCAUCAUCAUUAUUUUCCUCUUCAGUUGGUGUAGGCAUCACAGGAAUAUCUUCCUGAGCUGCACUACUGUCCCGCUCAAGAGGUAGUACUUCAUCGAGUUCUACUUUCCUCCCACUUACUUCUUUCGAGAGAAACUCUUUUUCCAGAAAGCAUCCGUUCUUGGAAACGAAGAUCUUGCCCUUGGAUCUUAAGUAGAAGGUAUACCCUACAGUUUCCUUAGGGUAUCCUAUGAAGACGCAUUUUUCCGACUUGGGUUCGAGCUUUUCAGGUUGAAGUUUCUUGACAUAAGCAUCGCAUCCCCAAACUUUUAGAAACGACAGCUUAGGUUUCUUCCCAAACCAUAAUUCAUACGAUGUCGUCUUAACGGAUUUAGACGGUGCCCUAUUUAAAGUGAAUGUGGCUGUCUCUAGAGCGUAUCCCCAAAAUGAUAGCGGUAAAUCGGUAAGAGACAUCAUAGACCGCACCAUAUCCAAUAGAGUGCGAUUAUGACGUUCGGACACACCGUUUCGCUGAGGUGUUCCAGGCGGCGUGAGUUGUGAAACGAUUCCACAUUUCCUUAAGUGUGUGCCAAAUUCGUGACUUAAAUAUUCUCCUCCAUGAUCUGGUCGUAGGAACUUUAUCUUUCGGUCACGUUGAUUCUCCACCUCAUUCUGAAAUUCCUUGAACUUUCCAAAGGUCUCAGACUUGUGUUUCAUCAAGUAGACAUACCCAUAUCUACUCAAGUCAUCUGUGAGAGUGAGAACAUAACGAUAUCCUCCGUGAGCCUCAACACUCAUUGGACCGCACACAUCGGUAUGUAUGAUUUCCAACAAGUUGGUUGCUCGCUCCAUUGUUCCGGAGAAUGGAGUCUUGGUCAUCUUGCCCAUGAGGCAUGGUUCGCAUGUGUCAAAUGAUUCAUAAUCAAGAGACUCUAAAAGUCCAUCAGCAUGGAGCUUUUCCAUGCGCUUGACACCAAUGUGACCAAGGCGGCAGUGCCACAAGUAUGUGGGACUAUCAUUAUCAACUUUACAUCUUUUGGCAUCUACACUAUGAACAUGUGUAAUAUUACGCUCGAGAUUCAUUAAGAAUAAACCAUUGACCAUCGGAGCAUGACCAUAAAACAUAUCUCUCAUAUAAAUCGAACAACCAUUAUUCUCAGACUUAAAUGAGUAGCCAUCUCGUAUUAAACGAGAUCCAGAUACAAUGUUCAUGCUCAAACUUGGCACUAAAUAACAAUUAUUAAGGUUCAAAACUAAUCCCGUAGGUAAAUGUAGAGGCAGCGUGCCGACGGCGAUCACAUUGACUCUGGAACCAUUCCCGACGCGCAUUGUCACCUCGUCCUUCGCCAGUCUCCGUUUAUUCCGCAGCUCCUGCUGUGAGUUACAAAUAUGAGCAACGGCACCGGUAUCAAAUACCCAGGAGUUACUACGAGUACUGGUAAGGUACACAUCAAUUACAUGUAUAUCAAAUAUACCUUUGGUGUUGCCGGCCUUCUUAUCCGCUAAGUAUUUGGGGCAGUUCCGCUUCCAGUGACCCUUCCCCUUGCAAUAAAAACACUCAGUCUCAGGCUUGGGUCCAUUCUUUGACUUCUUCCCGGCAACUGGCUUACCGGGUGCGGCAACCUCUUUGCCGUCCUUCUUGAAGUUCUUCUUACCCUUGCCUUUCUUGAACUUAGUGGUCUUAUUGACCAUCAACACUUGAUGUUCUUUCUUGAUUUCAACCUCUGCUGACCUCAGCAUAGAAAAUACUUCAGGAAUGGUCUUUACCAUCCCCUGCAUAUUGUAGUUCAUCACAAAGCUCUUGUAGCUUGGUGGGAGCGACUGAAGGAUUCUGUCAAUGACUGCCUCAUCAGGGAGGUUAAUAUUCAGCUGGGUCAUACGGUUGUGCAACCCAGACAUCUUGAGUAUGUGCUCACUGACAGAACUAUUUUCCUCCAUCUUACAACUAUAGAACUUGUCGGAGAUGUCAUAUCUCUCGACCCGGGUGUGAGCUUGGAAAACUAGUUUCAGCUCUUCGAACAUCUCAUAUGCUCCGUGAUGCUCAAAACGCUUUUGGAGCCCCGGUUCUAAGCUGUAAAGCAUGCCGCACUGAACGAGGGAGUAAUCAUCAGCACGAGACUGCCAAGCAUUCAUAAUGUCUUGGUUCUCUGGGACGGGAGCGUCACCUAGCGGUCCUUCUAGGACAUAUUGUUUCCUGGCAGCUAUGAGGAUGAUCCUUAGGUUCCGGACCCAGUCCGUAUAGUUGCUGCCAUCAUCUUUCAGCUUGGUUUUCUCUAGGAACGCGUUGAAGUUCAUGUUGACAUGAGUGUUGGCCAUUUGAUCUACAAGACAUAUUUGCAAAGGCUUUAGACUAAGUUCAUGAUAAUUAAGUUCUAAUCAAAUUAUGAACUCCCACUCAGAUUACACAUCCCUCUAGUCAUCUAAGUGUUACACGAUCCGAGUCGACUAGCCUGUGUCCGAUCAUCACGUGAGAAGGACUAGUCAUCAUCGGUGAACAUUCUCAUGUUGAUCGUAUCUUCCAUACGACUCGUGUUCGACCUUUCGGUCUCCGUGUUCCGAGGCCAUGUCUGCACAUGCUAGGCUCGUCAAGUUAACCCUAAGUGUUUUCGCUGUGUAAAACUGUCUUACACCCAUUGUAUGUGAACGUAAGAAUCCAUCACACCCGAUCAUCACAUGGUGCUUAGAAGCGACGAACUGUAGCAACAGUGCACAGUUAGGGGAGAACACUUCUUGAAAUUUUGUAAGGGAUCAUCUUAUUUACUACCGUCGUCCUAAGUAAACAAGAUGCAUAAAAAUAAUAAACAUCACAUGCAAUUAUAUAGUUGUGACAUGAUAUGGCCAAUAUCAUAUAGCUCCAUUGAUCUCCAUCUUCGGGGCUCCAUGAUCAUCUUGUCACCGGCUUGACACCAUGAUCUCCAUCAUCAUGAUCUCCAUCAUCGUGUCUUCAUGAAGUUGUCACGCCAACGACUACUUCUACUUCUAUGGCUAACGCGUUUAGCAGUAAAGUAAAGUAGUUUACAUGGCGUUCUUCAAUGACACGCAGGUCAUACAAAAAAUAAAGACAACUCCUAUGGCUCCUGCCGGUUGUCAUACUCAUCGACAUGCAAGUCGUGAAUCCUAUUACAAGAACAUGAUCUCAUACAUCACAAUUCAUCAUUCAUCACAACUUCUGGCCGUAUCACAUCACAUGAUCAAUCGCUGCAAAAACAAGUUAGACGUCCUCUAAUUGUUGUUGCAUCUUUUACGUGGCUGCAAUUGGGUUCUAGCAAGAACGUUUUCUUACCUACGAAUAACCACAACGUGAUUUUGUCAACUUCUAUUUACCCUUCAUAAGGGCCCUUUUCAUCGAAUCCGCUCCAACUAAAGUGGGAGAGACAGACACCCGCCAGCCACCUUAUGCAACUAGUGCAUGUUAAUCGGUGGAACCGGUCUCACGUAAGCGUACGUGUAAGGUUGGUCCGGGCCGCUUCAUCCCACAAUACCGCUGAAGCAAGAAAAGACUAGUAGAGGCAAGCAAGUUGACAAGAUCCACGCCCACAACAAAAUUGUGUUCUACUCGUGCAAAGAGAACUACGCAUAGACCUAGCUCAUGAUGCCACUGUUGGGGAACGUUGCAGAAAAUAAAAAUUUUUCCUACGGUUUCACCAAGAUCCAUCUAUGAGUUCAUCUAAGCAACGAGUCAAGGGGAAGAGUUUGCAUCUACAUACCACUUGUAGAUCGAGUGCGGAAGCGUUCAAGGGAAUGGUGAUGAUGGAGCCGUACUCGUCGUGAUUCGGAUCACCGAUGACCAAGUGCUGAACGGACAGCACCUCCGCGUUCAACACACGUACGGGACGGUCGACGUCUCCUUCGUCUUGAUCCAGCAAGGAGGAAGGAGAGGUUGAGGAAGGUAGCUCCAAGGGCAGCACGACGGCGUGGUGCAGUUGGUGCAGCAGUAUUCCGACAGAGCUUCGCCGAGCACGUACGGAGGAGGAGAGGUGUUGGGGAGGGGAGGGGCUGCGCCUUGAGUUGUGUUGUUGCAGCCCUCCCCUCACCCCUCUAUAUAUAGGAGGAGAGGGGCAAGGGGGNNNNNNNNNNNNNNNNNNNNNNNNNNNNNNNNNNNNNNNNNNNNNNNNNNNNNNNNNNNNNNNNNNNNNNNNNNNNNNNNNNNNNNNNNNNNNNNNNNNNNNNNNNNNNNNNNNNNNNNNNNNNNNNNNNNNNNNNNNNNNNNNNNNNNNNNNNNNNNNNNNNNNNNNNNNNNNNNNNNNNNNNNNNNNNNNNNNNNNNNNNNNNNNNNNNNNNNNNNNNNNNNNNNNNNNNNNNNNNNNNNNNNNNNNNNNNNNNNNNNNNNNNNNNNNNNNNNNNNNNNNNNNCCUAGGCGCAUGGGCCCAAGGGGGGGGCGCCAAGCCCACCAGGGGCUGGCUGCUAUCCCUACGCAGCCCAAGUGGCCCCCCGGGAGGGGUGGUCCCUCCCGGUGGACCCCCGGAACCUUUCCGGUGCCCGUUUAACAACUUCCCAUAUAUAAAACUUUACCUCCGGACCAUUCUGGGACUCCUCGUGACGUCCGGGAUCUCAUCCGGGACUCCGAACAACAUUAGGUAAUCACAUACUUGUCUUCCUGAUAACCCUAGCGUCACCGAACCUUAAGUGUGUAGACCCUACGGGUUCGGGAGACAUGCAGACAUGACCGAGACUCUCCGGUCAAUAACCAACAGCGGGAUCUGGAUACCCAUGUUGGCUCCCACAUGCUCCUCGAUGAUGUCAUCGGAUGAACCACGAUGUCGAGGAUUCGAUCAAACCCCGUAUACAAUUCCCUUUGUCAAUCGGUACGUUACUUGCCCGAGACCCGAUCGUCGGUAUCCCAAUACCUUGUUCAGUCUCGUUACCGGCAAGUCACUUUACUCGUACCGUAAUGCAUGAUCCCGUGACCAAACACUUGGUCACCUUGAGCUCAUUAUGAUGAUGCAUUACUGAGUGGGCCCAGAGAUACCUCUCCGUCAUACGGAGUGACAAAUCCUAGUCUCGAUCCGUGUCAACCCAACAGACACUUUCGGAGAUACCUGUAAUGCACCUUUAUAAUCACCCAGUUACGUUGUGACGUUUGGUACACCCAAAGCACUCUUACGGUAUCCAGGAUUUACACGAUCUCAUGGUCUAAGGAAGAGAUACUUGACAUUGGAAAAGCUCUAGCAAACGAACUAACCGACCUUUGUGCUAUGCUUAGGAUUGGGUCUUGUCCAUCACAUCAUUCUCCUAAUGAUGUGAUCCCGUUAUCAACGACAUCCAAUGUCCAUAGCCAGGAAACCAUGACUAUCUGUUGAUCACAACGAGCUAGUCAACUAGAGGCUCACUAGGGAGAUAUUAUGGUCUAUGUAUUCACACGUGUAUUACGAUUUCCGGAUAAUACAGUUAUAGCAUGAAUAAAAGACUAUUAUCAUGAACAAAGAAAUAUAAUAAUAACACUUUUAUUAUUGCCUCUAGGGCAUAUUUCCAACAGCAGGAUCAUCCAAUUGCAUUUGUCAGCAGGGCCUUGGGUGCUAAGAACAGAGGUCUUUCUGUGUAUGAGAAGGAAUACAUGGCAAUACUACUAGCUAUUGAGCAGUGGAGACCAUACUUGCAAUUCCAGGAGUUCAUUAUCAAGACAGAUCAUAAGAGUCUGGUUCACCCAUCUGAUCAAAGAUUGCAUACACCUUGGCAGGAAAAGCACUCACCAAAAUGAUGGGCCUCAACUAUAAGAUCAUGUAUAAAAAGGGAUCUAACAAUUCAGCAGUAGAUGCUCUUUCUAGAAGGCCUCAUGCAAAUUCUCAACUCCUAACAAUAUCAUAUGCUCAGCCCAGUUGGCUUGGUGAAGUUGUCAAGAGUUACUCAAAUGAUCCAAAAGCACAAGAGUUACUGUGCCAACUGACCCUACAACCAGGCUCCAAGGAUAAAUUUCAGCUAGUUAAUGGGAUAAUAAGGUACAAGGGCUGCAUCUGGGUGGGAAAUGAUAGUACAUUGCAUAUAAAAAUUUGCCAACCCUUCCAUGACACACGCCUAGGAGGGCACUCAGGUUUCCCAGUUACUUAUAAGAGAAUUCGUGCUCUUUUUAAGUGGGUUGGCAUGAAGAAAGUUGUUCAGCAGUUUGAGCAAUCUUGCUUAGUGUGUCAGCAAGCGACACCUGAGAGAGUGGCUUACCUUCGACUGCUAUCCCCAUUACCAGUUCCUACCAAGGCUUGGGCAACUGUAACAAUGGGCUUUAUCUCAGGUUUACCUCCCUCGGGUCAGUUUGACUGCAUUAUGGUCAUCAUCGACAAAUUUACAAAAUAUGGCCACUUUGUUCCUGUCAAACACCCCUACACGUCUUAGAAAAUUGUUGUUCUUUUCCUGGACAGUGUCUAUAAGCUUCAUGGCAUGCCUCUGUACAUUGUGUCAGAUCGGGAUCAUAUCUUUACCAGCAAUUUUUGGCAAGCAUUGGUUAAGAAAACUGGGAUUGUUCUUAACAUGAGCACUGCAUAUCAUAUGGAGACUGAUGGCCAAACCGAAUGAGUGAAUCAACAGGUUGAGUGUUUCCUAAGAUGCUUUAUCAGUGACCACCCGAAUGGUCCAAAUGGCUUUCUCUAUGCGAGUUCUGGUACAAUACAAACUGACAUUCAACUCUGAACAAAUCACCAUUUGAAGUUCUUUAUGGGCAUAGCCCCAGGUAUUUUGGGAUAUCAGUUUCAAAUAUAGUUGCUCCGGUUGAUUUGCAGCAAUGGUUGGAAGCCAGGGAAGUUGUGCAACAGUCAGUUUGUCAACACCUGUUGCGUGUGCAACGAUGAAUGAAACACCAGGCCAACAAGCAUCGCACAGAGAAGACAUUUGAAGUGGGUGACAGGGUGUUCCUCAAGCUCAAGCCAUAUGUGCAAUCGUCAGUGGCGCACAGGGCAAAUCACAAACUUGCAUUCAAUUACUUUUGGCCUUUCCCCAUUCUGGAGAAAAUUGGCGAGGUGGCUUACCGACUGCAAUUGCCAGCAGCUAGCCGUAUCCACCCGGCCUUUCAUGUUUUGCAGCUGAAGCGCUUCGUGCAACCACAUUACGAGGUAAUUGUCUCACUUCCUUGUGCCGAUGCUCACCUCCAAAUCCCUGUUAAGAUCCUGCAGGAGCGCAUUCGCCGCUCGGACAAUCAUUCCGUGGCUCAAGCCUUGAUGCAGUGGAGUGGUGGAGAUGCAUCUACAGCAACCUGGAAGGACAAGGACUCGCUUCGCCAGUUGUUUCCGCAAGCCCCGGCUUGGGGUUAAGCCGGUUCUAAAAGAGAGGGGGAUGUCAACGCUCACAAGGGCAGAGCCAGUCAACCAGAAGCACGAGUUGACGUGGAUUCGACUCAUGGGCUGUCAGCCGCACGGCCCACUCGCGAUCGACAACUUCCCCAGUGGCUUGCAGGCCCAAACUGGGACCGUUGAGGGUGUACGCCGAUAUAUGCGUUGUGUGUGUGUGUGUUGCGUGAGGAUUGGGAACGGAGUUGGUGGCUUCAGCCAUGGCUAGUGUGCGGCGUGCGUGAGCUCGUGUAAGCAUUUAUGGCGAAUUGGCUAUAGAUUGAGAUCAAUACAAGUUAUACCCUCACAUUCCGGAGGACAGAAUGAAACAUCCCCACCGGAAUAGCAGAUAGUGCAACAAGACGAUGGACGUGUGACGCCCCAAGACCGACGCUCCAGAAGACUUAUAGCUGGUCCAUGUUUCUCGUUGUCGCCGUGUGUUUUGUUUUGUUUGUUGCAUUCAUCAUUGCAUCAUGUCAUCAUGCAACCCUUUUUAAACCUCAGCUAAAUAAAUUGCAUAGAUCAUCGAUCUAUUUAAAUCGAGGGAAUUUACAUGGUGAUUUCUCUUUAGAACAUAUACUCCCAAUAUUAUUAGGGAGCUAUAAUAAAUAUUCCAUUAACUGGAAAUCACCCAUAACACAUUUACAUUAUUCUUCAACUCUUCUUUUAUCCGACUCAACUUUCUAUCCUUCCUUUUCGACGUUUUAGUAAAAUUGAGUUGCAAUUUUACUUCUCCAUAAAUGUUGCAAAUCUGCCCAUAAAUCACAUCUGGUGUGUAGGGUCACCCCCCUAUAAUUCCAACCCAUUUGGAGUUCAUUCGAAUGGGUUUUGAAAUUCAAACUUGUCUGAGUUAAAUCCAACAGGUGUGGAUAUUAUUUCCUCUAAAAAUCCUCAAUCUAUUUUUUUCAAAUUCUUCACAUUUUUGUGAGUCUGGGAAAAUAAUCCCCAUGCCCAAAUUCUAUCUCUACCUUCAUUUCUUCUUUUUUUUUCUUUGACAUUUUUCUGUUUUUGGGAGAGAGAAGAAGGAGAGCAGCCGCAGCUCAGCCUGCUCCCAGCAGCCGUCUCAGGCCACCGCGGCCUCCCGUAGCCCACCACCCAGGCCUAGGCCUAGUCGGCGCCCCUUUCUAACCUAACCCUCACCCGAUCCCCUUGUUAUCUCCCUCUCAAAUCCCCUCAUCCUCCUCCUUGCGCCGCCGCGAGGGCUUCUUGCCCGACCCCGUGCCACCUCGUCCCCGUAGCUCUUCAGCUCGCAGCCGCCGGCGAGCCCCGUCCACCACGCGCUACCCCGAGCCUCUUGCCAUCACUCUCCACCCCGCGCGCGACCAGCGCCGUCCUAUCCGCGCCGCCCCGUCCAGUUCCUCGUCGGUGACCCCCCGCUCCGGAUCCGCCUCCCAGGACCACGACCAGUGCCGCGGCUCCACGCCGUCUUCCGCAUCCCCGGCCUCCUCGUCGCCGUUUCGCCCGUCCCCGGCCACCGGUGCCCUCGCCGGAGCUCCCGCAAGCCGUCCCUGCCGCGCCCGACCUGUCCCUCGCCUCGCUGUUGCCCUGCUCCAGCGCCGCCUACCGACCUCCUCUGCUCCAGUCGUGGGCACCUCCUGCCUGAGAACCACCUUCGGCCACGCCAUGGUUCUCCUGCACCAGCUCUGUUCGACAAGGACGUCGCCCCGCUUCCUUCUCUUGCCGCGACCCAGAUCCCCCUCCUCACGCCUCGGGUCACCUCGCCACCCCAUCACCCAUCUUGUGCCCGCGUCCGUGUAGCACCAUCUCUGCUGCCCCCACGCACCUCCAAUGACCUCCCGAGGCAGGGCCAAGUACCACUACCAUCGCGUUUCGUUUCUUCAUCGUCAAGUACCAGGACGUCAGGACCCGUCAGGUUUAUCUACGUGCAUGUAUGACUAUCUUCGCCAUAGACCCGUGUACGAUUACGCAACGAACUGUGGAGUUACACGAGCUACCAGUACCGCGACGACCCCGGAGACUGUAUUCUGUCAAGUUCCUACAAUAUGUGUACAACUACUUCCACAACAUGUCGUGUAUGACUACCGUUGCUCAGAUUCGACAAGACAACAUGUACCACUACCGUUGCCAAGUUCGACUGCCGCACGGUUACGCCAAGUUCAUCUAUGAAACAUGUACAACUACUUCCACUAUCGUCGCGAGAACGACUACUUCUACUACGGCCGGUAUACCACUACUUCCCUCGACGAACUCGAACCGCUCCGAAAAAGCACACUACAAAGGUAUAACCACGAGACGAUCACGCGUGGACCGAAUGCACGUGUGUUGUAUCAGGUGCUCAUGUUUGCAGCAUGUCCGAGUUGAUCCUUGCACGUUCCUCCUCGUUUGCCAUGCCGUCGACCCGUGGGAACCCGGUAAUCCGGGAUCACCCCGCCAUCUUUUGCAUGCUCACGCCCACACUUUCUUUUGCACCGGUAUCUCAACGACUUGCUGGAUCAUCGGAAUGUUGCCGUGGCACCAUUUCCGUUUUCAUUGCCGUGGCACCCCUUUUGUUCCGCCAUGGUGACAAAUGCUUCAUAUCUUAUAUUAUGUCAACAUUUUUAUAAAAAAUGCAUAAAACUUGAAUAUGUCAUCCGCGUCAUGAUAACAACAUUUAAAAUGUUUAAAGUUGUUGUUGCAUUAAAUUGCUAAAUAACAUAUGGGGAUUUUUCAGAAUUGUUGUUUGUUGUUUCCGGCAUCAUUUAAACUUGCCUAAAUAGGUGGUUUGCUCAUGUUUCACCUCUUUCCAUGUUAACCAACAUUUAAACUUGUCUUAUUCAUAAACGAGAGAGAACUAAAUAAUUGGAUGUGGUGUUUCGUCAAUAUGCAACUCGUUAUAUAUUGAGCUCCACUUAAAUUGUAGUGUUGUUUGUGCACUAUGCCAUGUCAUGCACAUUUAAACCGGACAUGCAUCAUACUUGAAUGUGCAUCAUGCCAUGUUAUGUGAUGAUUGUUUACCAUAUUGUUUGCUUCUUUCCGGUGUUGUUUCUUAGUUCCGGUAACGUUGCGGAUUGUGAGGAUUCGUUCGACUACGUCCGUUUGUCUUCUUCUUGGACUCGUUCUUCUUUUUUGCGGGAUCUCAAGCAAGAUGAUCAUUACCCUCGAUAUCACUUCUAUCUUUGCUUGCUAGUUGCUUCUUUCUAUCGCUAUGCCGGUUGAAGUUUUCAUGAGCAUAAGACAAUUGCAAGUCCCAGUUUGCUACAAGCAUGACAACCCGACACUUGGGGGUACAUGUGAUAUGCAUAUAAGGGAGGAAUAACUUCAAAUUCUCAGUUUUGAGCAAAUCAGGUAUUAUAUUAUUAUCAGAGAAAUCUGCAAAGUUUAUGACCCGGCGUCAUCAUAAGAUUAACCUGGCAUCAGCAACAAUUACAUGACCCGACAUCAUUUAUUUAUAACUCGGCAAAUUUGGUAAUCAUAAGUCGGCAAGAUUUACAUCUCUAAGCCGGCUGAAUAUCAAUUCAAUAUUUCAAAGACUAAUGUUUUUUCAAGUCAGAGCAUUGAAGGCCGACUCAAAUGGAUUAUUUCUUAUAAUAUUUCUCUACAAGAGCCAAUGUCAGCAAAUUGGUUAUGAAGCUAGCCUAUUGACCCCGAUUUUUUAGAAGAAGUGCCUGGAUUUUUUUGCAUUGGCAAGGUUUGGAAAUAUCUGUUAAAGGAUAUUUGUUAUAAGAUCUUGAGUAUGCAUCCAGGAGGAAAUGACAAGGACUUAAAGAUGAUCAGGUGCCGGUUCAAGAAAAUAUUUAACCCAGAGCACAGCCUAUCAAGUUUGUUCUUGUGUUUAUUUUAUAGGAUCAGUUUAACAUGGAUAAAUCCAAAUUAAACCGGGGGCUAAUGUCAGGGAUAUACCCCGCGGUAUGACCCGGCCGGGCUGGGCGUUUUCAUUGGUAACCUGCCGGAGUGGCGACUCACGAGCCCGGCGAUUCACGGAUGGCCCUGACGGCGGCUCAGAUAGAAGACAAGGCCCAAGGCCCAGAAGGCCGGCUCAUGCUAUGGUGGGCCGGCUUAAGAGAAAAGGCAUAGGGAAUAUUAUCCUACAAAGGAAGCAAGACUAGGACUCCACUUGUAAUAGAGUAAUCCUAGUCCUACUUGGACUAGUCAUGUAACCCGCCCCUUCAACUUAUAUAAGGAGGGGCAGGGCUCCCCAAAGAGGACAAGCAAGAAGAAACAAUCUCUAGGGAUAGACACAAGAGCCGGCUUACCGGCGACUCCCUCAUGAUCAUAAUGAGACCUAGCCACAAACAGCAUUUAGGGUUAUUACCGGAUGAUGUUUCCCGGGGCCCGAAGCUGUCUAAAUCCUUGUCUUGUGUGUUGAUUGCAUCGCGUCUCUCGAUUCCGACCAACACCUUCAAGCUACUGCAUAGAUGCGUUGGCCUCACGACUAAGUCCUCACACUAAGGAGAUCUAACGUGACAAUUCCACGGCACCAUCACUUGUUUACCAUGCCUCCCUUAUUGCCAUGUCAAGCCUCUAACCCACCUUCCUAGUAAACCGUUGUUUGGCUAAAUUCCCGCUUUUGGUCAGCCUCUCUUAUAGCGUUGUUAGUUGCAGGUGAAGUUGAAGAUUGCUCCAUGUUGGAACAUGAUUAUGUUGGGAUAUCACAGUAUCUCUUAUUUUUAAUUAAUGCAUCUAUAUAUUUGGUAAAGGGUGGAAGGCUCAGCCUUAUGCCUGGUGUUUUGUUCCACUCUUGCCGCCUUAGUUUCCGUCAUACCAGUGUUAUGUUCCUUGAUUUUGCGUUCCUUACGCGGUCGGGUUUAUGGGAACCCCCUGACAGUUCGCCUUGAAUAAAACUCCUCCAAGAAGGCCCAACAUUGGUUUUCCAUUUGCCUAACAACCUACAACCCUCCCUUGGGGUCUGUAGCCCCGAGGGUCAUCUUUAUUUUAACCCCCCCCCCCCNNNNNNNNNNNNNNNNNNNNNNNNNNNNNNNNNNNNNNNNNNNNNNNNNNNNNNNNNNNNNNNNNNNNNNNNNNNNNNNNNNNNNNNNNNNNNNNNNNNNNNNNNNNNNNNNNNNNNNNNNNNNNNNNNNNNNNNNNNNNNNNNNNNNNNNNNNNNNNNNNNNNNNNNNNNNNNNNNNNNNNNNNNNNNNNNNNNNNNNNNNNNNNNNNNNNNNNNNNNNNNNNNNNNNNNNNNNNNNNNCUCUAAUUGUUGGUCCGAACUAGAGACACUUGCAGCGCCACCUCGGGGAAACUUGAGGGAUGGUUUUUAGCUGUACGUAGUGUUCAUCCGGUGCGCCCUGAGAACAAGAUAUGUGCAGCUCCUAUCAAGAUUUGUUGGCACAUCUGGGCGGUCUUGCUGGUCUUGUUUUACCAUUACCGAAACGUCUUGUAACCGGGAUUCCGAGACUGAUCGGGUCUUUCUGGGAGAUGGAACAUCCUUCGUUAAUCGUGAGAGCUUGUGAUGGGCUAAGUUGGGACACCCUUGCGGGGUAUAAACUUUCGAGAGCCGUGCUCGCGGUUAUGUGGCAGACGGGAAUUUGUUAAUAUCCGGUUGUAGAGAACUUGACAUUUGACUUAAUUAAAAUGCAUUAACCGCGUGUGUAGCCGUGAUGGUCUCUUUUCGGCGGAGUCCGGGAAGUGAACACGGUUUGGGUUAUGUUUGAACGUAAGUAGUCUUCAGGAUCACUUCUUGAUCACUUCUAGGUGACGACCGUUGCGUACCUUCUCUUCCUACUCUUGUACUCACCUGUUAGCCACCAUAUUUUUCUUAUCAAUUGCUGCAACCCCAUCUCAUUACCACAUCCUACCCAUAAGCUUAAAUAGUCUUGAUCUUGCGGGUUUGAGAUGGCCGAGUCCUCGUGACUCACAGAUACUACCAAAACAGUUGCAUGUGCCGAUGAUAUCAGUGUAGGUGAUGCAACUGAGCUCAGUUGGGAUUUUGACGAAGUCCUUGGCAGUUACUAUGUUUUGUUUCCUGAUGAUCAGUAGUGGAGCCCAGUUGGGACGAGCGGGGAUCUAGCAUUUGGGGUUAUCUUCUUUUCAGUUGGAUUUGUCCGUAGCCGGACUAUGUGUGUACUCUGAAUGUUGUAUGUUUUAUUGAAGUACUUGUGUGAAGUAACGAUUGUAAGCCAACUCUUUAUCCCUUUCUUGUUCAUUACAUGGGAUUGUGUGAAGAUGACCCUUCUUGCGAAACAACCACAAUGCGGUUAUUCCUCGUGCCUCAACACGUGGGAGUUAUAGCCGCAUCGUGGGCGUUAUAGGACGCUUGCCUGUUGUGCCCGCACUCUAACACUAGAUGCACGGGUUCGCCGCACACUUGUCCUAUGUGGGUUGCCGGGACAUCAAGUAAGCCAAGACGUACUUCUUCCACAACGCUAUUGUGGUUUGUGUUGCACAAGCGGGUAGUGCGCCGCGGCAGGCCGCGCUUUGCUGGUAGUUUCGAGAUGUGUUGAUUUUUGUAUUUUGCAUAAACUUCUACAUGUAAAAAUAGUUAGAUAUUAGAGGCAAUACACCAUGCAGGUGGAUCAUUAAUUCAAGACCGUCUUACCACAAGAUUAGACGAUGGAACCAUGAACUUAAAAACUGUUAUGAAAUAUAGUGACCAAAGCAUGGACACAAUUUAUUAUCACUGUAGAGGGUGGCCAUCACUAUGCAUUAUUAACACGAAGUUAUUAUCUCUGAAAAAAUCUCAUGGAAAAGAAUAGAACAGUGGUAGAGAUUUCUAUAGAGCAUAGUCCUGCUUAAGAAUGUUGAACAAUCUGUCCUAUUUUUGCUUGAGCUUGGAAGAAUAAGACAUUCAAUAUAAUGAAUUUUAAACGAUACAAAAAUGUGGAUCAAAGUGAACUUUGAAAAAAAACUUAAUCUCUCCUACUACUAAAUGUAUACAUUGAUUUUUUUUCCUCACAAUUUUUUUACCCUCAGCUUCAUUCGAGCUAACAACUCAUAUAUUUUAUCAGUGCAGUUGUAAGAAAACAUAAAAGAGUUAUAAUUUUUUGCUUCCUCUAACCAGGUCCACAAUAAUCAAGCUACAAAUUACUGGAUGAAGUAAGUGGGAUGACCGGUAAAGUAAUUUGGAACCAAAGCAUGAUAAUAAGCAAAUUAUCAUCAUCCUAUAGAUAACAAUCAGAUAAAACAGAAGGAGCUGCAUGAAGCAAUUUUGAGUCAAGACUGUUUGCAGCAAGUUCUAUUACUGAUCCUUGAAUAACAGAACAAUACAAUAAUAAAGUGUACAUUUGUCAGACCCAUCACUGCUCACACGUGUGCACCUGCACUUGGGACCACAACGGUGCGGUGCACUAAAAAGUCUGAGAUCCACUCUCUUUCUCUCUAGCUUUCUCAAAUCUCCCUGCUCAUUCCCCACCUCCACCAUUCCCCCAUCUCCCUAGUGCAUUUGUUGCUCUCGUCGCCGGCUCUCGCUGCCCCAGCGUGGCUCAUCCGUCUCCUCUCCACUGGAAGUAGAAAUCGAGUGCUCCUCGCCCGCACAACACGCAUUGGCGAGGCACCUCCUCCGCCGGCUCCUCGCCUGCACAGCACGCAUCGGUGAGGAAUCGAUGCCACUCAAAGCAGUGGGCGGUCUGGAAAGGGAGAAACCGGCGGAGGAGGGAGGAUCUCGAAAGAGUAGGAGGAAGCGAGGCUGCGAGAGAGGCAGGGGAGAAGAGGAAGCGGCGGGGUAGGGUGUGGCGGUGGCAAAAGCUGCGGCAUGCUCGUCAUUGGGCAUUGAUGGCGGCAAGAGCUAGCUAGGCACGACAAGUCCUGAUGAGGUUCACCGUCCACGCGAUUCAUAUCCUCCAGUAUGGUCUCGUCGAUUGAUUCUCUCCUCUCGGGUACCUACUCACCCGACUGCUAAAUCUCCAUCUGUCUAAUUCACCUUUUCUGCUAACUGCAAGUCUCACACCAUGUCAGCGCAACCCGCGGUUCGACAUGGGACUUCGUUUGCUUCAUCUAGAACUUCUGCAUCAUGAGCCUCGCAAAGAUGGCCGCCAUGCUCUUUCUUCCUCUGUCUAGGUAAGCUACAUGAACAGUUUUAGUCGUGAAGCAAGUACACACUUGACUAUAGAAAAUACAUCAUUUUUUCUUCAGUCCACAACGCCAAAAGAAAAUACAGCGAUAAAUGCCAGCAAUUAAUCUUAUGUUAGUUAAUAACAAUGCAUAAGCCUGAAAUUAUCUUCAGUGUCUUAAAUCAAUAGUACAGGAGCACUAUGUAAAUUACUGGAAUAUAUUGAAACAUACCAGGCCUUGUUAUAUCAACAACAGGGACAUACAUAGGUGUUUCUAAAUUCAAUAAUCACUAAAGCAGAUCAGCGUUGCUCGUACUCUUAAAUUAAGAAUACAUACUACCUAUUUAGAUUCUACCUUUGAGCAGCAUAUAAGGAGUGCAAAUAUUAGCAUGAACCCAGAACUCGCUCAAAAUUACAACACAGCUUAACUGAGCAAAAUCAAAUGGCAGAGGAAGAUAUAAUAUGUACAUAUAAAAUUCCUAUUAUGGGCAUCUGCAAAGGCAGAAGAUCAAUACCCACACAUGAUGGUACUGAAACAAAUUCAUGUAACAUCGUCCAAGAAUGUUAGCUUAAGCAUACCAUGAUAAUCACAAAUCUAACGGUCGUUGGCUCUGGUCCAAUAUCGACACCUGCAAUUGCAGAAGAUCAAUUCUCACAGAUGAUGGUACUGAAACAAAUUGGCAAACGAAAGAAAAUACAUGUUGCAUGUACAUAAGCUGGGGAUAGUUUGUUCUCCAGGAGAUGCUUGACAAAAGUUGUUUUCCCCAUACUUUGUACUAAACUAGCGGGGUCGCCCGCGCAUUUGCACGGCUAGAUUAUUGAUUUUGUUGUGAAAAUAGUUGAAGUCCACUUAUUUUUAAUGCUAACAAUAUAUAUUAUAAUUCUAAUGGCCUUAUAAGUGAAACUUUGUAUCAUGCUUUUGGAAUAUUGGUGAUUUAUUGCUCCAAAUAAAUUCAAAUUUUAACAAAAGAAUUAGAGUAUCGCCUAAAAUAACGUACCCAAUUUGGAAUCAAAAUGCAAAAAUAUUGCAAUUAAAGCGUUUUUGUAGCCAUAUAAUAGUUGCGGGACAUGUGUGCCAUGGGGGUUGGCGUGAAGUUCCAUUGAGGAACUUGGACUCUAGGCCACGUGCAGCCGCUAGGCCACCUAAUCUCCUAUGGGUAGGUCAAUUAUCUCUUCCCUGCCACCUUAACCUCUCUUUCAUUCUUCCAUGUUCGCCUCUCUUGCAACUCUCACUCAUUGUACAACCAUUGAUUCUAUUUCUCUUUAGCUUCUCAAGCUUCACCGUGGCCCCCUUUAGACCGAGGUGACACUUAUAUUGAUAGCAAUAACUCCUGAUCGAGCACCGCUGUUGGGUGGUAGUUAGCUUUGAUGGUUUCACAUACAAAAUGUCAAAACUCAUUUGUCAAAUAAAAGAAGUUGUAGCCGGUGUCUAAAUCGUGAAAAAGUAUUAUGGACUCAAGUAUAUUUGUUUUAUCAUGUGUAGUAAGAUGUUAGCAAAGCAUUUCGUAUGUGACAACUAAAAACCAUAUUUGGGUUCACUUUUGGCACGCCAAACUAUAUAGUGGUGUCUGUCUUUUAUCCACAAUUUUAAGAAACAUCCCAACAAAACAUAAUACUUAACUCUGAUGUCUAGAAUAUCUUCCAACUAAUGUAUGUUGCUUAGCCAUCUAAGACAAUAUAAACUUAUUUGCAUAUAUUUGAAAAAAAAAAUCCAGAACUAACCUCACCUGCUAAAUAUUGCCUAAUCUAUGUAGCUGGCCAUUUUUCUUUAUUUUUAUCGUAGUACGGUUAUUUAUUUUCCUCAUAAAAGUUAUUAGCUUCUUUUAUCAUGGCAUUGCACACACUACAUUUGGUGACAGCGAGCUGGGUAGCCCUCGCAAUGAUGUGGCUAGAUUGUCUAAUAUAGAGACUAAAACAAAAUCAUAAAAUGUAUAGUACAAACAAUUUAGAGAAAUAUGAUUGUGUACUUUCGGACAAAGGUAUUUCCAUUUUAGUGCAUGGAUUGUAGCCAAGGACAUUUCUAAGUUAAAGCAAAGGAUAAAUGCUACAUUGAUGUGUGUCGCCCUUGAAACCAUAUACUGGAUUAUGCCUUUGUCUCAUCCAGUCCGCAUCCAUGGGCUAUGGAUUUCACAUUGAGUUUCUUAAAGACAUGCACUAUUUAUCCAACAAAUAAGUCACUCCAGAACAAACAAAAAAAUAUUUUUAGGAAAAUUAUAAGGAAAUUCUCCAAUGCAUAUAUUUGAACUAAAUAUAGUUCAUGAGGAUUUUUAGUGCAUGUGCCCAGUUUUUGCAGCAAAAACAUGGGUUACCCUCCCGUAAUUGGAGACAUCUUCUUUUUAUCCAUAUAAACACCUUAUACAUCUUUUCCUUCUAGUCCAUCAGGAGAAUGAUAUUUUUUGGAAGUGCACCUAUAAUGCGUGAGAUCAUGUACCAAGAAUACACCACGCGGGAAAUCAUUUUGUUACUGUUUUAUUUACCAACUGUUUGCCCUCGUGUCAACGAUUGUGGUAUUUAGCUUUCCACGACAUUAGCAUUGGUACGUUGACCACUGUUAGUUAGAAAGAGAAAAAUACACUAGAACAUCUUGCAGAAAGUAGGCCAAUUAUUUGGUGGACCAUAUAAAAAUUUACAAUUUGGACCGACCAGAGAAAAGGAAAAAUGCUAGAAAAUAUCAUAAGAGCCAAAUAUGAGGAAAUUAGUUUGCUAACGUAAAUGCAUAUACCCCCGCAAAAAACCAUGUCGCAUAAACACAUGCAUAAAUGAUAUAUAUGUUGCCAAGAUGGUAUCUCCCCAUGUUGUAGAUGCUACACAUGAAGGAUCAAUUAGCUUUCGUGCGUAUCAAGAGAUAGAUCAAUGAGCGCACCUGUUCACAUGUAAAUGCAUGCGUACGUGUGUGUUUUUGCUGUGAACGCCCGAAGCUGCUUGAGUCGACGUGAAUGCGCCGCCAUAACCGCGAGUCAGCGACAACUCUGCCACGCCAUUGCGUUUCUGUCCUGUGACAUGCGCCUCUGCCGCUGCCAUCGGCCGUCGCCCCUGCUGCCGCUGCCGUCGCUGCUACUGUGUAGGCUAGCUUCUACGAUCAUACAUCGAUGCGGCCAGUAGCUAUUCAUCUUCGUCCGCAUACCGGCUAAUUGCACAAUUAUAUACGUCUUUGAUUGUUGUUAUAAAUCGUACACCACCGCUUGCUGCAUGGCAGCAGCCUCCACGGCGGUGCACCGGCGAGAUCGUGCGGACCAUGAGGAGGUCAUGGGCCUUGGCUGAACCCAGGUACGCAGUCAAUCAGAGAAUAUCAAAUUAUUUUGCCUUCCCCAAGUCAUAAUAGAUUGCGUGUGCCUGUACGAGCAUGUCGUUUCCUUUCCAAAUUCCGUUUCCUUUCCAUGUAAAUCUUUUUUCUUGUCUACUCAUUUCAAAUUACGUUUCCUUUCCAUGUAAAUCUUUUUUUCUUUUCUUUUUAGCACCCUGUCCUAUCCAUCACGUUUGGCUGCGGUUGGACAUACUUUUGUACAUGUCGUUAUUACUUGCCUAUUGCUAGUUUUUUUUACGUGUAUUACAUGAGGAAAUCUUGAUCGUUGAUACAUCUUAAUAUUAGAGUGUCAAAUCAGCACUGUUCGUUUUCUAUCGUUUUAUAAGUAUAUAGUAGAUGAUAGAUUUCAGACAAAAUCUGCCCUGCUGCUCAAGAAUGUAAAGCCAUGUCAUUCAACUUGUUGUCAAUUGAUCCUACUGGUAAAUACAAAUACAUGUCACUUAAAAAGAUUAUGCCAUUAUAGUUUUCUGAAACAAGAAUACGCCAUAAUAGCAUAGUGCCAGAAUUAUUUCAGUCGCUAUACAGUUUGAUGCGAUUCACAUGCAUGAUAUUUUAAUGAGUAGGCAAAUCGAAAUAUAAGGCAAGUAGAAGAAAGAGGAACCAGGAGUGGUGAUGUUGUGCUCAUCUAUACCGUCGCUUGUGAGCUAUGCAGUGGCAGCUGCCCUACAGAGAGGAAUGGUUGUGGCCCGGGAACAUGGCGCCUCAAAAGCAAUGUUAUAUGCUGUUGAGAAAGGGCGCCUCUGAUGGUCGCGCUGCGUCACCAUGUCAUCGCCAGUGCCGACAAUGGGCCAACGCCGGGAGGGAGGUGGCACACCGCCGCAGGAGAGCGGAGUAGAGCACGGGACAACGUGAGGAGGGGGGCAACUUACCAAACCUCCCGCCAUGGUCACCCUCGAUUGGAUCCACCAUCCUGCACAUGUCGUCGUUGCCGUCCUACGCCAGUGCCUUCUUCAGGCACUGCAUAGCGGCCGCUCCACCUCACCAUUGCCUUGACACGGAGCAGCCAACUAGGACGGAGCGAUAAGGUGUUGGAGCACCUCCUUGUGUCAGCUUCAGCGCUCGCUUAGCCAAGGCGGCAACUCCCGGCGACGCCGUGGGUGGUCGGCUCUGGUGGCAUGCGAUGGCGGGCGUCGGCGAUCUGGGCAGGCGAAAGGUCGAGGCGCGGGGUGGCUCGCAGCGUCGAGCAUGUGGCACACUUGAACAACGGGGACGCCGGGACUCCAGCACCUGAACGACGUGAGGCCGCGAGCUCGUGGUCGAGAGCAAUCGCAUUGGCCCAAGAUGACGGCAACGUCGACGAUGUGCAGCCGCGACCUGAGUUUAGCCUACCGCGCGGAGGUACGCCGCCUUCCUUCCUCUCCUCCGUCAUGGCCUUUGAUCGUGGUGGGGGCGACGGGAGAGAAUUUUGGAGCUUGUUGGUGGGACUACGCCGCCUUCCUUUCCUCUCCUCCGUCAUGGCCUCUGCUUGUGGUGGGUGCGACGGGAGAGAAUUUUGAAGCUUGGUGGUGGGACGAGGAGGCGGCGGUUGUGUUGUGUCGGGAUGAGGGAGAGACAAUUUAUAGAUCUACAAUAGCGAUGAAGAGGACAUGAGAUUGGACUGGAGUUUUCUAGAGAGAAGAUACGGGACGACAUGAGAUUGGACUGGAGUUUUGAGAAGUUACGUGUCCCGACCGGACCCAUCUUCCAUAGUAAAAAAACUAAAACCGGUGUAAAAAUUGUAACGUGGCAAAGGAAGGAACCAAAAUCAAAGCAGCGAUGGACAUGUACGAUCGGAACACAUGAAAGGAAACUGGCGUGACCCUUCCAUUCAACACAAAGAAAGACAUGGUAAAAAAACGUGCAACAUCUAGGUAGCUAAAAAAUAGGAACAACAAGGAAAGCUCCCGUCACACGCGUCAUUUUCUCAGGGGCGUAAAAAGAAUUCCGGAAAAACUAGAAAAAGGGAACCCUUACGGGCCUAGUAUUCUUAGUAUUAGGAAAUUUUAGUAUUUGGUGCCAAUUAAAGCUUGAACAAUUUUGGUUUUUCCCAUGACAUAUCACGAGCCGUCCUACCCGUAGCUCCUCUACAUUGAGUUCGUAGGAUCGGGCUUGCCUACUCCCUCCCCAUGCUCCCAUCCAAGCUCCCAAUUCAUUCUACAGUUGUUUUUUUCCUUUUUCCUUCCUAAUCUAAUCAUCCCUCUGAUUUUAACAGGGUGGCCCGGACCUUAUUUUGUUCCAAUCAAAUUAAGCCACGUACGCGGGAGUACGGAUGGGCGCACGCGUGGCGCUCAGGCAAGUCUCGUCUGAGUUCGUAUGCCCCUCUCUCAAGCCGGCCCUGAUGGAUAUUUAUUGCGCACCAAUACACGCCGGCGUACCAGCCGAACGAUUCAGCCGGUCAGCCCCAGCCGCACGAUGCGUGCGUCUACAUCGNNNNNNNNNNNNNNNNNNNNNNNNNNNNNNNNNNNNNNNNNNNNNNNNNNNNNNNNNNNNNNNNNNNNNNNNNNNNNNNNNNNNNNNNNNNNNNNNNNNNNNNNNNNNNNNNNNNNNNNNNNNNNNNNNNNNNNNNNNNNCUCGCUGACAAGCCAUGACUCCGCGGUUGCCCCUGCGCCGCCCGCCGCGGCACCACGCUCAUCCUCAUCGGCCGCCCGCACCGCCGCGCUCCCGUCGCCAUCGAGUGGUUGCAGCUUUUUUGCCAGGCGUUUCCAGCAUCCUUGAUGGGAAGUUCCAGCACUGCCGGUGGUGACCGCCCAACUCUGGGGAGCAGUGUCGUCGGUGCUCCGUCGGACUGGUUCCAGCAUCGAUCUCGCUCUGCCGGUCCACGGGUGUGUCAUCCCAAAAAUCAAGAGGUCGUCCCCCUCUCCUUGCAGCUCCACUGUACUGCGGUUCUAGCUUGCCGGACAACGGUUGCAACAUCCCAGCCGCAGGGGGUCGCCUUGCAGCUCCAUUGGACCGCCGUUGCAGAUCCAUUGGACUGCGGUACCAUCUCUUGUGGCAAUGGUUGCAGCUCCCCUUGCAUGGCUGCGGCACACCAUGCCGGCGGUCAUGUCGUCCCACCGUCACCGAUGCAGCAAAACUGGUCACCCGUAGUAGCAAAACAAACCACGGUUACAGCUCUCGUGCAUUACCAUUGUAUCUUUUCUAGAAUAAUGUCGUAGCUUUUUCCUUUGGUCGCGGGUCGCAGCUCGCUGUCGCGGCCCCACGCAUCACGGAUGUAGCAAUUUUGAUCACUGGUUCCAGCAAAUCUAGAUGCCCGUUCCAGCAAAAAUAACUGCCACCAUCGUUGCUCCAACCAGUUGUAGCAAAAAAGACGGCCAGUUCCAGCAUCUGGUGUGGUCGGUUGUAGCAAUAAAAGUUCUUGGUUGUAGCUCCAACCCUGACCGGCUCUAGCACCGGCGAUGAAGCUGGUAGCGUCCCCCCCAUGGCUCGGCACCAGGGUCGGUGAUGGCCGAAUCCAAUGUUGGUGGUGGCAGCAGUGUAGCGUCAACCCGUCGGCGGCCGGCCGCGAGGGGAGCUCGCAAUGGUUCGUGAGCAGCGGGGAGGAGAGAAAAGUCAUGGUUGUGGAGUCUCGGCUGAACGUAGAAGAAAGGAAAAAAAGGAAGGCCAAGAAAAAAGAUAAGAAUAGGAGAGGGGGCGGUUGUGCGAAGCCCACCACGUACACGCGUCUUGCUCGGGAGUUGUUUUCGUGGGGCCAGAGUGGCGUGCGAGCCGGCCGAACGUUCGGCCGGCGCCCCAGCCCAAAUCGUUUUCCAUAUGGGAAACGUUUAUACCCGGCGCACCGGCUGAGUCUUCCGCCGGUCGCGCACGCGGCGUGCGGUCCAUUUUUCCUUGUUGCACCAAGUCGCUUGUCCGCGCAUCCAGGCCCACAUGCAACACCCUCUUUCCCUCUUUCCUAGCCACGCAUCUACGGCCUUAUCCAUCUGCCAACCGCUCUUCUUCCUCCCCAGCUCUUUCUCUCUCCACGAGCGACCAAAGCACAUGCCAUGCCGAUGAAAGCCAACCGGCUAGACCAGAUCCCACUCGCCGNNNNNNNNNNNNNNNNNNNNNNNNNNNNNNNNNNNNNNNNNNNNNNNNNNNNNNNNNNNNNNNNNNNNNNNNNNNNNNNNNNNNNNNNNNNNNNNNNNNNNNNNNNNNNNNNNNNNNNNNNNNNNNNNNNNNNNNNNNNNNNNNNNNNNNNNNNNNNNNNNNNNNNNNNNNNNNNNNNNNNNNNNNNNNNNNNNNNNNNNNNNNNNNNNNNNNNNNNNNNNNNNNNNNNNNNNNNNNNNNNNNNNNNNNNNNNNNNNNNNNNNNNNNNNNNNNNNNNNNNNNNNNNNNNNNNNNNNNNNNNNNNNNNNNNNNNNNNNNNNNNNNNNNNNNNNNNNNNNNNNNNNNNNNNNNNNNNNNNNNNNNNNNNNNNNNNNNNNNNNNNNNNNNNNNNNNNNNNNNNNNNNNNNNNNNNNNNNNNNNNNNNNNNNNNNNNNNNNNNNNNNNNNNNNNNNNNNNNNNNNNNNNNNNNNNNNNNNNNNNNNNNNNNNNNNNNNNNNNNNNNNNNNNNNNNNNNNNNNNNNNNNNNNNNNNNNNNNNNNNNNNNNNNNNNNNNNNNNNNNNNNNNNNNNNNNNNNNNNNNNNNNNNNNNNNNNNNNNNNNNNNNNNNNNNNNNNNNNNNNNNNNNNNNNNNNNNNNNNNNNNNNNNNNNNNNNNNNNNNNNNNNNNNNNNNNNNNNNNNNNNNNNNNNNNNNNNNNNNNNNNNNNNNNNNNNNNNNNNNNNNNNNNNNNNNNNNNNNNNNNNNNNNNNNNNNNNNNNNNNNNNNNNNNNNNNNNNNNNNNNNNNNNNNNNNNNNNNNNNNNNNNNNNNNNNNNNNNNNNNNNNNNNNNNNNNNNNNNNNNNNNNNNNNNNNNNNNNNNNNNNNNNNNNNNNNNNNNNNNNNNNNNNNNNNNNNNNNNNNNNNNNNNNNNNNNNNNNNNNNNNNNNNNNNNNNNNNNNNNNNNNNNNNNNNNNNNNNNNNNNNNNNNNNNNNNNNNNNNNNNNNNNNNNNNNNNNNNNNNNNNNNNNNNNNNNNNNNNNNNNNNNNNNNNNNNNNNNNNNNNNNNNNNNNNNNNNNNNNNNNNNNNNNNNNNNNNNNNNNNNNNNNNNNNNNNNNNNNNNNNNNNNNNNNNNNNNNNNNNNNNNNNNNNNNNNNNAAUGGUUAUGACGGCGAGGCUACGACGGGUUGACGGCACGGAGCUGCACGGGAUUUUUUGCUGCAAUCGACAACGGGAAAAGCUACAACCGGUGCCACGUCUUGCUACUCCCGGCAAAACCCGACGAAGGUUGAAUCAAAUCGUGGUCGGCGCAUUGACUGUCGAAAUGAUUGGUUGUAGCGAUUCCUGUCACCGGUCGUAGCAAAAAUGAACCAUGGUUGAAGCAAAAUAUAUCUGCACGUGGAUGAUGAAGGAGAAAAGAUUGGCUGGGUGUGGCCAUGGCGACAGGGCUGCGGCGAGGGACAGCGGCGGAGCUGCAACCUGAGCUUCACCCGUCGCUGCUGAGAGCUACAACCGCAGGCGCAGCUAUUUCAUGGGUCAAGGCGGCGACGAGGACAGACGGCGAAGAUGGGGACUGGCGACGAGGACGGCCGACGAGGAUGGGGACUGGCGACGAGGACGGCCUGCGGGAGUGGGGACCGGCGACGAGGUCAGGCACCGGAGGGGAGAGGACGCGCGCGCCGAGUGGGAGAUGUGAUUUCCAGCAAGAGGAAGAAGAAGCUGGGGGGCAAACCCUUUUUUUUCACCAGAUCCAAUGGCCCACGCGGCUCAAAUCCAACGGCCCUGACGCGACCGGCCAAACGGUUGGGCCGGUGCGCCGGCGCAGAUUAGUGCCCUUUCCAUAUUUAUUUUCUUUGUGAUUUUGAGUCAGAGCAAGCAUGGCAAGUUGACAACACUACUGCACGUUUGUAGUAACUGGACGGAAAAAAAUCAUAUGGGCAUGGUGAGAUCCGCACUUCAUUCAAACUCCUUUCUUUUUCUCUUGCUAUAUCCCUGUCUUAUAUUUUCUUCUCACAUUUUAAGAUACAAAAAUAGAUGGUCUGAAUUUCGCUAAUGCGGACUGGUCGACAGAUGACAAAUCUAUUUGGGGCCUGGAUCCAGAUAUUCACUUGUUUAGUACAACGUGCAUAUGCUAUCUUUAUAAAUCUCUGAUAGUGCGUUGCGGCCGGGGAAGAGAUAAGGAGAGAAGAGAACAGCUCGACGGGAGAAGAAUAGAGAAAGGGGCAGCAAAAACAUUGGUCAUUGCUGCUGUGCUAUUGCAUACCAUGAACAAAGAAUGAAGAAAGAUGAACGAGAGAAGAUAAACAUGAAAGGGUGCUGCAGUUGUGCCGCUGCAUUCUUGGCAAGUUUUGUCAUACUCAUCAUCCAUACUUCAAGGGUAACUUUCUAUUUAGUCCAAAACUAUAGAUCACAAGAAUUUAUUUUAUUCCUGUAGCCCACGGCCGACCUUGGGUUGACCACAUUGGAUGCAUUUUGGGGGUCAAAAAGAGGAUAAGCGAUGGCACGGAUGGACCGCAGUGUUUAAAUAGAGGACAUUGACAUGUGUGGGAGAUGUCUUGAGUCAUUUAGUACUUACUAGCAAAAGGACCUGUACGUUGCAACGGGAGAAAAAAAUAACACACACUCUUAAUUUAGAAAAAAAAUGGUAUAUAAUUUGAGUAUUUGUAGUUACGGCCCAAACAAAGAUGGUCUUUGCCAACAAAACGUGAGUUCAAGAUUCCACAUGUCUUCUAUUUAAACACGGCUUGCAUGUAGAUUUAAUACGUAUGAACAAACGGGCAAAUAAAUAGGCAAGUGAUUUUCAAUUUGGUCUCCAAUCCUGAUUUUGCUAAGAUGUUUAUUUAUCCACAAUCCGGAUUAGUACCUAUAUGAAAGAAAGACGGACAAUGCACUGUUGAUUAAGAUUGCACCUUAAAUAGUAUUAUUUUUUAAAUGGUUAACAGGUAAAAUAACAUCAUAUUCAGAUUCUAUAUUUUUUCUAAUCAAAUUCCAUAUAUAAUAUGUAAAUUUGGAGUUACGGUUUAGAAGAUGAGUAUUUUAAAAAACAUUUUAUAUGUACUGCAGGUUUAAUAUAAGAAACAUUAGGGGGUUUUCUAUAAAGUAGUAUGACGGACUAAGAAUACCUAUUUCUUUUAUUGGUAGGUAUAUGUAUACAUAUAGAUUAUUGGGCUAUGAUUAUGUGAUAAUUUUUUCUCCACGUCGUAACGCACGGGCAUGUUUGCUAGUAUAAGAUUAAGUGGCUAAGGGCAACUCUAAUAGCCCGAAACGGACACAAAAUGAGUACGCUUUGUCGGGCCCGUGGGACUGGGGAUACCUAGGCCCGUCUGCAUGCGGCCCAGGGCGCGACGCUUACCCUAGGGCCCAUGACUGGCCCACCUUUGGACUUCAUGAGCAAGACCCUCACGAGGCUCUCGCUUCGCGAGGCACCCGUCAGCCCGUGUCGUCAGGGUCCUCGCGAGACCCCCUCACGAGGCGAUCUUCCAAGGCUGCCUCCUGAGGCCCCUCAUGGAGGCGGAUAGAUCAAGGGUGGCUCGGCAGGGUCACGCGGUGGGUGACGUGCGCGACGACAGGCUGUGCCCAAGGCCAUGCUAGUAGGCGCAGAUGUGGAGGCUUUCCUAUUUGAUGCUAAGGGAGCGAGGACAGCGCACCGGUCCCCGAAAAAAUCCCCAAAGAUUUCCCGUUCGGUGCAAGAGGACCGAGACAACGGGCACGCCAGGACAGAGGUCACCACUGAGCCCAUCGGGGUGCCACGACAGGAAACUUUUGCAGGCGAAGACCACAUUUAGUCAGGAUAAGCUGCAACCUUGCCCCCCUUCAAACUGGCCGUUGUGGCAACCCUUCCCGCCAUGUGUUUUUAGUGAAAGAGGACCAGAGGCAGUAUAAGAAGAGGCGAGGUGCAGCCCUAGGGAGGAGGGGAUCGUCUCGUGGCAACUUGUGCUUGAGGCUUACUCUCUCUCUCUCUCUCUCUCUCUCUCUCUCCCAAGCAAUCUAGACAAGCAGGAGUAGGGUCUUACACCGCGUGAUGGCCUGAACCUGGGUAAACUGUCCUGUCCUAUGUUCUUCUUCCCUAGCUUGAGCACGCCGGAGCAUCGCCAUGAUGUUGUGAGGCAGAGUAGGGCGGUAGGAACGCACCCCAAAGUUUGAACCUUCUUGGGUCCUCGAAGCCCCGAUUCCGACAUUUCAUGCCAGGUAGGGGUGUGCCGCCCUUUUUUCGCACCGUUACGGCUUUUGCUUCACCGUUUCGGGCCGUGCUCCUCAUGGCGCGCGAGCUGCUCUGCUAACGUCCUGCGGACACGGGCUACGACGCCUGGCUUGGCCGCAUCACCGAGCUCGUCAACGUUGCCGGAGAAGCCCCGGUGCCCUCCCACUCGCUCCGCGCUCCGCCGUCUCGCAUCGGGGAUGUGGCGCACGGUGCCCUUCCACCACCUCGCAUGCGCAGCGACCUCGGCAAACCCCGUGUGACCAGCCCCGUGGAAUGCCGCCGCCAGCCCAAGACGAAGCCAGCUGAUAGAUCGUCCAACGCGCGCCGCCUAACGCGCGCGUCCUCCUCGAGCAACAACAUUAACGCCAGUACCACAUCGUCCAAGAAGUCGUAGUGGCCAGGUGCCAGAAUCGCGCCACACUCGCGCGUGGCAUUGCUUCGAGCAGCGUGGGCUGUCGGGCCUUCAAUUGUGAGCUGCGCCGUGUGGUUUGGCCGGUCAAGUUCAAGCCGGAUCUCCUUUCGACUGAUUCAACAAAGAUUGCUUUUGCUCUUCUCGGUCCAGCUGGUGGUGUUGGGUGCUUGUCGUAGCUCUCUUCUGGUUCAUGUUCUGUUGUUUCUUGUGCCUUCUUGUGUGUAUUGGAUCCUAUUUGUUGUACCUGAUGUCUUGUAUCUUACUCUUAUAUAUAAUGAAAAUGGUUCAGGCCGGCGUAAGCCCGCCGUAGCACCGCCAAAUAAAUCCCCCCCCUCCUUUUUCUUUUGUGCAAAAAUAAAAUUUUCCAUUUUCUGUUCGCAAGUGGUCAAAUUUUGGUUACAAUUUUGAAUUCUCGUCACUCUAUAAAUGUGAUAUCACAAAAUGUUAUCAUUCUGCAUAAUGUCAUACAAAUGAGAUUUGUUUUUCCAGUUCAAUGUUUGUUAUCUUUAAUUUAUAGAAGCGGACUUUACAAAAACAGUAUGCACCGCAAGACUGAUUCGGUGAAGUAAAUACCACAAAUGGUCGUUAUACUUACAAGAUUUUGCAUAACCACGUAAACAAUCGGCACGUACUCUCGCGUGUAGGGCAUUUGGCACCUUUACGCAGCUAGUGUAUACUAGACACAGAAAACCUGAAUUCAUGAAGCGCUUUAACCUUGUGUUAAGGCUGAAACCUUUUACCGAAUAAUAAAGAUUGCGCUAGAAUCUUGAUUUACAACAAUUCCUUAUUUCACGAAAAGAAAACAAUUCCUUAUUUGUUAGGCGCCAGUUUUUAGCUGAAAUGCCAAAGAAUCAAAAGCGGAAUGCGUUUUGAUGUCGUGAUCAAAAGCAAUAUUUUUCCUUCCAUUCCAUGCUCGAUUGACAAUUAUUUUCUCAUUAUUUCCCUUCCUUGUUAUGCAUCCGAAACUGCGGCGGGUAACAAAAUAGGAAUAUGGCGCCAGAACUUUUAUCUCUUCCCGCCAGCAACCCCCGCGUACACUAUAUAUAUGCUCAUACGUCCGUGCCCAAGCAACCAUCACCGCACCCAGCCCAUACUUUCUAUAUGGCGCGAGAGCUGCCUUCUUUUGUUUCCUCUCCCGAUUUAGUCUUCCUCUCGGAUGAUGAGGGAGAAAAAGAGGUGAUCAAGAUUGAGGAUUCAGACUGCGGUGGCGACACGCAUGUCUACCUCAGCUCUGACGAGGAGGACGACGCGGUCUACGCCGAUGAUGGCUCCUCCUACGCCAACUGCAAAGCCGCAUCUGCGGCUGCCACGUCUUUGGCCACGGUGAGCUGCACCGACUAUGGCGACGACAACCCCAAUGGCGGCGACUCUAAUGGGGACGGCAACCCCAACAACAGCUACUUCGAUGACAACGACAACGACUCUGAAGAUGGCGGUGACGACGCCAGCGAUUUUUCGUCGGCCGCCACAAGUAAGUCGCCAAAAGCCCCAUACAAUUAUUGGCAUCCCACCGACCUCUGCACCCUCGUGGAAAUAGAUGGGCAGCUCCUCAAGGAUUUUGAAGGCGCGACAGUACCAUCGUCUGUGCUCUAUGAGGCGUUUAUGGAGGAUCCACGGCCGAUCCGCCGUGGCGGGCUGACCUCAAGAAAAAUCUCAUACAAAAGGUAUCAAUUGAAAAAAAAAAUUCGUGCCUUCUGCAAGUUGGAUCCGAGGCGUGCCUUCCGCACGUGUCGCACGGCUCAAGAACGCAAGUUUUACACCUGCUGCAAGGAGGCGUGGCCUCAUAUUGUAGAAGAGGGCCGUGUCUGACUUGCUAAUAAGAAGUAAACCACAGUCAUGUUCAAUCCGGUCUUUUUUUGGUUUCACCAAUAAACAAUAGUAGCUUUCUUUCCCAUUUUUUCCAUGAUCAGUAUUACUCUGGAUUUGAUCUGUUUUUCCUUUGCUUGUAUUAGUUUAUUUUUCUUUUGCUUUGUAUGAGAUUGUUCAGUACAAGAAUCAUCAGUACUUUUAUUUAGCAGUCCACAAUUUUAUUUUAUUUUAUUAUGUUUUGUUGUGGGGACAGAGGGGCCUGAUGUGUCCACCUGCUCGACAUUUCGUUGUAGAUAUAUGUGCGUACUUUUUUAAAUACCCUUUAUUAAUUGUUCUGGCCAACAGGAUGACGAUCUUCUCGCCUGAACCGGAAAACAUGCAUAUGUGCCCAUUAUAUAUUGAUUCGAUGUCCAAAUGAUUUCCCACGUAGGCAUGCAUGGGUGGGAACUUCCUGAACCGGAAAACAUGAGUAAUAGGUAGAGAAGAUAUGUUUCUUUUUUAUUUGUUAAUUAUAUCAUGACACUUGACAAUAGAGAAGUAUAUCCGGAAUAUCCUACAUGUCAUAUCAAGCAUUAAGUUCAGAUUUCACCUGUUUGCAGGCUCACGAAAGCAUCAGGUAUAGCUAAGAGAUGAACCGCGUGGUUGUUGUAUAUUUCUUAAUUACUACAAAAAUACUUGGAAAUUUGUAAAAAUCAAUACUUCAAGCGAAUAUGCAUGAACCACAUGGUUGAUGUAUAUAUCUUAGUUCAGAAAUUCUUGCAAAUUGGUAAAAUCAAUACUUCAAACAAAUUUUCUUAGUACAGAAAUUCUUGACUGAAAGACACACGAAGCAUGGAUUGCAUCUAAAGAUUAUUUUCUGUACAGGAUUCAAGAUCUAGAUCUGAAAUAUUGUAGCAUGAUAUCAGUGGUCACAACAGUAAAUUAUUCCUUCCAUUACUCUUUCAAAAGAAGCACAGAGAAUUCUACUGUUCUAUAUAAAGAUUAUUGCUAGUGUUCUCGUUUGUGAGUCCCAUGAAUCCAAGUGCCAAUCUUAGUGACCGAAAGACAUACUCCCUCCGUCUGAAAAUACUUGUCACGGAAAUUGAUAGAAAUGGAUGUAUCUAGAACUAAUAUACAUCUACAUACAUUUAAUUUUGCGACAAGUAAUUCGAUACUGACUAUAAAGCAGUUAUCUCAUUAAAAAUCAGUGUCUUCAUGCUCCUAGAAAGAGUACACAAUAAGCUAAGGGACGAAAAAUGAAUUGAAAUGUACUAUUUGCAUGUCAUGCAAACUGCAAGAUGCGGACCACUGCCCCACUGCAUGUCCGGCAUUGCUCAUCUGUUAACAGAAACAACGCCAAAGCUCAAAAAAUCUUCUAUCCAGGAAAACCGUAGGGGAAGUGUUGCUUCACAGACAACAAUAAGUAGUCAGUACAUUGUUAUUGUUUUCCCUGCUGGUGAAUCUGCACCACAUUUCUCUCAUCUUCCAUUCGACAAUCACAUGCCAACGUUUUCUGUAACACUUGAAAAGAGAAGGGAAAACACAACAGUUAUUUGUAUAGAAAAGAUGUUGGAAAAUCCUAUAAGGAUUUUUUUAAAGAAAAUGUAAGGAACUAUUGCCAUAACACGAAUACAACAUAGGGCCACUGAUUUUGAUUCGAACUAAAUAAACCAUACUAUUAAUGUUCUUUGACUGACAAAUUCUGAAGCAUUCCUUGAACAUAAAUGAAAGCUACCGAAUUACCAGGUAACCGAUACAACUAUUGGUACUUGUUUAAGCACAUGUCUCGAAAUUGAAUUUUACUUUUGUUUGUGAAACAUGAAAGGACUCAAUUAGCUAGCUGCUAUGUGAGAAGGUUUUGGAUCCCAAGCGGACCUUUUUUUCGAGGGGCACCGGAAUUUGCGGUUACCAUGGUAACCAUGAAAUAGCGGAAAAGAAUCGGACGAAAUUUAAAUUUAAAUAUUAUUUAGGUCGAUAUAGAUAGAUAUUUAACUAUAUAAUAUAACAAACUUUGCCAUGGCGUAUAGUGGCUAUUGGACCAUAGCUUUCGCUUGCUCGUACGCCGCGAGUUCGACCCUUUUUUAACUUUUGCAUCCUAUGAAAAUUAAAAAAUGCGUGAGCCCAGAUUCAAACCCGCGAUUCGCUGCUGAGGAAAGAUGCGCUUGCUACUAGGCCACUCCCAGUUAUGUCGUGAUACAAGAGAUUGUUUGUAUUUAACUCUAUAACAUGCAUUUGAAUUCAAAAUUUUCAAAUUAUCCGAGAUAUUUUUCUCGGUAUGAGUGUUUCUCGAGGGGGGAUAGUAAACGCGGUAACCGCCCGAAAUCACGAAAUUUCAUUUAGUAACCAAAUCAGUGGAUCAUACCCAUUGCAUUUUUAGCAACUCUCAUAAGCCGCUCUUACCUGUUCUCACAGCUCAUGAACAUACAAUAUAUGAUGAAACUUUGCCAGAUAACAAAGAUGCUUAACUGGCAGCAAGAUGUAUCCUAUAGUAUCAUGUUUUUAUUUCUGAGUAAUUGGUUAACCUAUGCUACCUUAGUUAAGCAUUCAAGAAAAUGAAGUUGCCUCUGUGUUUUAAGCUAAAGCUACCACAGUUCUGUGAGACUUAUCAUUCCAGAUAAUGUUCACACAACUUAAAUGAGUAACAUAAGUGCAAUUUUAAUUUUUAGUACAAAUGUACAAUGACAAGCUCAUGUACAAUUAUUUACUGAAAAAAUAAGCCAGCUCAUUUGGAAGGGAAGAAGCUAGAGAAAUGUCAGCAAUGUAACUUUACCUAGAACACAGCCACUAGUAGAAAACAGGGCUUUGGUUGAGCCCUGGGUAAGGGCAUUAAUCCCGGUUCACUCCCGAACAGGGACCAAAGGGGGCAUCAGUCCCGGUUCGUGAGGCCAGGGCGCCGGCCGGGCCUUGGGGGCCAUUGGUCCCGGUUCGUCUGACCCCUUUGGUCCCGGUUCCAGACACAUGAACCGGAACCAAUGGGCCUCGCUCCUGGCCCAACAUCUUUAGUCCCGGUCGGUGGCUGCAACCGGGACCAAAUGUUGUCCUUUAGUCUUGGUUUUAGCCACCAACCGGACUAAAGAGAUCCCUAUAUAUAGCCCUGCCCGUGAACAGAGCCAGUGCUCUAUGUUUUUGGCCGGCCGUGGGAGAGGUGUGUGUUGCUCUAGUUCACCUUCUAUGCACAUGAGGUGUUCGAUGAAAUGCCCGAGCCACACUUAAGCUUUCUCCUCUCCAAGCUCCUUCUCCAAGCUCCAUUUUCCUCAAGAUUUGUCUAGUUUUGGCGUUUCGUCCUGUCCCGUCCCCAUCCUCACCGCCGUUGAUUGCCCGCGCCGAUCUCGUCACCGGCACCACCAUGGUGAGCCUCUUGUUCUUAUCUUCUUUCUAAAAGAAAAAAAUACUACUUUUAUGAUUUAGAUUGAUACUUGUAUAAUUUUCUAUUCUUAAUUUUAUUAUUGUUUGUUAUUAUAUAGUGCGAUGGUUUUGGUAUCCUGCCCUCGUCCUGUUUAUGAUUCGGAUGUGGUAUAUAUUAUCUUUUAUAACUAUUUGUUUCAUUUAGUAUUUAUGACAAUUAUGCCGACCAACAUGACAUAUAUGUUUUUAUCUAGGAGGUAUGUGAACCGGAAAUUCCAACCGACCCUCUUGUCAAGAGGUUAAAUUUAGUUGAAAAGGAAAACAAUUACUUAAUAUUUUUUUGAAAAGAAUUGAGGAGGAGAAGAUGAAAUUGGAUUUGCAUAUUGCGGAUGUCGUCGAUGAUCACAAGAUCAAGAUGGAUGCAAUGCGCGUGAAGAUUAGAAAGAUUAGGAACUAUGCCAUUCAUACUGAGGCUUGGUAUCAUUAUGCCGUUGGAUCAAUUGUCUCCUUAGUUGCAAUUAUGAUCGCAUUUGUUGUUGCAUUGAAAUAUUUUACAUAGUUUCAAUGUAUGGUUCAAUUAGAUGCUCUAGAGAGCUAUAUGUUGUCAAUGAGAACUAUGUAUGAACUUUAUGUAUUUAUUUUUUCUGUAAUAACAUUUGAUCACUACUAUACUUUGGUUUUAAUAUGAUGGUGAACUUCUAUUAAUUUGGUCACUUCCCUAUACAUGAUGUUCUGUAAUGGUUUCUGACACACUUAAUUAUAUAUAAUGCAUGUAGAUGAACCGGCAAUGGAUGUAUGGUGAAAGACGCACCUCCGAGUACAUUAAGGGCAUGUAUAAUUUUCUCGAAGUGGUUGAGGCAAACAAGAAGAAUGGUUUUAUGUUUUCUCCAUGCCCUAUCUGUGGGAAUACAAAGUCUUACUCUGACUCGAAAACCCUUCACAUCCACCUUCUUGACAAGGAUUUCAUGCCACACUAUAAUGUUUGGACCAAGCACGGAGAAAGAGGGGUUAUGAUGGAAGACAACAAAGAAGAAGAGGAUGAUGACAACUAUCAUCCCCCUGAAUACGGUGAUGCUGCAACGGAGGAAGAUGAAGAUCAAGAGGAACCAGAAGAUGUGCUCGAUGAUGAUCUUCAUGGGGUCUUUGUUGAUGCAAAGAGACAAUUCCAAACUGAAAGGGAGAAGUUGAAGUUCGAUCGCAUGUUAGAGGAUCACAAAAAAGGGUUGUACCCAAAUUGCGAAAAUGGCAAAACAAAGCUCGGUAUCACACUGGAAUUGCUGCAAUGGAAGGCAGGCAAUGGUGUAUCUGACAACGGGUUUGAGAAGCUACUAAAAAUAUUGAAGAAUAAGCUUCCAAAGGAUAAUGAAUUGCCCGACAGUACGUACAGAGCAAAGAAGGUUCUAUGCCCUCUAGCAUUGGAGAUGCAGAAGAUACAUGCAUGCCCUAAUGACUGCAUCCUCUACCGCAAUGUGUACAAGGAUUUGAACACAUGCCCGGUAGGCGAUGCAUUGCGGUAUAAGAUCAGACGAGAUGACCCUGGUGAUGUUGAGGGCGAGCGCCCCAGGAAGAGGAUUCCUGCCACGGUGGUAUGCUCCUAUAAUACCAUGGUUGAAACGUAUGCUUAGAAACAAAUAGCAUGCCAAGUUGAUGCGAUGACACAAACAGGACGGUAAGAAACACGGGAAGUUUAGAGCACCCGCUGACGGGUCGCAGUGGAGAGAAAUCGAGAGAACGUGGGGGGGGGGGGACUUUGGAGGUGACACAAGGAACGUAUGGUUUGGUUUAAGCGCGGAUGUCAUUAAUCCUUUUGGAGAGCAGAGCAGCAAUCAUAACACCUGGCCCAUGACUCUAUGUAUUUAUAACCUUCCUCCUUGGUUGUGCAUGGAGCGGAAGUUCAUUAUGAUGCCGUGCUCAUCCAAGGCCCUAAGCAACCCAGCAACAACAUUGAUGUGUACCUAAGGCCAUUAGUUGAAGUACUUUUACAGCUGUGGAAUGGAAAAGGUGUAUGUGUGUUGGAUGAGCACGACCAGGAGGAUUUUGACCUACAUGCAUUGCUGUUUGUAACCAUCAAUGAUUUGCCUGCUCUGAGUAACCUUUUAGGACAAACAAACAAGGGAUUCCACGCAUGCACGCACUGUUUAGAUGACACCGAAAGUAUAUAUUUGGACAAAUGCAUGAAGAAUGUCUACAUGGGACAUCAUUGAUUUCUUCUGACCAACCAUCAAUGUAGAAAGAAAGGCAAGCAUUUCAAAGGUGAGGCAGAUCACCGGAAGAAGCCCGCCAUUCGUACUGGUGAUCACAUACUUGAUAUGGUCAUUGAUUUACACGUAAUCUUUGGAAAGGGUCCCAGCGGACUAUAUGUUCCAAAUGAAGCUGAGGGACGUGCACCCAUGUGGAAGAAGAAACCUAUAUUUUCGGACCUACCCUAUUGGAAAGACCUAGAGAUCCGCUAUGCAAUCGACGUGAUGCAUGUGAUGAAGAAUCUUUGCAUGAACCUGCUAGGCUUCUUGGGCGUGUAUGGGAAGACAAAAGAUACACCAGAGGCACGGGAGGACCAGCAAUGUGUGCAUGAAAAAGACGGCAUACAUCCAAAGAAGUAUAAAGGGCCUGCCAGGUAUGCUCUUACCAAAGAUGAGAAGAAAAUCUUUUUUGAAUGCAUGCUCAGUAUGAAGGUCCCGUCUAGCUUCCCGGCAAAUAUAAAGGGAAUAAUAAAUAUGGCAAAAAGUUCCAAAACCUAAAGUCUCAUGACUGCCAUGUGAUUAUGACGCAACUACUUCCGGUUGCAUUGACGUGGCUUCUACCGAAAAACGUUUGAUUAGCCAUUGUGAAGCUAUGUGCAUUCCUCAAUGCAAUCUCUCAGAAGGUAAUCGAUCCAAAAAUCCUACCAAGGUUAAGGAGUGAUUUGGUGCAAUGUCUUGUCAGUUUCAAGCUGGUGUUCCCACCAUCCUUAUUCAAUAUCAUGACACACGUCCUAGUUCAUCUAGUCGACGAAAUUGGCAUUCUGGGCCCUAUAUUUCUACACAAUAUGUUCCCCUUUGAGAGGUUUAUGGGAGUCUUAAAGAAAUAUGUUUGUAACCGUGCUAGGCCAGAAGCAAGCAUCUCCACGGGUCAUAAAAUAGUGGAGGUCAUUAGGUUUUGUGUUGACUUCAUUCCCGACCUUAAGAAGAUUGGUCUUCCUCAACCGCGGUAUGAGGGGAGAUUGACUGGAAAAGGCACGCUAGGAGUAGACUCGAUAAUAUGUAGGGACGGGCAUUUUUGGUCUCAAGCACACUACACAACUCUACAGGAUUCUACCUUGGUGACCCCAUAUGUCAAUGAACACAAGAAUAUUCUGCGCUCCAAACACCCGGAGCAGUGUGACGACCGGAUUACAUGUGAACACAUCAGGACUUUCGGUAGUUGGUAGCAAACACAUCUCAUGGGUGACAACACUGUUGUAGAUGAGUUGUACUCGUUGGCCAGAGGACCAUCUUCGACUGUAUUAACUUACAAAGGGUACGAGAUAAAUGGGAAUACGUUUUACACGAUCGCCCAAGAUCAAAAGAGCACCAACAAAAACAGUGGUGUCCGCUUUGAUGCAGCAACCAAUAGGGGAAAGGACACAUAUUAUGGUUACAUAGUAGACAUAUGGGAAUUUAACUAUGGACAUGAUUUUAAGGUCCCUUUUUUCGGUGCAAAUGGGUUAAUCUGUCAGGGGACGGGGUACAGGUAGACCAAUAGUACGGAAUCACAACAGUGGAUCUCAACAAUCUUGGGUACACAGACGAACCAUCCGUCCUAGCCAAUGAUGUGGCGCGGGUUUUCUAUGUGAAGGACAUGUCUACCGAACCGAGAAAAAGAAAAGAUAAGGAAGCGAAUACAUCAUACGAUGAGCCAAAGUGCCACAUAGAUCUUUCAGGGAAAAGAGACAUCGUGGGAGUGGAGGGCAAGACAUGCAUGUCUAAAGAUUACAAAAAGUUUCAUGAAAUUCCUCCCUUCAAAGUCAAGGCUGACCCAAACACCCUGUUAAACGAUGAAGAUUAUCCAUGGUUACGGCGCAAUAAGCAAGGGACACACACAAAGAAAAAGUGAAGACUUUCUCUCCACAACUAUUCUGAUGAUUCCUUUGAUCUAGAAUAUCACUCUAGUUACAUGUUAAGAAAUGAAAUGCCUUUUGGAACAUAUGAGUUUUCAUCCGAAACCCUGAUACUUUGAAAGAGAUUGCCAUUUUGUACAUGAAGUGCAUCCAGUUUUUUCCGCAACCCUCUCAAUUUUGUAGCACAUGCUAUAUGGCUGAAAUGAUGAUAUCAUGCUAACUUUCAACCUUUUCAGAGUUCAUUUGUAGUGCUUUCCAAUUUCAGGGUCAUUUAGCUAAAAAAAUCAGUAAAUGCAUGAAAAAUACAAAAUGAAGUCAGAAAUGGUUGAAAAUUGAUGAUGCGCCUUUUAAUGAUGCAUUUUGAACACACAAAAAGUCUGGAGUUAAAAUAAGUUCCAAAAAAUAAAAUUAAUUUGUAAGAGAGGAGUUUUCGUCCGAAAGCCUGAUACUUCGAAAGAGAUUGUCCAUUUUGUACACGAAUUGCAUCCAAUUUUUUUCGUAACCGUCUCAACUUUCUAGCACAUGUUAUGUGGGUGAAAUGAUGAUAUCAUGCCUACUUUCAACCUUUCCAGAGUUUAUUUAUAGUGCUUUUCAAUUUCAGGGUAAUUUAGCUCAAAAAAUCAGUAAAUGCAUGAAAAAUACCAAAUAAAGGUAUAAACGGUUGAAAAUUGUUGAUGUGCCUUUGAACGGUGCAUUUUGGACACAUAAAAUGUAUGGGGUUAAAAUAAGUUCGAAAUCCCCCUCCUCACGCCUCGAGUCACCUCGCCACCCCAUCACCCAUCUUGUGCCCGCAUCCGCAGAAUUCAGAUGCAUAUUUUCUGGUGCAACAGCAAGCGUUGGAGGAUUUAAGCGCCAAACAAGAGAAAGUUAAUAAGCUUGCUAAGCAUCUUGCCAGCAUUAUGGGUACCCAGGAUAUUUUUCCUUGAGAUCUUCUGAAGUGGGUUUAGUCCUGGAUUUGUUUUGCUACGACAUUUAUUUGCGCUGGUCCCCAACUUUGACAACCAGUGUAUAUGAUAUGCUGCUUUGUUUCCUAUAUUUGCUCUGGUGGCGAACUUUGAUGUCUAGUGGAUGUAAUAUGUGUAAUAGCCGUGAUAGCCUAACAUUAGUUGCUUGCUUAUUUAUUUCCUUGUUGUCUUGUUUAUUUUUUUGCUUGUACUCAUUGGAGUUCUUUUUCCGCGGUUUGCUAGUGGCUGCAAUAACCUAUUUUUUUAAAACUAGGCCACAAUAACCAUGGGCUAAUAUUUACUGAAGUGACAUUGGGCCUCCUACUGGCCGUAGAAACAGUGGGCCUUCUACGGGCCGUAGAAAUAAUGGGCCUUCUACGGGCCGUAGAAACAAUGGGCCUUCUGCGGGCCAUAUCAUCAAUGGGCCUUAUACGGGUCGUAUGAUCGAUUGGCCAAACAUGGGCCAAACAGACCGCAUUAUGGCCGUAAACGGGCUAGAGUUGGAAUCGUCCGUUCAUGGGCCAACCAUAACAGGCCAUCGUUAAUAGGCCGUAUUUGAUGAUGCUAUGAGAACGGUCCAACGUAUUAAUGGACCACAAACGGGCCGACUGUAACCACGGGCUGAAUUUGGCCCACAAGCAAAAAAUGACAGUAACGGGCCGUAAGUAAACGAACGAUGGAAAUGAGCCCAAGAAUAAAUGGGCUCUGAGAAGGCCGAAAGAUAACAUGGGUUGGAAACAGCCCAACGGAAUAACGAGCAGUUAAUUGGUAUAAAGUGAUACACUGUUCAUUACGGGCCAGUUUCACCACGGGCCGUUAAUGGGUGUAAAGUGAUACACUGUUCAUUACGGGCCAGUUUCACCAUGUGCCGUUAAUAGGCCAAGAGUUACAUAGGGCCUCAUAUGGGCCGAAAGACAUCAUGGGCCAUACAUGCGCGAGAAGUGAAAACAGCCUGGAAUCAUAUUGGAUGGCCCAGAUGACGCUACUAGGCCUAAUUCGGAUAGGGCGUAACGGGCCUUGGGUUAGCGGGCUGUAAAUGGGCUAUAUGCGAAUAGGCCUUUAAUAGGCUUUCCAUGGACCGGCCCGCCACCUUUUGACCAAGUCAAACGCGUCAGCCUUUUCACAGGAAUGGGCCUCUGUUGAGCCGUGCCACAUGUCUACGUACCAUAGGCGCCUUCCAUCCAAUGAGUGGAUGACAUCUGUCCCAACAAUCAGCCGACACGUGUUUCCUCCAGCCAAUGAUGAUUUUACACGUGGAAAAUCCUCAUUGGUCGGGGCUGUUAACGGGUUAUCAGGUCCAAAACCCGACCCGAUAGCUUAACGGUGUUCCAAUACGGUGGAUUCCACGUGUCGGUCACCCUUGACGAAAGUGUUGGGGAACGUUGCAUAAAAUAAAAAAAAUUCUACGUUCACCAAGAUCAAUCUAUGAGUUCAUCUAGCAACAAGAGAGGGGAGUGCAUCUACAUACCCUUGUAGAUCACGAGCGGAAGCGUUCAAGAGAACGGGGUUGAGGGGGUCGUACUCGUCGUGAUCCAAAUCACCGGAGAUCCUAGCGCCGAACGGACGGCACUUCUGCGUUCAACACACGUACGGUCAGUGUGACGGCUCCUCCUUCUUGAUCCAGCAAGGGGGAAGGAGAGGUUGAUGAAGAUCCAGCAGCACAAUGGCGUGGUGGUUGAUGCGGCAGAGUUCCGGCAGGGCUUCGCCAAGCGACUAUGGGAGGAGGAGGUGUAGCAAGGGGGGAGGGAGGCGCCAGAUGUCAGGGUGAGGCUGCCCUCCCACCCCCCUCUUUAUAUAGGGACCCUAGGGGGGCGCCGGCCCUGGAGAUGGGAUCUCCCAAGGGGGGCGGUGGCCAGGGGGGUGGAGUGCCCCCCAAGGCAAGUCGAGGCGCCCCCUCCCCUAGGGUUCCCAACCCUAGGCGCAGAGGGGGGCCCAGGGGGGGCGCACCAGCCCACCAGGGGCUGGUUCCCCUCCCACUUCAGCCCAUGGGGCCCUCCGGGAUGGGUGGUCCCACCCGGUGGACCCCCGGGACCCUUCCGGUGGUCCCGGUACAAUACCGGUGAACCCCAAAACUUUCCCGAUGGCCGAAACUCGACUUCCCAUAUAUAAUUCUUUACCUCCGGACCAUUCCGGAACUCCUCGUGACGUCUGGGAUCUCACCCAGGACUCCGAACAACUUUCGGUUUGCUGCAUACUAAUAUCUUUACAACCCUAGCGUCACCGAACCUUAAGUGUGUAGACCCUACGGGUUCGGGAGACAGGAAGACAUGACCGAGACUGCUCUCCGGUUAAUAACCAACAGCGGGAUCUGGAUACCCUUGUUGGCUCCCACAUGCUCCUCGAUGAUCUCAUCGGAUGAACCACGAUGUCGAGGAUUCAAGCAACCCCGUAUACAAUUCCCUUUGUCAAUCGGUAUGUUACUUGUCCGAGAUUCGAUCGUCGGUAUCCCAAUACCUCGUUCAAUCUCGUUACCGGCAAGUCACUUUACUCGUACCGUAAUGCAUGAUCCCGUGACCAGACGCUUGGUAACUUUGAGCUCAUUAUGAUGAUGCAUUACCGAGUGGGCCCAGUGAUACCUUUCCAUCAUACAGAGUGACAAAUCCCAGUCUCGAUCUGUGUCAACCCAACAGACACUUUCGGAGAUACCUGUAGUGCACCUUUAUAGCCACCCAGUUAUGUUGUGACGUUUGGUGCACCCAAAGCACUCCUACGGUAUCCGGGAGUUACACGAUCUCAUGGUCUAAGGAAAAGAUACUUGACAUUGGAAAAGCUCUAGCAAAACGAACUACACGAUCCUGUUCUAUGCUUAGGAUUGGGUCUUGUCCAUCACAUCAUUCUCCUAAUGAUGUGAUCCCGUUAUCAAUGACAUCUAAUGUCCAUAGUCAGGAAACCAUGACUAUCUGUUGAGCAACGAGCUAGUCAACUAGAGGCUCACUAGGGACAUAUUGUGGUCUAUGUAUUCACACGUGUAUUACGAUUUCCGGAUAAUACAAUUAUAGCAUGAAUAAAAGACAAUUAUCAUGAACAAGGAAAUAUAAUAAUAAUCCUUUUAUUAUUGCCUCUAGGGCAUAUUUCCAACAGAAAGCACUUCUGUGACGCGCGAUUUAUCGUCAUGGAAGUGGACACUUCCGUGAUCAUAAUUUUGGUAAUGUCAUGGAACACUUCUAUGACAGCACAGGUAUGACUAUCUUCAUUCUGUCAUAAAAUCAUCAAGAAUGUACUCCCUCCGAUUCUUUAUACUCUGCGCAUAACUUUCGUUCAUUUUUCUCGUUUUACUCUGCGCGUUCCUACUUCUCCUAUGCUUUCCUCUUAUGCCCCCCAAAAGCUGCUGCAUGCAACCAUUUGCAGUUAAUACUUGCCUUCUCUCGUUGGCCAUGCAGAGUGGAGAGAGAGAGGUAGUUGAGGGAAUCAAGGCAAUCGCAUGUGAGAGCCAAUCGGCUACAUGCAAGUUAAUAACAAUCCAGCACUAAAGUAGGGGCAAAUUAGUCCCAGAAAGAUCAAGCGAGCCCUUUCUUGGCAUGCGUGUGAGAUGUUAUACACAAAGAAAAUAUGAUCGGAGGGAGUACAUGCAUGACAGAAAACACGACCUACUGUGACAAACACGUAUCAUCACGGAAGUGUAUUUCUUUUGUAGUGGCUCCUCCUACAACUUCUGGAGGUCGAGCACUUGAGCAGGGAGGGGUAUCCCUUCUUCUUCCAUCUCAGCGCUCACAAGGGCAGAGCCAGUCAACCAGAAGCACGAGUUGACAUGGAUUCGACUUGUGGGCCGUCAGCCGCACGGCCUACUCGCGAUCGACGACUUCCCUAGUGGCUUGCAGGCCCAAACUGGGCCCGUUGAGGGUGUACGCCGAUAUAUGCGUGUGGUGUGUGUUGCGUGAGGAUUGGGAAGGGAGUUGGUGGCUUCGGCCAUGGCUAGUGUGUGUCAUGUGUGAGCUCGUGUAAGCAUUCAUGGCGAAUUGGCUAUAGAUCUGACAUCAAUACAAGUUAUACCCUCACAUCUAGCUUCAGAGCCGUUCCAUCCUGGAGUUCCCCACCACCCACACCGCACCAAGUUCAGCGAAUUACGGCGGCGGCAAGCCAUGGAUGGGCUGUCGGCGGAAGGGUGCAGCAUCCACAAGCUCGUUAAAUCCACCAUCUCCGACGACCUCGAUCAGCGCCUCAAGGUACACAGCGAAGACCUCCUCAAGUCCAUGACCAAAUUGCUCCAGGAUUCGACCAAGACCUUGGACGGUCUCAUCACAGCAUGCGUCGACAGUGUUCGCUCUGAGCUCCUCCUCAAAAUCUACCAGAUCCGCUCGGAUUGGGAGCGACGGGACAAGGCUGACUGCAAUGGACGGAUUGGAGGGCCUUCCUCAUCAAGCAGAGACGCCGAAGAAAGCCAGUACGCGGUUCCUGCUGAUUCCCAUGGAGCGGACAGGUUUAGUAAGUCCAAGGCUCACAACAUCUACGUCCCACCUCCGGCCAGGAGUGGGCGUGAAUUGCCUUCAGUCUCCCCGAGAGCUCAUCGCACUAGAUCAAGGUGAGUAGUACACUUCAUGGACGAGAGUCGAGCUGUCGCGGUUAAAUGGCUCAAAUCCCAGGCUGUGGCAAGUGAGAUGCGAGGACUGCUUCAAGCAAUGGGGCACGCACCAUAGCAGAUGAAUAUCAUCCGCCACCACUCAAUUCGAAGGGGCAGCUGCUCGCUGGUUGGAGUCUGUGCAGAGGAGAAUAGUGGGGUUACAGUGGACUGAAUUUUGCAAUCUCCUGCAAUCGAGAUUUGGCCGUAACCAACACCAGAAUUUGCUGAGGAAGAUGUUCCGAAUUGGUCAGACUAGAUCUGUCGAAGAAUAUGUAGAUCAAUUCUCUAAAUUGUAUGUCCAACUCACUACUUAUGAAAUCAUCCCUGAUCCACUGCAUUAUACCACCAGGUUCAUCGACGGGUUGAAACUAGGAGUCUGCAUGGCCAUUGCAAUGCAAAAACCCAGAGAUCUUGACACUGCGUACGAAUUAGCUCUGCUACACGAAGAAUUGUGAGAAGUAUCAUACCACCAAGCCAGUUCCACGACAAAAGGAGUCAUGCAUCAUCCGGAUAGUAUGCUUACAAGUCCAAAAAUGCAGAAGAGCGUCGGCCAAUUGACAGUCAAAGGUCAGAAACUACUAAAGAUAAGUGGGUCUCUCUGAGGAAUUUCAGGAAGGCAAAAGGAUUGUGCUUCAUCUGUGGUGAAAAAUGGUCCAAGGACCAUCAGUGCAAGUCUACUGUGCAGCUACAAGUUGUGCAAGAACUCAUUGAGCAAUUACAGAGCCCCGCUACAUCCCUGGAUGAAUCUGAUAGUGAUUCUGACAAUCUGAUGAUGCUCUCAGCAGCUGCUGUAAGCAACAGUGUGUCAAAGAUGUCCCUCACCUUACCAGUACUUCUACAAGGUAUUAAGCUAAGGUUUCUAGUUGACUCAGGGAGCACUCAUUCAUUCGUGGACAGUUCUCAUCAACAGAUGUUUCCAACAAUGACUGAAAUUAAGUCGGUUUCUGUCAAGGUUGCAGGAGGAGGGAAGUUGAGCUAUUCACAGCAGGUUAAACACUGCAAGUGGAGUUGUCAGGGAGAAAACUUUGUGCAUGAUUUCAGAGUCCUAACCCUUGGAGGAUAUGAUAGUAUUUUGGGCCUUGAUUGGCUAGCCAAGCAUAGUCCAAUGUACAUGGACUGGGAACAAAAAUGGCUCUCCUUCCAGUAUAAGGGAACUACUGUUACCCUACAAGGGGAAUUGCCUGAAGAGUGUGAAUUCACUGUCAUGGCAAUUUUUCAGAACAUCACUACUAAAAACAGUGAGCACUUACCUGAGAUACAAGCUUUAUUAGACAAGUAUGCUGAGGUUUUUGCUCCCCCAACUAGUUUACCUCCCAGAAGGCAGUAUGACCACAGUAUUCCCCUGCUACCUGGAGCUCAACCAGUGUCUAUUAGACCAUACAGAAUUCCUCCUCACCUGAAGAUUGAAAUGGAAAAGCAGGUGGCAGAAAUGUUGUAGAGAGGGUUAAUUCAAGUGAGUAAUAGUCCUUUUUCUUCUCCAGCACUACUGGUCAAAAAGAAGGAAGAAGGAGCUUGGAGGUUGGUCAUAGACUUCAGACAUGUCAAUGCACUCACAGUGAAAAGCAAAUACCCUAUUCAUAUUAUUGAUGAGCUACUAGAUGAACUUGCUGGAGAUCGUUGGGUUUCUAAAUUGGACCUCAGAGCAGGAUACCAUCAGACCAGACUUGCAUCAGGAGAAGAGUUUAAAACUACUUUUCAGACACACAUUGGUCACUAUGAGUUCACUGUUGUGGCCAUGGGGCUGACUGGGGAUCCCAAUACAUUCCAAGGAGCAAUGAACACAGAUCUAGCUCCAUCCUUGAGUGGUGAGGAUCACUGUGUUGUAUGUUUCUUUGAUGAUAUUCUAGUUUUCAGCCAAUCCCUCAAGGAACAUCUCCUGCAUCUAGACAAGGUAUUGGGUAUUCUACUAGAAAAACAAUGGAAUGUAAAACUCAGUAAAUGUGAAAAGCAAGAGAUUGCUUAUCUGGGUCAUGUCAUAAGUGACAAGGGGGUUUCCACUGAUGCCAGUAAAAUUACAGCUGUUAAGAAUUGACCAGUUCCUAUGGAUGUGAAGCAGGUCAGAGGAUUUUUGGGCUUAACUGGAUACUACAGGAAAUUUAUCAAAAACUAUGGUGUGAUUAGCAGACCUCUGACUGACUUGUUGAAAAGGGGGGCUAUAUUUGUGUGGACUUCCACUACUGAUUUAGCCUUCCAGACACCGAAGCAGGCUCUGAUUCAUGCUCCUGUAUUAGCCCUUCCAGAUUACUCCAAGCAGUUUGUGGUGGAAACAGAUGCAUGUGAAGUUGGCAUUGGGGUUGUUCUUAUGCAACAGGAUCAUCCAAUUGCAUUUGUCAGCAGGGCCUUGGGUCCUAAGAACAGAGGUCUUCCUGUGUAUGAGAAGGAAUACAUGGCAAUACUACUAGCCAUUGAGAAGUGGAGACCAUACUUGCAAUUCCAGGAGUUCAUUAUCAAGACAAAUCAGAAGAGUCUGGUUCACCCGUCUGAUCAAAGAUUGCAUACACCUUGGCAGGAAAAAGCACUCACCAAAAUGAUGGGCCUCAACUAUAAGAUCAUGUAUAAAAAGGGAUCUAACAAUUCAGCAGUAGAUGCUCUUUCUAGAAGGCCUCAUGCAGAUUCUCAGCUCCUAACAAUAUCAUAUGCUCAGCCCAGUUGGCUUGGUGAAAUUGUCGAGAGUUACUCAAAUGAUCCAAAAGCACAAGAGUUACUGUGCCAACUGACCCUACAACCAGGCUCCAAGGAUAAAUUUCAGCUAGUUAAUGGGUUAAAUAAGGUACAAGGGCUGCAUCUGGGUGGGCAAUGAUAGUACAUUGCAUAUAAAAAUUUGUCAACCCUUCCAUGACACACCCCUAGGAGGGCACUCAGGUUUCCCAGUUACUUAUAAGAGAAUUCGUGCUCUUUUUAAGUGGGUUGGCAUGAAGAAACUUGUUCAGCAGUUUGUGCAAUCUUGCUUAGUGUGUCAGCAAGCGACACCUGAGAGAGUGGCUUACCCUGGACUACUAUCCCCAUUACCAGUUCCUACCAAGGCUUGGGCAACUGUAACAAUGGGCUUUAUCUCAGGUUUACCUCCCUCGGGUCAGUUUGACUGCAUUAUGCUCAUCAUCGACAAAUUUACAAAAUAUGGCCACUUUGUUCCUGUCAAAAACCCCUACACAUCUUAGAAAAUUGCUGAUCUUUUCCUGGACAAUGUCUAUAAGCUUCAUGGCAUGCCUCUGUACAUUGUGUCAGAUCGGGAUCAUAUCUUUACUAGCAAUUUUUGGCAAGCAUUGGUUAAGAAAACUGGGAUUGUUCUUAACAUGAGCACUGCAUAUCAUAUGGAGACUGAUGGCCAAACCGAACGAGUGAAUCAACAGGUUGAGUGUUUCCUAAGAUGCUUUAUCAGUGCCCACCAGAGCAAAUGGUCCAAAUGGCUUUCUCUAUGCGAGUUCUGGUACAAUACAAACUGGCAUUCAGCUCUGAACAAAUCACCAUCUGAAGUUCUUUAUGGGCAUAGCCCCAGGUAUUUUGGGAUAUCAGUUUCAUAUACAGUUGCUCCGGUUGAUUUGCAGCAAUGGUUGGAAGCUAGGGAAGUUGUGCAACAGUCGGUUUGUCAACACCUGUUGUGUGUGCAACGAUGAAUGAAACACCAGGCCAACAAACAUCGCACGGAGAGGACAUUUGAAGUGGGUGACAGGGUGUUCCUCAAGCUCAAGCCAUAUGUGCAAUCGUCAGUGGCGCACAGGGCAAAUAACAAACUUGCAUUCAAGUACUUUUGGCCUUUCCUCAUUCUGGAGAAAAUUGGCGAGGUGGCUUACCGGCUGCAAUUGCCAGCAGCUAGCCGUAUCCACCCGGCCUUUCAUGUUUUGCAGCUGAAGCGCUUUGUGCAACCACAUUACGAGGUAAUUGACUCACUUCCUUGUGCCGAUGCUCACCUCCAAAUCCCUGUUAAGAUCUUGCAGGAGCGCAUUCGCCGCUCGGACAAUCGUUCCGUGGCUCAAGCCUUGAUCCAGUGGAGUGGUGGAGAUGCAUCUACAGCAACCUGGAAGGACAAGGACUCGCUUCGCCAGUUGUUUCCGUGAGCCCCGGCUUGGGGUUAAGCCGGUUCUAAAAGAGAGGGGGAUGUCAACGCUCACAAGGGCAGAGCCAGUUAACCAGAAGCACGAGUUGACGUGGAUUCGACUCAUGGGCCGUCAGCCGCACGGCCCACUCGCGAUCGACGACUUCCCCAGUGGCUUGCAGGCCCAAACUGGGACCGUUGAGGGUGUACGCCGAUAUAUGCGUUGUGUGUGUGUGUGUUGCGUGAGGAUUGGGAACGGAGUUGGUGGCUUCAGCCAUGGCUAGUGUGCGGCGUGCGUGAGCUCGUGUAAGCAUUCAUGGCGAAUUGGCUAUAGAUUGAGAUCAAUACAAGUUAUACCCUCACAUUCCGGAGGACAGAAUGAAACAUCUCCACCGGAAUAGCAGAUAGUGCAACAAGACGAUGGAUGUGUGACGCCCCAAGACCGACGCUCUAGAAGACUUAUAGCUGGUCCAUGUUUCUCGUUGUCGCCGUGUGUUUUGUUUUGUUUGUUGCAUUCAUCAUUGCAUCAUGUCAUCAUGCAACCCUUUUUAAACCUCAGCUAAAUAAAUUGCAUGGAUCAUCGAUCUAUUUAAAUCGAGGGAAUUUACAUGGUGAUUUCUCUUUAGAACAUAUACUCCCAAUAUUAUUAGGGAGCUAUGAAUAUUCCAUUAACUGGAAAUCACCCAUAACACAUUUACAUUAUUCUUCAACUCUUCUUUUAUCCUAGUCAACUUUCUAUCCUUCCUUUUCGACGUUUUAGUAAAAUUGAGUUGCAAUUUUACUUCUCCAUAAAUGUUUCAAAUCUUCCCAUAAAUCACAUCUGGUGUGUAGGGUCACCCCCCUAUAAUUUCAACCCAUUUGGAGUUCAUUCGAAUGGGUUUCGAAAUUCAAACUUGUCUGAGUUAAAUCCAACAUGUGUGGAUAUUAUUUCCUCUAAAAAUCCUCAAUCUAUUUUUGUCAAAUUCCUCACAUUUUUGUGAGUCCGGGAAAAUAAUCCCCAUGCCCAAAUUCUAUCUCUACCUUCAUUUCUUCUUUUUUUUUCUUUGACAUUUUUUUGUUUUUGGGAGAGAGAAGAAGGAGAGCAACCGCAGCUCAGCCUGCUACCAGCAGCCGUGUCAGGCCACCGUGGCCUCCCGUAGCCCACCACCCAGGCCUAGGCCUAGUCGGCGCCCCUUUCUAACCUAACCCUCACCCGAUCCCCUCGUUAUCUCCCUCUCGAUCCCCUCAUCCUCCUCCUUGCGCCGCCGCGAGGGCUUCUUGCCCGACCCCGUGCCACCUCGUCCCCGUAGCUCUUCAGCUCGCAGCCGCCGGCGAGCCCCGUCCACCACGCACUACCCCGAGCCUCUUGCCAUCACUCUCCACCCCGCGCGCGACCAGCGUCGUCCUAUCCGUGCCGCCCCGUCCAGUUCCUCGUCGGUGACCCCCCACUCCGGAUCCGCCUCCCAGGACCACGACCAGUGCCGCGGCUCCACGCCGUCAUCCGCAUCCCCGGCCUCCUCGUCGCCGUUUCGCCCGUCCCCGGCCACCGGUGCCCUCGCCAGAGCUCCGGCAAGCCGUCCCUGCCGCGCCCGACCUCUCCCUCGCCUCGCCGUUGCCCUGCUCCAGCGCUGCCUACCGACCUCCUCUGCUCCAGCCGUGGGCACCUCCUGCCCGAGAACCACAUUCGGCCUCGCCAUGGUUCUCCUGCACCAGCUCCGUCCGACAAGGACGUCGCCCCGCUUCCUUCUCUUGCCGCGAUCGGGAUCCCCCUCCUCACGCCUCGGGUCACCUCGCCACCCCAUCACCCGUCUUGUGCCCGCGUCCGCGUAGCGCCAUCUCUGCUGCCCCCACGCACCUCCGAUGACCUCCCGAGGCAGGGCCAAGUACCACUACCAUCGCAUUUCGUUUCUUCAUCGUCAAGGCCGAGAGGACGCCAAGUACUAGUACGUCAGGACCCGUCAAGUUCAUCUACGUGCAUGUACGACUAUCUUCGCCAUAGACUCGUGUACGAUUACGCAACAAACUGUGUAGUUACACGAGCUACCAGUACCGCGACGACCCCGGAGACUGUAUUCUGUCAAGUUCCUCUACAAUAUGUGUACCACUACUUCCACAACAUGUCGUGUAUGACUACCGUCGCUCGGAUUCGACAAGACAAUGUGUACCACUACAGUCGCCAAGUUCGACUGCCGCACGGUUACGCCAAGUUCAUCUACGAAACGUGUACAACUACUUCCACUACCGUCGCGAGAACGACUACUUCCACUAUGGCCCGUGUACCACUACUUCCCUCGACGAACUCGAACCGCUCCGAAAAAGCACACCACAAAGGUAUAACCACGAGACGAUCACGCGUGGACCGAAUGCACGUGUGUUGUAUCAGGUGCUCGUGUUUGCACCAUGUCCGAGUUGAUCCUUGCACGUUCCUCCUCGUUUGCCAUGUCGUCGGCCCGUGGGAACCCGGUAAUCCGGGAUCACCCCUCCAUCUUUUGCAUGCUCACGCCCACACUUUCUUUUGCACCGGUAUCUCAACAAGUUGCUGGAUCAUCGGAAUGUUGCCGUGGCACCAUUUCCGUUGUCAUUGCCGUGGCACCCCUUUUGUUCCGCCAUGGUGACAAAUGCUUCAUAUCUUAUAUUAUGUCAACAUUUUCAUAAAAAUUGCAUAAAACUUGUAUAUGUCAUCCGCGUCAUGAUAACAACAUUUAAAAUGUUUAAAAUUGUUGUUGCAUUAAAUUGCUAAAUAACAUAUGGGGAUUUUCCAGAAUUGUUGUUUGUUGUUUCCGGCAUCAUUUAAACUUGCCUAAAUAGGUGGUUUGCUCAUGUUUCACCUCUUGCCAUGUUAACCAACAUUUAAACUUGUCUUGUUCAUAAACAAGAGCGAACUAAAUAAUUGGAUGUGGUGUUUUGUCAAUAUGCAACUCAUUGUAUAUUGAGCUCCACUUAAAUUGUAGUGUUGUUUGUGCACUUUGCCAUGUCAUGCAUAUUUAAACCGGACAUGCAUCAUACUUGAAUGUGCAUCAUGCCAUGUUAUGUGAUGAUUGUUUACCAUGUUGUUUGCUUCUUUCCGGUGUUGUUUCUUAGUUUCGGUAACGUUGUGGUUUGUGAGGAUUCGUUCGACUAUGUCCGUUUGUCUUCUUCUUGGACUCGUUCUUCAUUCUUGCGGGAUCUCAGGCAAGAUGACCAUUACCCUCGAUAUCACUUCUAUCUUUGCUUGCUAGUUGCUUCUUUCUAUCGCUAUGCUGGUUGAAGUUUUCAUGAGCAUAAGACAAUUUCAAAUCUGAGGUUGCUGCAAGCAUGACAACCCGACACUUGGGGGCUACAGGUGAUAUGCAUAUAAGGGAGGAAUAACUUCAAAUUCUUAGUUUUGAGGAAAUCAGGUAUUAUAUUAUUAUCAGAGAAAUCUGCAAAGUUUAUGACCCGGCGUCACCAUAAGAUUAACCCGGCAUCAGCAACAAUUACAUGACCUGGCAUCAUUUAUUUAUAACCCGGCAAAUUUGGUAAUCAUAAGUCGGCAAGAUUUACAUCUCUAAGCCGGCUGAAUAUCAAUUCAAUAUUUCAAAGACCAAUAUUUUUGUCAAGUCAGAGCAUUGAAGGCCGACUCAAAUGGAUUAUUUCUUAUAAUAUUUCUCUACAAGAGCCAAUGUCAGCAAAUUGGUUAUGAAGCUGGCCUAUUGACCUAGAUUUUUUAGAAGAAGUGCCUGGAUUUUUUUGCAUUGGCAAGGUUUGGACAUAUCUGUUAAAGGAGAUUUGCUAUAAGAUCUUGAGUAUGCAUCUAGGAGGAAAUGACAAGGACUUAAAGAUGAUCAGGUGCCGGUUCGGGAAAAUAUUUAACCCGGAGCACAACCUAUCAAGUUUGUUCUUGUGUUUAUUUUACUGGAUCAAUUUAACUUGGAUAAAUCCAAAUUAAACUGGAGGCUAAUGUCGGGGAUAUACCCCGCGGUAUGACCUGGCUGGAAGUAUGACCCGGCCGGGCUGGGCAUUUUCAUUGGUAACCUGCCGGAGUGGCGACUCACGAGCCUCGCGAUUCACGGAUGGCCCUGACGGCGGGUCAGAUAGAAGACAAGGCCCAAGGCCCAGAAGGCCGGGUCAUGCUAUGGUGGGCCGGCUUAAGAGAAAAGGCAUAGGGAAUAUUAUCCUACAAAGGAAGCAAGACUAGGACUCCACUUGUAAUAGAGUAAUCCUAAUCCUACUAGGACUAGUCAUGUAACCCGCCCCUUCAACUUAUAUAAGGAGGGGCAGGGCUCCUCAAAGAGGACAAGCAAGAAGAAACAAUCUCUAGGGCUAGACACAAGAGCCGGCUUACCGGCGACUCCCUCAUGAUCAUAAUGAGACCUAGCCACAAACAACAUGUAGGGUUAUUACCAGUUGAUGUUUCUCGGGGCCCGAAGCUGUCUAAAUCCUUGUCUUGUGUGUUGAUUGCAUCACGUCUCUCGAUUCCGACCAACCCCUUCAAGCUACUGCAUAGAUGUGUUGGCCUCACGACUAAGUCCUCACACUAAGGACAUCUGACAUGACAAUUCCAUGACACUAUCACUUGUUUACCAUGCCUCCCAUAUUGCCAUGUCAAGCCUCUAACCCACCUUCCUAGUAAAUCGUUGUUUGGCUAAGUUCCCGCUUUUGGUCAGCCUCUCUUAUAGCGUUGUUAGUUGCAGGUGAAGUUGAAGAUUGCUCCAUGUUGGAACAUGAUUAUGUUGGGAUAUCACAAUAUCUCUUAUUUUUAAUAAAUGCAUCUAUAUAUUUGGUAAAGGGUGGAAGGCUUGGCCUUAUGCUUGGUGUUUUGUUCCACUCUUGCCGCCUUAGUUUCCGUCAUACUAGUGUUAUGUUUCUUAAUUUUGCGUUCCUUACGCGGUCGGGUUUAUGGGAACCCCUUGACAGUCCGCCUUGAAUAAAACUCCUCCAGCAAGGCCGACAUUGGUUUUCCAUUUGCCUAACAACCUACAACCCUCCCUUGGUGUCUGCAGCCCCGAGGGUCAUCUUUAUUUUAACCCCCCGGGGCAAGUGUUUCUCUAAGUGUUGGUCAACACUAGAGCCACUUGCAGCGCCACCUCGGGGAAACUCGAGGGCUGGUUUUUAGUUGUACGUAGUGUUCAUCCGGUGUGCCCUGAGAACAAGAUAUGUGCAGCUCCUAUCAGGAUUUGUCGGCACAUCUGGGCGGUCUUGCUGGUCUUGUUUUACCAUUGCCGAAACGUCUUGUAACCGGAAUUCCGAGACUGAUCGGGUCUUUCCGGGAGAAGGAAUAUCCUUCGUUGAUCGUGAGAGCUUGCGAUGGGCUAAGUUGGGACACCCCUGCAGGGUAUAAACUUUCGAGAGCCGUGCCCACGGUUAUGUGGCAGACGGGAAUUUGUUAAUAUCCGGUUGUAGAGAACUUGACAUUUGACUUGAUUAAAAUGCAUCAACCGCGUGUGUAGCCGUGAUGGUCUCUUUUCGGCGGAGUCCGGGAAGUGAACACGGUUUGGGUUAUGUUUGAACGUAAGUAGUCUUCAGGAUCACUUCUUGAUCACUUCUAGAUGACGACCGUUGCGUAGUUUCUCUUCCUACUCUUUUACUCACAUGUUAGCCAUCAUAUUUUGCUUAUCAAUUUCUGCAACCCCACCUCAUUACCACAUCCUACCCAUAAGCUUAAAUAGUCUUGAUCUCGCGGGUUUUGAGAUUGCCGAGUCCUCGUGACUCACAGGUAUUACCAAAACAGUUGCAUGUGCCGAUGAUAGCAGUGCAGGUGAUGCAAUUGAGCUCAGUUGGGAGUUUGACGAAGUCCUUGGCAGUUACUAUGUUUCGUUUUCUGAUGAUCAGUAGUGGAGUCCAGUUGGGACGAGCGGGGAUCUAGCAUUUGGGGUUAUCUUCUUUUCAGUUGGAUUUGUCCGUAGCCGGACUAUGUGUGUACUCUGAAUGUUGUAUGUUUUAUUUAAGUACUUGUGUGAAGUGGCGAUUGUAAAUCAACUCUUUAUCCCUUUCUUGUUCAUUACAGGGAUUGUGUGAAGAUGACCCUUCUUGCGAAACAACCACAAUGCGGUUAUAUGCCUCUAAGUCGGGCCUCAACACGUGGGAGUUAUAGCCACAUCGUGGGCGUUACGGGACGCUUGCCUGUUGUGCCCGCACUCUAACACUAUAUGCACGUGUUCGCCGCGCACUUGUCCUAUGUGGGUUGCCGGGACAUCAAGUAAGCCAAGACGUACUUCUUCCACAACGCUAUUCUGGUUUGUGUUGCACUAGCGGGUAGUGCGUGGCGGCACGCCGCGCUUUGCUUGUAGUUUCGAGAUUUGUUGAUUUUUGUAUUUUGCAUAAACUUUUACGUGUAAAAAUAGCCAGAUAUUAGAGACAAUACACCAUGCAGGUGGAUCAUUAAUUCAAGACCUUCUUACCACAAGAUUAGACGAUGGAACCAUGAACUUAAAAACUGUUAUGAAAUAUAGUGACCAAAGCAUGGACACAAUUUAUUAUCACUGUAGAGGGUGGCCAUCACUAUGCAUUGUUAACACGAAGUUAUUAUCUCUGAAAAAGUCUCAUGGAAAAGAAUAGAACAGUGGUAGAGAUUUCUAUAGAGCAUAGUCCCGCUUAAGAAUGUUGAACAAUCUGUCCUAUUUUUGCUUGAGCUUGGAAGAAUAAGACAUUCAAUAUAAUGAAUUUUAAACCAUACAAAAAUGUGGACCAAACUGAUCUUUGAAAAAAAAAACUUAAUCUCUCCUACUACUAAAUGUAUACAUUGAUUUUUUUUCCUCACAAUUUUGUUUACCCUCAGCUUCAUUCGAGCUAACAACUCAUAUAUUUUAUCAGUGCAGUUGUAAGAAAACAUAAAAGAGUUAUAAUUUUUUUGCUUCCUCUAACCCAGGUCCACAAUAAUCCAGCUAUAAAUUACUGGAUGAAGUAAGUGGGAUGACCGGUAAAGUUAUUUGGAACCAAAGCAUGAUAAUAAGCAAAUUAUCAUCAUCCUAUAGAUAACAAUCAAAUAAAACAGAAGGAGCUGCAUGAAGAAAUUUUGAGUCAAGACUGUUUGCAGCAAGUUCUAUUACUGAUCCUUGAAUAACAGAACAAUACAAUAAUAAAGUGUACAUUUGUCAGAUCCAUCACUGCUCACGCGUGUGCACCUGCACUUGGGACCACAGCGGUGCGGUGCACUAAGAAGUCUGAGAUCCACUCUCUUUCUCUCUAGCUUUCUCAAAUCUCCCUGCUCAUUCCCCACCUCCACCAUUCCCCCAUCUCCGUAGCGCAUUUGUUGCUCUCGCCGCCAGCUCUCGCUGCCCCAGCGUGGCUCAUCCGUCUCCUCUCCACUGGCAGUAGAAAUCGAGUGCUGCUCGCCCGCACAAUACGCAUCGGCAAGGCACCUCCUACGCCGGCUCCUCGCCUGCACAUCACGCAUCGGUGAGGAAUCGAUUCCACUCAAAGCAGAGGGCGGUCUGGAAAGGGAGAAACCGGCGGAGGAGGGAGGGUCUUGAAAGAGUAGGAGGAAGCGAGGCUGCGAGAGAGGUAGGGGAGAAGAGGAAGCGGCGGGGUACGGCGUGGCGGUGGCAAAAGCUCCGGCAUGCUCGCCAUUGGGCAUUGAUGGCGGCAAGAGCUAGCUAGGCACGACAAGUCCUGAUGAGGUUCACCGUCCACGCGAUUCAUAUCCUCCAGGAUGGUCUCGUCGAUUGAUUCUCUCCUCUCGGGUACCUACUCACCCGACUGCUAAAUAUCCAUCUGUCUAAUUCACCUUUUCUGCUAACUGCAAGUCUCACACCAUGUCAGUGCAACCCGCGGUUCGACAUGGGACUUCGUUUGCUUCGUCUAGAACUUCUGCAUCAUGAGCCUCGCAAAGAUGGCCGCCCUGCUCUUUAUUCCUCUGUCUAGGUAAGCUACAUGAACAGUUUUAGUCGUGAAGCAAGUACACACUUGACUAUAGAAAAUACAUCAUUUUUUCUUCAGUCCACAACACCAAAAGAAAAUACGGCGAUAAAUGCCAGCAAUUAAUCUUAUGUAGGUAAUAACAAUGCAUAAGCCUGAAAUUAUCUUCAGUGUCUUAAAUCAAUAGUACAGGAGCACUAUGUAAAUUACUGGAAUAUAUUGAAACAUACCAGGCCUUGUUAUAUCAACAACAGGGACAUACAUAGGUGUUUCUAAAUUCAGUAAUCACUAAAGCAGAUCAGCGUUGCUCGUACUCUUAAAUUAAGAAUACAUACUACCUAUUUAGAUUCUACCUUUGAGCAGCAUAUAAGGAGUGCAAAUAUUAGCAUGAACCCAGAACUCGCUCAAAAUUACAACACAGCUUAACUGAGCAAAAUCAAAUGGCAGAGGAAGAUAUAAUAUGUACAUAUAAAAUUCCUAUUAUGGGCAUCUGCAAAGGAAGAAGAUCAAUACCCACACAUGAUGGUACUGAAACAAAUUCAUGUAACAUCGUCCAAGAAUGUUAGCUUAAGCAUACCAUGAUAAUCACAAAUCUGACGGUCGUUGUCUCUGGUCCAAUAUCGACACCUGCAAUUGCAGAAGAUCAAUUCUCACAGAUGAUGGUACUAAAAGAAAUUGGCAAACGAAAGAAAAUACAUGUUGCAUGUACAUAAGCUGGUGAUAGUUUGUUCUCCAGGAGAUGCUUGACAAAAGUUGUUUUCCCCAUACUUUGUACCAAACUAGUGGGGUCGCCCGCGCAUUUGCGCGGCUAGAUUAUUGAUUUUGUUGUGAAAAUAGUUGAAGUCCACUUAUUUUAAUGCUAACAAUAUAUAUUAUAAUUCUAAUGGCCUUAUAAGUGAAACUUUGUAUCAUGCUUUUGGAAUAUUGGUGAUUUAUUGCUCCAAAUAAAUUCAAAUUUUAACAAAAGAAUUAGAAUAUCGCCUAAAAUAACGUACCCAAUUUGGAAUCGAAAUACAAAAAUAUUGCAAUUAAAGCAUUUUUAUAGCCAUAUAAUAGUUGCCGGACAUGUGUGCCAUGGGGGUUGGCGUGAAGUUCCAUUGAGGAACUUGGACUCUAGGCCAUGUGCAGCCGCUAGGCCACCUAAUCUCCUAUGGGUAGGUCAAUUAUCUCUUCCCUGCCACGUUAACCUCUCUUUCCAUUCUUCCAUGUUUGCCUCUCUUGCAACUCUCACUCAUUGUACAACCAUUGGUUCUAUUUCUCUUUAGCUUCUCAAGCUUCACCGUGGCCCCCUUUAGACCGAGGUGACACUUAUAUUGAUAGCAAUAACUCCUGAUCGAGCACCGCUGUUGGGUGGUAGUUAGCUUUGAUGGUUUCAUAUACAAAAUGUCAAAACUCAUUUGUCAAAUAAAAGAAGUUGUAGUCGGUGUCUAAAUCGUGAAAAAGUAUUAUGGACUCAAGUAUAUUUAUUUUAUCAUGUGUAGUAAGAUGUUAGCAAAGCAUUUCGUAUGUGACAACUAAAAACCAUAUUUGGGUUCACUUUUGGCACGCCCAACUAUAUAGUGGUGCCUAUCUUUUAUCCACAAUUUUAAGAAACAUCCCAACAAAAAAUAAUAUUUUAACUCUGAUGUCUAGAAUAUUUUCCAACUAAUGUAUGUUGCUUAGCCAUCUAAGACAAUAUAAACUUAUUUGCAUGUAUUUGAAAAAAAAAUCCAGAACUAACCUCACCUGCUAAAUAUUGCCUAAUCUAUGUAGCUGGCCAUUUUUCUUUAUUUUUAUCAUAGCACGGUUAUUUAUUUUCCUCAUAAAAGUUAUUAGCUUCUUUUAUCGUGGCAUUGCACACACUACAUUUGGUGGCAGCGAGCUGGGUAGCCCUCGCAAUGAUGUGGCUAGAUUGUCUAAUAUAGAGACUAAAACAAAAUCAUAAAAUGUAUAGUACAAACAAUUUAGAGAAAUAUGAUUGUGUACUUUCGGACAAAGGUAUUUCCAUUUUAGUGCAUGGAUUGUAGCCAAGGACAUUUCUAAGUUAAAACAAAGGAUAAAUGCUACAUUUAUGUGUGUCGCCCUUGAAACCAUAUACUGGGUUAUGCCUUUGUCUCAUCCAGUCCGCAUCCAUGGGCUAUGGAUUUCACAAUGAGUUUCUUAAAGACAUGCACUAUUUAUCCAACAAAUAAGUCACAUCCAGAACAAACAAAAAAAUAUUUUUAGGAAAAUUAUAAGGAAAUUCUCCAAUGCAUAUAUUUGAACUAAAUAUAGUUCAUGAAGAUUUUUAGUGCAUGUGCCCAGUUUUUUGCAGCAAAAAUAUGGGUUACCCUCCCGUAAUUAGAGAUAUCUUCUUUUUAUCCAUAUAAACACCUUAUACAUCUUUUCCUUCUAGUCCAUCAGGAGAAUGAUAUUUUUUGGAAGUGCACCUAUAAUGCGUGAGAUCUUGUACCAAAGAAUACACCACACGGGAAAUCAUUUUGUUACUGUUUUAUUUACCGAUUGUUUGCCCUCGUGUCAACGAUUGUAGUAUUUAGCUUUCCACGACAUUAGCAUUGGUACAUUGACCACUGUUAGUUAGAAGAGAAAAAUACACUAGAACAUCUCGCAGAAAGUAGUCCAAUUAUUUGGUGGACCAUAUAAAAAUUUACAAUUUGGACUGACCAGAGAAAAGGAAAAAUGCUAGAAAAUAUCAUUAGAGACAAAUAUGAGGAAAUUAGUUUGCUAACAUAAAUGCAUAUACCCCCGCAAAAAACCAUGUCGCAUAAACACAUGCAUAAAUGAUAUAUAUGUUGCCAAGAUGGUAUUUCCCCAUGUUGUAGAUGCUACACAUGAAGGAUCAAUUAGCAUACGUGCGUAUCAAGAGAUAGAUCAAUGAGCGCACCUGUUCACAUGUAAAUGCAUGCGUACGUGUGUGUUUUUGCUGUGAACGCCCGAAGCUCCUUGAGUCGACGUGAAUGCGCCGCCACAACCGCGAGUCAGCGACAACUCUGCCACGCCAUUGCGUUUCUCUCCUGUGACAUGCGCCUCUGCCGCUGCCAUCGGCCGUCGCCCCUGCUGCCGCCGCCGUCGCUGUUACUGUGUAGGCUAGCUUCUACGAUCAUACAUCGAUCCCGCCAGUAGCUAUUCAUAUUCCUCCGCAUAACGUCUAAUUGCACAAUUACAUACGUCUUUGAUUGUUGUUAUAAGUCGUACACUACCGCUUGCUGCAUGGCAGCAGCCUCCACGGCGGUGCACCGGCGAGAUCGUGCGUACCAUGAGGAGGUCAUGGGCCUUGGCUGAACCCAGGUACGCAGUCAAUCAGAGAAUAUCAAAUUAUUUUGCCUUCCCCAAGUCAUAAUAGAUUGCCUGUGCCUGUACGCUAGAGCAUGUCGUUUCCUUUCCAAAUUCCGUUUCCUUUCCAUGUAAAUCUUUUUUCUUGUCUACUCAUUUCAAAUUACGUUUCCUUUCCAUGUAAAUCUUUUUUCUUUUCUUUUUAGCACCCUGUCCUAUCCAUCACGUUUGGCUGCGGUUGGACAUACUUUUUGUACAUGUCGUUAUUACUUGCCUAUUGCUAGUUUCUUUUUACGUGUAUUACAUGAGGAAAUCUUGAUCGUUGAUACAUCUUAAUAUUAGAGUGUCAAAUCAGCACCGUUCGUUUUCUAUGGUUUUAUAAGUAUAUACUAGAUGAUAGAUUUCAGACAAAAUCUGCCCUGCUGCUCAAGAAUGUAAAGCCAUGUCAUUCAACUUGUUGUCAAUUGAUCCUAAUGGUAAAUACAAAUACAAUGUCACUUAAAAAGAUUAUGCCAUUAUAGUUUUCUGAAACAAGAAUACGCCAUAAUAGCAUAGUGCCAGAAUUAUUUCAGUCGCUAUACAGUUUGAUGCGAUUCACAUGCAUGAUAUUUUAAUGAGUAGGCAAAUCGAAAUAUAAGGCACGUAGAAGGAAGAGGAACCAGGAGUGGUGAUGUUGUGCUCAUCUAUACCAUCGCUUGUGAGCUAUGCAGUGGCAGCUGCCCUACAGAGAGGAAUGGUUGUGGCCCGGGAACAUGGCGCCUCAAAAGCAAUGUUAUAUGCUGUUGAGGAAGGGCGUCUCUGAUGGUCGCGCUGCGUCAAGCAUGUCAUCGCCGGUGCCGACAACAGGCCAACGACGGGAGGGAGGUGGCACACCGCCGCGGGAGAGCGGAGUAGAGCACAGGACAACGUGAGGAGGGGGGCAACUUACCAAACCUCCCGCCAUGGUCAUCCUCGAUUGGAUCCACCAUCAUGCACAUGUCGUCGUUGUCGUCCUACGCCAGUGCCUCCUUCAGGCACUGCAUAGCGGCCGCUCCACCUCACCAUUGCCUUGACACGGAACAGCCAACCAGGACGGAGCGAUAAGGUGUUGGAGCACCUCCUCGUGUCAGCUUCAGCGCCCGCUUAGCCAAGGCGGCAACUCCCGGGGACGUAGUGGGUGGUCGGCUCUGGUGGCAUGCGAUGGCGGGCUUCGGUGAUCUGGGCAGGCGAAAGGUCGAGGCGCGGGGUGGCUCGCGGCGUCGAGCAUGUGGCACGCUUGAACAAUGGGGACGCCGGGACUCCAGCACCUGAACGACGUGAGGUCGCGAGCUCGUGGUCGAGAGCAAUGGCAUUGGCCCAAGAUGACGUCAACAUCGACGAUGUGCAGCCGCGGCCUGAGUUUAGCCUACCGCGCGGAGGUACGCCGCCUUCCUUCCUCUCCUCCGUCAUGGCCUCUGAUCGUGGCGGGGGCGACGGGAGAGAAUUUUGGAGC